UCAGAAACUACUGGUGCUGCUGGAGUCUCUUCGUCUUCUUCUUUGACCGUUGGUGUAAGCCAUUCCGAGCCUACUGAGCGCAAAGAUGGUGACUCAGUUAGCAUUGAGGUUAAGACUUCAAGUUAAAAGAGACAAAACUCAAAAGGAGAGAAGAGAACCUCACUCUACUCUUCUUAGAAUUUGUCUCUCUAUCUCUCUCAACUUCUUCUUUUCUAUCAAACUUUCAUGAGCUCAUGAACAUGUAGAGAUUUUUUUCUGGGGUGGAGAGACAACAACAAGAAGCAAAAGCAGAGAGAGACGAAAGCAGCUCUAGUUUUUUUUUUUGUGUUAUGUCUCUCCUCUUAUGUCUCUCUUACCAAGUUCAUAAGAUUCCUUCACACUGUCAUCUCUGUUUAUCUCUUUUUUCUUUUAACUUUCCGGAUUGAUUAUUGUUAAUAAAUGGAAUUAUAUAUUCACGAAGAUCCCUUGUUAGUUUAUAGAAUAUGGAAAUUAAGAAUCAGAUUUUUCUUAUUGGUUGCGUUUGUUUUCAAAUUUACAUGUUAGAUAAUUGUGUAAAUCUCAUGUUAUUUUCAAUAGAAUACAUAUUUUUUUCGUUUCUUUUAAACCUUUUUAAAAAUAAUUGUAAAUUUUCUUUUCAUGCAUAAGAGGAACUUGAAUGUGUAAAUUUGUUUAACUUUGUAUUUGCAAUUUGUACAGAAUAUUUGACCAAAUAUAAUAUCUACAUUAAUAAGACUAUUUUUUCAUUUCUAAUGGUAAGCAAAAUUAAUAUGUUGAAUAGUAAAUGCAAACGCAAUAAUAGCACAACCUGAUUCCAGUUGUUUUUGGAACAGCAUUAUGGAAGAGAAAGAGCAUGGAAGGUAGAACAGAGCAGAUCUCGGGAUCACUGUUAAUGUGGAAGUAGAUGUCAGUAAUUCUCGUACUUCGUUCUUUGUGUUGGUGAUUUAUCAUGUGCAUGUAGCUUUUUCGUUGCGUCUAGUUUUACUCAAACAACAGAAAAAUCAUAAUCAUGGGUUUGGUCACUGAAACAUCACAACAAAAGCUUUCAACAACCCAAAAACUACUACUAAUCAUUAAAUGCUUUUUCUCUGAGUUACAAACGAUCUACCAUAAUUAAGUCUGUACAAAGAUGUAAACUUGCUUUUAUACAUACGAGUUACGGUAGACUUAGUUAAGUACAUUACAUAUAUACACAUAUGUAAGCUUGUGUUUGAUAUAUAUAACUGCUUUUAUUGGGUCUGAUGAUUUAACAAAUAAAGUGAAUUUGGUCAGCAUUGGAAAGGGGACUAAUCGAGUUCUAUGAAAGAAAGUCAAAACCUUAAGCAGAUUUAAGAAGAAGAAAAGAGUUGUGAUGUCAGUUGACAAAAGUUAAGGCAAAAGGAGGGAGACAUGAAACAGUGAUUGUGCAGUUAAAGACCAAACAAGUCAUGACCAAAACACAUGUCCAAAGACCAAAAACACCGUCAUGCUACUUCACUAAAAGUCCAUCUCACUUUAGUUAUACUACUUUUAACAAACAUGCAAAAUUUUAUGCCAAAUCCCGUAUCUUUAAUCUUAAUAUUUUUUUCCAUCAUAUGUAUAUCUUAUAUUCUUACUAAUGCCAAAUUUACAAUUGUCAUGAAAGUUUAUAUAACCGAACGUAUUUACUUCUAGUCAAAUAUCCUUUUUGAGUAAUUAAUUUGAUUUCAUUAUUAUACACACAACAUCUUUAUAUACCUAAUGAGUGUGUUGGAAGAAGCAUGGACAAAAAAAAAAGGUCUUUAAUACAACUCGCAAUAACACCUUUUGCUAAUCAAAACCAUAACUCUUUUUUUCUUUUCAAAGCCACAACUUAAAAAUUACAAAAAGAAAAAGAAAGAAAAACAAAACAUCACGGUAAGCUAUAACCAACCUUAUGGUGCAGGUGCAUGAUACAAUAAGCAGAAUAUAUAUAUAUAUAAUAAAGUCCAUAACAUGCUGUUAACAAAAUGCAAAUUCUCAUGGAAUAACGUAACUACUUAUUAUAUUAUUACAUAAAUAUGAAAAUAAAACAGAAAUAUCAAAAAGAAUGUUCUAUUUCUAAUAGAGCGAGUAGAAGCCUGUAGUGUCUGAAACAUCUCCAAAAGCAGCGACAGAAGAAGAAGACGCAGAAGAGAAAUCUUGCGGCUCCAUUGACAUUGAAGCGGCAGCACCAUAGUUAGUAAUCAUGGCAGAAAGAUCACACGAACCAAACUCGUGAUGAUUCAUCAUCAUCAUCAUCAUAUCACCAUCUUCAAAGUAACUAUUAUUAAACCCUCCGUAUGAGUCAGAGGCCUUGCUUGCCGGAGUUGUGAAAUCAGCUCCGGUUUGACUUUGGGUAGUGGUGGUUUCCAAAGGUGGUUUAAGGCAAUGGUUUGGGACAAUGCAGUCCAAGUAACCCGAGUUGUUACUGGAGUUACUUCCAUCGAAAGAAAAGAAGUUGUGUUCUUCGUCUAGUGAAGAAGAUAACGAGCCGUUAGAAGACGAGUUUUGAGGACUAGAGCUAAACGCUUGAAUAUCUGCGUUUUGAUGACGAACGGGAGUUUUGAAAGAAACGGUGGGUAUAUGUUUAGGUUGCUGAUGGUGAUGAUAGUUUUGAUAAUGAGGAUGGUGAUCAAUGACAAACUGUGGAGAAGAGUUUGGUAAGAAAGAUUGGUUGUUGUUGUAAGGAGAGACGAUGAGAGAGUGGAGAUUAGGGUUUGUGAGGAUAGUGUGAACAUCAGUUGGAGUGUAGGCGAAGUUAGUUCGACCUUGAGUGCCUCUCAUCGAGAGAGCUGCUCUAUCGUAAGCAAGAGCGGCUUCAUGAGCAGUGUCAAAAGUGCCAAGCCAGUGACGUUCUUUGGUGGUUGGAUCUCUUAUCUCAGCUGCGUAACGACCCCAUGGACGUCUCCUGACUCCUAGGAACCUCCCUGGCUCUGCUUGCUUUGAUCUCCGGCCUCGUCUCUCUCCAGUUGUGGUCGUUGUGGUGGUGGCUGUGUUCUGGUUGAUUAUAGCAAACCCCAUUUGAGUUUGGGAUGUUUCAUAGGGCUUAAUAUGAUCUAAGGUUUUGGAAGUUGACAUGAUGAUGAAGAAAUGGAUUUUUUGAAGGGAGCCUUCUUUUAGGGUUUUGGUUGAAGAGGUGUUAUGAUGAAUUAAGUUUUUUUUUUUUUUUUGCUUUGGUUCUAAGGUGAUGGGUGUUGUUUGGGAAUGGAAGUGAAGUGAUGUUAUAAAUAGAGAGACAGUGAACUUGAUAGAGAGACUUCACUUUUGAUUCAACUGCUUUUAGACUACCUCUUUUUUUUUCUCCUUUUCCGAAGAUAUUUUAUUUAGGCGUCAACAGAAAUAAAUUAACGUUGGAACAUUGGUUAGAUUUCUAUAAGAUUUAAACAAAUUCUAAACAGCUUAAUUGCAUGGUUUUAUUAAUCUGUUUUCUUGCCAUUAUAGUUCACCGGUCAGAGUCUUAACUUUUGACUGUAGUGUAUAUAUAUGUGCAUUGCGUACGGAUGGCUACUUAUGAAAGCCUAAGAAGGAGGCCAAAAAUCAUUGGAACUGAGCACCUCCAAGGGGUUCUACCCAUUUAAAUUCUAAAUAUGAAUAUGUAUAUAUUGUAUAUAUGUAUGUAAUUACGGUAGGGGUUCUAUACUAUUUAGUGAACUCAACAAUUACAUACACAUAUACGAUAUAUAUACAUAUAUUCAUAUUUAGAACUCCAAUGGGUAGAACCCUCGUUGGAGGUGCUUUAAUGCAAAAUUUGGAAUGUCACAGUAUGAUUUAGAGAAAAUCAUAAGAAUAUAUUUAGAAAAUAUUUGUUAAAAAACACUCUGUGAUGUAUAUAUUACUUCAUGCUAUUUGAAUAUUUUAUUUCACUAUAAUGAAGCUAAUUAAGCAACUCAAAUAAUCUGCUUAGAGGUCACGUGCAAUGUGCAUGAUAACCCUACAUAUAUAUCAUAAGGUCAAGGGUCUACGUUAACAAAAUCGAUAAUAUAAAUGGUAUAUAUUCCAGGUGAUAUACAUUGCUAAUUACAAUAGGUUGUGUAAGAAAUUAACUGUACUAAGGACUAAUGUGCCAUGAAUUUCUUACAAAAUUUCAUCAACAAUUUGUUAUAUUUAAUAUUCAGUAAGCUUAACUUUCUCCCAAUACGUUUUAUAUGUAAAAUAAAAACAUUACAACGGACAAGCAAGCGACAUGAACAUUCUAGUUUUUUCCUUUCAUACUUUAAUGUGGUUUAGUUUGGCUAAUCAAAUAUAAGUACUAAUGUAAUUAGCUUACCUGUAGAUGCCUCCUGGUCAAAGCACAUGGUGACCGCAUUUUAAGCGGAAAUAGAAAUGAGAAUAUAUAGAUUUUUUUGUCAUCUUGCAAUGAUUUAUUCAAUGGGAGUGGUUAAAUGUGGUUUUUAAUUAAAUAUCCCAGUGGACAUUCUUUUGUAUCGAUGUCCUUAUAUGCAAACAAACACAAGUGAGCAUCAAUCUUAGUCUCAUUGUGUUUGUAAUUUUAUAGGAUUAUAUAUAUAGGUAUACAUGCAUGAGCUUGAGUAGUUAUUCGUCGUAUGUGAUUGCAUACAGACAUUAAUGUCUUACCGACAAACAUGAAAUCAAGAAAAUGUUCAUAGUCAACUAAAACACGGCUUUAACUUAAAAAAACGCGACUUUAACUUAGAGUUCAAAAAUCUAAUUAAUAAUUCAAAAUUCACUAUGAGCCCUAACAUCGAACUUGAUUUAACACUAGAGACUUUUAAUUAAACUUAAUUAUCAAGUGAGCGAGAAGACUUGCGUCUGAUACGUUGUGGAUUGAUAAUACGUCUCUAGUUUUUGUUAGCAUAUUGAAAAGAACUAGAUCAUUACCUAGGAUAUGGUUCCUAUUAACUACAAACGGGCAGGUAAAAGAAAUAGUGUUGCUAAAUGUUACUUCUUAGUUCUUACCGAGAUUUCUAUUUUGAUAUAAUACUACUUUUAGCUGAAAAGGUGUCGUAAGCCAUAGGAUUAGCCAAAUUAUCCUCCUUUUCUCUCCUUCUAUGUCACAUAAGCCACGUAAACUAUAACUUCUUUUGAAUGAAAUGGUUUGCCUUUUAACCGAAUGGGUUACGGUAUAAAAGUGUGAUGAACUCCUUGUAUUAAGGCUUGGAACUGUGACAAUUGUUGGCGAUCUUUUGUGCACAUUGCUGAAUGGCAUUGGGAAUGAAAAUUAUAUUCUUUUCUUAUAAAAGUUAGUCAAACAAAUAAUAUUUUAUAUAGUUCUACACAUUUUGGCUCUUUUAGGAUUUUAUCUUUUGACUAAUACAACAGUAAUAUAACCGUGGUCGGACCAUGAUAACCGCUGUCACUAUCUUUCGGGGUGUUAGCAAUACAAUUUCCCAAACACAACAAAAAUGUUCUGCGCAACGAUUAAUGAUAUUUAGUUUUCAGAAAAUAAAGUUGUUGUGCAUAUUUAUAUAGGGAAAUUUAUUAUGCCGAGAUUAGUUAUACGAUACCAUAUGAACUAAACAAUCUGCAUAGCUAGGAAUGAUUUGUAUCAACUCCAAGAAUAUAUUAGAGAAGAAUAAUUCUUAUCCGCAAAUUACAUAGAGUUCUAAAAUGCAAUGAUUGUAAGUUUGUAAUAAAUGUUUAGUUUGGUGUAUUUAUUAAUAUUCUUCAUCUCUUUUGAGAACUAAGGUUGGAGACAAGUUUAAGCUAUAUAAGAAUCUGACGACCCUUGACUCAUCCACUCAUAUUAUGAACUUCAUGUGGGACUAGCCUUCCAUUUAACUAUCAUCUAGCAUACAUAUACUUUGCGUUCAUCACCAGUGAAACUAAAAUCAGUGAUAAUGUUAUCAAAUUACAGCUAAUUCUAAUUGAUUUUUAGUGGUCAUUUACAUCCUAUAUAUAGUAUUUUCUUAAGAACAUGAUAAACUAUAUAUGAACUAUAAGCUGGUUCAUGAUUGUAUUUACGUAAAGACGCAGAUCAGUUUCCUAUCUUAUAAAUUAUCAAGAGCCAUGGCCAGCAUUGAUCAUAACGUUAUGAGAUUACAAAAACAACACCGCAUUAGUUAAAUGGUAAUAGUCCCAUGUCUUUUUAUAACCAAAUACUAGCAAGUGUAUACAUGUGAUUGAUAUUGGAUUCAUGUAGUGGUUGAGAGAUACGAAGUUAGUAUAAAUUUUCCUCAAUAACUCGGAGAAAGAAAACAAUACUGUGGGUUUUUGAAAUAGGGUAAAUGAUUCAUAUUAACAUAUGAUACGAGAGAGAAAACUUAUGAAAAAUCCAAUUGGCAUUGCGCACGGCACGAUAUUGGGAUUGCACUAUUGAACGCUUUUGGGUGAAAGCUUUUAGUCAAGUUCCAUGUGAUCGAGGCUUUCUUGGGUUUAGGAAUGGAGAAUUUCUUCAGAUUUAUCAAAAAAAAAGCAAAGAAAAACACAGAAUAUUUUGAACAGCUAAUGAAAAGCCAAAACUUUUUCUUUCGAAAUUUAAUAAUUUUUUAUGUUGUUUAAAAUUUCUUUCUUUGUCAAAAGGAUGUCCCUGGAUUUAGGGGUAAAGGUCGUUUUCGAACGAACUUGGACUUUGACGAGAGUCCAAACAGUGUGACUGAAAAGGCAAGUGGGGCUUCACUAUUAGUUUGCCUUGAAUUAGUAUAUCAUGAAGAUGCAAAUGAAAUGGUUACUAUUAUUACAUUCUUCUGUUCACAGUAAAUUUUAAUUCGGCAGCACAUCCAGCUUGUGAAAAAAAAAAUUUGAUCCAAAACUAUUUACAUCCAUGAAGAAACCAUUUAGAUAUACUUUUAUAUUAAAAAUGAUUUUUUUUUUUAAUUUUAGCUGUUGAUAGAAAAGGAAAAAUUGUAAUGUUCCAGUCGUUAAUUAUUUUGUGUAAACCAAAUGUAAGUUUAUAUUUUGUGUAAACCAAGUGUAAGUUCAAUAAUCAAUAUCUCAACUUUUUUUGAUUUUUUUUUGUUUUUUGUUUGUUUUCCUUCAGUACUUUACUAAAUCAGAGAGGAUGAUACUUCUUUUUUUUACCACACUCGUGUACAGUAGAUUAAUAACCACACUCGUGUACAGUAGAUUACUAGUUCUAGAAUAUAGGUAAUUGGAAAGUUAUAAGCUCUGAUCCUUUUGUUCACUAUUCGUUUUCUUAAACUAAAGUCAGAUGAUCAAACACACUCGUGGCACCUAGAGCGACGUGAUACAUCAUAAUUAUCUCCUAAAUUAUGUUCGUGCGCUCCAUGUGCCUUUCAACGUCUCUCUAUUUCUUUAAUUUUUAUAUAUAAAAAGGUACAUAUGAAUAAUAAUUGGCUAAUUGCGUAUAUUAUGUUAUUAUGUUAUUUUCUUCUAUAUAAUAUAUUAUAUGUUAUUCUCUAUAGUAAUUCUUUCAAAUUAAUAAAAUAACUACUAUCAGAUAUGGAAUUUUUUUCAUAGUAUUUAUGAUUAGUUUAAGAUUUGGAUUUUAAUUUCAAGGUUAUGUAUUAUAAUUUAUAAUUUAAAAUUUUAUUAUUUUUUAAAACAAAGAAAUAAAAUGUUUCAUAUUUAUGAUUACCAAAAAAAAUAUUUAUAUGGAAUGAUGCAACACAAAGAAUUAAGCCGAUGAGUAUAAGGUGAUGUUAACUGGAGGAUUUCGUUGGAGUGGAAGAGUUAUGAGUAUCGGGUGGGAGAACGUGUUUUAGGCCGUGAUUCAUUUUUCGUUUAUUUUGGUUUGGCUGUUGCUCGUUUUGUUUAGAAACUUGGUUCUGUUCUUAAUUUUUUAAACAUUUCUCUCAGAGUUAAGGAAAAAGAAAGAAUUAAACCGUUGUUUCAGGGUUGUCUCGGAAGCUGUAGAUUUUACCCCUUGCUUUAAGGUAUGAGCCGCUUUUUUUUUCGGAGUUCGCGGCAACCAGGGUCCCACUCCUAUCAUUCAUUCCCUUGCGGCAUCGACGCUUCGCCAACUCCAGUUCGCCUUUAGGACCUUAGUUUGUUGUCUUAGAAUCUGGUUGUUUACUAGGUGCUCUGUUUAGUUUAUUUUUAUGCAUUUUGUAUCUUGUUUUUCUUUGUGCUUCCGUAAAAAAAUGAAAAUUUGGUAAUAUAAUUUUAACAUUUUACCAGCAAAAAGAAUUAAACAAGGCAACUUUAAAAACCAAACAACAUUGGAUAACGAGGGGAAGGACCAAUGAAAACUAGACAAGUUAGCUAAAAGAAGCCCCACCGAACCUAGUAUUUGCAUACUAUGUGGGACACUGUCCAUGACACGAAAGAUACUGUUGCCGUUCGGGAUAUUUGAGGAAACAAAGUAAGCGUGUGACCUACUAACUAAUACAAUACUCAGCUUAUUGUCGUAAUCUGAGCAAUGCAGGUCCCGAUGGACUGUACGGCUACGAUUACCCACGUAACAGAGAGAGAAAUGAUCGUCUGAUUUGAUUUGUAUGGUCAAAUAGAAGAUCUCUCUUUUACGGACCGUCCGAUAUUUGAUUGGACGGCUGAUACGCACCUCCCGUUUCUUCUCUUUAGUUUACCGGAAAAACUGACCUGGUAUCUUUAACCGAAUUUGAAUACCGGUCCUAGACUCUCAAUCGGUACUGUAUAUCUCAAUAUGUAAAACACACAAUCGAACAGGUUUGCGUAUUUCAGGUGAAUGUUUUCUAUUAGUGACCCAAAUUUUACCAAGUUAUUGUGCCUCGUUGUAUUCAGAAGAUAUAACAGCUAAGAGAACAAGGAUAAUUGCAAACUAAUCAAAUAAUUUCCCUAGAGAAGCUCAUUUGCAGCCGGUCAAGUGAUGGUCUAGUAUUAUAAAUAUAAAAGUAUAACAACAAUGGAAGUUUUCAUUUUCAAUAACCAUAUAUAGUAUGAUAUUUCUUCAGAAAGAAUGUAAGGUAUCACAAACUACUUGUUUUAUCCUCUAUUCAUGACUUUGAUUAGUUAAAAUUGCAAUAUCUUGGUUGUUGUAAACCUCAUAAACCGUAAAAGAAAAAACAACGUCGUUUUUCUUGGAAACCUAGCGAAAUCUUUUAUCUUCUCUAAGAUGGACAGAUCUCGGAUCCUCCAUUGGGUGCCGAGGCACGGGGUUCCAGGUGGAUCACAUGGACGUACUAUAUGUAUGCAUGUGAGCCGUUUCUUAAUUAUGUUUUGGGAGACAACGCCGCUAGUAGACCACUUGCACUGGCUUCAAGUUCACGACACCUGCUGGGCUUACGGUCUCUCAUGCCACAUGAACUCUACAUUUCGGAUUGCUGGUCUAUUAAAUGGAAUGGAGUCCUUGAGUCCGGUUCACUUCUUCCUCAAUUUGAGGCACCUUGAUACUUUCAGACAAUCUGGCUUUCUUUCGCCUCAGCGAUUGCUUUCACUUCUUAACAGUAUGCGGGUUGGUGGUAGAUGAAGAUUUUCACGCUUUUUGUAAUCUUCUUACUAAGAGAACUCCGACGGGGAUGAGAAUUCGUAGGUUUGUAGUUUCGGAAAUGCGACUUCAGUAUGUUUAUCUAUAUGCUGAUGCUGAGGAGUUUGAAUCUGCAUUAUUUAGUGCACUGGAUUUUACCCAUGUAGCUAUAGAAAUUCCCAGUUAUCAUUUUCUAGUAUACGCCAACCACAGAGGAUUUUCUGCCCAACAAAAGAGGAACGUGUUGCUAUACAUAAAUAUAGCCACCUCAUGUUUGCUACUUCAUGGGGUACUUUUUCAGGGAAUUGAUUUUUUUCGGUGCAGAGACAGUGCAGUGGGCAGCUUCCUUAACAUCGAAUUGGGGGUUAAUGCCAUUGUCCGAUUUGUGGAAUAGCUCGGUCUUCAUGUCUUUGUGUGAUCGUUGGCCACGUUUGCUUUGACUCUCUAUUUUGCCUAUUUGGUUUAAUAAUAUUGUAACCAAAUGAAACUUUCCAUACACGGGAUCCUUUUCAAUAGUUAGAUAACAUGGAUGUUUGUUGGAAUUAAUUGUCUAUAUUUUAUGCAAGUUUGUUGGAGCCUAUUGUUUAUAUUUUAUGCACGCAUACAAAAUAUGGAAGGCAACAAUGCAAGAAAAGAGAUGAUUCUAAAAAUGUUGAAGAAAUUUUUAGGGCUGUUCAAUAUGGCAAAACCGAACCGUACCGAACCAAACCGAACCGAAAUAGAUAAUAUGGUUUGGAUUUGGUAUAUACCAUACAAACCGAAUGGAUUUGAUUUUUAAAAAACCGUAGGAUUUGGAUAUGGUUCGGUAUAUAACCGAUAAAACCGAAUAAACCGAAUAAAACCGAUCUAAAAAUAGAAACAUGUAAAUAUGUAUAUAUUUUAUAACAACGUAUGAAAAUCAUAAGUUAAUUUUUUUGCUAAUAACUAUUACCAUAUUUUUUACAGUAAUAAAAUAGUCCUGAUUUGUAAAACACUUGAACUAUAAUUAAAUAACAAUUCAUCGCAAACAUGCUUCUUAUUUUCUUAGUCUUCUUUUGAUCUUUUUGCUUUAAUUUAGCAUUGACUAAAUUGAAAUAAAGAUUAUAAAUUUGAUGAUAACAAUUAGUGGAAAUUCUUCACAAUUUUUUUUAUCUAUAAACGAAUAGAGUUUCGUGUUUAAUAUAAGAAACAUGACUUUAAUGAACGCUAAAUAUGAAAGAAUAUAAUAACUUAUUUUUUGUGCUUCGUGCUUCUGUUUUAUUUUUUGUUUUUUAUUUUUACUAUCAAAAUUUUGAGCUUUGAUUUUAAUUAUAGAUUUGAUUAUUUUAUUAGAUGAUAGAAACAUUUUUUUAUUUUUGUUCUUUUAUUUAAACUUAUAAUAUUUUUUAAUAAAUGAAUGUGUUGACAACAAGACUCUAAAAUUCAUAUAAUAUGAUCCCAAAAUAAAGAAUUAUGUUUUUUGGUAUAAAAUCGAAUAAACCGAAAACCGACGGUAUAUGAACCGAACCGAACCGAAGUAAAUAUGGAUUUAGAAUGGUAGUUAUAUUUUACUAACCGAAAUACCGAAAAACCGAAAAAACCGAACCGAAACCGAACCGAUAUCCGGAUUGAACACCCCUAGAAAUUUUGGAGACAUAAGAUCAAAAAAAAAGUGCUAAUAUCUGGAAAGAAUCAAUGACCAAAGAAAUGUGGAAAGAUGCAACUACUUAGGUUUUUUCUUUACAUCAACUUAGUUUUAUUUAUUUGCAAAGAUAUUCUAAUAAUAAUUUUGCUAGUCUUUUUAUUGUUGAUAUGGAAAUGAACUCCACUAAAAUCUUUCACAAAAAUCAAAAUGUAUUUCAACCCAUUCUAUUUAAAUCCUUCUCAUCGAUUGAAGAAUUCACUCAAAUUCAUUAAAAGAAUCCUAAUUACGGUUAUAUUCAACUCCACUAAACUUCGCAAACCAAUAACACCUCCUAUUGUAUUAAAUUUUAUUCCAAAAAAAAAUCAGUUCAGAAAAAAAAACAAUCUUGGUUGUAGUGUUGUAAUCAACACCGCCAGUUCCAAGCCUCCAACUUCAUGACAAGCCCACUUAUGAGAGCAAUACAUCUUCUUGCACUAAAUCAUCAUUUUAUAAAGUAAUGAGGUAAUAAUCAAAAGAACUAUGAAAAUGAGGGACUAAUGUCGAAAAAGUGAGAAACUUUGGUUACCUUCGAAGCUUGGACCUACGUACAUCAGAGAGCUCGAAAGAGGGAAAGAGAAGGCUGCUGCUAGGGCUCAAUCUCUCUUUCCGUUUUAGGGGUUUAAUCUCUCUACUCUAUUCGAAAGCUAACGUCUUUCGUUCGAAGGUUGUGACGAAAAAUGUAUAGCGGAUCUAGCGAUGGCGAGAGCCACGACACAUCUACGCAGAGGAGGAUCCCUCCGGCUUCCUCAAUGCUCUGGGUUAGAAACCUACGGCGGUACAUUGGUUCCGGAGCUGGAUUAGGGUCCGAAGCUCUAAUGGGUAUGUCGUUAAGUUGUUCUCUUUCAUAGAAAGUUUGAAUUUUUUAAUCGCGUUUCGAGUUCGUUGUAUGAUGAAAUGAGUAAAGUUUCUGAAUUUGAGGUCUGUUCUUUGUAUUGAAACACUAUGUAAACUGUGAUUGAUAAAGGGUUUUGUUUUCAUUGUCUUGUAGAGCUUGAGACGAAGAGAAUCUUGCUCGAGAUAUUCAAAGACAAGCAACAGAAAAGUCAGGAAGCAGGCACGAUACCAAGCUUCUACAAGAAGGCAUGUCCCUUUACACUAUAAGAUGUUUGUUUUUGCAUUUUCACGGCAUUACCCUUUUAAUCUUGCAUGGUCACUCCUUGUUCAGAAACCAGAAGAAGGAUCUAUUAGUCAAAGAGUCCAGAGGCUUGCUAAAUACCGCUUCUUGAAGGUAUACUUUAGAUUUCUUCAUUGCUUCGGAUUGUUUAAUGUCUUUGCUCACUUCAUUAUGUUGAUUUAUUUCCACAGAAACAAUCGGAUCUUUUGCUAAAUUCUGAUGAUUUGGCUGCUAUGUGGAAUUGUUUGAGAGAGAAUUGUGUGAUUGAUGAUGGCACAGGUGCAGAGAAGGUACAUGCAUAUAGUUUGAAAAAUUAUGUUUAUCUAUGUUAACGAUGAAUCUGAUAUUUUGCUAAAUCUUUGUUCAUGUAGAUGAACUAUGAAGACUUCUGUCACAUUGCCUCCGUAUGCACUGAACAAAUCGGCCCCAAGUGUCGUCGGUUUUUCAGCCCAUCCAAUUUCAUGAAGUUUGAGAAGGAUGAGGCUGGGAGGAUUGCUAUUCUACCGUUCUAUCUUUAUGUGAUGCGCACGGUGAGUAUCCUCAUGUGUUUUUCACUUGUCCUUUACUUUAACCGGCCAUAGUUUAUACUUAUUCUGAUAAUCUUAUUUUUUAUGACUGUUAAGGUGUCGCUUACACAAGCUAGGAUUGAUAUGAGUGAGCUUGAUGAGGAUUCUGAUGGUUUCCUUCAAUCUCAAGUAAGUAGUCAAGUGGCUCUAAAGCUUUAAGUUUAGAAUUUGCUCAAGAAGCUUUAAGGAGCUCUCCUACCAGCUAAAGGUUACUAAAUCUAAUCUUCAGGUUCCUUACUAAUUGUCUACUUGCUGUUAUUAUAGGAAAUGGAGUCAUAUAUUUCUGGUUUAAUCCCUAAUUUGGCACAACUGAGGGACAUGCCGGAUGCAUUUACUAACACGUAUUGCCGCAUAGCUUCUCAAAAGUUUUUCUUCUUCUGUGAUCCCCAUAGGCGAGGUAGGCACUUAAGAUAUAUAAUUACGAGGCAAUGAGAAAUUUGCGAAACCAUGUGUUGAAUGGGAUCUAUUUAUGCGUUCAGGAAAAGCAUGUAUUAAGAAGAUACUGCUCAGCAACUGUCUGCAGGAACUAAUGGAAUUGCAUCAGGUCAGUUUAGAUGAAGUAUUGGUGAAAAACAGUUGUGUGAUCAUCUAUAGCUUUCCACUUCUAGAAUAUACUUUUUACUUUGGCUUCAUUUACUGAAUGUUCCCCGGGUACUUUAGGAAAGCGAGGAGGAAGUCACAGACACAGAACAGGCUGAAAAUUGGUUCUCUUUGACUUCAGCUCAACGUAUAUGUGGUGAGUGUGCUAUUUAAAUAUCUGGAAGCAACUCUCGUUUUGGCUUGUGAAAAACUCAGGUGCAAGUUGAUCUAGAGUUUUCUAUUUCUUUUGUAGAUAUGUUUCUUGCACUUGAUAAAGAUUGCAGUGGAUCACUGAGCAAACAAGAACUUAAAGAAUACGCAGAUGGGACCCUAACUGAAAUUUUCAUCGAAAGAGGUAAAUAAUCAUAUACUUUUUUGGUCAUUGUAUACGUUUCGUGGUACUGAUAGUUGCCAAUAGUGAUCGAGACCCUUGCUUUCUUGUAGUGUUUGAUGAGCAUGUUCGCCGUGGCAAAAGCGGCUCAGGCAAUUCCAGGGAAAUGGACUUUGACAGCUUCCUAGAUUUCGUUCUUGCGUUGGAGAACAAAGACACACCAGAGGGCUUGACAUACUUAUUCCGCUGUCUUGAUCUUCAGGGGAGAGGCUUUCUCACAACCGCUGAUAUUCACUCUCUUUUCAGGUAAAUGAAUCUCUCUAUCAAGCUACUGAAUUUGUUCCUUUUUAGUAUAUUUUCUUUUUAAAGACAUGGAAGUGAAGAAGGGAAGCAUCAAAGAGUUUUGUGAUGUUAUCUGAUACAAUCUUCCUAUAUAAAAAAAAAAUCUCUGCAUUUCCUGCUUGCGGUAGCUGAGCUUUGUUCCGCGAGUCUCAUAUUAUGCAAAGACAUUAGCGCAUUACAAAACAUACCCGUUAUAAUUCCACUGUCUCUCUUCUAAAUUAAGUCUUAUUUGUUAAACUUCCAGAGAUGUUCACCAGAAAUGGAUAGAAGGUGGGAACUAUGAGCUGUGCAUAGAGGACGUUCGGGACGAGAUCUGGGACAUGGUGAAACCGUCUGACCCAUUGAAGAUCACUCUGGAUGAUCUGUUGGGGUGUAAACAAGGUGGAACUGUUGCGAGCAUGCUAAUAGAUGUGCGUGGCUUCUGGGCUCAUGACAACCGUGAGAACCUUCUUCAAGAAGAAGAGGAACCACCUGAGGAAGAGUCUCAGUGAUGAUAAUGUUAUUUUCCGUGUUGUAUCUAAUCAUCGAGGUCACGUGUGUCGGACAAAGACCAAAAGUCUCUCUACUCUCCAAUCUGAUGAGUUUGUAUCUUUGUAUAAGAAGCUUAUUAGUUGUAAGAAAAUGGCUGCUGAUAUUGUCACUUGACUUCUUGCUUGAAAAUAUGAUUUGAUUACUGAUUCUUUUUUGUUCUUGUUACAUUAGUUCACAAAACAUAGAGGGUUUUCAUUCAUCUCUUGAGGAUUACAAAAUGCAAGUCUGAUUAUUGAUCUGACAUGGACUCAUCAUAACACCAUGUCAAAAAUCAUAGAUGUGUUAAAAACUUUUUACUCGUGACCAUUCGGGAAACAAGAGGAACAAAUAGAAAAGAAAUAUACGGGAAUAAAAUAGCAAGAAUGAAAAAAAUGGUUGUUCCUUCUCAAAUUUAAUAAGGAAUAAUUUUGUUCUUUAAUUCUCUACAAAAAAAAGAACGAGAGGGAAUGUGAGAGAAUUAUUAUUCCUUAUGAAUGGUGAUUUUUUAUAGGAAUGUUAGGGAAUGCAUUAUUCCUAAUCAUUCCUUAGUCACCAUUCAUAAUUUUAGUGUUAAGGUUAAGUAAGUAACCUCAAAAGUACAAUAAGAAAGUAAAAAAAGUAAAAUAAGAAGACAACACCCUGAUUAUUGAUCUGACGUGGGCUCAUCAUAUCACCAUGUCAAAGAUCAUAGAUGUGUUAAAACUUUAAAAAGCAUUAUUCUGCGUACUUAACUUAUAGGGUUAAGUAAACUAGUUAGUUAUAUAUUAAGUCAAACCCACAAUGCACCAGCCUGCUUAAGCAUAGGGAUUAAGGAUCCGUUAAGGUGUAGACUCAUGACCUCGUUGGCUCCACCGACCAACUCUCCUCCUAUAAAAACAGCUGGAACCGCCGGGCUACAACCUAGCCGCAGAAGCGCCUGCUCAAUCUCCCUUCCUCUAGACACCUCGUCUAGCUCGUAAACCGCUGGAUUCGCUCCAAAAUCGCAGAGCAAAGUCUUGACGGUGUGAGACAUACAACAUGAGCUUUUGCUGUAUAUCACCACUGGUCUCUCCAACACCAUCUUAGUUAUCAUCUCCAUUUUUGUAUUAUAUGUGGUAAUAGGACUAGGAUCAACUCUUUAGAUUUCUUCUGUACGUUGUUUAAACAAGUUUAAUAACGAAAGACAAGAUUUAAGGGAAAAGAAAACUCUUGAUUGGACUCGUAGAACAAGGUUUUGUGAGUUUGUUGUGUGGAUAUGAAAUUGGUUGCAAGUGCUUGUUUAUAUAGGGGUGGAGAAGAUGAUUAUUAUUGGAUUAGAUCGGACAAAAUGUGUAAGAUUUUGUUUCUAACGAUAUCACUUCUGACAGCGACACAAGUUCAGUUUUAUUUAGGAUCACUAAAUGUAAGUAAAGAGAAUCUAAUGAUUUCGAAAGUUUAUUUUCUUAUAUACGAAAUUGUCCUUUAGUAGUAUUUAGUCAUGGCUAAAAGGUGAGAAUGUCCUUAGCUCGUACGGCGGAUCUCAAUUAAUAUAAGAAAAUCAUAAACCAUAUUAUAUUGAUUAAUAGUAAAAGAGAAGCAUAAGUUUUUGUUGUUCUUGUUUAUAGCCUACAUACAACUCAUUGUGGCUCAGCAAGUUAAUUAAAAGCGGUUUUGAUUUACUGAAUCGCGUGGAUUGUAAUCAGACUAAUAUUCACGGAUUUUGUUCGUAUGUAAAUUUUGUGUGAGUGUGUGGAAAGAGGUCAGCUCACUGGAUAGAGGUCAAUGGAAAUGGACAAUGUGGAUUAAUAAGUACUAACUAAUUAGUAUAGUUAUGUCAGUCCACUUAGUUUGUAGCAAUAAGUGCGUUUUUUCAGAGCCGAUAAAAUGUAUCAAAAUACAAAAUAGCAUAGUUAUCAUAAUUUGAAUAUAAAGAAAGAAAAAUGUGUAUAUAUCAUCACGUACAUGAUCACUUGAUGGGCAUUGAGCUCAAUCUAGUCAUAGUACCAUUAACAAUUUAAAGCCACGCAUAUUUUUUCAUGGAGUAUGAUUUUAAAAUUUUAUUCAAAUGUUAAUCUAAUUAAUUAGCGCUAUAUACAAAAUCAUCACAGUUUUUUCAUAAAUCAAAAACAUUCAAGCUUCCUAAAUUCUUUUAUUCCAAGGCUUAAAAGUGGAAAUGAGUUUCUUGCAUAUAUGUUUUCUAAAACAACAAUGGAAUAUGUAAAGCUUAUCAAAUAGGCAUCUUGUGAGUUGGAGAAAUAGUUAUCCAAAAUAGGGUCUCUUUUUGGGGAUUUUUCUUUACGACACGUCUCCAUCUACGUGAGGAUUCUAUUCUCGACUCGCCACUUCCACAUUAUGUAACUCGCAAAAAGCUUAUUUUGUAUAAUUAUAAGAGAGAGAAAGAGAGAGAUUCUAUAUAAUGAACUAAGCACUUCAAUAGCUUUCAUUGUGGCAAACGAAUCUUAAGGACAACGAGUGGAGAAUACGGAUGAAAAUAAAAAUAAAUUAAUACUUGUACGUAUAGAUGCCCUCGAGGCUCGAGGUCCCCGUUUCCAUAACCUUUUCCCAUGCAACAUGCAGAUUCAUUAGAUGUCCAUCAUUCGGUUUGGAAAUACAUAGUUUCACCGAUCAUGGUUUAAUAUUGGUUUAGAUCUAGAAAAUUCAUUCUAAAUUUAUAUUAAUGUUUUGUUUUUUUUUGGGCACAUUCAUGCAUAUAAACAUCAAAUACAUGGAUAUAGCCCAUGAUCUUUGAGAUGGGAGGAAACAAACAACAAAACCAAGAUCAGUUUAUAUAUAUGUAGAUCUUCUACCUAGACGACCAUGUCGUGAUCUGGUCCCAUGAUGGUCGGAUAAGAUGCGCGUGGCCUAGACGGUCCAUUCCAUAGCAACAUGCCAAACAUUAUUUUGAGAAUCACUAAAUUAAAAGAAUUGGUGGUCUCGACUAUCGGCAGCAUUACAAAAGGAGACAUGGCUGGUCUGUGGUGAUUUUCCAAAUACCUAAUCUGUUUUGGAUAGAGUUUCUGUUACUGCAAAGCUGUGUUUAAAAAUGCAAACAUGCAUGAUUCUAGCCUAUUUUGUGCUACUAAAAAAAGUCAGGCAGGUCUGAUUAUACAUAUACUGUAUUACUAGUUGUCCAAAAAAAACAUAUACUGUAUUACUAUCUCAAGAAAACGUUUACCGCCAUGUUGUGAUCCCAUGCAAUUGUCUCAUCCGUCCUAGUAUACGUGAGCGAGAGAAGGCGCAAAGAGGUUAUCGAUCGUGCUAGUAUAGAUAGUAGUAAAACCUCAUAAACAUUUUGUACAAAGAGGGACAAGGCUAAAUUGGGAGAGACCAUUAGUCAGGAGGUAGGCCAGAAGAGUGCAUGUAUUAACAAGUGUUAAUUAGUUUUUGAAAUUAUUAAGUAACAUAGAUUUACAAAGUGAUUAAUCAAAAUCUGAAUUUUUGUAACCCUAGCUAUUAUCACCCAUGAUUUUAAUAUUUACGACAUAACUUAUGGCUCUUUUGACGUUUUACGAUUAUAUUGAAUCCUUUUUCAACGUGUUGAUGGCUACAAGCACGUAAAAAGAAUAUUAAUUAUCCAAUAAACAAACGAACCUUUAUUUUCCAACUGCAUGCAGAUGCUAUCCUUUCUACACUUGAUGACAUAUAUACUGUAUAUGCGUAUAUGUCAGAAUACGAAAUUUAAUAGAUUCGAUGAUGGUAGCAAUGUACGACUCUUGGACCUCAUAGUUUGGCCUGCUAGAAGACCAAUGGCCAAUUUAAUUGGGUUCAUGCAUGCAUGGUGGAAUCUCGAAGUAUGUUUUAUUCUUUUUGUGACAGUUCCCUACAAUUAAUAUUUUUUAUAUUUAGUUUGAAAAACUUAUCACCCACAUAAGACGAAUUAUACGAACACUAGUUUAAUCCCAACUACUAACCGAAUCAUUUUUAAAAGAAAUUUUGUUUUGAACUAUUAGUAUAAAGUACGUUAUAGGAUAAAAUAUAUGGAAAUCAUUAGAUCAAUAUACAUAUAUAUUCUUUCUUGUGGGGUUUAUAUGAUCUAUUAAUAAAGUAAAAAUUGAAAAGAAUGUCAACUUUCUAUACUAAUUAACAAGAUCGAUCAAGAUUUAUUAGAAAUUAAAAGUUAGUAUUCUGUCAUGUAAUUUGAAUAUGUCAUGAGCAGUCUUUUAUAGAAUAUGUGCUAUUAUAUUUUAUUUUACAUGUAUGCCACGCUAUCCCAUAUAUAUUAUUUGAGAAGUAUUACAACUUCUUUUUGUAGUCACAUGUCAUCACUAUAAUGAUUCUUAGAAUCAUUAGAGAAAUAUGUUGGUUCAUCUGAUUACAUAAUAAGUUUUUUAUUAAACUAACAAUAAAUUCAUCAUUAAUGUACUUUAUUAUUUCCUUAAAUAAAAUUUACGGAAUUGCCUAAUGUGGCUAAAAUAUAUAUGGCAAUUAAUGAUUUUGAAUAAUAGAAAUUUGAUAAAAAAUAGUGUAUCUUCUAUCAUAUUUGUUUAAUUUUAAGCUAUUAAAUAAAUUAAACAACCACAAUAACCAUAUAAUAAAAAUUUAGAUUUUUAUGUAUAUCUUAUAUUUUGAAUUUUUACAAACGGCCAUAAAUUACUAAAACUGUUAAAAGUUUCACAUUCAAAUUUUAUGGUCCAUGGUUUAAAAUUUUUGUUAUGACAAAAUACAAAUGAUUACAAAAAUUUUAUAAGUAAAAAGUCUAAUUUAAUUAAUUAUUAAGAUUAAUAUAUAUAUCGUUUUAAAUUAAACUAUACACCAUAUAAAAUACAAUAUUUUAGUUUCAAAAUUUACUUUGAACAACUUUUUUGAUAAAAGUUUUGAACGAUCAUUGACAAAUUAUUUUUUUUUCAAAAUUAUAAAUUACUAAAACUAUUAUUCCCACAAUGAAAAAAUUUGUUAUCAGUAAUUUAAUUUUUUCUCUAUAAAAGAUACAAAUGAUCAAAAAACUAUAUGAGUAGAAAUCAUUAUUUAAUAGACAUUAAUAAUAAAAAUAUACUAAAAUAUAUUAUCAAUGUUAGUAUCAUUUAAAUUUAAUAACAUAUCCUAUCAAAUAUAAAAAAAAUAUUUUUUUGGAUUAAUAAAAUUGAUUUAUAUGUUCACACCAAUUUAAUUAUAUAUAUAUUUAAUAGUUACUGACUUUUACUUAUUUAAUAUAUAUUUAUUAUUUUAUAAUAUGUAAAAAUAUUUAAUACAUAAAAUAAUUUAUAUAUAUAAUGUUGAUACCGCGCCUUGCGCGGAUCUUAAUCACUACAAGAAAACAGGGGGAUUCUGAUGGCCGAAAUCGUCGGUAAUUCGUCGGAAUCGGUCUAUUCCGACGAAUUUCCGACGAACCCGUCUGUCGGUAUCGUUUCGUCGGAAAAAAAAAAUUCGUCGGAAUUUCGNNNNNNNNNNNNNNNNNNNNNNNNNNNNNNNNNNNNNNNNNNNNNNNNNNNNNNNNNNNNNNNNNNNNNNNNNNNNNNNNNNNNNNNNNNNNNNNNNNNNNNNNNNNNNNNNNNNNNNNNNNNNNNNNNNNNNNNNNNNNNNNNNNNNNNNNNNNNNNNNNNNNNNNNNNNNNNNNNNNNNNNNNNNNNNNNNNNNNNNNNNNNNNNNNNNNNNNNNNNNNNNNNNNNNNNNNNNNNNNNNNNNNNNNNNNNNNNNNNNNNNNNNNNNNNNNNNNNNNNNNNNNNNNNNNNNNNNNNNNNNNNNNNNNNNNNNNNNNNNNNNNNNNNNNNNNNNNNNNNNNNNNNNNNNNNNNNNNNNNNNNNNNNNNNNNNNNNNNNNNNNNNNNNNNNNNNNNNNNNNNNNNNNNNNNNNNNNNNNNNNNNNNNNNNNNNNNNNNNNNNNNNNNNNNNNNNNNNNNNNNNNNNNNNNNNNNNNNNNNNNNNNNNNNNNNNNNNNNNNNNNNNNNNNNNNNNNNNNNNNNNNNNNNNNNNNNNNNNNNNNNNNNNNNNNNNNNNNNNNNNNNNNNNNNNNNNNNNNNNNNNNNNNNNNNNNNNNNNNNNNNNNNNNNNNNNNNNNNNNNNNNNNNNNNNNNNNNNNNNNNNNNNNNNNNNNNNNNNNNNNNNNNNNNNNNNNNNNNNNNNNNNNNNNNNNNNNNNNNNNNNNNNNNNNNNNNNNNNNNNNNNNNNNNNNNNNNNNNNNNNNNNNNNNNNNNNNNNNNNNNNNNNNNNNNNNNNNNNNNNNNNNNNNNNNNNNNNNNNNNNNNNNNNNNNNNNNNNNNNNNNNNNNNNNNNNNNNNNNNNNNNNNNNNNNNNNNNNNNNNNNNNNNNNNNNNNNNNNNNNNNNNNNNNNNNNNNNNNNNNNNNNNNNNNNNNNNNNNNNNNNNNNNNNNNNNNNNNNNNNNNNNNNNNNNNNNNNNNNNNNNNNNNNNNNNNNNNNNNNNNNNNNNNNNNNNNNNNNNNNNNNNNNNNNNNNNNNNNNNNNNNNNNNNNNNNNNNNNNNNNNNNNNNNNNNNNNNNNNNNNNNNNNNNNNNNNNNNNNNNNNNNNNNNNNNNNNNNNNNNNNNNNNNNNNNNNNNNNNNNNNNNNNNNNNNNNNNNNNNNNNNNNNNNNNNNNNNNNNNNNNNNNNNNNNNNNNNNNNNNNNNNNNNNNNNNNNNNNNNNNNNNNNNNNNNNNNNNNNNNNNNNNNNNNNNNNNNNNNNNNNNNNNNNNNNNNNNNNNNNNNNNNNNNNNNNNNNNNNNNNNNNNNNNNNNNNNNNNNNNNNNNNNNNNNNNNNNNNNNNNNNNNNNNNNNNNNNNNNNNNNNNNNNNNNNNNNNNNNNNNNNNNNNNNNNNNNNNNNNNNNNNNNNNNNNNNNNNNNNNNNNNNNNNNNNNNNNNNNNNNNNNNNNNNNNNNNNNNNNNNNNNNNNNNNNNNNNNNNNNNNNNNNNNNNNNNNNNNNNNNNNNNNNNNNNNNNNNNNNNNNNNNNNNNNNNNNNNNNNNNNNNNNNNNNNNNNNNNNNNNNNNNNNNNNNNNNNNNNNNNNNNNNNNNNNNNNNNNNNNNNNNNNNNNNNNNNNNNNNNNNNNNNNNNNNNNNNNNNNNNNNNNNNNNNNNNNNNNNNNNNNNNNNNNNNNNNNNNNNNNNNNNNNNNNNNNNNNNNNNNNNNNNNNNNNNNNNNNNNNNNNNNNNNNNNNNNNNNNNNNNNNNNNNNNNNNNNNNNNNNNNNNNNNNNNNNNNNNNNNNNNNNNNNNNNNNNNNNNNNNNNNNNNNNNNNNNNNNNNNNNNNNNNNNNNNNNNNNNNNNNNNNNNNNNNNNNNNNNNNNNNNNNNNNNNNNNNNNNNNNNNNNNNNNNNNNNNNNNNNNNNNNNNNNNNNNNNNNNNNNNNNNNNNNNNNNNNNNNNNNNNNNNNNNNNNNNNNNNNNNNNNNNNNNNNNNNNNNNNNNNNNNNNNNNNNNNNNNNNNNNNNNNNNNNNNNNNNNNNNNNNNNNNNNNNNNNNNNNNNNNNNNNNNNNNNNNNNNNNNNNNNNNNNNNNNNNNNNNNNNNNNNNNNNNNNNNNNNNNNNNNNNNNNNNNNNNNNNNNNNNNNNNNNNNNNNNNNNNNNNNNNNNNNNNNNNNNNNNNNNNNNNNNNNNNNNNNNNNNNNNNNNNNNNNNNNNNNNNNNNNNNNNNNNNNNNNNNNNNNNNNNNNNNNNNNNNNNNNNNNNNNNNNNNNNNNNNNNNNNNNNNNNNNNNNNNNNNNNNNNNNNNNNNNNNNNNNNNNNNNNNNNNNNNNNNNNNNNNNNNNNNNNNNNNNNNNNNNNNNNNNNNNNNNNNNNNNNNNNNNNNNNNNNNNNNNNNNNNNNNNNNNNNNNNNNNNNNNNNNNNNNNNNNNNNNNNNNNNNNNNNNNNNNNNNNNNNNNNNNNNNNNNNNNNNNNNNNNNNNNNNNNNNNNNNNNNNNNNNNNNNNNNNNNNNNNNNNNNNNNNNNNNNNNNNNNNNNNNNNNNNNNNNNNNNNNNNNNNNNNNNNNNNNNNNNNNNNNNNNNNNNNNNNNNNNNNNNNNNNNNNNNNNNNNNNNNNNNNNNNNNNNNNNNNNNNNNNNNNNNNNNNNNNNNNNNNNNNNNNNNNNNNNNNNNNNNNNNNNNNNNNNNNNNNNNNNNNNNNNNNNNNNNNNNNNNNNNNNNNNNNNNNNNNNNNNNNNNNNNNNNNNNNNNNNNNNNNNNNNNNNNNNNNNNNNNNNNNNNNNNNNNNNNNNNNNNNNNNNNNNNNNNNNNNNNNNNNNNNNNNNNNNNNNNNNNNNNNNNNNNNNNNNNNNNNNNNNNNNNNNNNNNNNNNNNNNNNNNNNNNNNNNNNNNNNNNNNNNNNNNNNNNNNNNNNNNNNNNNNNNNNNNNNNNNNNNNNNNNNNNNNNNNNNNNNNNNNNNNNNNNNNNNNNNNNNNNNNNNNNNNNNNNNNNNNNNNNNNNNNNNNNNNNNNNNNNNNNNNNNNNNNNNNNNNNNNNNNNNNNNNNNNNNNNNNNNNNNNNNNNNNNNNNNNNNNNNNNNNNNNNNNNNNNNNNNNNNNNNNNNNNNNNNNNNNNNNNNNNNNNNNNNNNNNNNNNNNNNNNNNNNNNNNNNNNNNNNNNNNNNNNNNNNNNNNNNNNNNNNNNNNNNNNNNNNNNNNNNNNNNNNNNNNNNNNNNNNNNNNNNNNNNNNNNNNNNNNNNNNNNNNNNNNNNNNNNNNNNNNNNNNNNNNNNNNNNNNNNNNNNNNNNNNNNNNNNNNNNNNNNNNNNNNNNNNNNNNNNNNNNNNNNNNNNNNNNNNNNNNNNNNNNNNNNNNNNNNNNNNNNNNNNNNNNNNNNNNNNNNNNNNNNNNNNNNNNNNNNNNNNNNNNNNNNNNNNNNNNNNNNNNNNNNNNNNNNNNNNNNNNNNNNNNNNNNNNNNNNNNNNNNNNNNNNNNNNNNNNNNNNNNNNNNNNNNNNNNNNNNNNNNNNNNNNNNNNNNNNNNNNNNNNNNNNNNNNNNNNNNNNNNNNNNNNNNNNNNNNNNNNNNNNNNNNNNNNNNNNNNNNNNNNNNNNNNNNNNNNNNNNNNNNNNNNNNNNNNNNNNNNNNNNNNNNNNNNNNNNNNNNNNNNNNNNNNNNNNNNNNNNNNNNNNNNNNNNNNNNNNNNNNNNNNNNNNNNNNNNNNNNNNNNNNNNNNNNNNNNNNNNNNNNNNNNNNNNNNNNNNNNNNNNNNNNNNNNNNNNNNNNNNNNNNNNNNNNNNNNNNNNNNNNNNNNNNNNNNNNNNNNNNNNNNNNNNNNNNNNNNNNNNNNNNNNNNNNNNNNNNNNNNNNNNNNNNNNNNNNNNNNNNNNNNNNNNNNNNNNNNNNNNNNNNNNNNNNNNNNNNNNNNNNNNNNNNNNNNNNNNNNNNNNNNNNNNNNNNNNNNNNNNNNNNNNNNNNNNNNNNNNNNNNNNNNNNNNNNNNNNNNNNNNNNNNNNNNNNNNNNNNNNNNNNNNNNNNNNNNNNNNNNNNNNNNNNNNNNNNNNNNNNNNNNNNNNNNNNNNNNNNNNNNNNNNNNNNNNNNNNNNNNNNNNNNNNNNNNNNNNNNNNNNNNNNNNNNNNNNNNNNNNNNNNNNNNNNNNNNNNNNNNNNNNNNNNNNNNNNNNNNNNNNNNNNNNNNNNNNNNNNNNNNNNNNNNNNNNNNNNNNNNNNNNNNNNNNNNNNNNNNNNNNNNNNNNNNNNNNNNNNNNNNNNNNNNNNNNNNNNNNNNNNNNNNNNNNNNNNNNNNNNNNNNNNNNNNNNNNNNNNNNNNNNNNNNNNNNNNNNNNNNNNNNNNNNNNNNNNNNNNNNNNNNNNNNNNNNNNNNNNNNNNNNNNNNNNNNNNNNNNNNNNNNNNNNNNNNNNNNNNNNNNNNNNNNNNNNNNNNNNNNNNNNNNNNNNNNNNNNNNNNNNNNNNNNNNNNNNNNNNNNNNNNNNNNNNNNNNNNNNNNNNNNNNNNNNNNNNNNNNNNNNNNNNNNNNNNNNNNNNNNNNNNNNNNNNNNNNNNNNNNNNNNNAUCAUGCCGAGCAGGUCUUCGGUGUUUUGUUUGCACUUCUGGUGGAAAAUAAUUUUCAGCAAAGAUUGCAGUUUCUUCAUUGAUCACCUGUGCCACUAUAGAUCCUUCCACCCUGCUUUGAUUUUUGACCAUCUUCUUCAGAUGAUGCAUAUAACGCUCAAAAAUAUACAUCCAUCUGUACUGCACAGGACCACCAAGUUCCAAUUCUCUUGCGAGAUGAAUAGCAAGAUGUUCCAUUACAUCAAAGAAUGAUGGAGGAAAUAUCUUCUCAAGGUUGCACAUGCUGACUGGUGCGUUUGUCUUCAAAUUAUUAAUACCCUCUUCAGUCACUACUCUGCUGCAUAAGUCGCGGAAGAAAACACUAAUCCCUACAUAGAUAAAAGACAUAAUUUUCGUAAGUAUUAAGUUUUUAUAAGCAUAAUUGUUAAAUAUAAAAAUAAAUUAAAUUGUAAAAAUAUAAUAUACCUGCAAUUGCUUCAUGAACAUUACGUGGCAAUAAUGCUGAAAAGGCAAACGGAAGGAGGCGCUGCAUAAUUACAUGACAAUCAUGACUCUUCAAGCCAGUAAACUUUCCUUCGCUUCUAUCAACGCAGUUCCCCAAAUUUGAUGCAUAUCCGUCAGGAAAUUUCACUUUCUCUGUAAUCCAAUCAAAGAACUCUUCUUUUCUAGCACCAUCUAGCCGAUAAAUGGGAAAAGGGGCCGUACCGUUCUCAUCAACGUGAAGUUCAGAACGAUCACAAAUAUCGACUAAAUCCAACCUUGACUUCAAAUUAUCCUUCGUUUUACCUUGGAUGUUAAGGACUGUGUUCAUCAGAUUAUCGAAGAAGUUCUUCUCAAUAUGCAUGACAUCUAAAUUAUGCCGCAAUAGAUGACUCUCCCAAUAUGGUAGAUCCCAGAAAAUACUCUUUUUGUGCCAGUUAUGUAGCUCUCCAACCGCAUUGACUCGAAUGUUUUCAUGUCCACCUACAUCUGGCGUCCUUUCUGCAUCAAAAUACCUAAACUGCUUCAACAAAUCUUUCCCACUAACUUCCUCAGGUGGACCAUCAAACACCUGCUUGUUCUUCGUAAACGAAGUCUUACUCCUGCGGUAUGGAUGAUCAGGUGGUAGAAAUCGUCUGUGACAGUCAAACCAACACGUUUUCCUUCCGUUCUUUAGUUGGAAAGCAUCUGUGUCAUCUUGACAAUAUGGACAUGAUAGCUUCCCAUGUGUUGUCCAUCCAGAUAACAUACCAUAUGCUGGAAAGUCACUUAUUGUCCACAUAAGUACUGCCCGCAUCUGAAAGUUUUCUUUGCGCGAAACAUCGUAUGUCUCAAAACCAUGCGCCCAUAGUUGUUGCAACUCAUAUAUUAGUGGUUGAAGAAACACAUCUAGUGAUCUUUUAGGAUGAUCUGGCCCGGGGACUAGAAUUGAGAGAAACAAAAACUCUCGUCGCAUGCACAAGCUCGGCCGUAAGUUGUACGGUGUCACAAUAACUGGCCAUAGAGAAUACUGCCUUCCAUGCUUUCCAAAUGGGCUGAAACCAUCAGUAGAUAAUCCAAGAUAAACAUUUCUUCUCUCUUCCGCAAAUUCUGGAUAUGUUGACUGGAAAUGUUUCCAAGCCUUUGCAUCUGAAGGAUGUCUAAUCUCACCAUUUGUGGAAUGCUCUGCAUGCCAUCUCAUUGCUUUUGCUGUGCGCUCACACUGAUACAACCUCUUCAAUCUUUCCGUCAAAGGCAAAUACCACAUUCUUUUGAAUGGGAUCGGAACUCUUCCCCUCGUCUCCUGAUAACGAGGUUUCCCACAAAAUUUGCAUACAUUCCGUGUCUCAUCCGCUCUCCAGUAGAUCAUGCAGUUGUCAAUACAUACAUCUAUCACUUCAUACGGUAGUUGAAGACCUGCAACAAGUUUCUGAACCUCGUAGUAUGAACCCGGUGCAAGGUUAUCCUCAGGUAGAAUACCUUUGACAAAAUCAGUAAUCGCAUCCAUACAUUCUUCAGCCAAAUUAUAGUCUGUCUUAAUACCCAUUAAUCUAGUUGCAUAUGAUAAGACUGAAUGACCAUCUCUACAAUUUUGAUACAAAGGUUGUUUUCCUGCAUCCAACAUGUCAAAAAAUCUCCUAGACUCGGGGUUUGGUUCUUCCCCUCUAUAAUGAUCAUGUACCAUCUGCUCAGUACCUACACCAUAAUCUAUAUCCGUUCUAGAUUCUUCUAACCUAAUAUCAGGCUGAGGUUCACUAACAGGCUGAGGUUCGCUAGUACUACCAUAUUCAUAACCAGUUUCCCCAUGAAGGUACCAAACUUUAUAAUUACGUGAAAACCCUUUCAUAUACAAAUGAGUCCAAACAUCAAAUUCUUUUAUAACCUUAUUAUUAUUGCAAGAAGAGCAGGGACAUCUUAACAUACCACUUUUUGCAUCCGGUUGCUGUUGAACAAGCCUCAUGAAUUCUCCAAUCCCUUGAACGUAUUCUUCCGUAAGCAAAUUGGUGUUCGGAUCCAAAUGAGGUUUAUCCAUCCACGAACGAUAAUAAACUUCUGAAGACAUGAUUUUUACGGAAUUGUUAUGACUAAAGAGAAUGAAGAGAGAAUGAAGUGUGAAUGAGUUAAAUGAAGAGGGGUUAUGUAUAGUUCGUCGGAAUUCCGUCGGUAUUUUCCGACGGAAUUCCGACGACUUUGCUCUUAAUCGGAAUGUCAUCGGAAAUUAGUCGGAAUAUACCGACGAACUUCCGACGACUACAACGGUUACAUUUUUUAUCGGAAUGUCGUCGAAAAGUCGUCGGAAAAUUCCGACGAACCAAAUUUGGUCGGAAUUCCGUCGGAAAUGGCCGACGGAAUUCCGACGACUUAAUUUUUUUGGAUUUGGUCGGAAAUUUGUCAGUAUUCCGUCACAAAUUUCCGACGACCUUGGUGUCUGUCGGAUCCUCCGUCGGAAUUCGGUGUGUUUUCUUGUAGUGAAUCUAGUAUAUAUAUAAACCAAGUAAAUUAAGUUGAUAUAAGAUGUCCUUUAAAAAAGUAUAAGUUAUACUUGAUCAAUGGCGAUGAUAAUAAUAAAGAUUGCGAGGACGGAUCGUGGCAUCACAUAUUACCAUGGCACGAAUCGUCCGUACGUUGCGUGGUUGCAAGUUGCAACUCAAUUUGCAUACAGUUAUCGAUUUUUAAAAGGGAGAUGCCAAGAAUAAGUUAACCGGAACAAUAAGCUUUGUAUGAUAAUAUUGAAUUGUACAGGAGAGGGGGAAUGGUAAACUCUUUCUCUUCUCUCUCAAAACCUAGUGAGAGAGAGUGAGUCGCGGUGGUUCCCUUGACAAGUACGCUUUGACUCUGGUAUACGGUAGUCUCCGAGAUGCUGUGUAGCCGGCUUUGGAUUCUGGUGGUUCGCGCUUUUCUCUGGUGGAACCAUCUAGCGUAGUAGUUUGAUCUCGGUUGGUGUUGAAGUUGUGAUAUGAAGAUCAUGGGGUUUUGGUCUGAGUUUUUUAGAUGAGAUCUCGAUUUUAAUCGAUUGAUUCUCUCUGAAACUCAUAUUGUGUGGCUUGCUACUGAAUUUCCUAAACCUCCAAUACAGUUGUUGGCGGUGGCUUUUCGGUGGUUGUGGGUGCAGUUCCGGUGGAAUCCGGUGUUUAAUUGCUCUGUUUGGUUGGUGAUGGCUAUUAUGUCGGAGAAGACGAUGGAGGGUGGGGUUCUUGGUGUGACGCCGGUGUGAUUCGGUGGUUCCGGUGCAUCGCCGUGUGGUCUCCGGCGUAGAAUCUCGAAUUGACGAAAGCAGUGGAGGAGAAAGGACACGUGGUCCCUCGUGGUGUGAGUUUCAGACACGUGUUCCGUUUCUUUCUGAUCUCCACACGUAGUUGGGUUUGCCCUUUGGGCUUUUGUCUUUGUUUUAUGUUUUUUAUAUUUUUUGUAUGGCUUUUGUUUGGGGCUUCGGCCUGUUAAUAAAAUCAGAUGGAAAAAAAAAAAAAAAGUUAACCGGAACAAUAAAUUUAUAUUUACAUGUAUUCCGGUAUUGGUCUAUUUAUCUAUCUACUGUUACGUGGAGCAAUGAGAUUGAAAAGAUGAGUUUGGCGUCAGCUCGAAAAAUGAUCAAACCAGCGACAACAAAACGCGUAUUCUCUCACGAAGGAUCCGAAUCAUGUUCUACAAUUUUUAUUUCUUGCAUCAAAUUCUAAAAUUCCGAUUUUUCAAAAUAAAAAAAAAAAUCCAUUUUCGAAAAAAGGAAUUUCCCUUUUGUGGAACAAAUUCACCUUUAAAGAUAUAAACAUGCAGAUUCGUUUGCAUCGAAAAUAUACAUAAACCAUAUAUUAUUGUUGGCUAUAUAGUAAUCCCAAAGGGCAACACGAGUAUUUAUAAUGUUAUAGAUAGGUCUAUUUAUUUAUGAUUGUAUGGUCUUAUCCCCUUGAUUUCCAAAGAUUUAGCUAAAAGAAAAGAAACUACAGUUGGUAGUAGCUUGGUAGAUAACCCUUUAUACGACUACGAGUUAUGCAGAAUGCGGACAUUUUGUAAGAUCAUGUACAACGGGGGUUUUUAAUAAAUCCUAAAGUACAAAUCCUUCACUAUUAACCAUAUAAUAUUAAUAUUAAACUCAUAUUGCUUGAGGAUCAAUCCUUUCCUAAAUUUUUUUUUGCGUGAAUUCUUGUUGACGUGGCAGUUGAGUUUUGUCUAUCGCGUGAAGGGUUUCCGGUGUUCGUGUCAUUUGUAGUGGAGAGGAGAAAAAAAAAAGUUUGUUUCUGCGAUUGGUGAUUCGCUCUCUCCGGGUAGGAUUGAUGAAUCGACGGGUUGUUAUUUUCUUUCUCCUCUGAUUCUUUGGAUUUACAUAGGGUUUCAUGUGGUUUUCUUCGCAAAUUAGGUUACGGAAUUGGGGAUUAGGGUUUUCAAUCGAAUCGGGUUUCAUCACGAUUUGUGUUUCAAUCGAUUUUGGGUAUCUUUCGUUUGUAAUAGAGGUUUCAAAUCGAUAGAGGUAUCAUUCGAUAGGAGUUUAAUAGGGUUUUGAAUCGGAUUAAAUUUCACGAGUCUUGUGUUUCAAAUUUAUUAUUUUUUUAUUCUUAAGGAUUCCUAAUGAAUAACACCAUUGGACAUACUUAUUUGAUUAGAAUCCUAAACUAUUUAGAAAAAAAUAAUAAUAAUAUAAUAUACCUACGGAUUCCAAUGGUGAGUACACCAUUGGAGAUGCCCUAACGUUUUUUUUUUUGCUAAAUACAUAUUGUUACGUUGUUAAGUAUAACAAUACAAUUAUGUUAAAUAAAUGAAAAUAUGAUAAUUAUACUAUUAUAGUGUUAACCAUUGCAGCGUAUUAUUUGCACCUAACUUCAUAGUUUUUUUUGUUUAUGCAAAGUUACACAGAUUUCAUUGAUCCACAAACAACGAUUUAACUACUUUUACGGUUUUACCUUUAUAUAGUUGCUGUUAAUGUUCGAUGAGUGUUUUAAAUUAGUAAAAGAAUAAAUGUUCGAUGAGCGUACAUAUCUUCCGGAGGUCUAAGAGAGACUACGCGCCAAUUGUAUCUCCAAGGUAUUUUCUAAGAGUUGAGGCACAAAGGGCCUCCCAAACAUGGCCAUAUUGACAAAACACCAACAUGUUCGUAGGUUAGUUAACUCUUAACUGUUUUCAAAGAGCCCAAAACUCGUUAGUUCCACCGAUAUGACAUAUACUUCUAUCUCUGUCUUUUAAAUUUAUUAUAUUCGUCUUUCAAAUUUAUUUUGCAUAACCGGGGCUUAAUUAAACUAAACCCCAUGAAGCAGAACUAUCAAUUGUUAAUCCUACCUCCGUUCCCGAAAUUAAGAUGUUUUAGAUUUUUUUUUUCCACAAAGAUAGUUUUUUUAUAUUGUUAAGGUACUUUUUUAUACUUUUGAGGAACAUUAAUUGAGAAUAUUUGAAUUGAUUAAAUUUCAUUGGUGGAAAGUUAUUGGAAAGUGUAUAAUAAAAUAAAACAUAAAUUAAAUUAUAAACAUUUAUUAAAUUCUUAAUAAACGUGGAUACUCUAGAAAAUCUUAAUUUCAGGAACAGAGGGAGAGGGAGUAAGUAUUGGCCAUGGUGUGGUGUAGAUUAUUUUACCUCAACUAUCAAUACCAUAUAUUAGAUCGUGAUCAAAUGUAUAAUUGUCAUCAUUCUUAUUUGUGUGUGUGUAUAUAUAUACAUAUAUGUGUGUGUGUGGUUUGACAUUGCAUUGUCAUGAACAAUGGAAUCAUUAAAUUAAGCGAACCCCUCCAGACCAUUAGUCCAAUAAUAGUCCUGAUUACGUGUAACAUAACUUAACGCAUAAAUUAAUUUGGUCCAGUUUCCUUUUAUUUAAUUUUUGUCCGACCAUGCUCUUACUGUAUUCAAUUGAAAAUUAGGAAGUGCUAAUGUCUCUGUAAAAUUUAAGAACAAGUUAGACCAUUUCCAACAAUGAUCGUUAACACAAAUUUUCAAAAAAAAAUUGUUAUAAAAUUAUGUAAGCCUCAUUUCAUCUAUGUUUUUGUGCCAAUAAAAACUCUUAAACAUCUUACCUAAGGAUUCGAUUUGCUGAGCUUUUUAACUAUUCGCGGGUUCCACUGACACGUGGCGAUCCGCGAUUAGUUAGUUUUUUUAGAAAAAAGAUUCGAACAAAAUAAUAAAAUAAUCAUAACUACUAUUUUUAAGAAUUUGUGCUGUGAGUAUCACCAUUAGAUGCCCUUAAUGGAGUUUGGUCAACAAUGAUUGACUACACUCGAUAAUGACACGUGUCAUAUGAUGAGAGGAUCGACGGUGGUCAGCUUAGAAAGGAGCGGUCCUCUUUGAUCACGUAACAAGUCCAUUAUGUUUCUCCGACAGUGGAGGCAAUUAUCCACAACGCUCAUGUGCAUUGUCUGUUAUGAAACUCCUCCUAGCUGUUACACUGCCACGCGUCGUCAUAUGCCAAAUAUUAAAUCAAAUUAAUUUAUAAUUUGGAAAUACAAGUUCAAUUUGAAUACACUGUGUUCGAAGAUAGAUGAUUUAACGUUUUUAAAAACUUCCAGUUUAUGUGUUAUAAAGUAAAUAUUUUCAGAAAAUCAGUUCAAAAAAAAAAGUAAAUAUUUUCAGAAAAAACUGAGAUUCUCUUUUUAAAAUAGUUUACUAGUAUUAUAAAUCAGUGGUGUAAGGAUAAGAAACGGUCUUCGAAAGUGACAAAUUUGUUAGUUUAAAACUUUAAAUUUUAUGUUGAUGACUCGGUGUGUUUUUGCUUCAAAGUCUGAUUUGCUAGAUUCGAGCACUACCACUAAUAUACGUUGGACGUUAAUUUCUAAAUUAAACUAAUUUACUAUUAACUGAUAUGAAAUCUUAUGAAACGGUUAACAAAUAAGCUGGAGGAAUAAAUGUAGGAACUCUAAAUGUAGCCAUUUUCUUCCUCUGAUAGUGCCUCUCUGAGUCAGCUUGGUUGAUGUUUCUUUUAAGCCAGCAUUUAAAAUUGGAACUUUUCCUUUCUAGAAAACCUACUUUGUAAUUUUAAGAAAAAUAAUAGAAGAUAUAAACUAUUCUAUUAAAACUGAAAUACAAAAUAAAAUUUAUCUAUAGAUUUUCAUUCUCAUUUUGACUAAUUCUAACUAGUUCAUUUAUUAUUUUUAUUUAAGUGUUUUAUUACAAUUUUUACAUUCAUUUUUUACUCUGCAAAAUUACUUCAUUAAUUGUAUUUACCAUAAUAGUUCAAUUUUUUUUAAUUUUAUAUACUAACCAUUAUAAUUUCAUAUGUCAUUUAAAUUAAAUUGCUCUAUUAGUGAAAAGAAUUCAAACCGAUUAACAAAAAUAUUUUUAUUUGUUUGCAUGAUCAGUUAGACAUAACAUUCAUGUAUACGUUUGGAUAUAUAUCGGUUUUAUGGGUAUCGGCUUUUUAAAUUUUAAAAUUAAACUAUGUUCGGUUAUUAUAAAUUUUUAGAUAGGGUUCAAGUUAGAUUCUUUCGAGUCCAAGUAAGUUUUUAAAAAACCUAUAAAUAUCUAAAUAAUCUAUAUGUUUAAAAAUAUUCAAAAAAAAUCUAUAUGUUUAAACUAUCACUAAACAAUUUAUAAAAAGGUAAAGCUCUAAUUAUCUUUAAAGUUGCUAGACGUUAUAAUUUGACCAAAUGUGUUAAUUCAAAGACGAUACCUUCUUUUUAUAACUUUUAGUUUUUUAUGUCAAUGUAGGGGGUUUAUUAUGCAGGCUAAUAAGUUGCUUUACACUAAACACUAAUGUUAAGUGGAGUAAUAGUCAAUGAUUUGUAUAUAUAAUUUUAUUAAUGAUAUUUGGAAAAAUAAGUACAUUUUUACGUAUUAUGUAUUCAGUAAUACAUUUAUGAGAAUUUAUCAUCGCAUAUUCGGAAAAUAAUUAAAUACAUUUCUUAUUGUUUUGAAGGAGAAAAUAAAAGAAACUGUGGGGGUUUGUGAAUGUUUAUUUCACAAUUCACAAGGCGUGAGAGCAAAAGCAUAUCCUCUAUGUGGGGCCUUCUUUCCGACCGUAAUGAUUCUUAUUUAUCUUCUGAAGCCGUUAAUUUAGCCUUUAAUUUAUACUAGUUAGCUUCAAAAUGUAAUUAGCCUCAAACUGUAUAAUCACAUGUAUGAUAUACUUAUUUUUUCAUAACACAUUUCAUCACUUUGCAUAACAGAUACCAUUUCUGGCCAGAUAAACUUGUAUAUUCCAGUAUGUUUCACCUUAUGUAUGUGAAAAUUUAAACAGCUUAUUUUAUAAAAUUUAUUUUUCGAUAAGAUAAAUGUUUUAAGCAGGGGGAUUAAUUUAUGUUGGCAAUUAAUCUCACAUUUAAACAGAAACUUAUUCCCUUAAUCUAACUUUAACUUUUCGAUUAAGAAAAAGAUUAUCCCUUUGAUGGUUUUAUUACAUGUCAAACCAUUUGUAAUAAAAUUUCAUAUCUUUUUUUUUCUUAUAUUUUUCCUUUUACCUUCCCCUUCUCGCGUAGCACCCACAUCCAAAAAAAAGAAGAGUAACCUCGAUUUGUUGAUCUGCCGCUGGUCUCGAUCUCCCACCAAAGAUCUCGAGAAAGAGAGAGAGACGCAUUGAAAAAAGGCUGCGGCUUUUGGUCUUUAUUACUCUAUUUUCCUGUUUGGUUUCACAGUAAAAAAAAAUCUCGAGAUGUGUUGAGCUUUAUCAUGUUGGGAUAAUCUCCGGUUGAUUGAUUCUGUCGGAAAGGUUUCUUUGUUUUAUUAGAAUUUCGAUAUCUCCGAGGACUUAAGCUUCGGAGAUGAGUUGGUGUUGUUUGCCUUGCUUUGGAUCUUCUGCUAAAGACGCUGAUUCGAAAGAUUCGUUGAAGAAAGAAGUUUCAGCUAAAGACGGCUCUGUUACUCAGCAGUCUCACCGUGCCAGCUUAGGUGAACAUUUUUUUUUCAUAUAAAGCCUUUUGGGAUCUGUUGAGUUUUGGUCUCUUAGAUCGAUUUAGCCUUCUGGGUUCUCAUAAAGUUUGUUCCUUUUGGUGAUGUUUCUGAUCUAAAUUCAUAUUCUGUAGCUUCACGGCUACAAAGCUUGUAGGACUCUAGUUCAUGAGAGAUCUAAUGUGUUUUGUGAGCUUUGAUUAUAGUUAUCUAUACAUGGAAUGCAAUUAGGAGAUGUCAAGUUAGUUUUCUAAACGCUAUCCAUCAAACAAGGAAUCAUAAAAACGUUAGCUUUAGGGUUUGGUUUGAGGAAUGAAGAGUUCUGGAUAAGGAUAUUCUAUAAUUCUAGACAUCACUAGUUCAAUGUUUGGUCUACUUCUACUAGUCAGUUACUUCAUAAGCUGCUUACUGCGCAUUGCUUUGUAACGAAAAGUACUAACCUUUCCUCUCUUUGGUGUAGACAAAUCAAAGUCUCGAGGAGGUUCUGAACAUAAGGAGCUAACCGCUCCAAAAGAAGGGCCAACCGCUAACAUCGCUGCACAAACGUUUACUUUCAGAGAGUUAGCUGCCGCCACUAAGAACUUUAGACCGGAAUGUCUUCUUGGAGAAGGAGGCUUCGGACGUGUUUACAAGGGCCGUCUAGAGAGCACAGGACAGGUAAUGAUCCUUGAAAAUCAACAUGAUAAUCAAACUCAAGUGUUUUACUAUUAUGUAUUUGGUUUUGAUGAUAUGCAGAUAGUAGCUGUUAAGCAGCUAGAUAGAAACGGUCUACAAGGAAACAGAGAGUUUCUGGUAGAGGUUCUCAUGCUGAGCCUUCUGCAUCAUACCAACCUUGUGAAUUUGAUUGGCUAUUGCGCUGAUGGUGACCAACGUCUUCUUGUUUACGAGUAUAUGGCACUAGGCUCCUUGGAAGAUCACCUACACGGUAAGCUUAUCGAUAUUUCCCCACUCUAUUACCAUAUACAGAAACUAGGGCGUUGUCUAGUCCUAUUGUAUUUGAUAUAUUGGGAAAGUUUUUAGCAUGUGUUUGAUGUAUUAUUUAUGGUAAAAGUAUCAUAACCUUGCAAAUAGUUUAUAUGGUGAGUUUUUGUUCUCUGUCAGAUCUUCCACCAAGUAAAGAGCCUCUGGACUGGAACACGAGGAUGACAAUAGCUGCAGGAGCAGCUAAAGGACUUGAGUAUUUGCAUGAUAAAGCAAACCCGCCUGUGAUCUACAGAGACUUGAAAUCAUCUAAUAUUCUUCUAGGAGAUGGCUAUCACCCAAAGUUAUCUGAUUUCGGGUUAGCUAAGCUAGGUCCUGUGGGGGAUAAAACACACGUCUCAACUCGUGUUAUGGGCACGUAUGGCUACUGUGCACCAGAAUACGCCAUGACAGGGCAACUGACGUUGAAAUCAGAUGUUUACAGCUUUGGAGUUGUGUUUUUGGAGCUCAUCACUGGGAGAAAAGCUAUAGAUAACGCUCGAGCACCAGGAGAGCAUAACCUCGUCGCAUGGGUACGUUUAAAAAUCUCAACUUUGCAUAUCUUUAAAACAUAAAUUCUCAACCUUUACACAUAAAGUCUCAACCUUUUUGUAUUCUAAUGUUAUAACUAAGUUUUGGGUCGUUGUGGGUUAUGUUUUGUAUCGUUACACAGGCUAGGCCGUUGUUUAAGGAUCGUAGGAAGUUUCCAAAGAUGGCGGAUCCAUCGCUGCAAGGGCGUUAUCCAAUGCGUGGUCUGUAUCAAGCGCUUGCGGUUGCAGCAAUGUGUUUACAGGAACAAGCAGCGACAAGACCGUUGAUAGGAGACGUGGUGACAGCUCUAACUUACUUAGCUUCUCAAACCUUUGACCCAAACGCGCCAAACGGCCAAAACAGUAGAAGCGGUGGCGGUGGCGGGCCGCCGUUUAUCAGGACGGGGGAUGAAAGGAGAAGCUUAGGAGAUGGGAGUAGUUUGGAUAGUCCUGCGGAGACUCGUAGCCGGCUAGGGUCACCGGGGACUCACAAGAACUCUCCUGAUUACAGGAGAAGGGAUAUGGUGAGGGAAGUGAAUGCUGGAUCAGAGGCUGGGAGCGAGGCUGGAGGAGGGUCAGGGAGGAAGUGGGGGUUAAGCGAUGUGGAAGGGACGGAGUCACAGAGAGGGAGUCCAGCGAGUGUUGGGAGGGGAGGGAGAGGGACUCCGAGGAACAGGGAUUUAGAUAGAGAGAGAGCGGUGGCGGAGGCAAAGGUGUGGGGAGAGAAUUGGAGGGAGAGGAAGAGAGGAACCAAUGGACCGGGAAGCUUUGAUAGUUCAAAUGACUGAGAAGGGAAAGAUUUUAAAAGCUUUUGUAUGUUUGAACAUGAGAUAGGUUUUGUCUUUUAUGGCAAGAGGCUUUGUGGUUAUAUGGAACAUUUGUUGGGUCUGGUCGGGUCAGUUGUCGGAUUUGAUGUCUGAGUCAGAGGGGAGACUCUUCAAUGUAUCGUGGUUGAAGCUCAAGAACAAGAAGAAUGGUGAGUAGAGGGAUUAGGAGGGGAAAGAAAAUGGUUCUUUAAGUCAUGUUUUUGUUUUUAUUAAAUGGGUUGUAUAUGUAAUAGGGGAGGGAGAGUCUUGAGUCGAUUUUAAUGUUGUACUGUUUUUAAUGUAUCAUGUGUAUGGAUUAGAGUCUAUGGAAAGAGAGAAAAAAAAAAAGAAACUCCAGCUAAGUCGGCUUCUUUUCUUUGUGAUGAGAGCUACGGUUAUGUGCUCUGUUCAAAUCCGACCACAAAAGGAGACUUCACUACUAUGCCCACAUCUUCUUUCGGCAAAGACUAAUAUUUCACCAACACUGUCACCAUGCAUAUUGUAUUAAUUGGUUGUAACCUAAUAGUAGAAGCUUUCAUCUGUAGAACUGGCUCCCAAGAUGGUCUCAAAAGUCUUUUAAAGGGACGGAGAAUGUCAAGUGGCCUGCAUCUAUGUUAGUAAGAUGUACACGAAACGAAUACAUUUUUUGCAGCCUUUGACUUACAUUCUCCACAUCCCACGUUUUUUUUGUAAUUUCUUAAGAAGUUUAAACUCAUGAACCUUGUUUAUCAUCAUCAAAAAUUUAGAUCUAAUGAUAUUACUCAUUUAGUUCCAGUGUAUAUGUCACUUAAUUUUUUCUUCACAAGAAAUUAUAAAUAAUUAAUAACUAUCUAUUUCUACCAGUAGUUGACUAUUAAAGUUCAAUAGUAUUCUAAAUUUCAUUUUAAAUAUAUAGAUAAAUCAAUAUAAAAUAAAUAAACUUGUAAAAACACUUCAACCAGAUACCAUUUGCAACCUAACGAAUAAUAUUUUCUUUUUCUUUCUCGAAGCUCAUGUGAUUUUGUUUCUAUAUAUUAUUUCCAUUUUAAGUAAUAGUGAAAUUCUAAAAGAAGGAUAGGUUUGUCGUACCAUCACGUGGGCCGGUGAGCAUGGUGGGCGCAAUGUAACUGAUUCAAGCAACGAACACUUGACCUUUUAUUACUAUUGCAGGCUGCAACUCUCACUAUACUUUCAUUGCCUCAAGAAUGAUCAAUCUGUUAUAAAUUAAGCAUUGAAAUGAUCAUCCACUUCUUUACCAAACUCAAGCACUAUGAUCAUUCACUCCUUUACCAACUCAAGCACUAUGAUCAUCUACUCAUCAAGCAUUAUGAUCACCCACUCAUUUACCAAACUAAGCACCAUCUUUGUUAUUUUAUGUAUUGUUGUUCACUAUAAAUACCAUCACUCAUCUCACUCUUUUGUACACCAUAAACAAGAACAAGAGUUUAUAAUCAAAGAACCAUUACAUCUUCUUCUUCUUCCUUAUAAUAAACUCUCUCCCUCAAUGGAGGCAAUUAUCCACAACGCUCAUGUGCAUUGUCUGUUAUGAAACUCCUCCUAGCUGUUACACUGCCACGCGUCGUCAUAUGCCAAAUAUUAAAUCAAAUUAAUUUAUAAUUUGGAAAUACAAGUUCAAUUUGAAUACACUGUGUUCGAAGAUAGAUGAUUUAACGUUUUUAAAAACUUCCAGUUUAUGUGUUAUAAAGUAAAUAUUUUCAGAAAAUCAGUUCAAAAAAAAAAGUAAAUAUUUUCAGAAAAAACUGAGAUUCUCUUUUUAAAAUAGUUUACUAGUAUUAUAAAUCAGUGGUGUAAGGAUAAGAAACGGUCUUCGAAAGUGACAAAUUUGUUAGUUUAAAACUUUAAAUUUUAUGUUGAUGACUCGGUGUGUUUUUGCUUCAAAGUCUGAUUUGCUAGAUUCGAGCACUACCACUAAUAUACGUUGGACGUUAAUUUCUAAAUUAAACUAAUUUACUAUUAACUGAUAUGAAAUCUUAUGAAACGGUUAACAAAUAAGCUGGAGGAAUAAAUGUAGGAACUCUAAAUGUAGCCAUUUUCUUCCUCUGAUAGUGCCUCUCUGAGUCAGCUUGGUUGAUGUUUCUUUUAAGCCAGCAUUUAAAAUUGGAACUUUUCCUUUCUAGAAAACCUACUUUGUAAUUUUAAGAAAAAUAAUAGAAGAUAUAAACUAUUCUAUUAAAACUGAAAUACAAAAUAAAAUUUAUCUAUAGAUUUUCAUUCUCAUUUUGACUAAUUCUAACUAGUUCAUUUAUUAUUUUUAUUUAAGUGUUUUAUUACAAUUUUUACAUUCAUUUUUUACUCUGCAAAAUUACUUCAUUAAUUGUAUUUACCAUAAUAGUUCAAUUUUUUUUAAUUUUAUAUACUAACCAUUAUAAUUUCAUAUGUCAUUUAAAUUAAAUUGCUCUAUUAGUGAAAAGAAUUCAAACCGAUUAACAAAAAUAUUUUUAUUUGUUUGCAUGAUCAGUUAGACAUAACAUUCAUGUAUACGUUUGGAUAUAUAUCGGUUUUAUGGGUAUCGGCUUUUUAAAUUUUAAAAUUAAACUAUGUUCGGUUAUUAUAAAUUUUUAGAUAGGGUUCAAGUUAGAUUCUUUCGAGUCCAAGUAAGUUUUUAAAAAACCUAUAAAUAUCUAAAUAAUCUAUAUGUUUAAAAAUAUUCAAAAAAAAUCUAUAUGUUUAAACUAUCACUAAACAAUUUAUAAAAAGGUAAAGCUCUAAUUAUCUUUAAAGUUGCUAGACGUUAUAAUUUGACCAAAUGUGUUAAUUCAAAGACGAUACCUUCUUUUUAUAACUUUUAGUUUUUUAUGUCAAUGUAGGGGGUUUAUUAUGCAGGCUAAUAAGUUGCUUUACACUAAACACUAAUGUUAAGUGGAGUAAUAGUCAAUGAUUUGUAUAUAUAAUUUUAUUAAUGAUAUUUGGAAAAAUAAGUACAUUUUUACGUAUUAUGUAUUCAGUAAUACAUUUAUGAGAAUUUAUCAUCGCAUAUUCGGAAAAUAAUUAAAUACAUUUCUUAUUGUUUUGAAGGAGAAAAUAAAAGAAACUGUGGGGGUUUGUGAAUGUUUAUUUCACAAUUCACAAGGCGUGAGAGCAAAAGCAUAUCCUCUAUGUGGGGCCUUCUUUCCGACCGUAAUGAUUCUUAUUUAUCUUCUGAAGCCGUUAAUUUAGCCUUUAAUUUAUACUAGUUAGCUUCAAAAUGUAAUUAGCCUCAAACUGUAUAAUCACAUGUAUGAUAUACUUAUUUUUUCAUAACACAUUUCAUCACUUUGCAUAACAGAUACCAUUUCUGGCCAGAUAAACUUGUAUAUUCCAGUAUGUUUCACCUUAUGUAUGUGAAAAUUUAAACAGCUUAUUUUAUAAAAUUUAUUUUUCGAUAAGAUAAAUGUUUUAAGCAGGGGGAUUAAUUUAUGUUGGCAAUUAAUCUCACAUUUAAACAGAAACUUAUUCCCUUAAUCUAACUUUAACUUUUCGAUUAAGAAAAAGAUUAUCCCUUUGAUGGUUUUAUUACAUGUCAAACCAUUUGUAAUAAAAUUUCAUAUCUUUUUUUUUCUUAUAUUUUUCCUUUUACCUUCCCCUUCUCGCGUAGCACCCACAUCCAAAAAAAAGAAGAGUAACCUCGAUUUGUUGAUCUGCCGCUGGUCUCGAUCUCCCACCAAAGAUCUCGAGAAAGAGAGAGAGACGCAUUGAAAAAAGGCUGCGGCUUUUGGUCUUUAUUACUCUAUUUUCCUGUUUGGUUUCACAGUAAAAAAAAAUCUCGAGAUGUGUUGAGCUUUAUCAUGUUGGGAUAAUCUCCGGUUGAUUGAUUCUGUCGGAAAGGUUUCUUUGUUUUAUUAGAAUUUCGAUAUCUCCGAGGACUUAAGCUUCGGAGAUGAGUUGGUGUUGUUUGCCUUGCUUUGGAUCUUCUGCUAAAGACGCUGAUUCGAAAGAUUCGUUGAAGAAAGAAGUUUCAGCUAAAGACGGCUCUGUUACUCAGCAGUCUCACCGUGCCAGCUUAGGUGAACAUUUUUUUUUCAUAUAAAGCCUUUUGGGAUCUGUUGAGUUUUGGUCUCUUAGAUCGAUUUAGCCUUCUGGGUUCUCAUAAAGUUUGUUCCUUUUGGUGAUGUUUCUGAUCUAAAUUCAUAUUCUGUAGCUUCACGGCUACAAAGCUUGUAGGACUCUAGUUCAUGAGAGAUCUAAUGUGUUUUGUGAGCUUUGAUUAUAGUUAUCUAUACAUGGAAUGCAAUUAGGAGAUGUCAAGUUAGUUUUCUAAACGCUAUCCAUCAAACAAGGAAUCAUAAAAACGUUAGCUUUAGGGUUUGGUUUGAGGAAUGAAGAGUUCUGGAUAAGGAUAUUCUAUAAUUCUAGACAUCACUAGUUCAAUGUUUGGUCUACUUCUACUAGUCAGUUACUUCAUAAGCUGCUUACUGCGCAUUGCUUUGUAACGAAAAGUACUAACCUUUCCUCUCUUUGGUGUAGACAAAUCAAAGUCUCGAGGAGGUUCUGAACAUAAGGAGCUAACCGCUCCAAAAGAAGGGCCAACCGCUAACAUCGCUGCACAAACGUUUACUUUCAGAGAGUUAGCUGCCGCCACUAAGAACUUUAGACCGGAAUGUCUUCUUGGAGAAGGAGGCUUCGGACGUGUUUACAAGGGCCGUCUAGAGAGCACAGGACAGGUAAUGAUCCUUGAAAAUCAACAUGAUAAUCAAACUCAAGUGUUUUACUAUUAUGUAUUUGGUUUUGAUGAUAUGCAGAUAGUAGCUGUUAAGCAGCUAGAUAGAAACGGUCUACAAGGAAACAGAGAGUUUCUGGUAGAGGUUCUCAUGCUGAGCCUUCUGCAUCAUACCAACCUUGUGAAUUUGAUUGGCUAUUGCGCUGAUGGUGACCAACGUCUUCUUGUUUACGAGUAUAUGGCACUAGGCUCCUUGGAAGAUCACCUACACGGUAAGCUUAUCGAUAUUUCCCCACUCUAUUACCAUAUACAGAAACUAGGGCGUUGUCUAGUCCUAUUGUAUUUGAUAUAUUGGGAAAGUUUUUAGCAUGUGUUUGAUGUAUUAUUUAUGGUAAAAGUAUCAUAACCUUGCAAAUAGUUUAUAUGGUGAGUUUUUGUUCUCUGUCAGAUCUUCCACCAAGUAAAGAGCCUCUGGACUGGAACACGAGGAUGACAAUAGCUGCAGGAGCAGCUAAAGGACUUGAGUAUUUGCAUGAUAAAGCAAACCCGCCUGUGAUCUACAGAGACUUGAAAUCAUCUAAUAUUCUUCUAGGAGAUGGCUAUCACCCAAAGUUAUCUGAUUUCGGGUUAGCUAAGCUAGGUCCUGUGGGGGAUAAAACACACGUCUCAACUCGUGUUAUGGGCACGUAUGGCUACUGUGCACCAGAAUACGCCAUGACAGGGCAACUGACGUUGAAAUCAGAUGUUUACAGCUUUGGAGUUGUGUUUUUGGAGCUCAUCACGGGGAGAAAAGCUAUAGAUAACGCUCGAGCACCAGGAGAGCAUAACCUCGUCGCAUGGGUACGUUUAAAAAUCUCAACUUUGCAUAUCUUUAAAACAUAAAUUCUCAACCUUUACACAUAAAGUCUCAACCUUUUUGUAUUCUAAUGUUAUAACUAAGUUUUGGGUCGUUGUGGGUUAUGUUUUGUAUCGUUACACAGGCUAGGCCGUUGUUUAAGGAUCGUAGGAAGUUUCCAAAGAUGGCGGAUCCAUCGCUGCAAGGGCGUUAUCCAAUGCGUGGUCUGUAUCAAGCGCUUGCGGUUGCAGCAAUGUGUUUACAGGAACAAGCAGCGACAAGACCGUUGAUAGGAGACGUGGUGACAGCUCUAACUUACUUAGCUUCUCAAACCUUUGACCCAAACGCGCCAAACGGCCAAAACAGUAGAAGCGGUGGCGGUGGCGGGCCGCCGUUUAUCAGGACGGGGGAUGAAAGGAGAAGCUUAGGAGAUGGGAGUAGUUUGGAUAGUCCUGCGGAGACUCGUAGCCGGCUAGGGUCACCGGGGACUCACAAGAACUCUCCUGAUUACAGGAGAAGGGAUAUGGUGAGGGAAGUGAAUGCUGGAUCAGAGGCUGGGAGCGAGGCUGGAGGAGGGUCAGGGAGGAAGUGGGGGUUAAGCGAUGUGGAAGGGACGGAGUCACAGAGAGGGAGUCCAGCGAGUGUUGGGAGGGGAGGGAGAGGGACUCCGAGGAACAGGGAUUUAGAUAGAGAGAGAGCGGUGGCGGAGGCAAAGGUGUGGGGAGAGAAUUGGAGGGAGAGGAAGAGAGGAACCAAUGGACCGGGAAGCUUUGAUAGUUCAAAUGACUGAGAAGGGAAAGAUUUUAAAAGCUUUUGUAUGUUUGAACAUGAGAUAGGUUUUGUCUUUUAUGGCAAGAGGCUUUGUGGUUAUAUGGAACAUUUGUUGGGUCUGGUCGGGUCAGUUGUCGGAUUUGAUGUCUGAGUCAGAGGGGAGACUCUUCAAUGUAUCGUGGUUGAAGCUCAAGAACAAGAAGAAUGGUGAGUAGAGGGAUUAGGAGGGGAAAGAAAAUGGUUCUUUAAGUCAUGUUUUUGUUUUUAUUAAAUGGGUUGUAUAUGUAAUAGGGGAGGGAGAGUCUUGAGUCGAUUUUAAUGUUGUACUGUUUUUAAUGUAUCAUGUGUAUGGAUUAGAGUCUAUGGAAAGAGAGAAAAAAAAAAAGAAACUCCAGCUAAGUCGGCUUCUUUUCUUUGUGAUGAGAGCUACGGUUAUGUGCUCUGUUCAAAUCCGACCACAAAAGGAGACUUCACUACUAUGCCCACAUCUUCUUUCGGCAAAGACUAAUAUUUCACCAACACUGUCACCAUGCAUAUUGUAUUAAUUGGUUGUAACCUAAUAGUAGAAGCUUUCAUCUGUAGAACUGGCUCCCAAGAUGGUCUCAAAAGUCUUUUAAAGGGACGGAGAAUGUCAAGUGGCCUGCAUCUAUGUUAGUAAGAUGUACACGAAACGAAUACAUUUUUUGCAGCCUUUGACUUACAUUCUCCACAUCCCACGUUUUUUUUGUAAUUUCUUAAGAAGUUUAAACUCAUGAACCUUGUUUAUCAUCAUCAAAAAUUUAGAUCUAAUGAUAUUACUCAUUUAGUUCCAGUGUAUAUGUCACUUAAUUUUUUCUUCACAAGAAAUUAUAAAUAAUUAAUAACUAUCUAUUUCUACCAGUAGUUGACUAUUAAAGUUCAAUAGUAUUCUAAAUUUCAUUUUAAAUAUAUAGAUAAAUCAAUAUAAAAUAAAUAAACUUGUAAAAACACUUCAACCAGAUACCAUUUGCAACCUAACGAAUAAUAUUUUCUUUUUCUUUCUCGAAGCUCAUGUGAUUUUGUUUCUAUAUAUUAUUUCCAUUUUAAGUAAUAGUGAAAUUCUAAAAGAAGGAUAGGUUUGUCGUACCAUCACGUGGGCCGGUGAGCAUGGUGGGCGCAAUGUAACUGAUUCAAGCAACGAACACUUGACCUUUUAUUACUAUUGCAGGCUGCAACUCUCACUAUACUUUCAUUGCCUCAAGAAUGAUCAAUCUGUUAUAAAUUAAGCAUUGAAAUGAUCAUCCACUUCUUUACCAAACUCAAGCACUAUGAUCAUUCACUCCUUUACCAACUCAAGCACUAUGAUCAUCUACUCAUCAAGCAUUAUGAUCACCCACUCAUUUACCAAACUAAGCACCAUCUUUGUUAUUUUAUGUAUUGUUGUUCACUAUAAAUACCAUCACUCAUCUCACUCUUUUGUACACCAUAAACAAGAACAAGAGUUUAUAAUCAAAGAACCAUUACAUCUUCUUCUUCUUCCUUAUAAUAAACUCUCUCCCUCAUAUUAGUGUUAUUUGCUUCAUACGGGUAUUAAAUUCUACUCUUAUUUAAAUUUCUCGAUACUAUAAAUUAUAAGUUAUUUCAUAACACGUUAUCAGCACGAUCACUCUACGAUUCGGUAAAAUUUAUUUGUAUCAUUUAUACCCUGUUAUAAUGGUCGGUAUACCGCCUCUACUAUUAUUUAUAUCAUGUUAUAAUGGCCGGAAUACUGCCUAUAUUAUUUACUAGUAAUUUAAUUUAUUUAUUGGUCGGCCGAGCCGCCUUAUAUCCUGUUUAUUAUUUAUUGGUCGGCUGAGCCGCCUUAUAUUCUGUUUAUUAUUAAUUGGUCGGCCGAGCCGCCGUAUAAUUUAUUUAUUAUUCUGCAUUGAUCGGCUGAGCCGUCGCAUGAUUUGUUGUCAUAUAACAUAAAUAUUUCAUUGUCAUAAUUUUUCACUUUUAUGAAAUUUUAUAGAUUUGAUUGACCGUUUAAUACGAUAUUUUCAGACUAAUUUUUGGUGCACUCGAUUUAACCCCAACGGUCACAAAGAAAUUUUUUCAAAAAUUUCCCCUUUCUCCAACGGUCAUGAACAGUAAUUUUCAUCUAUAAAUACAACUCAUUUUCACUCCAUUUCAUCAUCCAAAACAUUUCAUCUUCUCUCAAAAAUUUCAAAUCGCUCUCCUCCGAUUUUUCAUUUCAAGAAAGAUGAUUCGCGCACUUUUGUUUUUAUGUGCCAUUUUUAUUUGUGUUUCUAUUUAUGGUUUAUUCGUUGGAGAAUUUACUCCGAGUGAAUUUAAGAUGAAUAUCGGUUUAAUUUUAUUUACAUCGCUUCUCCUUGUAAUUUCUUGUAUGAUUAAUGUAAACGGUUUUUAAAUUAUGAAGUUCAUAAUAAAUGAUUCAUUUUAAAAUUGCGAAAUUCUAAAAAAUAAAUAAAUAUAUAUAUAUAUAUAUAGUCAUUUUAGACGAAUAUAUAUAUAUAUAUAUCAACGCUUGUCUAUAUGUAAGAAUAAUAGUUAUUUGAUGAAUUAAAUUUUGCUUAUUAUACUUUAAUAUGCUUCAUGGUUUAAUGGUAUUAAGGAAACAUACUUUAUGAUUCAUGGUCUAACAUCAUAAAAGAAAUUAUUUGUAAUCGGUUAGUUUUGUAGUCGAUUAGUCUUUGGUCUAAUAUCAUAAAAGAAUUUGGAUUAUAUGUUGAUAUUUACUAAUGUAAUGGCCAUGUUUAUAUGAGCAAAAUUUAAAGUUUUCAGGAUUGUGUAUUCUCUCGGAAAGAUAUGUACAAGUUAUCAGCCAAUUCAGAAACGUGAACAGCUGAAACUUUCAUCGCCGAUAUACUUCUGUUUAUAAGAUAAGUAUUUUUAUGCUUUAUAUACAAGUUUAACAAACUUGAUUAGAUAAAUCAAUUUGCAUGAAGUUGGCAGUGAUAUAAAUUUGUUCAUUAAAUUGAUUGAUAGGUUAAACUUUGUUAAAAAGCAUGAGAGUAAUAAUAUAGUCUAUAUAAUAAUUACUAUGAAAGUUUUAUUUAUUUUCUGAUAUAAUAAGACACCUUUGUUAAUACAUAUUUAUAUAUAUUUGAAAUAUUUUGAUUUUAUUACCAUUUAUAUUGAGGAUUUUAAGUUUAAAGCUUGACUCUAAAAGAUCCAUAAGUUUUGGAAGAUAAUAUAUAUAAAAAAGGUAUUAUCACCUGAAGUGAUUACCUAAAGCUCAUUUUGUAUUUUGCAUUUAAAGAUUACAAGACCUGAAGUGUGUAAAUAAAGCCAACUAUGUUGGAUGUUAAGUUUAAAAGUAAAAUUUCUUCAAUAAAUUUUUUAUGAUGCAUAUAUAUGAAAAAUAUCUAUUGAUAAAUCACGUCUAGUUGAUUAUGAUUCAUUCUCCUUAAGAGAAUAUGACAUUUAUACCCUUUUAGACGUGAGCAUUGGUCAAGAAAAUGAACAUAAAAGUGGUUUUAGACGUAAGCAUAAAUGAGGUCAAGGUCCAAAGAGUUUCUUUAUAGAACUCAUACUCUCACUUAAAGUUGAGAAAAUAAACAUGGUAAUAAAGAAAAGAAAUUAUGAAUUCAUCUGAAGAUAAAAGAAAAUUUAUUGUGUGUACAAUACAAGGUAGUAAAAACUUAUAGAAUGCUUUAAAAAAGGAUAUAUAUGAUGCUCCAGAAGUAUACAUAGUAUUACUGCACAUAAAAAUUUAAUUUAAAGUUCUUAAGAAUGCAAUUUAAAGUUCUUAAGGUAUUGUAUUUUUAUAAGUAUCAAAAGUUAAAACGAUCUACGAAAAAUACAUAACCCAUGUAGGAUAUGUUGUUGAUUAAGAAAAUGAGAUACAUUCGAGAUUGAUAAACCUGUAGUAUUAUAAUCUCGAGGGGAAGAGUUAAAGAAUCUCACUUUUUAUGAUAAGUCAAACAUCCAGAAGAUUAUGUUUACACUAAAACUAAGAUUGAUGAAUUUUUCUCAAAGUAAAUCCGUAAGAUUUUGAGACACUUAUGUUGAGACAAUAAGCAAACGAAAUGAUAUAUACAUUUCAAUCAGAAAUAAUUCUCAAAGCAGUAUAAGUAUUUUAGAGAAAAUAUCUACAGCCUCUUAUAUAUUGUACUACACAAAGAUUAGUAUAAUGAAGAUAAAUGUAUAGUAAACUAGAAGUUUACAUUUGGCAUGAAUCAGUUAGACCAUUUUGGUUCAUUAAUAAUGCGAAUAUAUACUUAAAGGUCAUAUGCAUAGUCAUAUAAGAACCAGAAGAUUCUUCCGAAUGAUUUGACAUAUGUUGCUUACCCAUAAGAUAAAAGGGUAAUAUGGUUUUCACCAGCCAAAAUAAGAUAUUGGCAUAAAUAACGAAGAUGUUAGUGGACUGAUCACCCACUAUGCAUUUUUAUAAUAUUGGUGAAUUCACUUCUUAAAGUCUUUAACGACUAUAGCACAUUCACUGAGAUAAGUGCUAAACAUUUUGAGCAACAUUGGAUCGCAUCAAGCCAAUAAAUAUUCACUAGUUCUCCCCAUCAUUGGUAUAGAAUCAGAAACCAAUCAUUUUCAUCUAAGAAUGUUGGAUGUUGCUCCGCCACAGAGCUUCAAAUGAAGAUGUGUUUUCAAAUGAGGUUGGAAAUAUAUGUUGGAUAUAAAUCUCUAUUGACACUUAAGAAUCCAGAGCCAUCCCCGAAAACUAUAAGUAAGGCUAUACAUGAAUUCUAAAAGUGAGUUAGUACUUCCAACAUAAGGGGGAGAAAAUAAACAGCUGGAAAAGAAAAUAAGUUGAAAUGAAUUAUCAUUGAUCCUCGGGCUAAACACAAUGUGAAAUAGAAGUCCAAAAGAUAAUUCAUUUCAAAACUUACUAAAGCAGUUGCCAGACACGACCCAUAUAAAUAUAGUGAUCAAGUCACAUAUACCAGCUGUAAAUGCUCCAAUAAGAAUAAAUGUUCUACAAGAACAAUAUCAAACUGCUAGUCACGCCUGCAGCGUGGUAGACAGAUUGGUUCCAAAGAUAAAUCCUCGUAAAUGAAAAAGGAGCAUAUAUUGAUAAUGGUCAAAACGAGGCAAUAUAGUUUUGUAUGAUCUCCAGAAGAGAAAUUAAACAUGACUGACGAAAAUUCAGGUACCUGAGACAAAUGAAGAGAUCUCAAUAAGUUAUGUCAUGUAUGAAACAAAAUGGAACCGAUAAGAAAAUUGACGUCGAUGAUAUUAUACAUGCAAAGUAGCAGUUGAUAUAAUAAAUGAGAAAGAGGAUCAUGAAAGAAAGUCUAUUGAAAAGUGUACACAAAGAAAUGAUUGGCCAAAUCAGAAAGAUGCAAUAGACAAAGAUAUAAACUUCUUGUGAAAUAGAGAAGUAUUUGGACCAGUAGUCCAUACACUAAAAGGUGUAAAACAAGUGAGAUGUAAAUGAACCGUUGCACACAAAGAAGGAUCAAUAUGAAAUUAAUUGUGAAGAGACAUAAUUUCAUGUGGUAGAUGCAACUAGUUUCAAGUUCCUUAUAGUCUGGUAAUAAAGGAAGAACUUGAAUGAAACAAUCCACUUGAAAAAUGUUAAUCCCUGAAAGUAUAAUCCAUGAAGGAUUGAUGAUAUCAAAAUCAUGUUCCCGGGAACUCUGCAUAUUCGAUCGAAUUGAAACAAACUAUUUUAUGGGAUAUAUGAAAUAUUAUAAGGUUAACAAAUGUAUCCAUUUGUAUUUAUCAAGAGAUUAUAAAUCAAUAGAAUCAUGAUUUGAAUAUAAUCAAAACUCCUGAAGAGUUAUAGAAAAAUUAUAUUUUGGAAGAAAACUCUUGACAAUACUAUAUUGUUUUAUGUAUUCUAAACUGGAGAUCUAAAACUAAGAUGUUAUCAUAAAGAUCCUUAAAGUAUUUUAUUUAAGACGCUCGUAUAUGUUUGGUCCUGAAAUACCAUACGUAAGAGUGUUAUUUAAGAAAAUUAUUAAUCUUUUUCAUUACUGAAAGAUGUAAUUUCAUAUGAAAAGAAAGAAAAUCAUAAUAGUAACUUCUAUAGUUACAAAUGAAUAAUUCGUAUGUACGAGACGAAUUUCUAUACGAUUAUAUGUAAGAAAUUUGGUUUGAAAUCCAAAUAGACCAAUAAACUAUUGUCUAAGUCAAAAGAGAAUUAUGGACAAGAAGUCUAAAGGCCCUAGAUAUCAUAAUAGAAAUGAAUAGAGUUUAUUCUCUUAAGCUUAAUUCUCUGAAGAGAGUUGAUUGGAAUGCAUAUCCUGAAGAUAUUGUUUCCAGGGAAAGAAAUAUGAUAGUAAGUGUGGUUGUACUCUUUUUCCUUAUCAUGGUUUUUUUUUUAUCCCAUUGGGUUUUUCCAUGACAAGGUUUUAACGAGGCAACAAAGAACAUACAAAAGAUAGACAACCAAAGAGAAUGUUACAAUUUGAGAGAUGAAAAUCUAUCAUUGUUCUAAAGGUUCUAUGACUACUCAUUCGAGGGGGAGCUUACGUAGUUGUACUCUUUUUACUUUUACUACGGUUUUUCCCAUUGGGUUUUCCAUGACUAGGUUUUUAACGAGGCACCACGUAAUACAAGAUGGAUGAUCAAGGGGGAGUGUUAUAAAUUAAGCAUUGAAAUGAUCAUCCACUUCUUUACCAAACUCAAGCACUAUGAUCAUCCACUCCUUUACCAACUCAAGCACUAUGAUCAUCUACUCAUCAAGCAUUAUGAUCACCCACUCAUUUACCAAACUAAGCACCAUCUUUGUUAUUUUAUGUAUUGUUGUUCACUAUAAAUACCAUCACUCAUCUCACUCUUUUGUACUCCAUAAACAAGAACAAGAGUUUAUAAUCAAAGAACCAUUACAUCUUCUUCUUCUUCCUUAUAAUAAACUCUCUCCCUCAUAUUAAUGUUAUUUGCUUCAUACGGGUAUUAAAUUCUACUCUUAUUUAAAUUUCUCGAUACUAUAAAUUAUAAGUUAUUUCAUAACACAAUCAUAUAAUUUUGUAUUUGCCACGCCAGUACCUAACAAAAUAAGAAGAAAGAAUAUUUUGAUAACAACAAGAAAAGUAGCUUUAAACUUUAUUACGUGAUCUUUAAUCUUGUAAUCCAAAAAAAUCCCAUUGGUAAACAAAUAGGUCAUUUAUUAACCUCUCUUGCAAAUAUUACACAAUUUACAAAGACAAAGAAAUGUCUUUUGGGAAAUAGAAGGUCUGAAAAUAAUGAAUGGAUGACAUGUGAUUGGUCAAUAAUUCGGCGCUCUACUCUCUGUUACGGUUGGUAUCCAUGUCAUCCCAUCCCAUCUCCCUCACUCACCACUUUCUUCACCUUAUCUCUCUCCCCCUUAAAUUAUUCCAUAUUUCUUUAAAUCUCACGACCUCCCACGCUAACAACAUUCUCAAGGAUAGAUAGAGAGAGAGAAUAAAAGCUCCAAGCUUUCUUUUUCUUUCUCUCGUCAUUCCUGCAAAUAGGAAGGUUGUAGAACAAGAAGUGGGGUCUCUGUUUUCAUUCCUGGCCUUGCGAUUCAGAUAAAACUUUCGGCUUCAAAGCCCAUUCAGUCCAAUCCAAAUCCACUUCCUCUCCACACAUAUAUAAAGUAUAUAGUUAUAGAGAGAGAAAGAGUUAAACUUUUCACAUCUUUAUAUCUCUCUCUCUCUACCAGCUUCUCUCCUCCUGUUCUCAUGGAAGCCUCACCCAAUGAUCGCCUUCACUUUGGCAAAAUGGGUUUCGGGUAAAAACAACAAUCCUCUGUUUCUCUUUAUGUAUUUUACUCUCUUAGUCUAUCAGAUCAGUGCUUUUGUGGGUCUUCUCUCUUUUUCAAUGUGAUCCGUAGAUUCCCAUAAUUCUAAGCUCUGAAUCACAAAGUCUCUCCCUUUCUCCAAAUCUGAUUCAUGGGUUUUCAUCAGUCUCCGGUUUAUGAUCGUAAUCGAUUGAUAGAUCUGUCUCGAUCCAGAAAAGUUUAUAAUUGGACUCUCUCUCUGAUCCAUGUAGAUCUUGUGUCUCUUCCAUGUGUAUUAGGUGUCAGCACUACAGGAGGAGAUGCCAGAUCAGAGCUCCAUGUUGCAACGAAAUCUUCGAUUGUCGCCAUUGUCACAACGAGUUCGCUGUAAUAAUCUCAACUCAAAACCUUUAAUUACUGUCCUAAAUUACUUCCCCUGUUAUGUCUUAACCGUAAAACCUGAGUUUUAGUUAUUAAAAGUAACUUCCUUUUUUUGAAUAACAGAGCACUUUGCGCAAUAUCUACGACCGUCAUGAGCUUGUUCGUCAAGACGUUAAACAAGUACGAUCUAAUUCUCUUUAAUUGAGUUAUGUAAUCUCAGCAAGUUUUCAUUUUUACUAUGUGAUCUCAGCAAGUUUGCAUUUUUUUCUAAUCUGUUGCACCUUUAUGGCUGUUUUUUCUCAGGUGAUUUGUUCGGUUUGCGACACAGAGCAGCCGGUAGCUCAAGUAUGCUCCAACUGUGGUGUCAACAUGGGAGAAUACUUUUGCAAUAUCUGCAAGUUCUAUGAUGAUAAUGUAAACAAUUUUUGAUUUUCUUACACAUUUUUCUAAUCUGUUGCAUCUUGGUGUUUGGUUCUAAUCAUUUUUGCUGUAUUGUUCUGUUUCAGACUGAGAAACAACAGUUCCAUUGUGAUGACUGUGGAAUCUGCAGGUGAGAGAUUAUUUCCUUCAUACAGUAUAAUUGGUGAUUCGUUUUAAGUUUGUGUCGUUAUUAACAAUUUCAUUGUGUCUGUUGCAGAGUUGGUGGACGUGAGAACUUCUUCCAUUGCAAGAAGUGUGGUAAAAACUAAAAAAACAACAAACUUGAUCAUUUUCAGUUUCAUUCACACACAACCAAGUGCUAAAAAUCAUCCAUUAUAUGCUUAAUAGGAUCUUGUUAUGCAACUGGUCUGCGCAACAACCAUCGCUGCGUUGAGGAUUCAAUGCGACAUCACUGUCCCAUUUGUUUCGAGGUAUGUCUGUUAUGUCAAGGCGUAGCUUGAGUGUGUGUUUCUGUCUGCUAAAUGUAUGAAUGAGAUACUUUUGUUGCUCUUGCAGUAUCUCUUUGACUCUCUUAAAGAAACAACAGUGAUGAAAUGUGGACACACGAUGCACUGUGAAUGCUACCAUGAGAUGAUCAAGCGUGACAAGUAAUCUAUUUACUCUUUUUUUUCUUGUGGUUAUAUCUCUGUGUUUAAACCUUUUAGUGAUGGGGUUUUUGAAUGUGUGAACUUUUUGCUGUGAAGAUUUUGCUGUCCUAUUUGCUCGAGGUCAGUGAUUGAUAUGUCAAAAACAUGGCAGAGGAUGGAUGCAGAGGUUAGUUUUAACAUCUUUUGGUGAAUUAUGUUUUAAUCAGGGUUCUAAAAAACGGUCCAGGCAGCAAAUUUUUCAUAACGGAAACAAUUUUCUUAAAUCGGUUUAGAUCAGGUGUAAAUCGGUUAAAUCAAGUAUUAGUGCAGUCCAUAAAUCAAUUUUUUUUUAUCUAUUUAUAUUUUAAGUAAUGUUAAAUCAUUUCAAAUAUCAAAUUUUAAUUCAUUUGUGUUUGUUAGAUUGAAGCCACAUCUAUGCCUUCAGAUUACCAUGACAAGAAGGUACAUAAUUAUAUUUCUUCUCUGUCACUCAAGGUCUCAAUCAAAACCGUUUUAUAAGUUACUCAGAAGAAGAUUAUGUGUGGGAUUCACAGGUGUGGAUACUAUGCAACGACUGUAACGACACAACAGAAGUGUACUUCCACAUAAUAGGACAGAAAUGUGGACAUUGUAGAUCUUACAACACCAGAGCAGUCGCACCUCCUGUUCUUCCUCAAUGACUAAAGAUCUUUCACUUGUUGCCAUCUAUUACCAGAAAGCAAGCAUGAACUUUUUGUUGCAAAAAACUUUCUUGAUGAUCGGUUAUAGCAAGAAAAGUUGAUCAAUAUGAUUGUUGGUCACAAAAGCAAAACACAUAUCUGUUUUCUUCAUGAUUCUAUUUGUUGUUGGUCAAACCAUUUAUAUUUGGGUGUGGGAAAGCCAGGAUUAUUUAUGUAUAAUAUACUCUUUAAAUAUUCUUGAUCCAGGAAAUUUACCUGUGAUAUGCAAUGUGUGUUUUCUAUUUUUGUUUCAUUCAACAAUCUCGGAUUCACAGAUUCUUAUCUCUUAUAAUCUCAUAAGUACACAUCCCAAACUCAUUUUAAAUAAAACUUUGCAACUAGAAUUGUUCACCAAGCUCUUGACCAGCCAGCCAUCCAUCCCUUCCUCUGAUAACUUUCUCAAAGGAGUCCUCAACCGUGUCUUUCACGUAACUAGGUGUCUUCUCUUCGCUAUACAAUCCAGUCUCUGGAUCAAGAAUCAGUUUACUCUCUGCGGCGUAAUACCUUCCUAUCUUCUUAACCGAAGGAAAGAUCUUUGCGAUAGAAUCAAAAAAUCCAUUAUCUCGAUAGGUACUUUCAAGAAAUUAGGUUCUCUGCCAAGAAUCCUAAAAAGAUUGAUCUUGUUCUUGCCCAACAAGCAAUCCGCUAAAUCCUGCUCGCUGGUGGGUUUACCGUUUACGCACAGCUUACUAUCUCCGAACAUCAGUUAAGGCUUCCCAUCUUUCACAAUCUCGACUUGACCACCUAAGCUCUUGAACAAAACUUUUGGUCUCACAAUGCUGUAAGUAAAACUCGAGUCUUUCAAUUCUGUUUCUGAGGACAUACAUGUAUUUGCAUCUGUAGCGAGAUUUCACGUACUCAAUAGCUAGCAUUUUCCAGCCUUGAAGCUUUAUCAGCUUUUUCGAAGUAGAAGUAGAAGCAGAACAAAGCUUCAAUCAUAAUCAUCAACCUUACCUUAAGAGUUGAGAGUAAAAAGAUAUUCAAGACAUACCUUGUUGCCGUGAAGAAUGACUUCUCUGAGAGCAAAAGUCACUACGCGGCCUGUAUCUAUCACGUUAUUAUGUUUCUGAGUCCAAUUUGUAGCCGUAAGUGGUAACGUUAAUAAAUAAUAAUUUUGAUUUUCUCUAUGGCUAUUAUAAAUUAUGAAGUGUUUGACUGCUAAAAUCACACUUAUUAAGAAUUUAAUAAAUUUUUAUAAUUUAAUUUAUUUUUUUUAUUUUAUUAUACAUUUUCUAAUAAUUUUUUACCAAUAAAAUUUAAUCAGUUCAAAUAUUCUCAAUUAAUGUUUUUCAAAAGUAUAAAAAAAUAAAUUAACAAUAUAAAAAAUUGGAACAAGAAAAAAAUCAAAAAAAUCUGAAUUUGAGUAUAAAAAUCUAUACAAGUCGAUGUAUAAAUAAUAUUUAGAAAAUGAUAGAAACCACAUGAUGAGAGAGUCGCAGCUUGACAAUGCUACAAAAUCUGAGGAAACAUAGUUGCACGGACCUGACUCAGCAUUGAUAUUUCGACACGUGUCAACUUGUCUGAACCCAUAUGUUGAUUUAAAAAUGAACCAAACUUGGGUUCACUCCUAUGGUGAAUCUCCUAAAUUCACCUCACUAUUGAUUACCAAUCAAAUAGCCAUAUAAGAUUAAUCAAAAAAGGUAUUAAAAUUUAAAAAAAAAGGAAAACAGCUUUAAAAAGAAAAGGGAAGACGUCGACUUAACGACGUUGAUCAAAACACCUCCUCGGCUGCUGCUUCUUCAAAUUCAGAGGCUUGUUCUCAGUGCCUAAAAAAAUACAGAUUGUAGUUUUCAAACAAAGGUUCGAGAUCUGUGUUUGAACGGUACGUCGCGUUACUCUCUUUUAUCCUUAUUCAAAUUUAAGAAUCGAUGUUUUUAGAUUAGGUCAAUUCCCUAAAACAACAUAAUUAACCUCAAGUAUAGUUAUUGUUUGUUAUAUAUCUCAGGAUCAUAUAGUUUUAAGCUUAGAGUUGUUAGAUCUUUUUUAAUCACAUAUAUGUAUGAUCAUGGGAAUAUGAGAGAAAAAAAAGGAAUAGAGGAGGUCACGGAUGCUUUGUAGCUUACCGCCAGUGUGUUAAAAAAAUUGGAGUUAAGCAUUACAGAAUCUUUUGAGUGGCUUUUUCAGACUUUUCUUGGAGCAAUGUCUGGAAAACAGCCGCAAACAAUUCUUACUGACCAAUGUGCAGCAAUGGAAAAUGCAAUAGGAAAAGUCUUCCCUGAAACAAAACAUAGGUUAUGUGUUUGGCAUAUUUACCAAAAUGCUACAAAGAGGUUGAGUUGUGUAUUUCAUGGACCAAACCAUUUUGCCACAGACUUUGGAAAAUGUGUAUAUGACCAUGAGAAUGAAGUAGAGUGGUUAUCGGCAUGGAGUGAAAUGCUCGAGAAGCAUGGAUUGAUAGAGAAUAAAUGGCUGAAUGAUUUGUUUGAGUUGAGAGAAAAAUGGGCAAGGGUAUAUGAUCGUCAAAAUUAUAACUUGUUGCGCUUCUUUAAACACUAUGAGAGAGUGUUGGAUGAUCGACGCUUUAAAGAAUUAACUGCUGACUUCAGUAUGAUGCAUACCUCGCCGGUAUUAUCAGCUCCUGUAGAAAUGUUGCAACAUGCAUUGGAUGUGUAUACACCAGAAGUCUUUACCUUGUUCCAGAAGGAAAACAUAGCUAUAGGUGAUUAUGUUGCCAAAAGGUUUAAUAAGUCUGAGAUGGUGAGUGCUGAAUACAAUGUAUCUUUACGUGGUGUUGGAAGAAAUCAUUUGGUUAACUAUGUUGCUGCAAACGAAACGAUACAUUGUAGUUGCAUGAAGUUUUCUUUUGGUGGAAUCUUAUGUCGUCAUGCAUUAAAAGUGUUGGCCAAGAAGGAUGUUAGAAGAAUUCCACCUACUUACAUUCUGAAUCGAUGGAGUAAAGAGGCUAAAGCACGAACCAUAUCCUUUUAUCAUUCAGCGACACCUAAUGAUACAGUGAAGCAAUCGAUCGGAAAGCGAUAUAGUCAUAUAUGUCGUACUUUCCGUGAGAUUGCGUCUGUUGCUGCUGAACAUGUAGAACUGACGUUGUGUGUAGAUGAAGCUGCCUCUCAGUUGCUUGAAAAAUUGGUGGAAAAGAAAAAGGAACUUGUGAAAGCUAAUAAAUGGAUGGUCCACUCUUUAGAUUUUGAACUUGUGGAAGAAGAAGAUGAAGAAGAAGUUCUAAACGCACGUGGAAUAAAAAGAAAAAAACCUCCUGGACGACCAAAGAACCAAAAAGCCGGACGCCAUGGUCGGUAUAUGAAUGUGCUUGAAAUAAAAAAUCGUGGUAUAUCAAAAUCAUCCAAUAAUGCUACAGCCAAAAAAAAGUUGUCAUUUCAGGUAUUUGAUAUAUAGUUUUUUUUGUUUGUCCAAUCUUCAUCGAAUUUUGGGACUUAAUCAAUCUACAGAUUUCAUGACUCAAGUCUUCCUCUUGAUACUCAGUUACCUGUUGCUGCCACUAGUCUCACCUUAGGCAAUGAAACUUCCUUUUCACAACUGCUCCAAGUUAAUACUUCAUUCUCUAGACCACUUAUAUUUGAAUUAUCUAUCAUUUUUUAAUUUGUGUAUGUGUCAUAUUUUGUAGGGAUUUGACAAGAGUUGUGGUGGAUCACCGUAAAACUCUGUUAUUUUAAAUAUGAAAGUAAAUAUGAAAGCAGAUAUUCGUUACCUGUUGCUGCCACUAGUCUCACCUUAGGCAAUGAAACUUCCUUUUCACAACUGCUCCAAGUUAAUACUUUAUUCUCUAUACCACUUAUAUUUGAAUUAUCUAUCAUUUUUUAAUUUGUGUAUGUGUCAUAUUUUGUAGGGAUUUGACAAGAGUUGUGGUGGAUCACCGUAAAACUCUGUUAUUUUAAAUAUGAAAGUAAAUAUGAAAGCAGAUAUUCAUUAUGUUUUGUUUUCGUUCCAACUUUUGGUGUUUCUAGCAUAUUCUUGUUUUUACACUUAUUAUUAUCUUCAAAAAUUAAGGUCAUAUUCAGCUUCAACGUCUCUGUUGAACCUUUAGCAAAGCACACACAAUGUCCCAACACUUCAUAGACUGCUCUGUUCUUGUAUUGAAUAUAUUAGUAUUCCCAGCUAAGUAGAAAAGUGUACAACAUUGCGACAAAAUAGUUUGAGAACGUGGGUUGUUUUUAUCCAUGUACAUGUUCUUGUAACUUAUGUCAAUGUGUAUACUCUCAUUCAUUCAUAUGUGUAGAAACUAUAUAUAAGGGUUGGAAAAUAAACUGGUCCAAGUAGCUUAAAACAAGCAUUUAUACAACACCAUGAAUGAAUGAUCUUCAGUAGUAGGUAAAUCAGAGUAAAAUGAACUGGUUUCAGGCCAUUCUGGUCAUAACCUCUUGAACAAGAAACUUUGUAUCUUUAUAACACGAGGCUAAGUUCUUCGUUUUAGUUGCAUUCUUCUUAAGUCUAUAUGUUCUCCCUUUUUUUUAAAGCUAUUUUCCUUUUUUUUCUUUAGUUUUAAUAUCUUUUUUGAUUAAUUGUCAAUUUGAUUGAUAAUCACUAGGAAAGUGAAUUUAGGGGAUUCACCACAGGGGUGAACCUAAGUUUUGUUCAUUAAAUAAUAGAUGGUCAUAUCUUAUUAGAUCAAACGUGAAAUAAACAUUUUAUUGGAAGUAUAACAUGUAAUUUAUUCUUUUUCUCAAACGUAAAAACAAAACAUGCAGAAACGUCGGAAACCAUAUUGUGCAUCUGUGUGCACUAAUGUUUUAUUGGAAACACAAUAGAAACAACAACAGAGAUUCAGAUCAGGUUCACCAAUUUUGUUCAGAUCCUUAAAUGGCUCAACGAAUUGUUCCCAUCACGUUUUCUAGCCACAUUGUGGUUAGAGGCUUCUGGAGUGGUUUCCCUGUACUUGGGAGGGUUUUCUUCAGACAAAAGCUCUUUAAUAGAUGCACAAAGAAAGAUGCAACCGAAGUGCGUGGCUCUUUACCUCCAUUUGCCAAAACUCUAUGCUCCACACUCACAAACUUGUCAUUCGUUAUAAGCUGCAAAAAAAAAAAAAAAAACACUAUGAAGACCUUGUUUAAUUACUAAUUAUGGACUGUUUGAUUAUAAGUGUAAACAACAACUUGCCUGAAGGAGAUCUCCAACUUACCUCAUAUAGUGAUGAAAGAUCUUUUUAGGAAUUCAAUCCAACUUGUGCUUUAGAAUAACAAUGAAUCAAAACGUAUCUUUUAUUCAAAAAUGCAAAAGAGUCGCACAAUAACAACUAUUAGAGAUCACAAGGUUAAUAAGUAAAUGAAGCCUGUUUAAUAUUGCUCUUGAUCUUUCUCUCUCGAUCUUUCUCUCUUGCUCGUUAUUGUCUGUGCUUUCGGAUGAUGAUUAAAGCCUUGACUACCUCCCUAUUUAUAACUCCAGCCACCGUCAUUAGAUUUCAUAUUCCUGAUUGUAUUCAACGCUUUUGUCUCUUGUCGAACUUGAAAAAGAAACUAAUGUGAUUAUUCCUUUUGUUGCAGGUCUUCAAACGUUGCUGGACUUGUGUGGGCCAGGAAUUGGGCCUCUACUUCACAAUUCUCCACCUAAGGCACAUAUUACUGUCCACACCUUAUGGCCCAACUGUUUUUACUUUGUUUUGUCUCUGGAAACGUCGAUGAACCUGGAGCGUUUCUUCUCCUUUCUCGAGUUACUCGAUAGACCAGUCCGCCUGAAGAUCCUUAAUCGCCAUCAAUCACCAUCGUCAUGCUCCUUGUUCUCUCCGAAGCGGUGAUGAAGUCUAUCAGCGAAUCCUCUUCGCCAUAGAUCCGAUGUAGCUCGUACGCCACUACCUUUUCCUUCACCCCCUUUUACGGCUUAGAUUCUUGAGAUCGACUUAACUUCCAAAUCCUCAGCUCUCUCUCUCUCUCUCUUCCACUCUCAUCAGCUACUCCUACAUGGUAAGGGAUCCAUAAUCCUUUUUUUUAAAAAAAAGCUCGCGAGUUCUUCUUUUUUUCUUGAUGAUUAACGAAUCGGUAUCUUGCAUGUUGUAGAUGAUGGAUGAACUGUUUCAACCUUGUCGAAUCUCUUAACAUUUACACCAAAAAAAAAAACCUUGUCGAAUUAUUACACUGCUCCUGGUAAGAUUCUCUGUCUUGAGUUUGCUUUAAAUGUUAGUGUAUCUCUUUUGAGUAUGACAGUGAGAUGCGAUUCUUCGACAUCUCGGUUUUGAGUUAUAUGAACCUUUAGAAACUUUCACCAUUUUUCAUACACCUGUCUCCCUUCAGCUCUUGAUAAAGCCACUGUCUUUAUGCUUUAGCUGUUUAAGACUAUGUCUAAUGAACACUAUUUUGCUUCCCUUGUAGCUGAGAUACUCGUCUCCCUCAGCUCCCACAGCUGUUUAAGACGUUCUCUGAAGGUAAUCAUCUUAUUAAACCAAUGUUUCCUUAUUGAUUUUAUCAUCCUUUGCUUACUCCUUUGUGUUUGAUAUAUCUGAAGCUUCUCCACCUUGAGCUAAGAACCCUUAUCCCUCGCCUCUCCUUCCCCACAGGUAACGUUUCCUUGGAACUCUAAAGUCCCUUCAUUGUUGUUUAAGAAAUAACUGGAGUACUUAACUCAUUAUUUCUUCUGUGGCGAGGUUACAACAAUGAUGUUACCUGUGGCGCCUAGCCCUUCUAGGCGAUGUUUAAGAGAUCACAACAGAGAUCAAACUUAGGCCCAGGUACGGCUUUAGUUAGGAAAUCUGCUGGAUUCUUAACCCUAGCUCCCUCGUCAAAGUUAAAACCAAACGUCAAAAAUUCUCACAAAACAUAGAUCUCACGGUGUUUUGCUUAAGGUUAGAGUACUAUCUACUCUUAUCUAGUCUCAUAGGUUCUUCUUCUUAUUAUGACUUCUUGUGUUGCUUGGUUACCCACUUACCGUCUAGAAUGCACUGCGAAUGCUUAUCUCUGUAGUUUUGGUGCUUCUUUUCUUUUAUACACUAAGUGAUUGACGCUUACGUAAUCGACGCUUAAUAAUAUAUUGUAGCUUGAGGACUCCUGUGAUCAAGUUGAUGUAUAAUCUUUGUUUGUAACUGAAACAAAUCUAAUAUGUAUUGAAAUUCAUUUUUAACAUGUAUUUUAUUGCUCUUUAGGGUAUAGUUUGUGUUUGCAUGUUCUUUACGUUAUUGAAUGCUUUAUUUGCAUGUUCAUCAUCAUAGUAAUUUAGUUUUUGUUAUUUUUUUUUUAUCACAGUUUCAAGUGGUCUUCAAGGCGAGUGCCUCGGUGCGCCAUGGCGCAAGGCGCAAGGCACAGACCUCAUCGCCAUGGAGCGCCAUGCGCCUUUUUAAACACAGCUUACUAGUAUGGAUCUUAGAUAGGUGAACCUUGCCUUCUACUAUAACGUCUCUUAUGAAGUGGUAUUUGUUGUCUAUGUGUUUAGUUCUUUCGUGAUGAACAUGAUUCUUUGCUAGGGCUAUAGCACUUUGUGAAUCGCAGUGUAUCUUAACACUUUCUUGUUCAAAACCCAACUCUGCACAUAACUUUCUUAACCAUAUGGCUUCUUUCGCGGCUGUGGUAAGAGCCAUGUACUCUGCUUCAGUCGUUGAAAGAGCUACCACUUCCUGUAAACUCGAUUUCCAGCUAACUGUGUUUCCCCAAACUUGAAACACAUAUCCAGUUACUGACCUUCUCCUGUCAAGGUCAGUUGAGUAGUCGGAAUUGCAAAAAACUUCAAUACUAAACUUGUAGUGUUUAGUAAACGUAAGACACCUUUUGUACCACCUUUUAGAUAUCUUAGAACCCACUUUACAGCUGACCAAUCCUCCCUUCCUGGUUCUGACAUGAAUCGGCUUAUGAGUCUGACUGCAAAGCCUAAAUCAGGUCUUGAACCGACCAUGGCGCACAUAAGACUCCCAACCGCACUUGCGUACGGUAUAUCUUGCAUGUACCUUCCUUCUUCUUCCUUUUGGUCUUUUGUAAGACUCCUCAAUUUAAAUUGAGUGGAGGUUGGCGUAAUCACUUCCUUUGCUUCAGUCAUCCCAAACGAAUUCAGAACCUUCUCCGAGUAAUUCUCUUGAGAUAAUACUAAGGUUCCUUUCUUUCAGUCUCUUAUGAUAUCCAUUCCCAAUAUCCCUGAAGCUUUUCCUAAGUCUUUCAUCUCAAACUCUUUGUUUAAGCUCUCUUUCACGUUUCUGAUUUCUUGUUUAUCUCCCGAAGCUAUAAGCAUAUCAUCGACGUAUAGAAGUAAGUACACGGCUUGUUUUGUGUUCACGUUUCUCAUGUAAACACAUGGAUAUUCCUUGCUUCUUACAAACCGCUGGAUCUUCAUGAAACAAUCAAACUUAAGAUUCCAUUGCCUUGGAGAUUGUUUCAAUCUAUAUAAUGACUUCUUUAGUAAACAGACUUUAUUUUCAUCUCUUUAUGAAUCCUUCUGGUUGAUUCAUUAAGAUUCUUUCUUCCAAAUCUCCAUGAAGAAAACUGUUUUAACGUCCAUCUGCUCAAGCUCAUAAUCCCUGUUGACCACGAGAGACAACAUCAAUCUGAUCGACACAUGCUUCACGAUAGGUGAAAACACUUCAUUGUAGUCAAUUCCUUCAUUUUGAAAAAAUCCCUGUGCAACCAAUCUUCCUUUAUACCUUGGAUCUUCGACUCCAGGUAUUCCGGGUUUCAACUUGAAGAUCCAUUUGCUACUUAAAACUUUUGCAUUCUCGGGUUUUUCAAUCAGUAUCCAUGUGCCAGCUCUUUGAAGAGAGUCCAUUUCAUCCCCGUCAACAUUCUUCCAAAACUUGCUUUUCUUGCUCAUCAUAGCUUCUUUAAACGACUUUGGCUCGUCGAUUUCUAUCUCUUCAGAUGCGGCUAAAGCAUAAGCUGCAAAAUCAGUAUCUUCAAACCUUGAAGGUGGCUUGAUUGUCCUCCGAACUCGGUCUCGUGCAAACAUAUAUCCCUCGAGUUCUGGUUCUGCUUCUGAGUCUUUAUCUUCUUCUACAAAACUGGUUUCUUCUGAGCUUUCUGAUUCUUCUGUUUCAGUAACUCCACCUUGAACCAAUGGUUCUUCGGUUGUACUCGUAGGUAGUGUAGGGCCAUCUAUUAGGUUUUCCCUAAACGUCACUCUUCUUGUUUUCUUUUCUAAUUCUACCUCUUCUCGAUGGGUCACCGUGUGUUUAAACAUCUCUUCCUCGUUAAACACUAUGUUCCUACUAGUGACACAUAUUCUCUCUUCAGACAGCCACACUCGAUAUCCUUUUACCCCGAAUGGGUAACCUAAGAAAACGCCCUUUACGGCCCUAGGACUCGUCUUUCCCUGAAUCGUAUGAACAUAGGCAGAGCAGCCGAAACUCCUUAAGUGAUUCAACUCAGGUUUUACACUUGACCAUACUUCUUCCGGUAAACGGUAAUCUAUGGCAGAACUUGGUGAUCGGUUAACAAUGUAGACCGCUGUUGAUGCAGCUUCAGCCCAGAAUUCUUCGCCUAACCCAGAUUUUGCGAGCAUGCAUCUCACCUUCUCCAUGAUUGUCCUGUUCAUUCUUUCAGACACACCGUUUUGUUGUUUUAAGAAGAAAUAAAAUGAUAUAAAAUUAUUAUUUCAAAAAUAAAAAUUAGUUUUAGUAAAUUAAAAUAAUUUAAUACAAUCGGAUUUGAAAAAUAAAUUAAAUAAAAACAACAACUGAUAACAUAUUACUUUUAAAAUUAAUAAACUUACAACUAGCUGUAAUAAAAUUAUAAUUUUAAAAAAUAAACAAUUAUUAUUUCUGCAUGUGGCAUAGAAAACAGUUAGUUUUCUUUGUAAAGCUAAUGGUAAAAUUUAAAAAAAAAAUAGUAUUAUUUUUUUUGGUUGACGCCUUAUAUUUUCCUAAUUAAACCUCAUUUAAAAAAGAAUAUGAGUACGUGGUAUCUAUUUUAUAUAAAAAUAAAAGUGGAUUGGUUUGUUUAUUUAAAUUAUUAAAUAGUAUGAUUAUUGGCACAUGUCAAAGUUUAUUUAUUUUUAUAGUGUUGGCAUGAACGGAAAAGAAUACGCGAAAAACGAAACAUCUUGUAACGUGGAAAGUGAUUUAAAAUAUAUAUAUAUAUAUGUGAUUAAUUAACAUGUAAGCUUAACUUUUUUUUGUUUGUUUGAUAUAUUUAAGAGAAAAACCCAAGUAAUAGAAAUUUUGUUAUUGUACAUUUUGUAAAAUUUUUAAUCAAAAAUACAAAAAUUUAAAAAUGUUAUCCUUUGGUAAAACAAUGGAGUCAUUUUUAUUUCAGGUCAAAUCAUUAUACGAAAAUGACAAUAAAUAUCAAAAAAUGAUAAUAAAGUACAAAUCAGCAAAUAGUUAUUCUAUGAUAAAUAUACAAAAAAUAUAUUAAACUUGCAAUAAUUAAUAUCAAUUGAUAAAUUGUCAUUUUUCCGUGUUUUCAAAUCUGAAUCACGAGUUUCUAAAAAUAGAAACAAAAGCUUUCAUUGUGUUUCUAAGAUGAGAUUUUUCAGAAACUCGAUUACAAUGGCAUAAAUUGUAAUUUUUUUUGUAAAACUAAGGGUAACUCUAAAAAUGUUAAUAAUAUUAAUUUAUGUUUUUGUUGGCACCUUAUAUGGUGCCAAAUUAAACCUCUUUUUUUCAAAAUAAUAUGAGUACGUGGUAUCUAUGUUAUACAAAAACAAAAGUGGGAUUGAUUUGCUUAUUUAAAUUAUUAAAAAGUAAUUGAUUAUUGGCACAUGUCAAAAUUGUUUAUUAAUUUUAUAUUGUUGAGAUUUAAAUUUUAACUCAGUAAUUCAGGUUACUAAGAGGAUAAGUAGAAGUUUAUGGGCGAAAUUGCAUUACCAAAGUGAAAAAAUAUAUUAAAAAGGUCGAGUGGUGUUUAGACGUCUACCUAAUCUUCAAGUUCCUAAUCGGUUUUUAAAUUCCUUGAGGAACAAGAUAAGGCCACUGACGACUAAAAUGAAAGAGUUAAUGUAUCCAUUGCAAACUUAACUCAUCGAAUCGAAAUGGUGACUCGGUAAAAAAAAUCGAAAUGGUGACUCGGUAAAAAAAAUCGAAAUGGUGACUAUCGAUCAAACAAGAAAUGGUAAGUAUGGAUCAAAGAAGGUAUAUGGACAAGAUUCCAUGAUGAACACCAAAGAGAUACUAAGACUGACGAGUCGAUGUUACUAAGAGACUUGGCUAUAAACCCUUUCUCUUUCAUACAUGGACAGCUUUUAUGGAAUGGUUGGGUCUGAGGGACACUAUCAGCACCUUAACUCUUCGCCGCUUGGUUGCUCAAGCGACCUUAUACUCGGUCUGGUGGGAGCGUAAUAACAGGCUCCACAACUCAAUCUCUGUUCCGCCAGCAAUAACAUUCAGGAAGAUUGAUAGACUUGUUUGCAAUGCCAUUUUAGCACGAAGGGAGCGUAAGAAAUUUCGUAACCUAAUGAUACACUGGCUAAAGUAUGACUGAAGAUUCACGUGGUGGCCAUCCUCUGGUUUCUUCUUUUUUUUUUGGCAAAGGAUAGUUGGACAGCUUUUAUGGAAUGGUUGGGUCUGAGGGACACUAUCAGCACCUUAACUCUUCGCCGCUUGGUUGCUCAAGCGACCUUAUACUCGGUCUGGUGGGAGCGUAAUAACAGGCUCCACAACUCAAUCUCUGUUCCGCCAGCAAUAACAUUCAGGAAGAUUGAUAGACUUGUUUGCAAUGCCAUUUUAGCACGAAGGGAGCGUAAGAAAUUUCGUAACCUAAUGAUACACUGGCUAAAGUAUGACUGAAGAUUCACGUGGUGGCCAUCCUCUGGUUUCUUCUUUUUUUUUUGGCAAAGGAUAGUUGAAAUGUUCUAACCUUUUGUAUUAAGCAAACAAUCUUAUUUUCAUAAUGAAAUUCAUAUACUUAUCAAAAAAGAAAAAUUGCCUCAUCACCAAUCUGAAAUUUUUGAAAAUGAAUUGAAUUGAUGAAUAAACAUCCGAAAUGCAUAAAUUAUAUUCAGACAAUGCAAUAUAUAAAACAUCAUAGUUAUAUGUUUAAUAGAAAUGCCUUCGAUUUACCAUCAAUAUGCAAAUUUCUCAAUUUUGUACUAAAAUGUCAAAUCUGGAUCAACAAGGACCGAAUCUACUUCUAAUAUCAAAUCAUGAUAAACUACGACAUAAUAAAGCAUUGGAUUCUGUUAAUAAAAAAUAGGAAAAUUGGGUUUUUAGAGUAAGAAAAUGAUAACUACGUACUCUUAUACUAAUAUAUUUAUUUUGUGUCAUUUUUGCCUAUAAUAUCAUUUAAUAUUUUUGAAAAUAAAUUUAAUAAACAGUUUUACAAACAAAUCUUUUUUUAAAAAAAUAGUAACUAUUGAUAAAAUACCUAUAUGAACUUAGUGGUAUCUUUUUCAGUUAUGUUUAAAUCAUAAUUUUCAGAUUAUGUUUUAAAUAAAGUAGAAAUGACAUUCUGCGAAGUAGAAAACGAAAUCCACUUUUUUCUUAAAAUCUACAAUGUUUAGAAUACAUGAUCUACGUAAAUAAGAGUAUUCUAAAAAUAUUUAGAAUACACAUUCCGCGCUUAACCUACCGAUCUAAAAUCUUUAAAAAUCAAAAUCUACACAUUAAUAUAAAUCUAAAACACGUAGAAACUGACUUCUACAGAUUUACUGUAAAUCUAAAACAUGUAAAAAUUAAAAUCUACACAUUACUAUAAUUCUAAAAACCUGUAGAAACCGAAUUCUACAGAUUAGCUAUAUUCUACGGAUAAGAAAUCAGUUCCUAAAUAUAUGGAAACAAAAUAUUUGGGAAUAUUCACUUUAAUAUUUUGAAAAAAUCGAUUUUUAAAACAAAAACUUAAAAAAUGAAAAAAACGUGGUAACCUUCUUCUCACGCCGUCUUCAAUAUUCCAUUGAUUGUUCACAAAAUUUUCACAUUAUUUCUACCAAAUCAGUCUGAAAUUGAGUGAAUUAUGGUUUAUGAACUUGAGACUUUGAUUUUCUCCCCCCUUUGUUCGUGAAGGACAUGAGAAAUUUCGUCCCAAAGAAAUCGAGUUUAAAGAGUUGAAAUCAUGUUUGGUCGGUUCAAAUCAAGUGGGAAUCAAACCGUAUAUAACCGAAGAAAAUCAAGAAAUCGAUUUGGAAUAUUUACCUGGGCACGAGAUCGAUCAGUCUAUAAUUCAAGAUCGGUCGAUCUGUAUGAAAUCGACCUUUGCCGAUCGAGUGAAAUGGACCAGGUCGAUCAGUAUAUGCUCUACAUUUUUUUUGUUCUGCAUAAUGAUCAUGAUCGAUCGAUCCAUUCGAUCUUGUAAUUUCGGAUCGAUCGAUCCCGCUUGAUCGAAUCCAUUAUUUAUUAUACUUAAAAUUACAAUUUUAAUGGCAUUAUUGCCAUUUUAAAAAUAAUUAGCCUAAUGUGACAUAAAGUAUAUGAGAUUAGUCUAAAAGAACAUAGUUAUUUUUGCUCUAAAAAACAGUUUUCCCUAUAAAAUUAUACUUUUGUAGUGUACAAAAUAAAACUUUUUGUCGCUGACUAGAAACAUUUUGUCCACCCACAUGGAUGCCUGCCAUACGCUGAAAAUUUUAACAUUAUUUCCCUAUAUAAGUUAUAAACUUAUAGUAUUCUUCAAUAUAUAUAAUAUAUUUUUCAAUUAUAAACUCUUACCGAUUAGUACCAGUCAUGUUUGUUAACCAUGAUGCAUAAGUCGUUCAAAUAGGGUUUAAUGCUAACAAAUGAGAUCUGAUUCAAGAUGAAUCGAAGAACUAUCAUCUAAUAGAAAAGCAUGUGAAUUCUCACCGUGGCGGGCUCGUUACUAUAAGAAUCGAAUGGUAACGUUGUUUUGAAAGUAUAAUAAACAGUGCAAAAUAAACUUGCAAUAUGAUACAAUUCAUAUGCAUUAGACCUGUUUUGAAAAACGUGUUCGGUUUUAUUUUUUAACUAGGGGCAUUGCCUCUGCGCAAGCGCGGAGUUGUGGACAGAGUUCUUGUUUCAUCUCAAUAUUUGUUAGGGUUGUUAUAGCUGUGAAUUUUGCGUUUUGGGUUGAUCAAUUUUUUUAAGUUUUUUUAUUGUUAUAGGUUAGAGUUGUGAUGGUGAACUGUGUAUGCACUGUUCUCCACUCAUGACGGACUAAACUGUGUUAGUAAUGUGAUUGAUAUAGUUCGUGGUGUUGUUUGCUGUGUCACUGAGACUUAUUGUUUGUUUGUCUUUUUAAUUUGUUACUUGUACUAUUGAGAUUACAUAAAUUAUAUUAAGUUUGUUGAGAGUACUUUUUGUUUUUGUAUAUUUUUUCUCUAGUUUAGUUGUGUAAGUUGUAUGUAUUAAGUAAUAAUUUUUUUAUUCUUAUUAUGUUGGUUAUAUGUUUUAUUUUUAUUUUUAAACUUGUUGCUUUUACCGGACAUUUAAAACAAAUACAUGAAUACUUGUAGAAAUAACUAUAAAAUGAGUGACAAUUAGUAUUUGGGUCUUAAUGAGUUUUAAACGAAUAUAUGUAUUUUUCGUAAGAAGACAAUAACAUUGGCAUGUUGACAUCGAACAUGUAAGCUAUUUUCAUAAGACAAGAGGAGUGAGUAGGUGGAGAUGUUGUUGUCGCAUUUGUGUCUGUUGGGAUUGUCUCUUGUAUCUCCUGGUGUGGUUGUGUUUGUUUCUCUUUUAUUUGAUGGGUAAUAUGUAAACAAAAAUCAUUGUUAGUUGUAUUUAUCAGAGUUUGUAACUUACUCUGCUUUUUUUGUUUAGGUAAGUUCACUGAUCUUGGUUGUCAUAUUCGUCUUCUUCGUAAGUAUAUGCGAAAGUAAGUUUGUAAAUUGUUAAAUAGCUGGCCAUGUAGUUGUAUUUGCUUAGCUGGCUCAAUGUAUGUAUCGUUAAGUUUUAGUUGAGUUGAUUGGUUUGGUAUAUUUGUUUUGAAGUUUAUUUGUAUUAGAUAAAAAGAGAGGUGAUCAUUAAUGAUUUGUCUUUUUGAGAUUCUUGUUUUUGGUGUUUUGAUUGUUUGGGUUAUUGUGGUUUCUUUUAAGCUGUAAAAUAAAGAUUUGUGUAAAAUUAGAUUGAUAAGUAAGGGAAAUAAAUAGAUGACCACAAAUCUUGGGUAGGAAAUAUUUUUGAUUAUUGAUGUUAGCACAAUAUAGAUAGUAAUAUAAAGAGAAUUAUGUGUUGAUUGUUUCUUAUGGAUCAAUGAGGAGAGAGAUAACGACUCGAGUUGUUUCUUUGGUGAGGUCAAAGCCCUGUACAGAACGGAUUUUCCCAACUACAUCUGCGAGUUUAAAUAUCAGUUACGAUAUCGAAACAUAAUAUAAACCCAUAUGCAAUAUGAUAAUAUACAUGGGAGUUCUAGGUUUGUGUUCACAAUCACUCGGAGAUUAUCGAACAGUCUAAUCUUCACUGGAGAUUGAUCUCAGGAGCACCCGUGAUGACUUCAUCAAUAAUGGUUAGUGAGAUGAAACCAAUGAGGAAUGGAUGAUCAGUUAUCUUGUACAUGCUUGAGCACCUAGCAACCUCAAAACGAUUGACUUUCACAUUGGAACCUCCUUUCAAAGAUGGCAUGUAAUGAUGAGCACGUCCGACAGUUAGUAUUUGGGUCUUAAUGAGUUUUAAACGAAUAUAUGUAUUUUUCGUAAGAAGACAAUAACAUUGGCAUGUUGACAUCCCGACAGGAGUAAACCAAUGAAUCACGGAAUCUGCAAAUAAUAUUAUUCAACAAAAAUUCAGAAAAUUAAUUAAAAAAUUAAGUUAAAUAAGUGUGAUAGAUCGAAGAUUAACUUAACUUUUCAUCAAGGAAGAGAACCGUGAUUCCCGCAAACUCCCUGUCUUUCUUGAAGUUCAGAGAAUCCUAGAAGCGGAGGAAGCCAGAGGCUAUGCUAUGACUACUACGACCAAGACGGAGAGACUCGAAGGUUGAGUGACGUACGCCGGGACGCCGGCUUAACGAACUGGAGAGGCAGAGAUAAACAUUUUCUAGAAGAUGGUUAUUUAAUUUGUUACUUGUACUAUUGAGAUUACAUAAAUUAUAUUAAGUUUGUUGAGAGUACUUUUUGUUUUUGUAUAUUUUUUCUCUAGUUUAGUUGUGUAAGUUGUAUGAAUCUAAGAGGAAUCAAUGAGUUUUGUGGAGAUGCAGAUUGGGUUCAUCAAAGAUGAGAAUCAUAUAUAUAGGGUUUACAGAGGGGCUACAAAUCAGGAAAAUUUAUGAUCAAGCGGUUUAAGAUGUGGACAUGAAGAGUUUACCGGUGAAAAAUAGAUUACGAACAGACACACGGCACAAGUCUGUAACUCAGACUUGUUUGAGACAAUAAUGAAAAGAACUCAAACUCAUGUUAAACGACAACAUUUUACAAUAUGAGAAAACUAUAGUUGUUGCAAACUUGAGUUUUUUUUUUCAUAUAUGAAUCUCAUUUAAAAAAGAAACCCAUAAGACACUUGUAGGCCCGACCCUCAGAGGAAGCGGAAGAAGUAAGAGUUUCCGACCUUCAUAAAUAUAUAUUAGGUUCGGUCAUCAAUGUACAAAGUAUCAUUUAGCUUAGUGGUAUAAAUGUUGGUGUUUAUAUCUCAAUAACCCGGGUUUGACCUAUGGACUUGACACUUUUUCACAUUUUUUAAAAAUGGGGCCUACAAAACGCUGACGUGACACGCUGAGGAGUGAGCAAAAAAACUCAACAAUUAUAAUAUAGAUUAUUUUGUAAAAACUACUUUUUUGUAAAAACUAUUUUUUUGAUAGAAUGUGUGAGUGGUGAAAAAUGUGAAUUUCAAUAUUAUUUUUGAAGUCUCCACUGUACUGUUGCACCAGUAAAUAGUCAAUACCUAAAAGGGCUUUUGGGAAUAUGAUGGGAAUCAUAUUCCAUCUAGCAUUUUAAAAAUUUAAGCCUAGACAGUUCUAAACGGGUUUAAAUUACUAGUUUACAGUUUACACAUAUAUAACAAAAGUUACAAGAUUACUUUUUUUUUGUCAAAAGUUACAAGAUUACUAAAUCGUUUAAUCAAAUGGUCGAUGAAAUUGACAAAAACGUUAGACCAAAGAAAGACAAAAACUCUAAUCAAGGUAACAUGUUAUUAAAAGCCCAACGGCAAUAUUGGUUACAAGUGGAUAUACUAAACCCAUUACAACAUUACAUUAUACCCAAAACUGGCCCAAGAAUACAGAGGGUGUAAAGCAAGGUAAUGCUGAAUAUUUAUGUGUCAUUAAUCGUGAGUUUAGAGCUCAAUAUAUACAACUCGACUUUGGCCUUAUCUACUUAGCCGACAAUAUUAAAGAUAAACCCUCUAAUAUUUACAUCAUUAUCUAAGUAUAACACAUCAUUAUCACAACACUCCCCCUCAAGUUGGAGUAUGCGUACUACAAAUGCUCAACUUGGACAUAAGAUGACUGAACUGAACCUUCCCCAAAGCCUUUGUUAAAACGUCCGCCAAUUGCUCCUUAGUACCAAUAUGUGCUGCAGUAAUCACUUCUGACUUCAGAGCUGAUCUACGUAAAUAAGAGUAUUCUAAAAAUAUUUAGAAUACACAUUCCGCGCUUAACCUACCGAUCUAAAAUCUUUAAAAAUCAAAAUCUACACAUUAAUAUAAAUCUAAAACACGUAGAAACUGACUUCUACAGAUUUACUGUAAAUCUAAAACAUGUAAAAAUUAAAAUCUACACAUUACUAUAAUUCUAAAAACCUGUAGAAACCGAAUUCUACAGAUUAGCUAUAUUCUACGGAUAAGAAAUCAGUUCCUAAAUAUAUGGAAACAAAAUAUUUGGGAAUAUUCACUUUAAUAUUUUGAAAAAAUCGAUUUUUAAAACAAAAACUUAAAAAAUGAAAAAAACGUGGUAACCUUCUUCUCACGCCGUCUUCAAUAUUCCAUUGAUUGUUCACAAAAUUUUCACAUUAUUUCUACCAAAUCAGUCUGAAAUUGAGUGAAUUAUGGUUUAUGAACUUGAGACUUUGAUUUUCUCCCCCCUUUGUUCGUGAAGGACAUGAGAAAUUUCGUCCCAAAGAAAUCGAGUUUAAAGAGUUGAAAUCAUGUUUGGUCGGUUCAAAUCAAGUGGGAAUCAAACCGUAUAUAACCGAAGAAAAUCAAGAAAUCGAUUUGGAAUAUUUACCUGGGCACGAGAUCGAUCAGUCUAUAAUUCAAGAUCGGUCGAUCUGUAUGAAAUCGACCUUUGCCGAUCGAGUGAAAUGGACCAGGUCGAUCAGUAUAUGCUCUACAUUUUUUUUGUUCUGCAUAAUGAUCAUGAUCGAUCGAUCCAUUCGAUCUUGUAAUUUCGGAUCGAUCGAUCCCGCUUGAUCGAAUCCAUUAUUUAUUAUACUUAAAAUUACAAUUUUAAUGGCAUUAUUGCCAUUUUAAAAAUAAUUAGCCUAAUGUGACAUAAAGUAUAUGAGAUUAGUCUAAAAGAACAUAGUUAUUUUUGCUCUAAAAAACAGUUUUCCCUAUAAAAUUAUACUUUUGUAGUGUACAAAAUAAAACUUUUUGUCGCUGACUAGAAACAUUUUGUCCACCCACAUGGAUGCCUGCCAUACGCUGAAAAUUUUAACAUUAUUUCCCUAUAUAAGUUAUAAACUUAUAGUAUUCUUCAAUAUAUAUAAUAUAUUUUUCAAUUAUAAACUCUUACCGAUUAGUACCAGUCAUGUUUGUUAACCAUGAUGCAUAAGUCGUUCAAAUAGGGUUUAAUGCUAACAAAUGAGAUCUGAUUCAAGAUGAAUCGAAGAACUAUCAUCUAAUAGAAAAGCAUGUGAAUUCUCACCGUGGCGGGCUCGUUACUAUAAGAAUCGAAUGGUAACGUUGUUUUGAAAGUAUAAUAAACAGUGCAAAAUAAACUUGCAAUAUGAUACAAUUCAUAUGCAUUAGACCUGUUUUGAAAAACGUGUUCGGUUUUAUUUUUUAACUAGGGGCAUUGCCUCUGCGCAAGCGCGGAGUUGUGGACAGAGUUCUUGUUUCAUCUCAAUAUUUGUUAGGGUUGUUAUAGCUGUGAAUUUUGCGUUUUGGGUUGAUCAAUUUUUUUAAGUUUUUUUAUUGUUAUAGGUUAGAGUUGUGAUGGUGAACUGUGUAUGCACUGUUCUCCACUCAUGACGGACUAAACUGUGUUAGUAAUGUGAUUGAUAUAGUUCGUGGUGUUGUUUGCUGUGUCACUGAGACUUAUUGUUUGUUUGUCUUUUUAAUUUGUUACUUGUACUAUUGAGAUUACAUAAAUUAUAUUAAGUUUGUUGAGAGUACUUUUUGUUUUUGUAUAUUUUUUCUCUAGUUUAGUUGUGUAAGUUGUAUGUAUUAAGUAAUAAUUUUUUUAUUCUUAUUAUGUUGGUUAUAUGUUUUAUUUUUAUUUUUAAACUUGUUGCUUUUACCGGACAUUUAAAACAAAUACAUGAAUACUUGUAGAAAUAACUAUAAAAUGAGUGACAAUUAGUAUUUGGGUCUUAAUGAGUUUUAAACGAAUAUAUGUAUUUUUCGUAAGAAGACAAUAACAUUGGCAUGUUGACAUCGAACAUGUAAGCUAUUUUCAUAAGACAAGAGGAGUGAGUAGGUGGAGAUGUUGUUGUCGCAUUUGUGUCUGUUGGGAUUGUCUCUUGUAUCUCCUGGUGUGGUUGUGUUUGUUUCUCUUUUAUUUGAUGGGUAAUAUGUAAACAAAAAUCAUUGUUAGUUGUAUUUAUCAGAGUUUGUAACUUACUCUGCUUUUUUUGUUUAGGUAAGUUCACUGAUCUUGGUUGUCAUAUUCGUCUUCUUCGUAAGUAUAUGCGAAAGUAAGUUUGUAAAUUGUUAAAUAGCUGGCCAUGUAGUUGUAUUUGCUUAGCUGGCUCAAUGUAUGUAUCGUUAAGUUUUAGUUGAGUUGAUUGGUUUGGUAUAUUUGUUUUGAAGUUUAUUUGUAUUAGAUAAAAAGAGAGGUGAUCAUUAAUGAUUUGUCUUUUUGAGAUUCUUGUUUUUGGUGUUUUGAUUGUUUGGGUUAUUGUGGUUUCUUUUAAGCUGUAAAAUAAAGAUUUGUGUAAAAUUAGAUUGAUAAGUAAGGGAAAUAAAUAGAUGACCACAAAUCUUGGGUAGGAAAUAUUUUUGAUUAUUGAUGUUAGCACAAUAUAGAUAGUAAUAUAAAGAGAAUUAUGUGUUGAUUGUUUCUUAUGGAUCAAUGAGGAGAGAGAUAACGACUCGAGUUGUUUCUUUGGUGAGGUCAAAGCCCUGUACAGAACGGAUUUUCCCAACUACAUCUGCGAGUUUAAAUAUCAGUUACGAUAUCGAAACAUAAUAUAAACCCAUAUGCAAUAUGAUAAUAUACAUGGGAGUUCUAGGUUUGUGUUCACAAUCACUCGGAGAUUAUCGAACAGUCUAAUCUUCACUGGAGAUUGAUCUCAGGAGCACCCGUGAUGACUUCAUCAAUAAUGGUUAGUGAGAUGAAACCAAUGAGGAAUGGAUGAUCAGUUAUCUUGUACAUGCUUGAGCACCUAGCAACCUCAAAACGAUUGACUUUCACAUUGGAACCUCCUUUCAAAGAUGGCAUGUAAUGAUGAGCACGUCCGACAGGAGUAAACCAAUGAAUCACGGAAUCUGCAAAUAAUAUUAUUCAACAAAAAUUCAGAAAAUUAAUUAAAAAAUUAAGUUAAAUAAGUGUGAUAGAUCGAAGAUUAACUUAACUUUUCAUCAAGGAAGAGAACCGUGAUUCCCGCAAACUCCCUGUCUUUCUUGAAGUUCAGAGAAUCCUAGAAGCGGAGGAAGCCAGAGGCUAUGCUAUGACUACUACGACCAAGACGGAGAGACUCGAAGGUUGAGUGACGUACGCCGGGACGCCGGCUUAACGAACUGGAGAGGCAGAGAUAAACAUUUUCUAGAAGAUGGUUAUAUCUAAGAGGAAUCAAUGAGUUUUGUGGAGAUGCAGAUUGGGUUCAUCAAAGAUGAGAAUCAUAUAUAUAGGGUUUACAGAGGGGCUACAAAUCAGGAAAAUUUAUGAUCAAGCGGUUUAAGAUGUGGACAUGAAGAGUUUACCGGUGAAAAAUAGAUUACGAACAGACACACGGCACAAGUCUGUAACUCAGACUUGUUUGAGACAAUAAUGAAAAGAACUCAAACUCAUGUUAAACGACAACAUUUUACAAUAUGAGAAAACUAUAGUUGUUGCAAACUUGAGUUUUUUUUUUCAUAUAUGAAUCUCAUUUAAAAAAGAAACCCAUAAGACACUUGUAGGCCCGACCCUCAGAGGAAGCGGAAGAAGUAAGAGUUUCCGACCUUCAUAAAUAUAUAUUAGGUUCGGUCAUCAAUGUACAAAGUAUCAUUUAGCUUAGUGGUAUAAAUGUUGGUGUUUAUAUCUCAAUAACCCGGGUUUGACCUAUGGACUUGACACUUUUUCACAUUUUUUAAAAAUGGGGCCUACAAAACGCUGACGUGACACGCUGAGGAGUGAGCAAAAAAACUCAACAAUUAUAAUAUAGAUUAUUUUGUAAAAACUACUUUUUUGUAAAAACUAUUUUUUUGAUAGAAUGUGUGAGUGGUGAAAAAUGUGAAUUUCAAUAUUAUUUUUGAAGUCUCCACUGUACUGUUGCACCAGUAAAUAGUCAAUACCUAAAAGGGCUUUUGGGAAUAUGAUGGGAAUCAUAUUCCAUCUAGCAUUUUAAAAAUUUAAGCCUAGACAGUUCUAAACGGGUUUAAAUUACUAGUUUACAGUUUACACAUAUAUAACAAAAGUUACAAGAUUACUUUUUUUUUGUCAAAAGUUACAAGAUUACUAAAUCGUUUAAUCAAAUGGUCGAUGAAAUUGACAAAAACGUUAGACCAAAGAAAGACAAAAACUCUAAUCAAGGUAACAUGUUAUUAAAAGCCCAACGGCAAUAUUGGUUACAAGUGGAUAUACUAAACCCAUUACAACAUUACAUUAUACCCAAAACUGGCCCAAGAAUACAGAGGGUGUAAAGCAAGGUAAUGCUGAAUAUUUAUGUGUCAUUAAUCGUGAGUUUAGAGCUCAAUAUAUACAACUCGACUUUGGCCUUAUCUACUUAGCCGACAAUAUUAAAGAUAAACCCUCUAAUAUUUACAUCAUUAUCUAAGUAUAACACAUCAUUAUCACAACACUCCCCCUCAAGUUGGAGUAUGCGUACUACAAAUGCUCAACUUGGACAUAAGAUGACUGAACUGAACCUUCCCCAAAGCCUUUGUUAAAACGUCCGCCAAUUGCUCCUUAGUACCAAUAUGUGCUGCAGUAAUCACUUCUGACUUCAGAGCAUCACACACCCGAUGACAACCGAUCUCUACGUGUUUAGUACGUUCAUGAAACACCGGGUUCGUAGCUAUAUAUAUCGCAUACUUACUAUCACAGUAGAGACGAGAUGGAGUCUUCUGCGUGAAACCCAAAUCCCUCAAGAGCUGUCGCAGCCAUUGCACUUCACGACUUGCAAUAGAGAUGGUGCGAUACUCUUCUUCGGCCGAAGAUUGCGACACAACCUUCUGUUUCUUGGUUUUCCAAGAAACUGGAGAACCUCCUAUCAUGGCAACAUAAGCAGUCAAAGACCUUCUCGUUAGUGGACACACUGCCCAAUCAGCGUCGCAGUAGAUGGAGACCUGUAGAUCCGUUUCUGAUUUGAGCAAUAUCCCCUGCCCGACUGUCCCUUUGAGAAACCGCACAACUCGCAGUGCUGCUUCCAUAUGACCUUCUCGCAGUUUCUGCAUGAACUGAGACAGUAUAUGUACUGAGUAGGAUAUAUCAUGUCUCAUAUUAGUAAGGUAGAUAAGCCUCCCUAAAAGACGUCUAUAACGCGCCGGUUCAGCCGUAAAGGAACUGUCGUCUGUAGCGAGGUGAUGAUUCUGUUCCAUGGGAGUUUCAGCAGACUUUGAAUCAACCUGACCGGUCUCCUUAACAAUGUCCAAAGCAUAUUUUCUUUGACUCAACACAAAACCUUCUUUAUUACGCCCAAUCUCGAUUCCAAGAAAGUACUUCAACCUCCCUAGAUCUUUCAUGUGAAAACAUUCACCAAGAUAACCUUUAAACUUUGUAAUUGCUUCUCCAUCGUUCCCACAAACAAUGAGAUCAUCCACAUAAAUCAACACUCGAAUCUCAACAGUACCACGUGAGUAAAUGAACAAGGAGUAGUCGGACAGAGAUUGAACAAACCCUGCCUUGACCAGUGCCUUUGUGAGCUUCUCAAACCAACACCGAGGAGCCUGCUUUAGUCCAUAAAGGGAUUUAUGUAACCGGCACACUUUGUUUGGAUCUGAGUUAUUAACACCCUGCGGAAGCUUGAUAUAAACUUCUUCAUCUAAAUCACCAUGGAGAAAAGCGUUGUGCACAUCCAUCUCAUGUACCUCCCAAUCCUGAGUAACUACUAUCUUCAAUAGACUUCGUACCGUAGUCAUUUUCGCAACUGGAUCAAACGUUUCAGCAUAAUCACAACCAGCUUUCUGACGGUUUCCAAGUACCAGCAACCUUCCCUUGAAUCGUUCCACAGUCCCGUCAGCAUUAUAUUUGAUUUUAAAAACCCACAUUGUUCCCAAAGCCACUCGGCCAUGAGGCAAGUCAACCACACUCCAAGUAUUUGCGACCUCUAGCACAUCAACUUCUUUGUAAACAGCUUUUGUCCACCUCUUAUCACGCAUGGCUUCUUUAAAAUUCUUAGGCUCACUGUCAGCACAAACAGCUGCAAGAAAAGCUUUGUGUCCACGAGAAAAAUGUUCAUCUGAAAUAUAUUCAGUAAGUGGGUACAAUGUAUUACCUGAGACCGGGUCGAAGAAGACACUGAAAGAGCGAUCGGUGGUGAGGACGUGAGGGGUACUAUCAUUGCACGCUGCCUUGUAAGUAACGUAAUCGUUUAACCUCACAGAAGGUUGCUUAACACGUUGUCCUCUACCAAGCAAGCACUCUGUUUCCGGCGGAGCAUUUGCUGGAGCUUCUUCUGGAGCUCCAUUGUCUUGUUCAUUAGUACUCGAAACCUCUGGCCCAACUUCAAUGAUUGCGGAGUCCUGAGAGGCUAAUGUUUCCUCAGACUGAUCGCCAUUACUCCCCCUGACAUCGACAACCUCCACUUCGUUUGUUACCAACUCAUCAUCAAAACUCUCCAUACUGACAGGAGAAGACUUCUCUGCGACAACUUCAGAAAAUGGAAACUCUUCCUCUCUGAAAACUACAUCUCAAGACACAAAGAACUCACUGGUUUCCAAAUCAUAUAACUUCCAACCCUUCUUCCCGAAAGGAUAUCCGACGAACACACACUUUCUACUGCGAGGAACAAUUUUGUUCUUGUCGCGUAAUUGCUUAUGUGCAAAGCACAGAGAGCCAAACACUUGUAGCUUUGAGUACGAUGGAGGCGAUCCGAACAACACUUCAUGAGGACACUUUCCAUUGAGUAUUCUGGUUGGAGUAAGAUUAAUGACAUGAGCCGCUGUAAGAACAGCUUCCCCCCAGAACUUGAUUGGCAUCUUCGCCUAAAACAUCAAGGAUCUCACUACAUUUAACAGAUGACGAUGUUUCCUUUCUACUCUACCGUUCUGCUACGGCGUUCCCACACAGGAAGUUUGUUGAAUUAUCCCUUUCGAUUUGAAAAAUGAGCCAAGGCACAUAAACUUUGUGCCAUUAUCACUUCGAACCUUCUUGAUUCGCUUUCCAAACUGUGUUUCUGCGUAAGCAUAAAAAUUCUGCACCACUUCUUUAACUUCUGAUUUCUCGAGAAGCAAAUAAGUCCAUACAGUACGUGAAUAGUCGUCUACCACGGUUAAAAAAUAUGAGGCUCCGUUAGAGGCCUGAAUCAACUCAAAACAUGCUUUAGUUUUAUUAGAACUUUCGGGAAACAAAUCUCUUGCUUGCUUAGCCUUAAAACAGACCUCACAUGAAUCUAAACUUGCAGAAUAUUUAACACCAGAAAACACAGAUGAAGAAGAUAAAACUGAAAGCCCUGGAUGUCCGAGUCGCUGAUGCCACAAAACCUUAUCCUCAACCUUUGCAGCUUUGUUGGCACGAGCGGCUUUAACGUCUGUAAAAUAGUACACCCCAUCACGUUCCUCACCUGCUCCAAUAAGCGUCCUCGAACACCGGUCCUACAAAAUGCACAAUGUAUCUGUGAAAAACGCAAAAAAAUUUGAUUGCUUGAGGAGUUUCAAAACAGAGAUCAAUGAGCAAUUCAGGUAUGGUACGUAUAAAACGCCAUAUAAAGAGAUACAAUCAGAUAAAGGCAACACGCCUAUCUUCUUUGCAACCGUACUACUUCCAUCAGCAAAUCCAGUCUUGCAUGAAGAUAUAUCUUCAAGAUUAAUAAGUAGAUUUAUAUCACCAGUCAUAUGGUGCGAUACUCCUGUAUCGAGUAUCACAUCUCCCAACUUCUUACCAGACAUUUUAUCUGAACUACCACUGGGCUUCUCCUGCAAUAUUUGACUGAUAGCUCUCCAUUGUUCUGCGGUAAACUCAGGGAUAGUUGCACCAGGAUUGGCACUGGUAGCGUAAGCAGCAUUCAACUGACCUCUUCCUCUGCUUGCUCCACUGCGUCCUCCUCCUCUACUUGUACCACGAGUUCCACGUCCUCCUCGUUCUGUAAACCACUCAGGAUAGCCGAUCAACUGCCAACAUGUGUUCUUAUCAUGACCGGUUCUCUCGCAAUUUGAGCAACUUCUAUCUUUUCCUCUAUUUUGUGAGGUCAAUGAACCAAACUCAUCACGCACUCCUCCGCGUCCUCCACUCAAAUCACCAUUAUUAUUGUCACGCCAAGACACAAAACCAACAGCAUCCUGCUGCUGUUCCUGUGUCUUUGUUGAAUUCAAACGAUCCUCCUCUCUAACUAUCUUGUUAUGCACCUUUCCAGAAUCUGGUAGAGCGUCUGCUUCGAUUAUGGCCAUAACAACAUGCCCAAAACGUGAUUCAUCUAGUCCCAUAACAAACUGAUGAACACGCUCAUCCUCUCUUUCCUUCUCGUAGAGAGCUGCUGCAUCACAGGUACACGCAGGUGGUGGUCGAUAUGUCUGCAACUCCUCCCACAUCUUUGCAAGUCGCCCAUAGUAAUCGAUCACCGCGUCUCCAUCUUACCUACACGAGGCAAGCUUUGCCAUCAACUGAUGAACUCGCACCUUAUUCCCCACCGAGAACCUUUCUUUUAGAUUCUCCCAAAGCUUGUGUGCGUCAGUAAUAAAAGUCACGGUCGACCUUACUUUUGCUCCAAUCGACGUUCUCAGCCAACCGAAAAUCAUGGAAUUGACACUAAGCCAACUCUCUAAGUCUGCGUGUCCCUCAGGCGGCUUCAUCAACGUACCAUCGAUGAAACCUGCCUUCCUCUUGGCUUGAAGUGCGUUCAACAUCUCCGUCGCCCACUCAUUAUAAUUUUCACCUUUCAACUGAACAGAGGUGAUCAAAACUCUUGGAUUAUCAGAAGCUAAAAUUGAAUAAGGAGAGCUUGCUCCUUUUACGCCGGACACGCCCGCCACAACUGUCUUGUCAUCUCCCAUGAUCGUAGAUGAUGAUCACAAAGAAAACAAGUUAUGAAAAGAGAAACAAGAAUAGAUCUUUAGUUAGAUCUAAGCUCUGAUACCAUGUAAAGCAAGGUAAUGCUGAAUAUUUGUGUGUCAUUAAUCGUGAGCUUAGAGCUCAAUAUAUACAACUCGACUUUGGCCUUAUCUACUUAGCCGACUAUAUUAGAGAUAAACUCUCUAAUAUUUACAUCAUUAUCUAAGUAUAACACAUCAUUAUCACAAUAGAGGGCUUGGAGGUCGCCGGAAACGUAACCUCCUAUCAUAACCGACCGGAAUAAAAGAUCUUGCGAUUUCCGGAACCAGCACCAACUUUCUAAGUAUUAAAAGAUCUACCUAAUCCAAUGGUCAAUAUUAAAAAAUACAUCAAUAUAUUAGAAUAGAUUAUUUAUCAUUAUCAAUUAUAUAUUGUUUCAUAUUAGUUUAGAAAAUUAAGUUGAUUUAUCCUUUACAUAAACUAUGCAUUUUUAAUAUUAUUUUCAUGAAAAUCUAGUAAUAUUCUUUUUAAACAUAUUUAUGUGAUUUAUUUUCAUCAAUUUGUCAUAGUAUCGGAACAAGAACAAAACUAAAAAAUCAAAUACUUCUAUAACUUUUAUUCUCGUGUUAUUGCAAAACAACAACGCUUCAUACAUAACUUAUUUAUUCACGACUUGAAGAAGAAGGUUUUCAUUCAAUCAUAGCCUUGCUGUCUUUGCAAAAUCGCAAAUCAGCAAACUUAUUUUCUAUUCAUUUGUUUCUCAAUUUGAAGCAAGGAAAAUUCAUUUUACAAUUCAAGCAUUCAUUCAUCAACUUUCGUAUGGAUAUUAGUUCAUGAAAGAUUCAGAUUUCCUGACGGCAGUCUAACGGCAGCCGAUUCACCCUACCGUGAAGAUUGGACAGUAAGCAAUAUUCUCAUUGUAACAUGGAUAAAACAAACAAUCAAACCAAAAAUCAGAUUAUCUAUCUCAACUCGCGAAAUCACAAGAGUUAUGGGAUAUUCAUCAAGCUUCCGCAACAUUAACAACCAUUGUUGUUUCACAAGACUUUGAGUUAUUUUUACUACUAUAUUAUGAAGAUUAUCCAAUCUCAUACGUAUUACCACGUAUGAGCUUGAGAGAGGGUAUUGAAAGAUCUAGAAGAUCGAACUAAUCCAGUGGUCAAUAUUAGGAUAUACAUCAAUAUAUUAAAAUAUGAAACUUAUCAUUAUCUAUUUAUAUAUUAUUCCAUAUUAGUUUGGAAAAUUAAGUUGAUUUAUUAUCUAUAUAAACUAUGCAUCUUGUAACAUAAUUUUCAUGAGAGUCUAAUAAUAUUAUUUCUAAACACCUUUGUGUGAUUUACUCUCAUCAAUUUGUCACUAAGUUUUCAUGCGGUCUUUUUCUUAUAGAGAAAGCUCCCAUCUCUACUGAACCUGCAGGAAAUCAACAAAGCAAUAUCGAGAAGAUUGAUUCCUCUAUCCAUUAAGGAUCCUUUGCAAAAGCGUAAUUAAGGACACAAAGAUUGAUUCCAAUCUGGAUAGAGAAUCAACGGACUCAAAUUAGUUAACUAUGCAAAAAUAAUUGAUUAGUAAAUCAUAAGAAACAAACAUGAUCAUCGUUAUUUUUUUAGAAUAUAUUUUUAAUGGCCAAUUUUUCCCUCUUUUUGUCUACUUUACAAGUUUAAUGCCGAUGAAAAAUGUUUGAUUAUCAAGAUCUUCUAUAUAAAUUGCAUCAAUACGCUGUAACAUUAAUGACAUCCUAGCUAAAAUUGAAGACUACAAUUAUCUUUUUCUAUUGGUAUAUUUGGAAGACAAAGAAUGACAAACUCUUUAAUGGAAAAGUCAUAUCCCCAAUUGAACUCUCCAACUUGCGUGCCUUGAAGCAAAAUAUUGGAGAAAAAUUAAUGAAAAUGAGGAAACUAAUGAGGAUAAUAAAGGCCCCCUACUACAAAGAUUGGGACAGUGCCCCCUUGGAUACUUCGAAUCUCUACAAUCAAAUUAAUGCUUCAUGGAUCGAUAAUGGUAGUGGUAGUGGCUUAGGAUGGAGUCUAAAGGAUCAAAUGGGUACUGAAUCUCUCGGAUUACGGGCAUGCAACAGAAGCCUCUCAGCCUUACAUGCUGAGAUAGAAGGCUUACUUUGGGUAGCUUCAUGCAUGAAAGACAGGAGGAUAACCUUGAUAUGUUUCGAGACGGACUGCUUGGACCUAUUGGACAUGGCUACGAAUCCGAUGGACUCGCCACAUUUCGCAUCGUAAAUUGAUAUUCUAAAAAAAAUACAUGAGGACUUUGAAGAUGUGAGCAUAAUUCAUAUUCUUCAAAGUAGAAAUGGCCGAACAGACUCAUUAGCGAAAACAGAAAGGACCAGAUGCUAUAUUUUCUUCCGUAUAUAUCAGACAUGGACAGACGUAUGAGCUAUUCAGAGAACCGGCUCGUCUGAGUACAACUUAGUGUAGUAAAAUGGGUAGUUGGCAAAAAAAAAAAAAGAGGAACAAUACUAAGCUUUGCAUUAUUAUUUUUUAUUGUUUAGGGCUUUGCAUUUUUAUUCUUUUUGCAUCUUCUAACUCUAAAAGGCAGAAAAAGUAUAUUGUAGGCUUCGGAUCUCCAUCAUCUAAUUAAUCGAGUAAUCUAACAAGGUGCAAACACUUCCAGGCACAUCUUCACGUCACCCUGGAACUCCAUAUUACAAGUUGUAUAACAGGCUACAAGUUUUUUAGGAUGCUCUGCACAUUUUCUUUCCUCGCAAUUAAAUUUUCAGCAUAAGGAAAGUUGAUGCAAAUCUUACAUCAAGACUUGCUAUGCCUUUUUUCUUCGUAAAUUUCCUCAACAAAGAUGGAAUCUUAUAAUGGACUUAAAUGAAAAUAGUAAAUUUACUGUAUUAGUUUCAAAAGAUGUCCAAAAUAUUUGUUGAAAUCUUACAUUACUAUACAUUUAUGACUUCUAAAUGAAUGCGCUGAAUCCGCUGAUAACCAAACGAAUUAUUCUUGGAUUCACCAGCCAAUAGGAUUGUGUUAUUUCAUAUUCGAUAUCUUUAAAAAACAAACAAAAUAUUAUCAAAUUAUAUUAUAUUUUUAAAAUUAAAAGGUAAAAAAAAAUAAAAAAAAUAAUAGUAAUUACAAAAAAAAAUAUUUUUAACGUCGUCAGCAAAACAUUAAACCCUAAAUCCUAAUCCAUAAACCCUAAACCCUAAACUCUAAAUCAAAAUCAAUAAACAUUAAAACACUCAAGGGUUUAGGGUUUAGAAUUUAGGGUUUAGGGUUUAGGAUUUAGGGUUUAGGUUUUAGGGUUUUAGAGUUUUUUAUUUUGAGUUUAGGAUUUAUCCAAUGGUUUACGGUUCACCCAAAGGUUUAGGGUUUAUCGAAGGGUUUAUGAUUUAGGGUUUAAUGUUUUGCUGACGACGCUAAAAAUAUUUUUUUGUUAAUUUUUUUUUCUGUAACUACUAUUUUUUUUAGUUUUUAUUUUAAAAACAUAAUAUAACUUGACAAUAUUUUGUCUUCUUUUCUAAAAAAUAUAAAAUUUGAAAUAAUGAAAUCUUAUUGGUUGGUGAACCUCCAUAGGAUAGGAAGUGAACCGAGGAACUCUAACCAAACUACACGCAGCAAGUAACCAACCUACAUUUAAUAGUUGUUCUGAACUUCACAUAUUCUUUAAAAUUUACCACUAAAUUCACUUGCAAUUCUUUAAAGCAAUUUACUUUAUAACCUAUAGAUACUAUAUAUAACGUAAUAGUCAAAACUUAUUGUUGAGACAUUAUUAGAUACAUAAAAACAUAUAUUUAAUAAAAAUGAUCCAAAUAAAAAUUAUACAUAAAAUAGGUCAUGACUUAUAUAUUUUAAUAGAUAAAAUGUUUAUAACUGAAUAGGCUUGCAUGAGCUUGGUUGUUGUUAUCGGAAGAUAGUGGAGCUCGAACUACCUCACUUUUAUCUUUUCGACUUUUCAAACAAAAACUGAUCCCAUGUAUAAUAAAGCACAAGUCAUUUGAGCCAUCAAAAUUUGACUUGUGUAACUUUUUUUUUAAACCUUAAAAUUUAAAAAAAAAAUCAUAAAUGUUUUUUAAAAGUUAAAUUUAAAAUUGUACAAAAAAAUAAAUCUGUAUGACCACGUUUGUUUGAUUGUAGAUGUUUAGUAAUUGCAAAAAAAGUUCCUGUUUUUUCUCUAAUUAUUAUCAUAACAUGUUGAAAAAUUCAGCAACUCUCAAUAUUAACUGUUUCAUCUCCUUUCAUUCAAAAUUUUCUGUAUUUUUCUCUCCUCUUCUUCUCUAUCUAUUUCAUCUUCUUUGUCUUUUUUUUUUUUUUAAGUUUUGAGUAUGAGAAAGAUCUUUAUUCUUCUCUUUUAAAAAAAAAAUCUCUAUGAUUCUUUAUUUAGAAGUAUAAGUUGAAGAUUCUAUCAGAUUCUACAAAGGAAUCAGAAAUCAUAGUUUUCUUUCAGAGUACUACCAUCAGAGACAUGAAAUGAUUUCAAUGUGAAAAUCUUUAUCUUGUGGAAAAAGGUAAACACAUUUACAUUUGUAAUUUUGAUAUAUAAAACUGUUUAAAUAAACGAAACUCAGUUUUGUAUACAUUUUUUAUAUACAAAGAAAUAGAUCAAGCUUUUGUGAAGCAAAACAUGAUAAAGGUUAAAAGGGAGUUUGAAAAAUGAGAGUGCUGUUAAUCUCUAUUAUAUCAUAUACUAGGAUAGGCCCGCCCUACGGGCGGGAAUUGAUGGAUCAAGUUUUAGAAUAUGUAUGUGUCAAUUUUAUACACUAUAAAAUAAAUAAAUUAAUCGGAUUUGGUCAAAAGAAAAUGAAAUAUUGAUUUCUAAUACUAUUAUAUCAUAAUUUUGUGAGGGUAUAUAAAAUAAUGGGUAAUGAUGUUUUUUUUUUUGGAGAAAUCUUUGUUAAAGUUAUUGUAUUUGUUUAGUAGAAUGUUAGAUACUUAUAAUAUUAACAACGGUGAUUUUUUGGCAUUUGUUUGUUUUUUUUUGUGUGAUAUUUUUUUGGUUAUAUUUGCUUAUAUAUUAUAUAAUUGAUCACACUAUUUCUUUUAUUAAUAAAAAAAGAAAUGGAGAAAUAAGAAACAAAAAGAAAAAUUAACAAAGGCGACAAAUGUAUUAUUUAAAAUGGAUAAAUUAAGUACAACUUAUUGUUCUUAAAAAUGAGAAAAUAUUUCUACUAAAAUAUUGUAUCUCGACAUGUAUGGCAUCUUACGUUCAUUCGGAUCCAAUCAAUUAUGCGUUGAUAAUGAUAGAUAUGGUUGCAUUGCAAUAAAUUUAUAAACCCGCCUUUUACAAUCUGCUCAAUGCAUAUAGUGCAAGGUUCAUCUUCCUCCGCUGGUGAGGGUGCUCUUCUUUCGGUAUGCAGGUUUUUUGAAGCUAUGUGAAUUGCUUGGGGAUUGAAAUAUGUUAUAUAUAGUUAUAGAUGUGUACCCUUGUAAUUAUGCAUUAUGGAUUAUUAUGUAUUUCAGUAAUUUUGUAAUUAUAUUUGUUAUAUCUUGUUAGGUUUUUUUUUUACAAUUUUCUGAUAUUAAUCUUUGGUUGUGGUUUAAUCAUUUUCAAUAUUAAUUUUCCAAAGCUCAAGUUUUGUGACUAAAAAAUGAAAAGGUUAUGUAAGACUCACUCCUUAUUUUAUUUUUUGUUAACCUGUAAUGGAGUUAUGUAUUUAUACAAAUUUUCACUAAAUCCAUCAUAUUCGUCCUUUUUAUUUUCUUUUGCAAGGCUGGGUUCGGUGCAACAAAACAAAAUUCAAUUACUUGCAAGUCAAGCUUGUUGUUACUGCCAUCAAGUCACUUAUACUUGUUUCUCGACCAUGGUUGAUAAGAGAUUUGGACUUAUAAUGAUGAUAAAUUGACUUUCGUUACAUUUAAACGAAGCUACAUAUGUAAUUUGUAAAACAUUUGUUAUUUGUCUUUUUAUUCUUCUUACUGAUAUGACCUUCUUUUUAUCUGGGACAUUUGAGAACGGCCACUUUAUUACAAAUUUGAUUAACAACAAUAGAUUUCAUGAAUGAAAUCCGAUAAUAAGUGGAAACUAAGAAGCUUUGGAAUGCUUGAAGGACCGGUUUUUGUAAAAUAUAUAAUUUUGUGUAAAUUUUCUUUAUGUUAAGUUGGGGUCGAGUGUUUGAAUGGGUCACAGCGAAAGCUUGGAAUGCUUGAGUGGUCUCUCUGGCUUCUUCAGCUAAUAUGACAGAAGCAUGAUUUGUGGACGCCAUGUUUUUUUUUCUCUUUUGAGAUAUUGUAAGGACGUAGUUACUUCGUAUGCUUGACUGUGAAUACUUUUAUAUUGUUUUGUGUCUGUGGUGCUAUGUUUAAUUAUUCAAACGGAGAUAUAUGUUUUUACUACGGGUAAUUGAAGAUUUCAAUAUUCUUGCUAAUAAUUGACAGCUUGAAUUUUAGCCGUAAUUAUAGUAUUCGAAUAUGGGAACAAUAUUAUUUUUGAGUAUACGGUUUGAGGCGUAGUUGAUGUUGUUGGUGUGAUUGCUAAUAAUCCGGUUAAUCUUGAUACCUUCGUUUGUUGAUAUGGAAAUAAUAUUGAGUAAGAUAAUCUUGGCCUAUAGGGCCAUUUAUUUAUAGUAAAUAUAUUUUACUAAAUUUAAGGCCAUCAGUUAAGGCUUUAGUUAUUUUGUAUUUUAAUUAGACCAACAACAGAAUUUGAGUAAUUGUUAUCUAGCUAAUACCGUGUGAAUGAAUGCUUCACUUGAGGUCGGACUUGUAUAUUAUUAUAUAAGUGAGUGCUUAGAUGCACGUUAGUAGUGUUUAUUCUUGGGGGAUUCUAUUUGUUUAUGAGUUUUUUUUAGUAAGCAUAUGGUAGUAAAUUAAGAUGUUCUGGAUAUAUUGGACCAUUGAAACAUAAUAUUUGUGGGUCACAGACUCCAAAAUGAAGCCAUCAAGCUUUACAAACCUUUGAAAAACUGAGUAUUGAUUUCAUCAGAGUAUUAGAAGGAAAAACGAUAGAAAAGAGGGAGUAUGAGUAUUUUGAAAAUUUGAUGCGGAGUACACUCGAUUACGAUAUCUUUGUCGAAGCUAAGAAUUCUUCAGGAACACAUUGGCUGCUUUCCCUGCAAUGAAAGUGAUAAAGUCAGUAUUAGAAAUAAAAACAAACCUGAGAUAUCACACCAUCUAAACCUACUUAAUGCUAGUCUUUGCGCUCGAAGGCCCUUGAAGAUCUCUUUCUAGACAAUAUUGGUUACUGCAUCCACACCGUCUAAAUCAGAGGUAUCGUCUAAUAUCCUAAGCCCCUCCGGUGUUGUUACUCGUGAUAGCGCCACAUACAACUGGCUGUGAGUGAAGACUGUCCUAGGAAGAUAUAAAGCACCUGAUUCAAACUCUGUCCUUGACUUUUAUUGAUUGUCAUCGCAUAGAAAAGACGAAGCGGAUAUUGGCGGCAGCAUAACGUGAAAGGAUGCAUGGUGUCAAGAGGAGAGAGCUGUAUCCGAGGGACCAAUAUUCCCAGUCAUGAUCUUUUGUUAUGAUACAUUAUAUGUUAAGUAAAAUGAUAUGAAACGUAGACAUCGAAUUUAAUUGUCUGAACCGUUGGUCUUUGUCUUUUUGUUGUAUUUUAUUGUAGCGAAGAGUUUACACAUCAAAAAUGAAUACUCAAGUAAUAUUAAUAGAAUAAUACUCCAUUUCAAGCAGUAUUUCAGUGAUCCAAAUAUAAAUAAAAAUCUUAAAUACAGAACAACUGGAAAACGUGAUAGAUUUAAUAAAGCUUGUCUGUAACCAAAUAUAAAAUAACCAAGAUUCAAAGAUUAAGUGGUCAACAAAACAUGGAUAAAAAAACACAUGCGUAAGCAUUACUGAAAGCGGAAAAUACUGCACAACUUCAAGUAUCCAAUCCUCUCCACCUAUGCCGUACGUGCCUUCUUCUUAAUUCCUGAGGAUCCUUGCACCUGACUGCUACCACCAGUCUCCACCUUAACACCAACCGAGAUGGCACCACUGUUGUCGUCUCCAUUGUCAUCAUCACCUCCCUAUUCAGAUCAAAAUAACCAAUUAAUAUAUACCGUGAAGCUAACUGACCGUAAUUUAGUACAUGGAACUUACAUUGACAACAAACUGACGGAGCGGCAUACGGUCACCUUCACUAAGGAUGCAGGAGAUCGUAAAAAUUUGAUGGUUUUCAGUGAAGUUGUAUGCACUGACCUUGACCUGGAACUUGUAGGUUUUACCCUCCAUGUCUGCAACAGAUGGAGGUGCCUGAGUGUCCCACGGGUUCACACCAUCACCAGCAUGAGGAAGCAACCGUUGAAUGCAAUCUCAUGAGUAAAAUUUCAAGACGAAGAUGCAUGACAGGCAGAGUAAGAACAUACCAAAAGAUGGCAAGCUUCAUAGGGUCUCAUAUUAUGCAGUUUUGUCAUAACCCAAUCAAAACAAACAAAGAGGCCUUCAGCAGUUUCAUCUGCAAUGGACAUCUCCACCCGAUACCUAGCAGUCAGUUAGCACGUAUCAAAACUCAAAGUUGACUAUGUGUGUGGACACAAACGCCAAUGAAAGUAAAUGCGGUGUGAACAAAUUGAACAUACAUCAGUCUUCAGAACACCAACAACAUUAGUAUUAUUACAAUCCAGACAUGUGAAAGCGAGACAGUGCGUUGGAGCUUCUUGGUACAGUUGGAGCAAGAAACGUAGCACCAUCCUUUGUCCAGCUUGAUACCAGUGACCUUCUCAGUGCAGAUGAAAUCAAUCUCCUACAUUCGUAAAUCAGCAGCAUCAAACUUUUAACUUUAAUUCAUUCCAUACUCAAAUAAUAAUAUAUGGUUGUUACACCUGAGAGGAAGCAGAAUUGACAAAUUCAUUGAGAUCAGCUACGCUCAGGGAUUCCACCUUGUCGUAGCCCUUAAGCAAUGGAGCUGCUGGCGCAAGCCCAGUGUCUUGGGCAACCACUGCGAUGGUUUCCUUGUCAAAGUAUAUGCGUGUGCCUGAAGUGGCAUUCAGAAACAGAUGACCUGAAAAAUAAAACUGCUUUUAAUGUACUGAGAAUACUUAAAAGGAGACUAUGUGAUGUUAAGCUCAAGUAAUUACCUCCCACAAUUUUGGGGUUGAUACUGGUUGCAACCAGAACCCUUGGAUCACCUCCCAUUGAUUCAAGUUGAUUGUGGAGCUUGACAGGCUGUGAGUCGAACAUACUCAUAGUGACCGAAACAUCACUGAUAACACGUACAUAAGAAAAGUGAUAAAAAAAUGUAAUAUUUUUUAAAUAGAAAACCAGUAUUAAAAUCUAAAUGGAUCAAUAUGGAAGAAUUAGCUACUUAUCCAUUUUAAUGGUUGUCAUCAAACGGUUCUUGUCAUGUGGAGGGUCGGUGACAGUGCUCUUCGCAGCAGUUACCUCACCGAUAAUGUCUGUGGAAUGAUAAUUAUUAGAUAACUAAACAAAAUAGACAAAUUUACAGAUAAGAAGAGCAGUACCUGGAAGCUGAGUGUUUGUGUUGGCAAGACCGAGCAGCUCGCGAACCGGAAAGAUUCCACACCUAUCGGAAUAGCCGGUUCGGUUAUCUCAUCAAAACAUGUUGAAUCGCUGAAACGAAUCAUCAUAGAGGAGUCCGACAGUCGGUAAUUCUGAUUACAUCGGGUCACAUCAAAACCGGCUAGGGAAUAUAGCGAUUAGCGAACCCACCUUCAGAUUAGGCAUGUGAAUUGCAAGCCGGUUCACAUUCACCGUCGCCGGCAUCAUGGUCGACUAAACAAAAAAUGAUAAAAAAAUCCUGUAAUAAAGAUUCAACACGACGGACGGUUCUGAAGAAAAUAUUAAAAACAAUCACUAAUUAGUUCUGAAGAUCUAAACAUGAAUUGUUGAUAGAACAAACCAAGGUACUUAUGAACUCAGGUAAAGGUUCAGAACAAACCUGGGAAUCAAGCAGAAACAUAUCGACUCCCAUGAGUUCGCUACCCCAUCGGACGUUCAUCGGCUCCAAGAAGCAGAGCAACCGGACUUGAAUGGUGGAGGAGCAUCGUCCGGUCUUCAAAUCGAAAAGGAAGAUCGCCGCGUUAGCCAUAUUCAGGAUAUAAGUUUCAUAGAGUGACGGAGACAAAAUAUAUUCGAAAACCCUAAUACAAAUUGAAAUAAUGUAAGGCCAGAUCCGAUUAAAAAACCAACGUAAGACAAAGUUUAAUGAAACACAAAGUGUUUGGUUUUUUUAAUGAAACGCAGUGUAUUUGGUUUUGGACACGUGUCGACUCCUGACGAAUCCAUUUAGUGACGUGGCUCACUGCAGAAAGAGAGAGUCUCUUCUUUAUGUUAUUAGAUGUGAGGCUCGGUUGGGGAAACAUAUUCCAAUUUAAAUACUAAGUGUUUAUGUAUAUAUUAUUCUAAAGUUUGUUAACUCUACUAAUCUACCUAUGAUUUUUUUCUUGCCAAUAUAAAAAACGUUUGUACAGGUAAAUAUUCAUUUAAGAGAUUUUAAUGACAGUUUACAUACAUUCGAUAUUAAAAACAUUAUAUGAAAUCUAUUAUUUUAUUCAAUGUGCUAAGCUUAUGAUCCAAUGUGUUAUCUAGGUUUAAAAAAUAUGUGAUUUUGAUAAAAAAAAAGUAUGAUUAAAAUAAUAAUUUAUUUUUGAUAUGUUGAUAAUCAUAUCAGUUUUAAGAUUUGAAAACUUUUAAUACAGUAAAAUUAAUUGAUCCGUGCGACCUCACGGGAGAUAAUACUAGUUAAAAAUAAAAGAAGAAGCGGAGAUGCAGGGUAACGAUAGCCUGUACCUUCUCGCAUGCUAAGCGAGCGCUCUACCAUCUGAGCUACAUCCCCAUGACACUGGUAAAGUGUAACUAAAACUUGUCAGUAUAUACCUAGUAACUAGGUUAAGACUAUUUAUAAUUUAAAAAAAAAUAAGUUUUCAAUGAUCGUUCAAAACUUUUAUCAAAAAAAUUGUUCAAAGUAAAUUUUGAAACUAAAAUAUUGUAUUUUAUAUGGUUUAUAGUUUAAUUUAAAACGAUAUAUAUAUUAAUCUUAUUAAUUAAUUAAAUUAGACUUUUUACUUAUAUAAUUUUUGUAAUCAUUUGUAUUUUGUCAUAACAAAAAUUUUAAACCAAAGAUCAUAAAAUUUGAAUGUGAAACUUUUAAUAGUUUUUAUAAUUUAUAACCGUUUGUAAAAAUUCAAAAUAGAACAUAUACAUAAAAAUCUAAAUUUUUAUAUAUGGUUAUUGUGGUUGUUUAAUUUAUUUAAUAGCUUAAAAUUAAACAAAUAUGAUAGAAGAUACACUAUUUUUUAUCAAAUCUUUAUUAUUCAAAAUCAUUAAUUACCAUAUAUACUUUAGCCACAUUAGACAAUUCCGUAAAUUUUAUUUAAGGAAAUAAUAAAGUACAUUAAUGAUGAAUUUAUUGUUAGUUUAAUAAAAAGCUUAUUAUAUAAUUAGAUAGACUAACAUAUUUCUCUAAUGAUUCUAAAAAUUAUUAUAGUGAUGACAUGUAACUAAAAAAGAAAUUGUAAUGCUUUUCAAAUAAUAUAAAUGUUGUUGGUUUAGGUAACUGAAUAUUGUUCGUGAAAGUGACUAAAUGAGUGGGGAUGAUGACUAAAGAUUUUUUUUUUCCCUUAGUGAUUACAAUUUGAGUAAAUGACAGCUAAAGAAAUUAAAAGAGAUCAACCGAAUCUCUUGGAGGAUGCUUCCGGGUCUUUGAUUGGUAAGCUGCUGAGACCGGUUCAAAGCUAAAAACUAUUUGCAAGGCAUCUUCAAUUUUUUUUUAUCGCUAACAUAUUUAGUGUGGUAGAAUCUUGUUUAUAAAAUUAUAGUUCUACUUUCUGUGAAUAUUUCCGAAUUCCGAACGAAAUCUUAUUUCAAUUUUUGUUGUUGUUGAAAUGUUAAAAUCUUUUAGCUGAAAAAAUAAAUCAAGACUAAUUUAAGCACAUGACUGGUCAAGUCGUAAGCACACCUACCAGAGAGAGAAUUGAGGCAUGUGGUUCAAGAAACGUUUGGGGCUCGUUCUCUCACGUUUUAUUUUGGUUCCACCUACCUACUUAAUCACCCAUCUUUUGUUUUCUUCUCCCUGUCUUGCUCCUUUAUUUUCUUCUUCUUUUAAUUAAAAACAAACAUAACUUAAUUAAUUAUAAAAAUGUUUUAGGUUACAAACUAGUGGUUACUGAUAAGUGAAAAGAAUAGUAUAUAAAUCACAUUUAAAAUCAAUCAAUUUGAGGUUUAGGGUGCCGCUAAUUCUUUUAGCAAAGUAUGCAUGAUGCGGUUUAUUUUCGUCAGAUAUUCAACGGGUAAUAGGCCUACAAAUUAGUUUUUUUUAAUAAAUUUUAUGUGGGUCAGAUGACCAAUUGAUUUGGUCAUUUACUCUGGUAGUCCGUUUUUUUCUUUCAAGAGUGAAAUCUUUUUAAUAAAAAAAUGGAAUUUUCCCCGCUUAAUUGAUAACCAUUUGUUAUCAUUGAGGGUUUUCUAAAAAAUGGGGUUGACAAAAUAUGAAAAAGAAUACAUUAACACACUCUUUGAUUCUAAAAAAAAAUUGUCUGGAUUGUUUUUUUGUUGAAUCAGAGAAUAGCAAUUUGUUUGGAUUGUUUCAUGUAUAUAUGUCGUAUAUGUAAACAAGAAAAACAGUUACAAGGUCAGAAUAGAAGAUCAUUAAAUGAUUUGGUAACGUAGUGUUCGAAAAAUUUUGUUUUUAAAAGGGUUAUGUACUUUUGUUGUAAGAAUAAGGAUCUCUGGUUAAUCAUCAAGUAAUUAGUGGACCUAAUUUUAUAUUUUAUAUCAAGAGUAUUAAAAAUAACGAUUGUUGGUAAAUUUGUUUUAAUUUUUUUAAUAUGUUUUCCUGUUUUACAUUAAAAUAUCGAGUUAGAUAUUAGAUAAUAUAAACAUUAAAUUUGGACAAUAUAGUCAUUUCACUUAUGAGUAUGUGUAGUUUUCAAAACAAUAAAAAGAAAGUGUAGUUUUCAAAAUAUAAUCUCAUCUAAAUGUAUUUUUCCAAAUUUUUCCUAUUUUAUGUCUUAAUUAUAGUAUCAUGUAUAUACAAUAUUUUGAAAAUAAAAUAAAAAUAUAUAAACUGUAAUAUAAAAUAAUUUAAUUAAGAAAAUAUAAAUAUAAUAAUGAAAUAUAUUCUUAGACUUUUACCAUAUAUAUAUAUGGAUGAUUUUACCAAAAAAAUAUAUAUGUGAUUUCUCAUUAGAAACAUUGAAAAUAUAUAAAAUACAAAUAAAACUACUGAAUAUUUUAUUUUAUUAUUUGUUUUGUCCGUAAGUUUAUAAUAUUAUCAAUAAUAAUUACGAUACUAUUUAAUAGUUUCCUGGAGAAUAUUAUUUAAUAGUUUACACGCUUAACGGCACCAUUUUAAGAUUCCUCCAUUAAUAUUUAAGAAAUUGCAAAAUGAACCAUUUAACUUCUAAAAGUUUCUAUUUAAAUUGAUUAAUUACACGGCAGUCCUUCUCUUUGGCCUGUAUUUCAUGCUUUCACCCGUAUUCCUCCUUAUAUAUAGUGACAGAGUUAGGUGACUCAAGACACAACAAAAUAAACACUCAAGAAAAUAAAGAAGGAAGCAUACAAUGUCGGGAACAUUUGACCGUGCCGAUGAAGUAAAAGCAUUCGACGAGAUGAAAAUCGGCGUGAAGGGUCUCGUCGACGCUGGAAUAAAAAAAAUCCCACUCAUAUUCCAUAACCCGCAAGCCACGGUAACUAACCCUAAGCCUCCUUCUACGUUGACUAUCCCAACAAUAGAUAUGGGAGGUGGCGUGUUCGAGUCCACGGUCAAAAGAAAGGAAGUGACUGAGAAGGUUAAAGACGCCAUGGAGAAGUUCGGUUUCUUCCAGGCGAUAAACCAUGGGAUUCCACUCGAGGUCAUGGAGAAGAUGAAAGAUGGGAUCCGUGCGUUUCACGCGCAAGAUCCAGAAGCGAGGAAAAGGUUCUAUAGCCGUGAAAAAACCAAAGCGAUUAAGUAUAACUCUAACUCUGAUCUCUAUGACUCUCCUGCUGCGAGCUGGAGAGAUACCUUAAGUUGUUUUAUGUUCCCUGAUGUUCCCAAAACCGACGAUUUACCAGAUAUUUGUAGGUACGAACACGGCUUCUCUUGUUUUAAAUUAAUCUAUGUACUAACUUAAUUAAUUAGUGUCUUUUUUAAUGGGUUUUGAGAGUUUAUUUAUGUUGAAUGUUUCAGGGAGAUCAUGUUGGACUACUCAAAGAGAAUGAUGAUGUUUGGGGAGUUAAUCUUUGAGCUCAUAUCAGAAUCCUUAGGGCUGAAUCCUAACCACCUCAAAGAAAUGGAUUGUGCAAAAGGUUUGUUGAUGCUUUGUCAUUGCUACCCGCCGUGUCCUGAGCCAGACCGAACACUCGGUGCCACUCAGCAUACAGACAGAUCUUUCAUCACUAUUCUUCUUCAAGACCACAUUGGAGGACUUCAAGUUCUCCAUGAUGGAUACUGGAUCGAUGUUCCUCCUAAUCCGAAUGCUCUUAUCCUUAAUGUUGGUGAUCUACUACAGGCAAGUUGUUGUCUACGCAUAAUCAAACGGUCCAUAAGUAAGAAAACACGGUCUUCGUAGGUUCCAAUUGAUGACCAUGUCGAAUGAAAAAAAUUAUAGUGAAUUCUUUGCUCUUUAACAUUUAUACCAGUUAUGUUAAAUUUCUGGUCAAAUUAUUGAUAAGCGAAACCCACUCUUUUCCUUUAAAUUUUUCAUCUGCAACUCUUGAUGAGAAACAAAAUGAACAAAAAUAUAUACUUUUUAUUUUUCAGUUCGUCGAAUGAAAUUAUUUUUUCAUUUUGUUAAUUUUUUCCAUUCAUUUGGUGUUCACCAAUCAAGGUCUUUUUUUCAGCUUAUAACGAAUGACAAGUUUGUGAGUGUGGAGCAUAGAGUUUUGGCAAAUGGAGGUGAAGAGCCGCGCACUUCGAUUGCAUCUUUCUUUGUGCAUCCUCCUUCAACAAGUCCUAGAGUAUAUGGACCCAUUAAAGAGCUUUUGUCAGAAGAAAACCCUCCCAAGUACAGGGAAACCACUCCGGAAGCCUCUAACCACUAUGUGGCUAGAAAACGUGAUGGGAACAAUUCGUUGAGCCAUUUAAGGAUCUGAACAAAAUGGGUGAAUCUAAUCUGAAUCUCUGUUGUUGUUUCCUUUGUGUUUCCAAUAAAACAUUAGUGCACACACAUGCACAAUAUGGUUUCCGAAAUUACUGCAUGUUUUGUUUUUACGUAUGAGAAAAAGAAUAAACUACAUGUUGUCCCUCCAAUAAAGUGUUUAUUUCACGUUUGAUCUAAUAAGAUAUGACCAUCUCUUAUUUAAUCCCCUCUAUUACCAUGUGAGAAGUUUUCAAAAAGAAUAUUGAUAUAUCACUCUCUUGUUGUUCCUUCUUACGAUGUAUGCAUAACAUUUAUUUUUGUUAGAUAUUACAAAGAUUUUAUUACUAAAUUGAUUACUAUGUAAUCAUCUAUAUAUUAAUUGAUGAUCAUUUAAAAAGUUGUAAUCUUAAGUUUGUACUAAUUAAAAAGAGAUUAUGCUUAGAUGUCACUUAAUUAUGAUAUGUCAAUUUAGCUAACGUGACAACUUAAGAAUCAAUUGGAAAAAAUGUUUGUCGAAAUCUAAUUACUAGGGAACAUUUAUAUUAACCCAAAAUAUAAGAAGCGUGUAUUUUUUCCUUAAAUAAAAGCUACGAAAUUAUCUAAUAUGAUUAAUAUAUAUGGUAAUUAAUGACUAUGAAUAAUACAGAUUUGAUAACAAUUUUUGCAUCAUUUUUCAUUUUUUUUUAAUUUUAUAUUAUUAAAAAUAGAUUUGCUUAUAUGUUAUAUUUUGAAUUUUUUAAAAUGACUUUCAAUUACAAAAAAAUGAGGAAACAUUAUAUGUUAUAUUUAAAAUUUUUAAAAACGACUUUAAAUUACAAAAAUGAGGUAACCUUAUAUGUUAUAUUUUGAUUUUUUUAAAAUGACUUUAAGUCCAGACGACUUUACAGGAAGUCCAGACGACUUUACAGGAAGUCCAGACGACUUUACAGGAAGUCCAGACGACUUUGUUAGAAGACUUCCAAGAAGUCCAGACGACUUCCAGACGACUUCCAGACGACUAACAGGUAAGUCAUCCCAGAAGUCUUCCAGAUCUGAAAAACCUGCAUAUUAAAUCCAGAUCUGAAAAACCUGCAUAUUAAUUUACAAGAUUUAUAAAUUAUUUUUAAAAUAAACUGGUACCAGACGAUUUAAACUUCAGUCGUCCAGACGACUUCCAACAUCUCAGACGACUCAGACGAUUUACUGGGGCUAUAUUAGUAAAAAUGGCUUCUAUUUUUUUGUUUGGUCACAAGGGGUUGAGCUGUAAUUUCACUAGGCUUUUAGGUUAGUUUUGCAUUUGAUUCAAGUUUGGGUAUAGGUUUGGGAUUAAAAUCAAGUUGUGGGUUAGUUUUGGCAAAAACCCCAAUAAGAUAUGACCAUCUAUUAUUUAAUCCCCUCUAUUACCACGCGAGAAGUUUUCAAAAAGAAUAUUGAUAUAUCACUCUCUUGUUGUUUCUGCUUACGAUGUAUGCCUAACAUUUAUUUUUGUUAGAUAGUACAAAGAUUUUAUUACUAAAUUGAUUACCAUAUAAUCCUCUAUAUAUUAAUUGAAGAUCAUUUAAAAAGUUGUAAUCUUAAAUUUGUACUAAUUAAAAAGAGAUCAUGCUUAGGUGCCACUUAAUUAGGAUAUGUCAAUUUAGCUUACGUGGCAGCUUAGGAAUCAAUUGAAAACAUGUUGGUCCAAAUCUAAUUACUAGAGAAUUUUAUAUUAACUCAAAAUAUAAGAAGCGUGUAUUUUUUCCUUAAAUAAAAGCUACAUAAUUACUUAAUAUGAUAACAUAUAUAUGGAAAAUAAUGAUUAUGAAUAAUAAAGAUUUGAUAACAAUUUUACACUACAAGAAAACAGGGGGAUUCUGAUGGCCGAAAUCGUCGGAAAUUCGUCAGAAUAGACCGAUUCCGACGAAUUUCUGACGAACCCGUCCGUCGGUAUCGUUUCGUCGGAAAAAAAAAAUUCGUCGGAAUUUCGUCAGAACUUCCGACGACUUUCUGACGAAUACCGAGAAACGUCAUUCUGACGAACUUCCGACGAUAUUACGAUGCGGAUACACGAGACCAGAGUUCAUCGGAAAAACUACGUACCGACGGAGAACGUUCCUCGGACACUUCCGCCAUUAUUAGCCAAGAAAUAUAUAAAAUAUUUAUUUAAAAAAUAUAAAGAUAAAUAAUAAUAAAAAACUUACAAGUUCAUCCUCCUUAGUAGACAUAGAGCAAGCACCGAGGUUGUGCACAUACAUACCUUUCCCGCCACGAUCGCUCUCAGGAAAAGAGACUCAUGAACAANNNNNNNNNNNNNNNNNNNNNNNNNNNNNNNNNNNNNNNNNNNNNNNNNNNNNNNNNNNNNNNNNNNNNNNNNNNNNNNNNNNNNNNNNNNNNNNNNNNNNNNNNNNNNNNNNNNNNNNNNNNNNNNNNNNNNNNNNNNNNNNNNNNNNNNNNNNNNNNNNNNNNNNNNNNNNNNNNNNNNNNNNNNNNNNNNNNNNNNNNNNNNNNNNNNNNNNNNNNNNNNNNNNNNNNNNNNNNNNNNNNNNNNNNNNNNNNNNNNNNNNNNNNNNNNNNNNNNNNNNNNNNNNNNNNNNNNNNNNNNNNNNNNNNNNNNNNNNNNNNNNNNNNNNNNNNNNNNNNNNNNNNNNNNNNNNNNNNNNNNNNNNNNNNNNNNNNNNNNNNNNNNNNNNNNNNNNNNNNNNNNNNNNNNNNNNNNNNNNNNNNNNNNNNNNNNNNNNNNNNNNNNNNNNNNNNNNNNNNNNNNNNNNNNNNNNNNNNNNNNNNNNNNNNNNNNNNNNNNNNNNNNNNNNNNNNNNNNNNNNNNNNNNNNNNNNNNNNNNNNNNNNNNNNNNNNNNNNNNNNNNNNNNNNNNNNNNNNNNNNNNNNNNNNNNNNNNNNNNNNNNNNNNNNNNNNNNNNNNNNNNNNNNNNNNNNNNNNNNNNNNNNNNNNNNNNNNNNNNNNNNNNNNNNNNNNNNNNNNNNNNNNNNNNNNNNNNNNNNNNNNNNNNNNNNNNNNNNNNNNNNNNNNNNNNNNNNNNNNNNNNNNNNNNNNNNNNNNNNNNNNNNNNNNNNNNNNNNNNNNNNNNNNNNNNNNNNNNNNNNNNNNNNNNNNNNNNNNNNNNNNNNNNNNNNNNNNNNNNNNNNNNNNNNNNNNNNNNNNNNNNNNNNNNNNNNNNNNNNNNNNNNNNNNNNNNNNNNNNNNNNNNNNNNNNNNNNNNNNNNNNNNNNNNNNNNNNNNNNNNNNNNNNNNNNNNNNNNNNNNNNNNNNNNNNNNNNNNNNNNNNNNNNNNNNNNNNNNNNNNNNNNNNNNNNNNNNNNNNNNNNNNNNNNNNNNNNNNNNNNNNNNNNNNNNNNNNNNNNNNNNNNNNNNNNNNNNNNNNNNNNNNNNNNNNNNNNNNNNNNNNNNNNNNNNNNNNNNNNNNNNNNNNNNNNNNNNNNNNNNNNNNNNNNNNNNNNNNNNNNNNNNNNNNNNNNNNNNNNNNNNNNNNNNNNNNNNNNNNNNNNNNNNNNNNNNNNNNNNNNNNNNNNNNNNNNNNNNNNNNNNNNNNNNNNNNNNNNNNNNNNNNNNNNNNNNNNNNNNNNNNNNNNNNNNNNNNNNNNNNNNNNNNNNNNNNNNNNNNNNNNNNNNNNNNNNUAAAAAAAAUACUAACCAAGUGCUAUGGCCUCGUCGUGGGUUGGUUUGGAGAAACGGGAGAUGCUCUCGACCUGGUUGUUGAACCAAUAGAUGAACCGGCAUGACCCCCGGAUCCUGUUGAGCAGCAGCGUGAGGGGCAGCGUGAGGGGCUGAGGGAGCUGGAGCGAGAAUAUAUACGGGAACCGAGUCAUGAGACGAUCCCGAUGCACGGGAACUGCUCACCGAACUACGUCGAAGACGGGCUGCGGGGCGGGCUUCAUCCUCGGCCCUAAAAAAAAAAAAUUAACCCAUCAAACAUAUUUUCAAAUCAUUUCUAUUUUUAAUGUUUUCAUUUAUAUAUUUACAAAAGGUUUUAUAAACGUUUUAAAAAAAACUAUUAAACCUUGUAUAUGUAUAUUAUACAAAAUUAUAAAAAAUUUAUAAAUAUAGAAAAAUGUUGUUAAAAAUUUAUAAAUGAAGAAAAAUGUUGUUAAAUAUUUAUAUUUUUUUUAAAAAAAGGUUUUAUUAUACAUAGUUUAUUAGUGGAAACUUAUAAAAAAUUAUAAAAAAUUUUAAAAUUUUUAUUAUACAUGAUUUACAUAUAUAUAUAUAUAUAUAUAUAUAUAUAUAUACAAAAUUAUAAAAAAUUUAUAAAUAUAGAAAAAUGUUGUUAAAUAUUUUUAAAAAAUUUUAAAAACGUUUUAUUAUAUAUAUUUCAUUACUGGAAACUUGAAAAACGUUUUUAAAAAUAAAAAAAAAAGUUUUAAAAAAUCAAAAAAAGUUUUUAAAAAUCAAAAAACGUUUUUAAAAAUCAAAAAAUGUUCCAAAAAAAACUAAAACAACAAUCCAAACAACAAUCCUAACUUAUAUAUCCUAAACUAUCCAUUCAAUCCUAAAAUUUUCAAUCAAACAACCUAAAAUCCGAGAUCAACUUCCAAAACCCUAAACAAUUGAUAAAAAAAAAGGUUUGGGAUGAUUCUUACAUGAUUUGGGGUUUGGGGAAGAGAUAUGAGGGUGAGGAGAGGAUUCGCCGGUGAAGAGAGGUGGAGAAAGGCCGGAAUCGCCGGAGAGGGGGAGAAAUCGCCGGAGUGUUUGUGUUUUGUGAGAGAGAGGCCGCGGAGAUAACGAAGAAGGAAGAAGAAGGGUUUUUUUUAUAUCCGAGGAUUCCGACGGACACGGGUUCGUCGGUAUUCCGUCGGUAUAAUUAAAAUAUACCAAAUGCCGAUUCGCGAAAAUUUUCAAGCGGUUUGGUUCUCCCGGGCUAAUUGAAAUUCCGACGGAAUGUGUCCGUCAGUAUUUUCCGACAGACACAUUCCGUCGGUAUAUUCCGACGGAAUUCCGACGACUUAGUGUUUAGGGUGUUGAUUUCAAGUUUCUAAAUGCAAAAUCCAAAUCUUUGAUAAUAUAUAUAGUAUUUGCAUAAAGAUUUAACAAUAAAAAUGUUUUAUAACACGAUUUUACACAACAACAUUUUUUGUAGUGUAAGCUUAUAUAAAUAUGAUUGUAUAAGUAUAUAAUGUUAAGAUGAGAUGUUAUGAAAACAAUGAUAUGCAUACAUAAAUAUUUUAAUGAGUUGUUAUAUUUGAACGGUUGCGAUCUAAUACUAUACUAAACACUUAUUAUGUGUUAUUUUCAUAGUUUUGGCAUCUAAAUUUAUAGAUUUUUAUGAUUGAAACUUUAUAGAAAAACAUGUCGUCGGUAUUUUCCGACGAAAUACCGACGACCUUUCCAAUUUUCAAUGAAACCCGUUGUCGUCGCUAUGUCGUCGGUAUAUUGCGAGGGAUUUCCGACGGACCAUUAAAAAAAAAAAAAAAAAAAAUAAUCAGAAUCUUCUGAAUCUUCAUCAAACUCCCCAACCUCGGCUUCCGGCUCUGAAUGUACGACAGCAUCAUGUCCAAACACAGUCAAAUUCUCAACGAGUUGAACAUUUUCCAAAUCUUCAACUGCCUGGGCGUUGCUGGUAGACUCUGGUUGCAAUGGUUCAUCAUCAUCAGAAGUUCCAUCCACUCGUCCUCUUGGGUUGAUUUGCGUUACAGUAACCCAUGGAUCGUCUCUGUACGUCACCCGAGGGUAACUGAUGUAGCACACCUAUACAUAUCAAUUAUACAAAGUAUUAGUUCAAUAUAUAACAUUAAUUAAUUAUAUUGGUAAAAAAUUAUGAAUAUAUUGACAUACCUGAUCAGCUUGCGAACCAAGAAUGAAGGGAUCAUAAUAUUGAAGUUUCCGCCGCGAAUGAACUGAUGUAACACCAAACGCAUCAAUCUUCACUCCUCUAUCUGGGGUGGUGUCAUACCAAUCACAAUAGAAUACUACACAACGCAAUCCAACCAUUCCAGGAAAUUGGAUUUCCAAUAUUUCUUUUAUGUUGCCGUAGUAGACAUCGUCACCAGAAGAAGAUGAAACACCAGCAUCAUAUGUUGUCUUAGAAUGACCUUUCCUUGUGAAUGCAUAUCCUCGCGUACAAAAUUUAGGAUAUGAUUUGACCACAUAGUUUGGUCCCUGCACAAAUUCGCGUAUCCAAUCAUCGAACACAAGACCUCUGGCCAAACCAUCAUUCACCUAUAAAAAAAAAAAUAUAUGAUUGCAAAAUUAAUUAGUUUAUAUAUAUUAAAUUUAAACUAAUCAUUUGCAUAGGGUAAUAGGAUAUAUGACUCACAUAACUACGAAGCCACGCAGCAAAUCCGUUAUCUCUAAGUUGUCGAAGCUCAUCUUCUGUUGCAUGCCUGUGAGUCAUACGCAACUCCGCCAUAUAUACACUAUAUACAAAAAUAUUAUCAAUAUGAAAUAAAUUUAUUGAAUAUUAAUCUAACAAUAAAUGAAUAAAUAUUUUUACCUCUCAUAUUGUAGAACAUCUUCACAGUUGGUGAGCAAAUAUGUUUGCAAAUGAGCGUGCUCAGUGUCCGUAAGUCUCCGCUUCGUGAAUUUUCCACUAAGUCGUCCUAUUUCCUUGAACAUGCUUGGGACAGUAACAUGAUAUGUUGCUCUCUCCCCUCUAUCAUCAUGCCGAGCAGGUCUUCGGUGUUUUGUAUGCACUUCUGGUGGAAAAUAAUUUUCAGCAAAGAUUGCAGUUUCUUCAUUGAUCACCUGUGCCACUAUAGAUCCUUCCACCCUGCUUUGAUUUUUGACCAUCUUCUUCAGAUGAUGCAUAUAACGCUCAAAAAUAUACAUCCAUCUGUACUGCACAGGACCACCAAGUUCCAAUUCUCUUGCGAGAUGAAUAGCAAGAUGUUCCAUUACAUCAAAGAAUGAUGGAGGAAAUAUCUUCUCAAGGUUGCACAUGCUGACUGGUGCGUUUGUCUUCAAAUUAUUAAUACCCUCUUCAGUCACUACUCUGCUGCAUAAGUCGCGGAAGAAAACACUAAUCCCUACAUAGAUAAAAGACAUAAUUUUCGUAAGUAUUAAGUUUUUAUAAGCAUAAUUGUUAAAUAUAAAAAUAAAUUAAAUUGUAAAAAUAUAAUAUACCUGCAAUUGCUUCAUGAACAUUACGUGGCAAUAAUGCUGAAAAAGCAAACGGAAGGAGGCGCUGCAUAAUUACAUGACAAUCAUGACUCUUCAAGCCAGUAAACUUUCCUUCGCUUCUAUCAACGCAGUUCCCCAAAUUUGAUGCAUAUCCGUCAGGAAAUUUCACUUUCUCUGUAAUCCAAUCAAAGAACUCUUCUUUUCUAGCACCAUCCAGCCGAUAAAUGGGAAAAGGGGCCGUACCGUUCUCAUCAACGUGAAGUUCAGAACGAUCACAAAUAUCGACUAAAUCCAACCUUGACUUCAAAUUAUCCUUCGUUUUACCUUGGAUGUUAAGGACUGUGUUCAUCAGAUUAUCGAAGAAGUUCUUCUCAAUAUGCAUGACAUCUAAAUUAUGCCGCAAUAGAUGACUCUCCCAAUAUGGCAGAUCCCAGAAAAUACUCUUUUUGUGCCAGUUAUGUAGCUCUCCAACCGCAUUGACUCGAAUGUUUUCAUGUCCACCUACAUCUGGCGUCCUUUCUGCAUCAAAAUACCUAAACUGCUUCAACAAAUCUUUCCCACUAACUUCCUCAGGUGGACCAUCAAACACCUGCUUGUUCUUCGUAAACGAAGUCUUACUCCUGCGGUAUGGAUGAUCAGGUGGUAGAAAUCGUCUGUGACAGUCAAACCAACACGUUUUCCUUCCGUUCUUUAGUUGGAAAGCAUCUGUGUCAUCUUGACAAUAUGGACAUGAUAGCUUCCCAUGUGUUGUCCAUCCAGAUAACAUACCAUAUGCUGGAAAGUCACUUAUUGUCCACAUAAGUACUGCCCGCAUCUGAAAGUUUUCUUUGCGCGAAACAUCGUAUGUCUCAAAACCAUGCGCCCAUAGUUGUUGCAACUCAUAUAUUAGUGGUUGAAGAAACACAUCUAGUGAUCUUUUAGGAUGAUCUGGCCCGGGGACGAGAAUUGAGAGAAACAAAAACUCUCGUCGCAUGCACAAGCUCGGCCGUAAGUUGUACGGUGUCACAAUAACUGGCCAUAGAGAAUACUGCCUUCCAUGCUUUCCAAAUGGGCUGAAACCAUCAGUAGAUAAUCCAAGAUAAACAUUUCUUCUCUCUUCCGCAAAUUCUGGAUAUGUUGACUGGAAAUGUUUCCAAGCCUUUGCAUCUGAAGGAUGUCUAAUCUCACCAUUUGUGGAAUGCUCUGCAUGCCAUCUCAUUGCUUUUGCUGUGCGCUCACACUGAUACAACCUCUUCAAUCUUUCCGUCAAAGGCAAAUACCACAUUCUUUUGAAUGGGAUCGGAACUCUUCCCCUCGUCUCCUGAUAACGAGGUUUCCCACAAAAUUUGCAUACAUUCCGUGUCUCAUCCGCUCUCCAGUAGAUCAUGCAGUUGUCAAUACAUACAUCUAUCACUUCAUACGGUAGUUGAAGACCUGCAACAAGUUUCUGAACCUCGUAGUAUGAACCCGGUGCAAGGUUAUCCUCAGGUAGAAUACCUUUGACAAAAUCAGUAAUCGCAUCCAUACAUUCUUCAGCCAAAUUAUAGUCUGUCUUAAUACCCAUUAAUCUAGUUGCAGAUGAUAAGACUGAAUGACCAUCUCUACAAUUUUGAUACAAAGGUUGUUUUCCUGCAUCCAACAUGUCAAAAAAUCUCCUAGAUUCGGGGUUUGGUUCUUCCCCUCUAUAAUGAUCAUGUACCAUCUGCUCAGUACCUACACCAUAAUCUAUAUCCGUUCUAGAUUCUUCUAACCUAAUAUCAGGCUGAAGUUCACUAACAGGCUGAGGUUCGCUAGUACUACCAUAUUCAUAACCAGUUUCCCCAUGAAGGUACCAAACUUUAUAAUUACGUGAAAACCCUUUCAUAUACAAAUGAGUCCAAACAUCAAAUUCUUUUAUAACCUUAUUAUUAUUGCAAGAAGAGCAGGGACAUCUUAACAUACCACUUUUUGCAUCCGGUUGCUGUUGAACAAGCCUCAUGAAUUCUCCAAUCCCUUGAACGUAUUCUUCCGUAAGCAAAUUGGUGUUCGGAUCCAAAUGAGGUUUAUCCAUCCACGAACGAUAAUAAACUUCUGAAGACAUGAUUUUCACGGAAUUGUUAUGACUAAAGAGAAUGAAGAGAGAAUGAAGUGUGAAUGAGUUGAAUGAGGAGGGGUUGUAUUUAUAGGAAAUUGCUUACGGACCUCCGACGACUUUCCGACGAAAUUCCGACGGAUGUAAAGAAGUCCGUCGGAAUUCCGUCGGAAUUGUCCAAUCCCAAACGGCUAUACAACGGUCAUAUGUAUUUGUCGGCAACGGUCACAUGGUUCGUCGGAAUUCCGUCGGAAUAUACCGAUGGAAUUCCGACGACUUUGCUAUUAAUCGGAAUGUCGUCGGAAUUUCGUCGGAAUAUACCGACGAACUUCCGACGACUACAACGGUUACAUUUUUUAUCGGAAUGUCGUCGAAAAGUCGUCGGAAAAUUCCGACGAACCGUAUUUCGUCGGAAUUCCGUCGGAAAUGGCCGACGGAAUUCCGACGACUUAAUUUUUUUGGAUUUGGUCGGAAAUUUGUCAGUAUUCCGUCACAAAUUUCCGACGACCUUGGUGUCCGUCGGAACCUCCGUCGGAAUUCGGUGUGUUUUCUUGUAGUGUUAGCAUCUUUCUUCAUUUUUUUUUAAUUUAAUAUUAUUACAAUAGAUUUUUUUCUUAUAUGUUAUAUUCUAAUUUUUUUUAAAUGACUUUAAAUUACAAAAAUGAGGAAACUUUAUAUGUUAUAUUUUAAAAUUUUAAAAACAACUUUAAAUUACAAAAAUGAGGUAACCAUAUCACUAUAAGAGAACGUAAGAGUAACGACUACCAUUUACGACUACAAAUGUGUAGUCGUAAAUUAACUUCAACGUUACGUCUAAGUUACGACUAUGUUAAAGUUCGUCGUAACUUAGACGUAAUUUUGCUACUAAAAGGGUUAGUCGUAAAUUGGUUGUAAACUAACUUCGCAUUUACGACUACACUUUCAGGUAGUCGUAAAGCGGUCGUAAAUUUACGACUAAAUUACAUCGACCAGCUACCAUCUGAUUAACAAACAAUUUACGAGAAAAGUAGUUACACAUUCAUGGUUAAGUUAUUAUUAAACGUAAAUUUCGUUGUAUCAUUGUUACCUACCAAAAUCGAAAUUUCCCUAUAAAUAUGAUCUUCUCCCUCAUUUUUAAGAUGCACAAAAAAAAAGAUGAAAAAGAGUAAAAAAAAUGUCUAGAAAUAUCUAUGAGCUUCGGGGGUGGAUAUAUGCGCAUAGAGAUUCAAGGGGAAGAGUAACCGAAGAAUUUCUCAACGGAGCAGAGAUAUUCAUGUACCAGGCCGGACAGACGUCUCUCACACUGGAAACAGGUAAAAUGUUCUGUUCAUGUCGUAAAUGCAACAAUACCAAGUUUGCUGCUAGUGAAACGGUUUGGAAACAUAUAGUAAAUAGAGGAUUUACUCUACAUUACUAUAUUUGGUUUAACCACGGAGAAGGUGAUAAUAGGAAUGAAGCUAGUAGUAGUAAUUAGGUUGAAAAUGUUCGUAACAGAGAUGAACCACAUUUGCCUUCUAAAAGUUAUAACCUUCAAAAGGAUCAUAUGGUAGAUCAUGAUAGGAUGCAUGAUAUGGUUACAAAUGCAUUUCGUGAAACAAGAUCAGUAAUAGAGGAGGUAGAAAACGUAGAGGAGCCUAACUUGGAUGCAAAAAGAUUUUAUGAAAUUCUAGCAGCAGCUAAUGAGCCAUUUUAUGAAGGUUGUUGAGAAGGUCUUUCUAAAUUAUCAUUGGCAGCUAGGAUGAUGAAUAUAAAAACUGAUCAUAACUUACCUGAAGUUUGUAUGGAUGCAUGGGCUCAAUUGUUUAAAGAGUAUUUGCCUGUAGAUAAUCAGUGUGCUGAAUCUUAUUAUGAGAUUCAGAAACUGGUUCAUAGCUUUGGCUUACCUUCGGAGAUGAUUGAUGUGUGUAUAGACAACUGUAUGAUAUACUGAGGAGAAAAUAUAGAAUUGUUAGAUUGUAAAUUUUGCAAGAAAUCACGAUAUAAACCGCAAGGACGUGGGCGGAAUAGGGUGCCAUACCAGCGGAUGUGGUACUUACCUAUUAAGGAUAGACUGAAGAGAUUAUAUCAAUCUGAAAAGACGACAGCAGUGAUGAGAUGGCAUGUAGAUUAUACUCAGAAGGAAGGCGUGAUCAAUCAUCCCUCUGGUGCAAAAGUGUGGAAACACUUGAAUUUGGUGUACCCUGAUUUUGCAAGCAACCCCCACAACGUUUAUCUUGGGCUCUGCACAGAUGAAUUUAGUCCAUUGGGAAUGUCUGGAAGACAAUACUCGUUUUAGCCAGUCUUUUCGACGCCAUACAACCUUCCACCAGAGAUGUGUAUGGAAAAGGAAUUGCUUUUCAUGAGUAUACUGAUACUUGGGCCAAAGCAUCCGAAGAGGUCUCUUGAUGUUUUUCUACAGCCUUUGAUAGAAGAAUUGAAGGAAUUAUGGUCAACAGGCGUGCUGACAUAUGAUUGUUCCACGAGAACAAACUUUACAAUGCGAGCAGUUCUUUUGUGGACCAUUAGUGAAUUUCCUGCAUACGGGAUGUUGUCAGGUUGGACGACACAUGGGAGGCUAUCUUGUCCGUAUUGUAUGGGAAGCACAAGAUGUGGUUUGGGGUUUAGAAGUGUAUAAAACUUAUGAUGUUUGGGAUUUGGGGUUUUGGUUUUAGGAUAUAAACACAAACUGAAGCUAAUUAGUCGUAAGGUACGACUCAGUUACGACUAAUCUAAAAUGCGUCGAGGCUAAUUAGUUGUAACGUAUGACUCAGUUACGACUAAGUUAAAAUGAGUAGAAGCUAAUUAGUCGUAAAGUACGACUCAGUUACGACUAAUCUAAAAGGUAUCAAAGCUAAUUAGUCGUAAAAUACGACUCAGUUACGACUAAUCUAAAAUGAGUCGAAGCUAACUGGUCGUCUCGUUGGUCCCUACUUAGUCGUAACUUACAACUCAGUUAUGAUUAAACUGUUUGAAUGGUCCCUAAUUGGUCGUAAUAUCUUUCGAAAUUUCCUAUGAAUACUCACCAGUUUUCUUUUCAAAUCAGAGAUAAUUUUUAAAAAUAUUUGAAAAAGCGAAGAAAGAUACUAGAACACAGGUGGGCGGAGACAAGGCGAGACCUAUGUAUAAACGUAAGUCUCACAUUGUCUCUCCCCACCUGUGAUUUCAGUAUCUUUCUUGUCUUUUUUUCAAAUAUUACAGCGGCCGUCUCACAAUGGUCAUAAAGGGCUUCGUCCCACAUUGAUCGUAAAUUUACGUCUCUUUUACGACCGCUAGUCUCUCAUUGGUCGUAAAUAAAAAUAUUAUUUAGUCCCUAAUUGGUCGUAAUAUUAUUUGGUCCCCAUUGGUCGUAAAUUUACGACUCCUUUACGACCGCUAGUCUCUCAUUGGUCGUAAAAUUACAACCAAUUUACGACUAACACCAAAACUCUAUAUAUACUCAGACCUCGAGAAACCAUUUGGUUGCUCAUUCCCUUCUCUCUAACAACGACUUCCCUUCUCUCUCUAGGUAAGUUUUUUUUUUUUUUAGUUUUAGGUGGUUAGUUAGGUGAUUAGAUUAGGUUUGGAAUUAGUUUAGGAUCGAAGUAGAUUAGGAUGGAGUUAGAAUAUGAUGAAAUUAGAAUAGGUUUAGAUUAUUUUUAUAUGAAAAUUUUGAAUUUUUUAUAACCAUCUAUUUUUUUUUCAGAUUGACGAUAUUGCUAUGGCUGGCGGUAGACAGAGACUUAGGAACCUUGCGCCUAAAAACUCUUACGCGAGGACCUUUCUCGGACAGCCGAAUCCAUCAGCUUCUACCUCCGGCACAUCAUCCGGCAAAGAGAAUGUGCCUGAGAGCCAAGUUCCUACUGCUCCGUAUGUGCCCCCACAUGCAUAUGACCCUGACCCUGCAGCUUACUAUCUGCAGUCUGAUAACCUUGCUCCAUUCUAUCCCCAGUACGAUGAGCCUCCACAGCAGCCUCGGUAUGAUCAGCAUCAUCUUCCAAACCAUCCUCAACAGCAGUCUACUGCUCCGACUCCUGCAGCUGCUCCGACUCCUGCAGCUGCUUCGGCUCCUGCAGCUGCUUCGACUCCUGCAGCUGUUCAUCCAGAUUUGAUGGUGCCACCGAAUGCACCAUAUGCAAGAUAUACAGUGGAAGACCUUCUCCAUAUCCCGGGACGAGAAGGUUUACAUAUGAUCGAUCCAGAUCGACCACCCAACACUUACUGGUAAUUUUAAUAUAUUAAAGUUUUAAUUGCAUUUAAAUAUACUAAUUAUACAUAUUGGUCUAAAUAUAUGUAUUCUUUCAAAUUUUGUAUGUUUUUGACGGACAAUUGUGUGUGACAGAGCGUUAGAGGUAUCAUCGGGGCAAACUUUCGGGAAGCGCAUCCGAACUGGUCUCUUACACCGAACCAUGUUCGGAGGACAUGGUUCAAAUGCUUUGCGGUUAGUUUUAAAUAUAAUUUUAUUUAUUUUUGAUUUAAAAUAAUAAUUUAAUUAAUUAAAUUUUUUUAUUAAUUAUUUUUUGUAGCAAAAAUGGAAUUGGUCCAUUGCUGUCAACGAAACGAUGAAGGCAGCGUUCUACGAAAAGGCGAUUGCUCGCCUAAAGAACACCGUUGGUGAUUGGAAGGACAAGUGGAGGGUUAUGGGGGAUGACUCAAAAGAAGCCUACCUCAGCAAUGACGUUUGGAAGGGCUUGAAGGCUUAUUGGAAUUUUCCUAAGUCAAUUCAAAGGUCUCUCACUUGCUCUACGGCUCGGUUGGCCCGUGAUGAUGAUGGUAACCUGCCAAUACCUCAUACUUCCGGACAGAUUCCACACGCUGGGACGACACUGCAAAUUGUAAGUCUUCGAUCUUUCUUAAUUUUUAUUAAAUAUAUAUUAAUUAAGUAUUUAUUGAAUGCGUGAGUUUAAUUAAUUUUUUUUUUAAUACAUGCUGCCCAAGAAGGAGCACCACCAUCUCUGGCCCGACUUUACAAGACGACACACCAGCAUUCUAAUGACACCUUUUCGCAUCCUCAAGCAGAGAGGAUCUGCAACAAUGUUGAGGCUCGGAUCCAGGACGUCCAGACUCAGUUGUCGCAACAAAAUCACACCGGUCCAGCUGUCCACCGUCGAACAAGACAAAAAUUUUGAGCAGGUAAAAUAUUCAAUUUUUUUAAUAUAUGUUUAUGUACAUUUUUUAUUCUUUACCUUAGUUUUACAUAUGUACUAAUUAAUAUCUAUUUAUUAAUUGAAGAUUGUCCCGAAGAAAAGGGGACGUAUGGUCGGGAUCGGGACUGUGAACGAUGUCCCGAGGACGAGAGCUGAACACACUGCAAGAAUGGAAGAAGAUUCCUCUCUCCGGAGGGAUUUGACAGCUGCCAACCGAGUCAUAGCCGACCACAGGGACAAAUUUACGGUUAUGGCAAAUAUGUUCGAUCUGAUGAUAGAGUCAAACCCAAACAUAAAUCCGGCUCUUGCCUCUAGGUGGCAGACUCUACGUCCGACCUUUAUCCCCGACCCCACUCCGAAAGAGCAGGCGGAUUUAGAGUGACGUGCGGAUGAGCAUAGUUCCGACUUCUUCGACGAAAUAAAUAUUAAUGCUUAGUUUUUUCGGUCUUAAUUAAUUUGUAUUUUGAAUGUUUUAUAUAAUGGAUAUUAUUAUGUUUACGAAUGUUAGAUAUUUUUCUUUUAAUUUUAUCAAAUUUUAAAAAAUUAAAUCAAACUAAAUUUAAAUAAUUUAAUUUUAGUUAAUAUAUAAAAUUUGUAAAUAAAUAUAAAAUUCAAAAAUAAAUAAAUAAAGUUGGUCAAAUUUACGACCAAUGAACAUCUAAAGUCGAUGUAAAGUGGUUGUUACCUUACGACUAAUAAACAUCGACAUUAGAGGUAAAUUGGUCGUAAAGUUACGACAUGUGUACGACUAAUAUGUCAGACAUAAAUGUACAUCACCUUUACGACUAACGUUAAUUUUAUCAAAUUUUAAAAAAUUAAAUCAAACUAAAUUUAAAUAAUUUAAUUUUAGUUAAUAUAUAAAAUUUGUAAAUAAAUAUAAAAUUCAAAAAUAUAUAAAUAAAGUUGGUCAAAUUUACGACCAAUGAACAUCUAAAGUCGAUGUAAAGUGGUUGUUACCUUACGACUAAUAAACAUCGACAUUAGAGGUAAAUUGGUCGUAAAGUUACGACAUGUGUACGACUAAUAUGUCAGACAUAAAUGUACAUCACCUUUACGACUAACGUUUUUACGAUUAACUUACGACCAACUGUUUGAGUCGUAAAGAUACGUCUGAUUUACGACUAACAUGUCUAGUCGUAAUAUUACGACCAAUGUGCCUCUAAUAAUUAAUUACGACCAGCUUCUAACGACCAAUCGAUUUUCAAAGUUAAUUGGUCGUAAUGCCCAUAUUACGACCAACUAGCUACUAAUACUGUAGUCGUUAAGGUCAUGUUUUCUUGUAGUGUAUAUGUAAUAUUUUUCAUAUAUGUUAUAUUUUUUCUUAUAUAUUAUAUUUUGAAUUUUUUAAAACGACUUUAAAUUACAAAAAUGUAAGUUUUCCUUAAGCAUACGACUAAAAGCAUUAAAACGACAUGUAUAAGUUCGAUGGUUGAUCUAAAACCUUUCAAAACCAUAUGGAAGAUAAAUGUCAAAAUAAUUCAACUGUGAAAAUAAUACUGUUCACUUUUUUCAAGAAUGAAUUCGGUGGAAAAAAUAAAGUUUUUGUGUCAUAAUUUGUUUAAUGUCCAAUCUGAUCAAUCCACGAUAUAUUAAUUAAAGUUUAGUUCUACAAUAUUUUAAUAAAAAUUGAUCCGGUCCAUCAGUAAAAAUUAUAUAAUAAUAACAAAAACAUUGUAUAUGUAUAAAUAAAAUGAUCAAAUAUAUAUAAAAAAAAUUAUCGAUAAUAUAUACAAAUUAAUUCACUCUGCGCAAUGUCUUAUCCUAGCUCAAUAGAAAACUUAGAGCAACAACAUCGGUGCAUAGAAUUUUCCCAACACAGUAAUAAUAUACAUUUAUUGUUUUAUUAUUUUUAAAAAGAAAAAAGUGUUAAGCCAGUUGAAUUAGGAUCUAGCAACGUAGUUUCUCUUUGAUUUUGGUGAAUUUCUUCUCGAGAGAUGUCUUUUACCGUAUCUCUCAUUUACUUACAUUAUUAUAUGCUAAGAGCAUCUGCUCUUGACAUCUCUCACACAAUCUCUCAUCAAAUAAAUACAAAAAAAAUAAAAAAAAGGAUGAAAGAGAAAAAAAAAAAAAAGAAUAAAAGAAGAGAGACAUAUGGUCGUAAAGGUAAUCUAACAAAAAUGGGAAGAGAUUUUCUACACUUGUCAUCUAGUAAGUGAUUAGAAUUUCUUUUUAUUUAAAAUUUAUUUAAUUAACUAAUUUAUAUUAUUAUUAAAUGAUGAAAGGUUACGAGAAUAGACUUACCCAAUGCUGAUGAUCUAAGAUACUACAUCAGAUACCAUUAAUGCUAAUGUUUUUAGGGUAUCCGCAAUGAUUAAAUAUCCAAAAACACAAAUCAUUAAUAUUUUAUUACAAUUAAUUUAAGUAAUUAUUUUUUAUUUACCAUUUUAAAAUUAAACUAGUAUAAAAUUGGCACAUGGAUGUGUGAAUUUUUAUAAGGUUCUAAAAAUAUAGGAGUUUAGAACUUAUUUGACACUUCUCUUAUUUUUUUACAUUUUUGAUUAUUUUUAAUUUUGAAAACUUGUCUUAAAAAUCUUCGUUGGAGUUUCUCUUAUACCAUCAGAAUUGAUUAAAAAGUUUUUUGUACAUUAAAAAAUAGAAGAAAAUGAAAAAAAGAAAGAAAAAUAGUAGAGAGGCACACAGAUCGUCUAUUCGUGAAGAAACGGCUAGAAUUGUAGCAAACUUUGUGCCAUUUCUCAGUUUACUAUUAUACUAUUAGUUACUGUUUUUUGCUCAUAAUUAGUUUUGUUUGAGAGAUUUUAGUGGGUCUCUGCCGGGCGCCCUUAGAGCAUCAUUUGUAGUUGAUUUCUCAAAACUAAUGAGAUGAUUGGUUGGACUUCUUGGAAGUCUUCUGACAAAGUCAUCUGAACUUCCUAAAAGUCUUCUGACAAAGUCGUCUGAACUUCUUGGAAGUCGUCUGGACUUCUUAGAAGUCGUCUGGACUUCUUAAAAGUCGUUUGGUCUUGUCUACUCAAGUGGAAUCCAAACUUGUCUUUGUAGAGGAAUGAUCUAUAAUAGUUUUGUUUGUGGUCUGUUUUGUGAAUUGCAUGUCUACUCUUUUAGUUGUGAAUUUUUUGUAAAAUCAGUAAUAAUGUUUUCCAAGAUGUAUUAAAUGUGCUAACAAUGUGUUUACACAUUUACAAAUCAAUGAAAUAAUAGACUUCAGUAGCCUUUUUCUUAUCUUUGGAUCUCUCAUAUGCAAUAAUAAACUCCAAUGGCCUUUUUCUCGCCAGACGACUGAAAUGUAAGUCGUCUGGGGAAGUCAAACUUCUGAAAUUAUCCAGUCAAAUGCAAAACUAACCUAUGACGACUGAAAUGUAAGUCGUCUAGGUUCUUUGGAAAUUUUUUUGAAACCAAACAAAAACAGACGACUUAACUUUCAGUCGUCUCAGGUUACAGAUUUCAAAGUCAAUUGCAAAAAUAACCUCUGCGUUGACCAGACGACUUCCAGGUAAGUUGUCUACAGCCAGACGACUUCCCAAGUAAGUCGUCUGACGAACAGAUCUGGAAAAAAACUCGAUGUCAUACCUUAAAUUGGUGAGAUAAGUUCCUUAGCAUACAUAAGGCUUCUCCAAGCACACAGAAUCACAAACGAAAGUAACCCACCCAGAAUCGUUAGCUUCUAUGACUCUAUGAACCAUAAAAAAUUUAGAAUCAAAAUCUUGGGUUUUUUUAGCUCAUUGUGGAGAGAAAGUGAGAGAUAUGUUGUGUUUAGUUCACAAGAAUGGAAAAAGAAGAAGGGUAAAUCGAUUUUGGGAGCAUUAAGAGCUUCAAAUUGGUUGUUCAUGGGGGUUGUGGUAUUGAUGACAAUGGCAAUCUUGUAAUUACUUGAAGAUGAUGAGGGUGAGAGAGUAAAAAUGUCAUUUUCGAAAGAAAAAAAGAAAAAAAAAAUUGAUGGCAUUUUCGUAAAAUAUAUGAACUUGUGGGGUGAAUAGGGCAAAACCAAUUUAGGUUAGUUUUAUGUUUGAUUUUAAGUUAUAGGUCAAUUCUGCAAAAAAGCCACUAUAAUUUAUGUUGUAGUUUUUAUUGCUGUAAUUUUAUUUUUCCUGCUGUAGAUAAAUAUUACAAUUUCUAAAACACUGUAAUAGUUGUUUUAAGAAAAAAAAAUAAAAGAUGAAAAAAGACAGUAGAUGUUAUUGCAAGACAUUAACUUUAAAAAUAAAGUUACAACAAGAUUGGUUAGAAUUAGUGGUUUAAAAAUAAAUAAAGCCAAAAUGCUAAGUUAAAAACCAACCAAUCACAUUAUCUAAGUCUCCCAUAUUAUUAUAUUAAUAAUUUGACUUAUUAAUUAAUUUAAAGUGUAAAAUAAAGUUAAAUAAAUUAAAAGAAGACACGUUGGUACUAUAGUUUCUUAAGAAUUGUGUCGAGUCUUUUUCUGCACAUAUUCUUUACCUUUUGAUGUUUCUAUCUCUUACUGUUUAGUUGUUUAUUAAUUUUUGUAGCGACAGACUCUUCAAAAAAAACACCGAUGCGAGUGCUUUUAGAAUCUGAUGUUAAAAUCUCAUUGCUAAAUAUAAAAAUGACAUAAAAUAUAUUACAUGUUUAAAGUCUGUUAAUAUCAUAAAAAUAUUACAGUUAUUGGGGGUGAUUAGUUGAGCUUAAUCUACAUACUUUAGCUUUAUUUUUUUCUAAAUCGAAACUUUACCAAUCAUGCUUUACCUUUACUUUUUAAAGUUAAAGCCUACAUCAAAUUUCUAUUAAUUUUUACCAAUCAUGAUUUACCUUUAUUUUUAAAACUACAACAAAAUAUAUAAAGCAAACAUUUUUUUUAUGUAUUUUAGUUAAAAAACUUACAUCUUUCAUUUAUAAGCUGUAGAAACUGUAGAAUAAAAAAUAUCUAUAAUAUCAAAUAAAUAAGAUAAUCAUAAUAAAAAAACAUCUAUAAUUAUUUUACUCUAAUUUUGGGUGCUUUUAAAUUAUUGAAAUAUUUUAAAUAAUGAAUAUUAUUUACAUAUCACAUUUUAAAUGACAGUAUACUUUGAUAAUUUUAACAAAUAUUCAUAUAAAUUAUUUUAAGUGAUAAAAAUAAUAAUUAUUUUAUAUAUACAUCACAUAUUUUAUUUUAAAAUAUCUGCCGUCUAUAGAUUACAGGUAGAACAAAUUUAACUACAGCAAAAGUCUCUGCAAAAAUAAUCUAUAGUAACAACUUUACAGUUACAACCAAUUAAUCUACGGCUAAACUUUUACAGUUAAAAUUCUACAGGCACAGUCGAACCAAUCAUCACCAUUAUGUCUAUUUGAUUAUUGUUCUGAAAAUAAGUUUUUUUAGUGUUAAAAAUGAAAAACAUAAAAAUAAGCUAAUAACUUGAUUGUUUUUAUCUUUAAGUUAACUAGUUUUGAAUAGUUACAUAACUGAAAAUUAUCAUGUAUGAUUUUAUUAAAAAUCAAAAUAUUUAUAAAUUUAAUAAUAUUUUAUAGUUAAUUAUAAGUAAAUACAUACAGACAGCACUGUACCACACUAACAAGUAAUAGUGUGUGAAAGUUGCGUUAUUCGGAUGAAAUAAACGGACAAAAAUAUAUUUUUGUGACUGCAUUACUUUGUAAAAAACAUUCUUGAGAUUGCAUUUUUACUUCUUACUGCUGACAUUUAUAGUUUUAAAAUCACAUCAAUUCCAAAUAUGCACCGCACUAUGGUUGCUGACAUUUAUAUCUUCAAAACGAUAUCAAUUCCAAAUAUGCACCGCACUAUGGUUUCCGUUCAUAACCUAAAAGAUACACAUCUCGAUGAUAAUAAUUUUUAAUAAUAUGAUAUUCAAUCUUCUUUAUAUAUAAAAGGGUUUUUUCCUUCAAAGCGUGCCAUCUAGGAUCCAGGUUAAUAAGUCGUUGCUUGACGUUGCGACAUGUGUCGCUUUCCUUCUCUACGCAGCCUUUCAUUAAUGUAUGGCGUCAUGGGCUUUUCGUUUAUUGUGUUAUGGGUCCUGGAAUCGUGCAAACAUCCGGCCUGAAAACAGAAACUCUCUCCCCCUAACACUAAUAUUGUGUAGACUAACCCACGAAGAUCGUCUCCCAUCUUCAUGCGGCGGGAGGCGGUGACGUUUGCACUUCUUCUCAUGACCAUAACAGACUUCUUAAUGGAUUCAUCUAAGAGCAACAUUAUCAAGACAUUUGAACACUUCUUAUGGGCGAUCCUUACCCAAUAUUGGCCCAAAAUUAAAUAUAAAGUCCAGUUAAAUGAAGGAGACGAUUUUUAGGUAAGAAGUUUUUUGACUUCGUUCUUCUGUCACGUGUCAUUCUAUGAUACGUUUUGUGAAGCGGUAGAGGGUCUCGUCAUUUUGCUCUGGAUCUAUUCUCUCCGUCUCCCUCUUCUCUCUCUCUCUCUCUCUCUCGAUCCGUAGACGGCAAUUCGCUGGAAGUGAAGAAUCAUCGGUCCACAUCGAUCGAUCGUUUAAUCUCGGCAUCGAAUCUGCACCAGGUUCAUAUUACUCUCUCUCUCCGUCUCCCUCUUCUCUGUCUCUCUCUCUCGUAUCGAUUUUGUGGAUAUAAUUCUGGGAUUAUCGAUUAUGUGUUUCUAAUAUUUUGCAUGCUUUGGAUUUGAUCAAGGUCCACGGAGUUUGGGUUUAGGGUUUCAUCGUCUCUUCCUUCUCUCGCUGUCGACGGGUACUUCCGCCGCCGUCGUCUAUUCUCAUCCAUCUCGCCUCUCUUCUUUCUCCGGUUGGAAACCAUCUCCGCCGCCGUCACCAACAUGUUUGUCUUCUUUCUCCGUCCUCCGUUAGCUAUAUAGAGGAAUCAUUUAAACAAAUAGAUUGGUGAUUCGCCUUUUGGUUGUAUAUGAUUGUAGAUCUAUUCUCUCCGUCUCCCUCUUCUCUCUCUCUCUCUCUCUCUCGAUCCGUAGACGGCAAUUCGCUGGAAGUGAAGAAUCAUCGGUCCACAUCGAUCAAUCGUUUAAUCUCGGCAUCGAAUCUGCACCAGGUUCAUAUUACUCUCUCUCUCCGUCUCCCUCUUCUCUGUCUCUCUCUCUCUCAUCGAUUUUGUGGAUAUAAUUCUGGGAUUAUCGAUUAUGUGUUUCUAAUAUUUUGCAUGCUUUGGAUUUGAUCAAGGUCCACGGAGUUUGGGUUUAGGGUUUCAUCGUCUCUUCCUUCUCUCGCUGUCGACGGGUACUUCCGCCGCCGUCGUCUAUUCUCAUCCAUCUCGCCUCUCUUCUUUCUCCGGUUGGAAACCAUCUCCGCCGCCGUCACCAACAUGUUUGUCUUCUUUCUCCGUCCUCCGUUAGCUAUAUAGAGGAAUCAUUUAAACAAAUAGAUUGGUGAUUCGCCUUUUGGUUGUAUAUGAUUGUAUAGUGAUCUGUUGGUUCGUGUUUCUGAUGGACUUUUGUUUACCGAUGAAUAUGAUUGUAUAGUGAUCUGUGUUUUUGAUUGUAAAGCAGAGGUUUUUUAGUGAAUUUUUCGUAUACUUGAUUGAUUAGGGAACUUUAGUUAAAAAAAUAUGCUUGAUUGAUUAGUGAACUUUAGUUAAAAAAAUAUGCUUGAUUGAUUAGUGAACUGAAUUUUGAGUUCUAUACUUGAUUGAUUAGUGAACUGAAUUUUGAUUGUAUAGUUGAUGGAGAGCCACGUUAUAUGUUGUGAUCUAUACUGAAUUUUGAUUCUAUACUUGUUGUUUCAGAUACAUUGGCUUCAUCAUUGACAUGUGUUAUUUUAGUUGGUGUGUAAAUUGAAGUAAGUGUCCUCCGUUAGCUAUAUAGAGGAAUCAUUUAAACAAAUAGAUUCGUGAUUCGCCUUUUGGUUGUAUAUGAUUGUAUAGUGAUCUGUGUUUUUAGUGAAUUUUUCUUAUACUUGAUUGAUUAGGGAACUUUAGUUAAAAAAAUAUGCUUGAUUGAUUAGUGAACUUUAGUUAAAAAAAUAUGCUUGAUUGAUUAGUGAACUGAAUUUUGAGUUCUAUACUUGAUUGAUUAGUGAACUGAAUUUUGAUUGUAUAGUUGAUGGAGAGCCACGUUAUAUGUUGUGAUCUAUACUGAAUUUUGAUUCUAUACUUGUUGUUUUAGAUACAUUGGCUUCAUCAUUGACAUGUGUUGUUUUAGUUGGUGUGUAAAUUGAAGUAAGUAGGUUUCGACAUUUAAUGAAAACGUUGUACUGACUUUUUUACUUAGUUUGGUUUCGAAGGAGUGUUACUUGGCAAAGUUUUGUAGUUAGUUUGCUUGGUUUUGUAGUUAGUUUCGAAGGAGUAAUAAAUAUUGAUUAGUUAUGUGUAACGAGUAUAAGUAACUAAUGUGUAUCAUAUUUACUUACUUGUUUGCUUUGAUUCUUUAUUUUCCGAGUAAUAAAUAUUGAUUAGACCCUGGUAGUUGAUUGUUAGAGAAACAUUUAAGCUCUCUGAUGGUUGUUCUCUCAAAUUUCUUUAAAUAGCCGCAACAAGUUUAAUUCUUGUUGUGGUUAUCCCUUACUCUCUUCUUUCUCUCACGUAUCUUUCUUUUCUAUUCAUGUCCUUCUAAUCGAAAUGGAUUCAAGGAAUCCAUUGAAUCCCUAUAGUGAGUCCCCUAGUUAUAGCUAUCUUCUCCAUAGCCAAAACUUUCAGUAUGGAAGCUAUCCUUCUACUCAGUAUCCAUCUGAGAUACCUCCUUAUAGUUCACAACACGUUCAACAUUCACUCAGUAUAACGAGAGAGAAUUUCAAGAAAGCGAAGAAGAGGAUACAUUCACCGUUACUCCGAAUUCAAAUCUCGGCACUGCAAUGGAUCGUCGAUCGAGCGUUCGUAACAGACAAGCCCAUGAACAAUUAAAAUUCGAUUUGAUUGAAAAUAUUUGGGCUAAAUUUGGACAUCUUCCAAAUAACCAAUGAUUUUUAAGUUUCUGUGAAUUGAAUAAAAUGUGUGUUAGCUAUUAUUUUUAAUUUUUUUUAAAUAGAAUGUAGUAAAAUGUUUGUAAUUUUAAUUUAAUGAAAUAAAAAGUUUUUUUUAAUAUAUUGAAUAUAAAUGGAUAAUAUCUUAAUUACUAUUUAUAAAUAAAAAUAAUAUUUUUAACCUAAGAACCUUCGAAAAGUUCUAUUGAUAAUGUAGUAUUUUAGUUAAGUAUCUUACAAAACUUCUUAGACUAAAAAUAGUCAUUAAAUAUUCUAAGAUGUUUGUUAAGAGUUGCCAUUGAUAAUGUUGCUCUUAAUCAUGUUGAUUUAUUCUCCCAGAAAGUAUCUUCAAUGCGUUGAUUAGGUCUGAAAGACGGUGUGUGUUCAGUAUAAAUAUGUGAACAAUCCUCUUCUUGGACUCAUCUUCUCUUUCAAUUCUCUGAAAGGAUCUCCGGUUAAGCGAGGCGGCGAGGGUCGACACGCUCCUCCUGUACGCCAAGGUACUUCCGGCUUGACUUUGUAGUUUUUUUUCUUAACCUUUCAAGCGUUGUUGAUGUUUUGAUUAUGAAACUUUCAACAAUAGUUCUUCACCAGAGAUCAAUACGCUCAUGUCUCCGUUAUUCCCCAUAUUUUUUUCUUAUCGUCAAAUAUUUAGGAUAUGAUCAUUGUUGUGAUUGUUGAUUCUGUUUCACUUUGUUCGUAUAUUUUUAUUCAUCAAAUAGUCCGUAUAAGGAAAUCAAUAUGCUUAUGUCUUGAUUAUGAAAAAAUUAACAAGGGCUUUAGUUUAUUGUUGAUGGUUAAGAUAUAUAUUUUGUUUGUUUAUGUUUCCAAUUUGUCAUGCAUUGCAGGCGACUCUCACCCAAGCCACCGUGAACGUCCAACCGCUGAACACAUUCAGGCAUCUUUUCAAUGUACUAUGUUAGCGACUUUGAGGUAACACAGUCACACAGAGCAAUUUAAACUUCAAGCUGUCCGACUCUCAUGUCUCGAUCGGUUCAAUAGUGGUGUGUCUGUCACUAUGAGUGUAUCGACUCUCACACUGUAUCGUUUCACAAACAACUUAAAGGCUACAAGGUUGACCCAUGUGUGGCUGUUGCAACAUGCAUUAAUCUGAAGCUUAUAGGAGGUAUCAGUUCAUAUCUGUUUUGUUAAUUAUGAGUUUCAUCCUAAUGUUAUUUAUGAAAACUAAUCGAGCUUCAAUUUGGAGGUCAUUUGUUCAUCAAUGCCGCCUGGAACUCAUUUCUAUUUUGACAAGGAGUCUGAAUCUGGCGGUAGUUUCAGUCUCCUGUUCUCGAAUAGCUGUACCUAACAGAAUGACAUCAUCCCAUGUUCUCGCAAAGGCAGCACAGAGCCACGGGUAUACCACCAUCAGAACCUCCAGCCACUAACAGUCUCUCCAUUGACCUCCGUCUAGCGUUUCCGCUACCUUAUGACUAGAUGCCCUGGUAGCGGCAACGUCCAAGCACAUUAUAUUCAAGGAACUCUAGAAUUAUUUAUAUAAAAACAAUUCAGUAACUGGUCUACACCGUGGUUUUCAGAAAAAAGUUUACGUACGGGCCUGUAAGCAUUUACAUUAUUACAAAAAACUCUUUAAUUUUCGCUCUAGCUUCGAACUUACGUUACAAGGUAACAUAAAAUUAUACAAAUAAGGAAUUAGCCACGAAUUGGCUACAUCAAAACAUGUCAAACAUUCGUUAUUGCUUGAUAAAAAAGUACAAGUUAAUACUCGCAUAACCCUAACUAAAAAAAACAAACCAAUACAAAAGCAUUAUUUCACGUUACUAAAAGGCCACAAACACGACUCACGCAAUUAAAAAAAUCUGAAAAAUCCAAAAGCCUCUAACGAGGUCCCACGAAAUGCACCCAAUCACUAAUCAUACUACAUGUUCCAAAGUUCAUAAGAGCACCUCCAAAGGUGAGUUAUCUAGGUCUGGGCACGGAUCGGAUAUCCGGAUUUUUAAAGGUAUUUGUGAUUUGCUUCGUAUGUCACGGAUAUCUAAUUUUUCAAUUUGCUUUGCAUCGAAAAAAUAUGGAUAUUCGGAAAAACGGAUAUCUGGAAAAUAAAUAGAUAUUUGCGGAUAUUUACGAAUACUUACGGAUAUCUCAUAUGUUUUGAUUAAUACAAAUAAUCUUAAAAUUUUGAUACAAAUUUGUUUUGUAAAAUAUUUUUUGCAUGAUAUAUAUGAUAAAAAUUAAAAAACAUAGUGAAUCUACAUAUUUUGUAAAUUUUUUUGACCUUAGUUAACAAUUAUAAUAACACAAACUUAAGAAAAAAAAUAUAAUUAUCAUAAAUGUGUUCUCUUCCUUUUAUGUAAUACAUUUAUAUAAGUAAUAAUGUGAAUAGAAUUUAUCAAAUCAUAUGUUAGAAUAAUAAUUAUAUAAUUUUAUACAUUAAAAACUUUAAAUAUAAUCAAGAUAUACAUGUAUUUAUAUAUUGCUGGAUCGGAAAUCCGCUUCCCAAAAUUUUAAUUUUUGUGAUUUGCUUCGAUUUUAACGGAUAUUGAUUUUUAGUAUUUGCUUUGAUUCGAAAGUUUACGGAUAUCCAGAAUUUUCGGAUUUAAUCGAAACAAAUAACGAAUCGAAUCAAAUUUAACGGAUAAAAUGUCCAGCCCUAGAGGUACCCACUUUAGUUUCUUAUUGAUAAAAGUAUUAAUACUUUAACAAUGGUUUAGUUUUUAUUUAAUUUUUGAAUUUUAUUAAAAAGCUAUUCUGUUAAAGAAGGACAUCUGUAUUGAAGAGUCUUCUGACACAAAUAUUUUCUUUUUUUUAAAAAAAGAAAAUUGGUUAGAACUCAUCAGUAUCAAUAAUCUACCGAUGGAGAUGCUAUAAGGUCCAACCAAACGUACCGACAACCAAAUACAAAAAAAAUAUUUGUAUAUUAACAAGAUUUACACCUUCAUGUUUCAGACUCCGAUACAGAAAAAAGUAAAAUUUUUAGUAAAAUAGUAACAAAUGUAUAUUUCCUUCUUGUUUUUAAAAGUAAAAUUUGUAGUAAAAUAGUGAAAUUAUUUUUAAAAUAAACAAACAAUUUCACUAAAAUUAAAAUACAUUUGUAUUGUUUCGUUCAUUUAUUUACCCUCUGACCCUAGUUUAUAAUAUCUUCAUGACGUUAAUAAUACUGAGAACAAAAUUUGGGUUCACCCCUGUGGUGAAUCUCCUAAAUUCACCUUCCUAGUGAUUACCAAUCAAAUUCACAAUUAAUCAAAAAAGGUAUUAAAACUAAAGAAAAAAAAGAAAAAUAGCUUUAAAAAAAGGAAUACGUCGACUAAACGACGUUCAUCAAAACAUCUCGUCGACUGCUGCUUCUUCAAACUCGGAGGCUUCUUCACAAUCCCUAAAAAACACAGAUUGUAGUUUUCAAACAAAGAUUCGAGAUCUGUGUUUGAACGGUACAUCGCGUUACUCUCUUUUAUCUUUAUUCAAAUUUAAGAAUCGAUGUUCUUAGAUUAGGUCAAUUCCCUAAAACAACAUAAUUAACCUCAAGUGUAAUUAUUGUUUGUUAUCAACAAGGAAGAAGAAGAUGGAGAAGAAGAGCAUCUAGUUAAAAGAUAUGUUUUUUAUUGGAAUUGAACUUUUGAUUAAAUCUACGGACGAAGUGGAUCUAAGAGAAGUUCCCAAGAUGAAGAACAAAGAAGGGUAGCAGAGAACAAGCUACAAAGAAGAAGAGACUUGAGGCGCAAGAAACGGAAGAGUGAAGAAGAAGAUUACUCUCUUCUCUCUCUCCAAGCACAAGAAAAGAAACGACGGAGUAAAGAGACUGUGUGUGCUUGUGUAAUAAUGAAACACAAGACAAAACAGAGUGAGUGUGAGAACAAAAACAGAGAGUGAGUGAACAAGAGAAACACAGUGAGCCGUACAACUAGAGUUAAGAAGAAUGCUUUCACGUCUCUGUUUGUAAGACAUUAUAAAUGUGUAUUGUAUGUUUUUAUAAGGCAAUAUAAUGUAUUUUAUAGAAGUUCCACAUCACGAUGUAAGGAUUCAUCGAGUAAGAAGGUGAGAGAGAAUAGCUAUUUCUGGUUUGGUAUUCAUGAAUAUGCACUACAAAGAUAAGGACCAGGAUCACGACUAAGGGUUGAAUAUACGUCGACAAAGUGAAGCAGUAAGCCAGUGCUUCAUUGUGAGGAGAGAAUGAAUUUUUUUUUUUUUUGCUCUGGUUUGUUCUUCGUAGGUCACUAGAGGAAGAGAACAUCUAUGAAAGAAAAGGGAGAACAUAUAGACUUAAGAAGAAUGCAACUAAAACGAAGAACUUAGCCAGAGACGUUGAAGCUAAUAUGAUCUUGAUUUUUGAAGAUAAUAAUAAGUGUAAAAACAAGAAUAUGCUAGAAACACCAAAAGUUGGAACGAAAACAAAACAUAAUUAAUAUCUGCUUUCAUAUUUAAAAUAACAGAGUUAUGUUAUACGGUGAUCCACCACAACUCUUGUCAAAUCCCUACAAAAUAUGACACAUACCCAAAUUAAAAAAUGAUAGAUAAUUCAAAUAUAAAUGGUAUAAAGAAUGAAGUAUUAACCUGGAGCAGUUGUGAAAAAGAAGUUUCAUUGCCUAAGGUGAGACUAGUGGCAGCAACAGGUAACUGAGUAUCAAGAGGAAGACUUGAGUCCUGAAAUCUGUAGAUUGAUUAAGUCCCAAAAUUCAAUGAGGAUUGGACAAACAAAAAAAAACUUUAUAUCAAAUACCUGAAAUGACAACUUUUUUUUGGCUGUAGCAUUAUUGGAUGAUUUUGAUAUACCACGAUUUUUUAUUUCAAGCACACUCAUAUACCGACCAUGGCGUCCGGCUUUUUGGUUCUUCGGUCGUCCAGGAGGUUUUUUUCUUUUUAUUCCACGUGCGUUUAGAACUUCUUCUUAAUCUUCUUCUUCCACAAGUUCAAAAUCUGAAGAGUGGACCAUCCAUUUAUUAGCUUUCACAAGUUCCAUUUUCUUUUCCACCAAUUUUUCAAGCAACUGAGAGGCAGCUUCAUCUGCACACAACGUCAGUUCUACAUGUUCAGCAGCAACAGACGCAAUCUCACGGAAAGUACGACAUAUAUGACUAUAUCGUUUUCCGAACGAUUGCUUCACUGUAUCAUUAGGUGUCGCUGAAUGAUAAAAGGAUAUGGUUCGUGCUUUAGCCUCUUUACUCCAUCGGUUCAGAAUGUAAGUAGGUGGAAUUCUUCUAACAUCCUUCUUGGCCAACGCUUUUAAUGCAUGACGACAUAAGAUUCCACCAAAAGAAAACUUCAUGCAACUACAAUGUAUCGUUUCGUUUGCAGCAACAUAGUUAACCAAAUGAUUUCUUCCAACACCACGUAAAGAUACAUUGUAUUCAGCACUCACCAUCUCAGACUUAUUGACCCUUUUGGCAACAUAAUCACCUAUAGCUAUGUUUUCCUUCUGGAACAAGGUAAAGACUUCUGGUGUAUACACGUCCAAUGCAUGUUGUAACAUUUCUACAGGAGCUGAUAAUACCGGCGAGGUAUGCAUCAUACUGAAGUCAGUAGUUAAUUCUUUAAAGUGCCGAUCAUCCAACACUCUCUCAUAGUGUUUAAAGAAGCGAAACAAGUUAUAACUGCUCUUCAAGUAAUUUUUCAAAAUAUUAUUCAUACUUUCACUACGCUGUGUGCUCAUCAUAUUGGCUGUAAAAUUUUGACGACCAUAUACCCUUGCCCAUUUUUCUCUCAACUCAAACAAAUCAUUCAGCCAUUUAUUCUCUGUCAAUCCAUGCUUCUCGAGCAUUUCACUCCAUGCCGAUAACCACUCUACUUCAUUCUCAUGGUCAUAUACACAUUUUCCAAAGUCUGUGGCAAAAUGGUUUGGUCCAUGAAAUACACAACUCAACCUCUUUGUAGCAUUUUGGUAAAUAUGCCAAACACAUAACCUAUGUUUUGUUUCAGGGAAGAAUUUUCCUAUUGCAUUUUCCAUUGCUGCACAUUGGUCUGUAAGAAUUGUUUGCGGCUGUUUUCCAGACAUUGCUCCAAGAAAAGUCUGAAAAAGCCACUCAAAAGAUUCUGUUGUUUCAUCAUAUAAGAGAGCAGCACCAAACACAAUAGUUUGCUUAUGAUGAUUGACCCCGACAAAUGGAGCAAACUUAUCAUAUUCGUUGGUCUUGUAAGUUGUAUCAAAGCAAACGACAUCUCCAAAAAGAUUGUAAUCACUAAUUGACCGAUCAUCUGCCCAAAAAAUAUUAGUGAUCAUAUCGUCCUCAUCAAGUUGCAUUGAGUAAAAAAAAGAUGAAUCAUCCUCUUUCUUUUUUUGAAAGUACUCCAAAACCGCUCCAGCACCUCCCUUUUCCAUUGCUGCCAUUGGCUUACGGUAUAUGUAAUUGUGCAUGUCUUUUCUAUAAAACCCAGAUUUGCUUGCCCCCCAAUUUCUCUGCUCAUCAUUUCAAUGGUUGCUUUUGCUGAAAUUCCUGACAUAUCGGCAUCAUCAGCAUGUUGUUUUUGAGAGAUAGAGAUUGCUCGGUUACUCUUCAUCAAAUGCUUCAUAGGUGUCCUCACUAAAUCAUGGUUAUGAUUCGGCUCAAAAGUCAUAAUCUUAUAUCUUCCGUUACUCUGAAGGUAGCAAGACAUGCGAGCUUUACAACCACACCUUGUGGUUGGUCGUGAAUAUGCUUUCCUGACCUUAGGUUCCUGUCUAAGCCCCUCUUUUGAGCAUACAUAAACCAUCCUUACUAGCUUUUUGUUUUUUUUCUCGAAGUCUGUUGUCUCCUUACGUCGAAACCAUGAUUGCCUCCAUACUUUCUAUAAGCAUUAUAUGCAGACUCAUCAGAACUAAACUCCAUUCCACUACAGAGUUCAUAUUUAUUCUGAUUUUCAUUGUUUGCCUCUAAAUCAUCAGCAUCUUUAGUCUGAAUAUAAUCAUCCUUGUUGCCUAUGCCCGCUUCUUCAUCGAAAUCACUGACUGAAACAUCGUCAUCACUGAAUGAGGCAUCUUCCUCAGAUAAAAACUCAUCCAUAUUCUGACUUAACAAACUGGUUUCACCUGAGAUUUGAGUACUAAAUUCAUCUUGAAUAGAGGAAACAGUUUCUUGAUCACUUGAAUGACUACUCUCCAUUGCAACUAUAUAGCAAAAUACAAACACCAGUCAGAGAUUAUCUUAGAUAACAUAGAAGAAUUAAACUUUAUUUUAAUGAAGAUUCUAAACAAUUGAUGUUUUAAACAUAUCAAUUUAAUGCCAAUCAUCAAGUUUUAUCAUAUAUCAUGACCUGGCCUUAUUUCAAUCAUAAACCACAUCAAUUUAAUGCCUUCCCACAACCAAAAUGUAAUGUAUUCCGAAAAAGUAAGAGAAUCAGUAGCUACAAUUUAGUAUAUUAGUUCCAAUUUGUCAACCUGAUAUUUUUAGUUCUUUUUCCUUUCAAAGCUUAAUAGUUAAAUAAGUUUGAAUAAUGCUUAACUCCAAUUUUUUUAACACACUGGCGGUAAGCUACAAAGCAUCCGUGACCUCCUCUAUUCCUUUUUUUCUCUCAUAUUCCCAUGAUCAUACAUAUAUGUGAUUAAAAAAGAUCUAACAACUCUAAGCUUAAAACUAUAUGAUCCUGAGAUAUAUAACAAACAAUAACUAUACUUGAGGUCAAUUAUGUUGUUUUAUGGAAUUGACCUAAUAUAAAAAAAUCGAUUCUUAAAUUUGACUAAGGAUAAAAGAGAGUAACGCGACGUACCGUUCAAACACAGAUCUCGAAACUUUGUUUGAAAACUACAAUCUGUGUUUUUUAGGCACUGAGAACAAACCUCUGAGUUUGAAGAAGCAGCAGCCGAGGAGGUGUUUUGAUCAACGUCGUUAAGUCGACGUCUUCCUUUUUUUUAAAGCUGUUUUCCUUUUUUUUUUACUUUUAAUACUUUUUUUAUUAAUCCUACAUGGCAAUUUGAUUGGUAAUCAAUAAUGAGGUGAAUUUUGGGGAUUCACCAUAGGGGUGAACCCAAGUUUCAUAGGGGUGAACCCAAGUUUGGUUCUUUAAAAAUCACACCGAGUGAGAUAUAAUUAUUAUAAAAAUCACACAGUCAUCAUUGACAACUUGACCACAUCCACGUUUGUUCCUCGAUACAAAACAAUGUUAUUAUCCACUUUCCUUGCCGUUUCCAUUUUUAACGUAACAUCAACGUUUUUAUAACUACGCAUAUGAAUCAUGAUUGUGUGUUUUUCCAAUAAUGCUUGCAAAUAAUUUGAUGUUACUUGUCUGUAGUAAAUCCUAUGCGUAUGCAAAUCCAUCGUAGAAUUUGCCAAUCAAUUAUUCUGAAAAUACUAAUUUAAAAUAGUAAAUCGUAUGCGUAGGUAAAUCCAUCAUAGAAUUUUCCAAUCAAUCAUUCUGAAAAUACUAAUUUAAAAUAGUAAAUGAUCUAAUAUACAAUCAUCAGUCCAUUCUAGAUACAUUUCUCUGAAUUCAAUAAUGAUAGGUUACUGUUAGUUAGGAUAACAUUUAAUUGUUUUGAUACUAUAAAUGUACUAUAAUUGUGCAUAAAAUUCAGAUCGUAUGGUAAAGAUUAUUUUGAACUUUCUCGAGAAUAUAAAAGACAAUAGAGCGAAAGAUUCUAUAGUUGUUCUUUCGGUAUUAGAUGAUGUAUUUGCAGCACAAGACCUGAAGCCUUGGGUUCACUCGAUUCUCUGCAACAAGAUCAAAAUUAACUACUAAAAAUAUGUAAAUAUGCAAAAUAAAAUACAAUUAAUCUCUGGUAAAACUGAUAAACAAAGCUAAAAGAGAAAACAACGUUACUGGGCUGAAUUAAUUGGAUCAUAUAACUCAAAUCAAUAUAGUGAACAUUUGUAACAAACGCCGGAUCAUAGAAUUUACUUAAAAUAGUUUUAUUUGACAACGAUAUGUAGCUUUGUGUGACAAUACUAUUCGAUUGAAGUGCAUGAUCAAAUUGUACUCAACCAACUUGGCAUAUACAAAUCAUUAAAGGGUAAAAUAAUACAAAUCAUUAAAUGGUAAGAUACUGUUUUUUUUUGUUGUGACAAAAAAAAUAGUAAAAUAAAUAACUGAAUUUGUCUGACAAAUUUCAUAUUGUUACGUAUUCCUCUCGUUUUAAUUAAUGAGAUACAAGUUUGUGAACGUAAAAAAAAAGCUAGAAUAUCUGGUUCACGCUUUUCAAAAGAUACAAGUAUAUCCAUGCGAAGGUGUGUUACUAUUUAAUAUUGAAUAAUUUGUUUAUUGCUUUAACAUGUACUAAAGAUCACUUGCUAUUCAUAUGAAUCACUCAUUUUUUUCUCCAUGGGAACUCUACCACUAGAAAUACUUUUCAGUAUAUUUAAUUGAACGGUACUCCCUCUGUUUCCGAAAAAAUGAUUUUUUAGAGUAUUCACACAUAUUAAAGAAACAAUUAAUUUUUUACAAUUGAAUUUAUUAUUUAUUUUAUUAUACAUUUUUCAAUAAAUAUCAACCAAUACUAUUCAACCAAUUCAAAUAUUUUCAAUUAAUGUUUCUUAAAAUUAUACUCCAUCUGUUCCUGAAAGUAAGAUUUUCUAAAGUAUGCACGCUUAUUAAGAAUUUAAUAAAUGUUUAUAAUUUAAUUUAUUUUUUACUUUAUUAUACACUUUCCAAUAACUUUCCACCAAUGAAAUUUAAUCAAUUCAAAUAUUCUCAAUUAAUGUUCCUCAAAAGUAUAAAAAAGUACAUUAACAAUAUAAAAAAUCUAUCUUUGUGAAACAAGAAAAAAAUCUAAAACAUCUUAUUUUCGGGAACGGAGAUAGUACAACUUUUCAACAUUAACUACCAAAACUACCUUAAAAAUUAUGUUUUCUCUGUCGUUGACGUAGAAAAAAAUAUACGUUUCCAUUGAUAAUUCAAUUUUCGUGGACGCAUUUAGCCAUCAAUAUUGCCAUCAUUAACGUAGAAAAAACGAAAAGAAAAUUAUAAGCGGCUACAAGUAUGAGAACAUUUUUGGUAACGACACGUGGAAUGUCCACGAGGGCACAGUUUUUAUCCAUUAACCUUCUCUUUUCUCAUCUUCGUCUCUUAUAUAAACCAAACCUAACAUCCUCAAAACAAUCCACAAAUCACUUUUGAUCUUUAUUUCGGAUUAAAGGAUAAAAUCACAUUCAUCUUUAUCCCCUUUGCCUUUUUGAUUCUUCGAUUUCGCGUAACAAAAAAUGGAGGUUUCAGUGAUUGGUAACCCUCAAGCGAAGAUCUGCCGAGCUGAAUUAUCCUUCAGGGAGCUCGGGUUUAGACUUGGGUCCGGUGAAUCGAGAAAUAAAGUUUGUUUCUUGACCCACCAAAGCUCGAAAUGGAAGGAGAUCAGGAUCCGGUGCUCUCCGAGAUCCGUGAAAUGCGAAGCCAUCGUCUCCGAUCAAGCUCCGUUUCUGAAACCGACUCCAAACCCUAGAUCGGUAACCAUUCUCUUCUUCCUUCGAUUGCUAUUGUUUGAGAUCAAUUGAUUUGUUUCUGAACUCGAUUUCAAUUGCAAAAUUGCGUUUUUCUCUAAAUCAGGAGAAAAAGGUCUCUCCUUUUAUCCCGUGGGAUUGUUAUUACCAAUAUGAGAUAAAAUUACAAGGGUGUAUGUAAUUAAAACAUGUUUUUUUUUGUCUUUGUUGCAGCAGCUUGAGAGCGUGAAACUAUUCGUUGGGCUUCCUCUAGACACAGUUUCAGACUGCAACAACGUGAACCACAUGAAAGCUAUCACCGCUGGGCUCAAAGCUUUGAAGCUACUCGGCGUUGAGGGAGUUGAGUUACCUGUCUUCUGGGGAGUUGUUGAGAGAGAAGCUGCGGGGAAAUACGAAUGGUCAGGGUACUUGGCUGUGGCGGAGAUUGUUAAGAAGGUUGGACUCAAGCUUCAGGUGUCACUCUCUUUUCAUGGGUCCAAAGACCCGGAGAUUGGUCUUCCUGACUGGGUGGCAAAGAUAGGGGAAGGUGAACCUGGGAUGUAUUUUACAGACAGAUAUGGGAAACAGUACAAAGAUUGCUUGUCCUUUGGAGUUGAUGAUGUUCCUGUUCUUGAUGGGAAGACUCCUAUGGAGGUUUAUGGUGGUUUCUGCGAAAGCUUCAAGUCUGCUUUCUCAGAUUACAUGGGGAACACUAUCACGGUAUUGUUUUGCACUUGCAUUCUCAAUAAUAAUUUAGGCCUGCAGAUUCGGUUUCUUCUGUUAGUUCGGGUCGGUCGAAUAAAUUUUGGUGUGGUUUUUGGUUAGUUCGGUUUCAAAAAUUUUACCGAAUUUUCGGUUUUGUGGUUAGUUCGGUUAAAUUUUCAGCUUAAAUUGAAUAAAAUCUGAAAAAUUUCGGUAAUUCGGUUUUUUCGAUUAGGAUUUUGGUUAGUUCGGUUCGAUUCGGAUUGGAAUUUCAGUUAAGAUUGAUACUGUUUUUUUUUUUAAGAAAACGAACUAACCGAUUAUCGACCGAAAAAACGAGUUUUUUUUUUUUGUUUCCUGAUUGAACCGAACUAUCAAACCGAACUAACCAAAUUCCCAGCCCUACUCAAUAUGUUUACUCUGGUUUUAGUUUCUGAUUUUUUUAUUCAUUUUGUUUACAGGGAAUCACAUUAGGUAUGGGACCAGACGGAGAGCUAAGAUACCCUUCUCAUCAACACGAGACUAACCUCUCUGGAGCAGGAGAGUUCCAGUGUUACGACAAACACAUGCUAUCCGCUCUGAAACACUACGCUGAGUCCACAGGAAACCCUCUUUGGGGACUCGGUGGUCCACACGAUGCUCCUGCUUACGACCAACAGCCUCAUUCCACUUCUUUCUUCUCAGACGGCGGGUCAUGGGAGUCUCAGUAUGGAGAUUUCUUCUUGACUUGGUACUCGUCUCUUCUCACCUCCCAUGCGGACCGAGUCUUCUCCGUUGCGUCAUCAGCAUUUGGUGGAAGUGGAGUGUCAGUAAGUGGGAAGUUGCCUCUCUUGCACCAAUGGAACAAGCUGAGAUCUCAGCCUUCUGAGUUAACUGCUGGGUUCUAUAGCUCUAAUGGUCACGACAGGUACGAGGCAAUCGCAGAGAUCUUUGCAAAGAACUCUUGUAGAAUGAUAAUACCUGGAAUGGAUCUUUCCGACGAGCACCAGUCACUGGCCUCUCUCUCUAGCCCUGAGUCGUUACUUGGUAACAUCAAAACGUCAUGCAAGAAACAAGGAGUGGUUGUUUCAGGGCAAAACUCUUCUGCUUCUGUCCCUGGUGGGUUUGAGAGGAUCGUUGAGAAUCUGAAGGAUGAGAGUGUAGGAAUUGAUCUGUUUACUUAUCAGAGAAUGGGAGCUCUUUUCUUCUCGCCUGAGCAUUUCCAUGCUUUCACUGUCUUUGUUCGGAACAUGAACCAGGUCGAGCUGUCUUCAUACGAUCAAGCGGGAGAGGAUGAGGCUCAGACAGUGAGCUUAGGUUCAGGCACUGGUGCACAUAGUUUGCAAACUGCUUGAUGAGUAUUAAUAUUUGUACGCAAAUAAGAAAGAAUGUCUCCUGUUAUUUAGCAUUUAUAUAGAUUUUGUCGUAAUCCUGUACAAUUAUUUGUAUCCAUGUACUCAUAAAACAUGAAUCCUGAAGUUUAAGACAGGGAUCUCUUGUUUCCUUGUAGUACUCUUAAUUCAAUUAUAACCCUCUUCUAUUGUCUAAAGCCUUGUUAGUAACAUCUUCAAAGUUUUUAUCCACCUCAAGAUUUCCUGAGCUUCCUUUGACAUUCGGCAAUGUUUGUUUAGAACAACUAACUUCAUGGAGUUGCUUUCCCCAUCCUGAAUCUUCUUGCCUUCCUGCAUCUCCACUAUAAUUGAAUCCUCUUCUGUUAUUGUCUACAGCCUUGUCAAUAACAAUAUAAAACCUUCACAGUUUUAUCCACCUCAAAAUCUCCAGAUUGAUUCAUAUACAUUUUCAGGUUCGAGUUUAUGGCAUUUGACAUUGGGUCUUACAGGAGAACGAUCAACCAGAUGGACUUGCUUGUCUUGAACUUCUUGUACAUACAAAUGAGCAGUUUGUUGAUACAUCUGAUCAGAUAAUGUCAACCCUUUAAAUCUGUAUUCUGGAAGUGACUUAAAUAUCUGUGUUUCAGAAAUUGAAAUUGAAUGUAUGAGUAUUUGUUUUAAAUAUUGUUGGUAGAAUACUUUUAGUAAAAUUUACAAAUCUUUAGUAAUUUAAAAAACUAUAUCAGAUCACAUGAGUAAUGACACAAAAGGCCAACGUUGAGAUUACUUCAGCUCAAAGCUCACAUAUAUGCAAGGAGGGCUUCACAAACACUAAACAGAGAACUACUCUCUAAUCAAGUGAUUAGUAAUUAAACACGGAGAGAUCCAAACCACUGUUCUUUUCCUAGGCACCAUUUCAAGAUUCAUGAACUUCCAUAGAUUUAAACCAACAAACGAAAAACAUAAAUAAAACACUGGAUAAAGUCUUUUAAGUUUUAAAGGUUUUAGAUCUUAAACCAAGAACAAACCUUGAGUCAGAAUCCACCAAAAAGCUAAUAUAAAGGGACUUUAUCCUUCUCUGACACCCGUUGCUCAACGCUCUUGUCACCUCACAAUACAGAUACUGCUGUAGAAUCAAGUUCAAAAAGCUCUUUCAACUCUCCAUCUACCUCCUUUAUCACCCGGGAAGCAGCAAUCUGAUGAGAGAAUCUCAGCACUUUCAACUUUGGGAUUGUAAAUAUCACCUCAUCCCCAUCAUCAAAAUCACGUGGCCUACUCUCAGCUGCUCCAAAAACUCUCUUCCUCUCUUCAUCUCCAUUAAACUGCAACGCAGGCUCCAGCGCUAACACCUUAUAGUCCAAGGCGUCAUCAAGAACUUCGACAAUGACGUAGUCCUCAUAGGUUUCUUCAAGGAAACCAUUCCAGAAUCUCUAUAUCGCCCACACUUGGCCAACCUUAGGCAGAAUGGUAUACGUAUAUUCAUUUCCUUCCAUGGAGGUUCCAGGCACCAUCAGAUGUGAAAAGUUAUUAGGAGCGAGUGCUACAUGAACUCUAGUCACCAAGAAAGUUCCACAACUAACAUGCAGUUUCUUGUCCUCCCAAGGGAUGAUGACUUCCCCAGGUAAACGCUUGGGCUUUAACCGACAGGAGACUAUUUUGUAAACUGGAGCCUGCUCAAAUGUUUGAGUCACACUGAUCUUAUGGAUCCUACAGUAGUCCCUAGGCAUGUUGUCAUUGCAUCCGAUGUAUGACCAGAUCUGACCAGUUUUAAAAACCUUUCCGUUUAUAGGAAAGCAGAGAGCUUCUGGCUUUGGAGGUGCAAACUCUGGUAAUAGAUGUGAAGGGACGGUUACCUCUUCGAUUGUUGCAGGUAACGCAGCUUGGUCCAGCUCGUAAGCAUACUUUGGCAGACCUUUGACGUCAACUCCAGUCAGUUUGAAGGAAGGGAUCCUAUGGGAGAAUCGGUACAAACUGUGAGGUGAUAUGUGCAAUGUCUCUGCAUCACCAGUUCCCAUUCGGAAGAAAACACUUGCAAAGCAUUUUGCUUUAUGCAAGAAUGCAACAGAUACACCAGCAGCUUCAGUGCAAUAAUAAUCUGACAAAAUCUCCACAAACUCAUACUCAUAUUUGCGGUGAGAAUCUGGCUCUGAAGACCAGUUCAUAUCCCAGUUCUUGAAUAGAGCCCAAGUCUCUCCUUUUCUUGGAGAAAGAGUGAUGUGACCAGAGUUGCUUCCUUCGUUGCAGUGGAUAACAUGUGAGAAUAACGAACGCUCUUGAGUGUUCUCAUUCUUCCCAAGCCUGAACUGACCAGUAGAAACAGGCAAGUCUUCUUCAAACCACUGGAUCUCUUUCUCAUCAUCAGGAUCCGGCUCUAGAUAUGUGAUCCUAAGCCCAAAAGAAGGAACUGAAACUUUUCUGAUGAGAGCAUACUGUCUAGGAACCUUAUCAGUUGUGUCAUAGAUACCCCAAACCUGGCCAACUGCAAAGUUUACUUCCUCCCUCAGCUUAUCAAAGUCGUUAAACUUUAGACCAGCAAUCUUUGGUUGUACAUCACCUCCUGAACUUGAAUCACGUAAACCAAAGUUGUUAUCCACCUUAGCAUUCCCAGAGCUUGACGCUUCAUCUCCAUUACCAUUGAAUCCUCUUCUGUUAUUGUCUACAGCGCUACCAAUAACACCAUCAGGCUUGCUGUGAUUUUGAGAUAAAGCAGCAACCUCUUCUUCCCUCUUUCUCUUCUCACCAACAACCUUCACAUCACAUCUCAAACCAGGAGAGCUUUUCUUUCCAGAGACAGACGCAGCCUCGUUCUUGCACAUGGAUCUAAACUCUUGGAACCAUUUGUUGAACAGAACCUCGCCUGAUCUCGCAAGCACUUCCAUCGCAAUGGUUUCCUCCCUGCAACUCGGACAAACGAACCAUUUGUCUAAAUACACUCUAAGAUAACGAUGUCUACACCCACAGUUUCGACACGUAGUCCAAAAGCUUGGACCGGAACUGGAAGGAGCAACCGGAUGGUACUGAUGUGUUUCACGGAGCAUUUGACUCAAUAUCCUUUUAGGUGUACUGUCUUUAGACGAAAGGCCUUGAAGAGGGGUCUCACGCGCGGUGAAGUUCUUGUUACAACAUCGACAUCUUGUCUGUUUGCUGACGAAGCUUCUAUGUAAUCUGUAACACACGGAACAGAAUGGACACGUGAGAUCCAUCUUCGUGCUGUAGAAGAAGAAUACAUAUUAUUAGUAAGAACCCUAACCUAAAGCAAUCGUCUUUAUAUACUAAGGAACCCUAGAUUGAGAUAUUAAGGAGCUCACUCUGUCUAAGAAGAGGCCGAUGUCGGAGUGCACAGCGGCGAAUGUUCCGUCGUCUUUGGAGGAGCAUGAAAAAAUCUCACUCUUUUACAGUUGUGAUAUUCCCUUUUCACGGAGGUGAAAAAGCUCUGUUCCCAAUUCAUUUUGGCGGGAAAAUAGUUGACGAGAAGAAUGUAAAUGGGCUAACGAAUAUUAUUGGGCCUAGAAUGCCCAGAUAAUCAUUUUGAAUUUUCAUAUGUCAAAAAGUAAACAUAUUAACCAACCAGUGUUUUUAAAACCGGACCGACCCGAUGGUUAGACCGGAUUCGACUAUGAACCGAUUAUAUAGCCGGAUUGGGUUUAGUAAUUGGUUCGACCAUGAACCGACCACGUAGAUAGAUUGGAUUUCAAAAUUAUUAAACCAAUAAAAACCACUAAACCUAUCAAAAAUCUAUAAACCAUCAAUUAAACAUAAAACUAACUUAUAUUUAUAAUGUUUUAUGUUUAAAACUUAUUUAUAUUUUAGUUACGUAUCAUAUUUAAUAACAUUGCUUUAAAAUUUAUAUACUAAAAAUAUAUUAAACCAAAGUAUUAAACCAAAUUUGACCAGAUCGAACCAUAUUGAACCAUGACCCAAAAAAAUCCGGUUCGGCUUCCGGUCCGGUUUUAAAAACACUGAUAUUAACACAGAUCCGGCGAAAUAUAGCUUCCUUCUUUCAAAAUGCAGUAAAAAAUAUUCUAAAUUUGUACUUACAUUCUCAAGUUGGUCUACUCUUGUUUUUUUUUUUCUACAAAGGAUUUCAAAUUAAAAAUUUGAAUGUUUACAUGAAUAAAUAGAUAGAAAAAGUUUGCAUGAAUAAACUUCAUGACAGAUAACAUUUCUAACCUAUCGUUCUCAAAUUUUUUUUUUUUGACAGAUUUACUUCAACUUGAGAGAUUUAAUUGAGAUUCGACUGAUUUAUUUUUCUUUUGGCCACAGAUUUACUACAUUUUGACAGAUUUAAUUAUAAUUUGAUAAAUCUAUUUUCUUUAGGCCACAUAGUUACUUAAUUCUAAUAGAUUUAAUUAGGAUUUGAUAGAUUUAUUUUUCCUUUAUUGACAAAUUUAUUUAAUUUUAAAAUUUUUAAUUAGGAUUUGAUAGACUUGUUUUUUUAUUUUGACCACAAAUUGGUUAAAAUUAAUAACAGUAACAACCUAGUUAACUCUUUUAAAAAUCGAAACCAGAACUAUUUUAGACCCGAAACCAUUUUUGCUUCAUUUCUUAGUGUGUUCACUACUUCAGCUACAUGUAAGAAAAGAGUACCCAACGCCUCCACUCAAAGAAAUUAGACUCAUCAAAAGGAAAAAUAAUGUGUCCUUUUUAUGUAAGAACACACUGUAGCAAGGGUUGUUUGUGAUAAAAGACAACGCAGGAACCAAAAGACGUUUAACAAGGAAUCAUUUAUUUCAGAAGAAAGAAGCAAAUGAAUUGCAUAUGUAUAUAUAUAAUCAGUUUUCGCGUAUAAACAAAGUGCAAAAAAAAAACACAGGGAAAAUGGAAACUUAGUAGCCAUCCUUGAGAUCGUUUACAAAGUCGUAAAGAUUGGAGUGACAGUCUCCAACGGUCAUACCCUUGGUCAUGAAACCAUGCUUGGACUUUUAGGCUGUCUAUUUGUGCUGAUUGUCUCUCCUACAGAUUUAACUGCAGCCUUGAACUCAUCGUUCUUCUCCAUAGUUUGAACUCUUCAGCACACCUUGACUAAUGGAUGUGCUCCCCACACAGAUGUAGCCUCUUUCUUAUGACUGUUCCGGUCGAAAGUCUAACACCAACUGAACGACAAAGUGAGUAGUAAAAGAGAACUAGAUUUUAAUCCGCGCUUUAAAAGCGCGAGAUAAAUGUUUGUUCGAAUAAUAAUUUACUGCAAAUUAGAAAUUUUAUACAUAUGUGUGUUUUAUAUAAUUUUUAAAAAAUAUAUAUAUGAUUAAAUUAAAAUUUCCAUAAAUAUAAUUUUAUGAGAAUAAGAUAAUUCCUUUAUAUACCCACCCCAGAUAAUUUUACUUAUACUUUAAAGCUUAAAAUUAUAGCAUGAAUUUAUCUUUAACUUUUUAUAUCGGUCAAAAUUUAUUUAAUUAUAAUAGAAAUUAACUAUAUGUAAUUCUACCCGUCUCAUACUUGAUAAAUAUUUUCAUUAUUAUAAAAUAAUCCGCAAAAAAUUGUAAUUGUUAAACAUAACCUAUAGUUUGAUGUAACCUAUAAUCAAAUAAUAUUAAUAUCAACAUAAUUUAGUAUUGUAUUUUUAUCAAAUUAAUAUUUUAAUAUUCUAAUAUUCUAAUUUGAAAAUGUAAAAUAUAAAAUUGAUUAGUUUAGAUAUCUUACUUUAAUAUUUUAUUUUAAUAAGUUGAAGUAGUUUUUAAAAUUCAUGAAUAUAUGUUAUUCUGUAUAUAUAAUUAUUUUGAAUUUUAAAAUUUAUAAAAUAUUUAAUAAAUGGAUUAAGUAAUUUUAUGUUUAUUAAUUGGUCUAUCAGUUUAAUUAUGAAUAUGAAUUAUGUAUAUAUAAAUAUUAUAGAAAUUCUGUUUCUUAUUCUACAAAUAAAAAAUGAAUUAAUAUUCAUAUAUAACUAUAUUUAAUAUUAAUUCCGAAUUUAUUAUUUAAAUAUAUAUAUAUAUAUAUACAUUUAAAUAAAAACUAUUGAAAGAUAUUUCUAAAUGUAAUCUUAGAAAAAUAUACUUAAGAAUAUCUUUUAGAUAUCUUAUUUUGAAAAUAUUAAAAUAAUAUAUUAGAUUAUAGUACAUAUUUGAUAGUAACUAAGUUACUUGUAUAAGAAAUAAUAGGAAGUUAAAUAAUAUAAUGGUCCAAAUAUGACUUUCUGUAAAUAGUUUUUUAAGAUUUUUUUGUUUUAAUAGUAUAGACUAGUCUAGAACCAGCGCUAAAUUUGGAUUAUGACUUUUUCUAUUUUGAUUUACAAAAUUAAAAUUAAAAUAAUAAUGACAAAUUUUGAGAUGAUAGUGUUAUGUUAUUUUUUUUCCUUUUUGUGAUGUUUAUUUGAGUUUUAGAUCAAAUAUUUUGGUUUGUACCUAUUUUCAAGGUGAUGAUGAUCGUAUGAUUCGUAUCAAUAUAGGAUUAUUUUAUCAGUUACAAUGUAAAUAUUAUAUUUAAAUAUUUUGUAUAACACUUUUUCUUGACAUCCGAUCUUUACUUUAUGACUUAUAAAAUCAUGACAAAUUUAAAUGCAACAUAACAUGGAAUAGACAAUACUUGAAUUAAUUACGGUUGUUACUCAAUUGGACUUUCUAAAUAUAAAAAAUAUCCUAUUUAACAGGGAAUCAUUUUAGUAACUGAAAUAUAAUAAAUGUAUUUACAAUGCUCUAACUACGGUUACAUGUUUUAUUGGAUCUUUUAAAAUUUAAUGAAAACUUUUUACCGGUCGAUAAAAAAAUAGUACUCUAAAUUAAUAUAGUAGAUACGUUACCAUGUAGACUAGAAAUUUAAAGACUGAUACUGAGAUGAGGCAAAAACGAAUCAAAACAUCACAAGAAUCAUUGUGGAGUCCUUGAUCUCUAUGGACUUGUGUGAAACGCUGGAUCUAUAACUCUUUCGGGUCUUACAGAAGGUACAUACUGGACACAGUAUGACACCAAAUAGCAUAAAACAAUACAGUAAACCGAAAUUCAAAUAAAAAAGAAACUGCAUUAUUUGUAAGAGUGUUGCAUCACGAGGUUCAUUGUCGAUCUCCGAAGGAAAAAAAAAAGUUUGCUCUCACCUCAAUGAAUAUAUACCGAAAUUGAGACUAGACAGAGUUAGGGUUUUCUUUGUUCGUGCAGCCUCGACGGAGAAAUCGAUGGUCGUAGUAGAAUCGCAUGAACCCUAAAUGCGAGUUUUUAGAGAGAAAGAUGUUUUAAUUUGGAUUCAUCGAGCAUAUUUUUAAAUAUAUAUGCUUUGAUUUUUCAGUUUUACUUGUUAAUAAAAAAAGAGAGAAAAUGGCAUUAUGGUAGUAACUGUCAGUAACAAUGGUUUUGUGUCUUUAACCUUAUUAAAGAGCAUGUCUAAGAUUACUCAGAGUUAAUCUUGUAAUUAACUAAGAAAUAAGAGUUAAUCUGAAUAAUUUUCUCUACAAAAAACAAUAUAAUUCUGCGGUUUAAAAGCGCAGAUCAAAAUAUAAUAACCAGUUAUAUUUUCAGGCUCCAAAAAGUUUCUUAUUGCUAAUGAUGCACGAGCAAAGAUACUGAAAUUUUUACAUAUCACUCAGCUCAGUAAAGACCCAAAGCCCCCCCCCCCCAUCAAGUUGUGUUGCCAUUGACUAUAAGCAAUCAUCAUCUCUUCAUGUUAAAUUCUUAUUGUCUUACAUUUUUCAUGGUUAUGUGAACUUGUAUGACUGGAAGUCAGAGUAAUUUGUGACUUUUGAUUAAUUACAUAAUUUAAAUUUUUAAUACAAAGUUGUAUUCUGAUAUAAUUUUAUUUUUCUCAUAAAUAUUUUUUUAAAAUAUUAUUACAUGGAUUGAAUCAAACUAUUUCAAUCUAAUAAUUUUGAUUUAUUUCAAUUCUUGAUCCUAUAUUGACAUAAAGCAUGAAAGUUGUUGAUGUUACUUUCAAACAAAUGCCAAUACAUUUUAUAAGAUUAUUUUAUUCUGAACGCAGACUACUUAUCUGUGACAACAACAUUUGUUCGGUUCACACCUGUCAUAAAAAUAAUUCCACUGGUAACAAAACUGUGAGCACCCAUAUCGCCCUGCUACAUCACACGGCGUUGAGAUCUGGAAGCACACUACAGUCGCCCAAUUGAUUCCAUAAUCUAUUUAUGUGAAUAAAAUUAUUAAACCAAUAAGUAUAUUAAUCAAAAAGAAUGAAAUUGUACAUAUAAUUAAAAAUGUAGUAUAAAAAUAAAUUGUUACCAGGAGUACUAGCAGGGGUAGUAGCCAUAGUUGUCGUAUGACAAUCAACAAAAGAUAUGAUGAAAAAAGUAGUGAAAACAAACAGAACUAAAGUUUUCAUAGCGAAGACCAUUUUAUAAGUAAAUUUAAAACUCUGUUGUAAGAUAUUCAGUUUAACGUUUUUUUGUUUGGUGUGUGUUUUCUUUACUUUUUCUGAUUAUAUAUAUAGUGAAACAUACACAUUAUAAUUAAAUAUUUUCUUGGUCAAAUAUAGAUAAGAGAAUAUAACAUUUCCUUUUAUUUCAAAUUUAAGAGAUUUUUGGUCAAAUUAUAAUCCAAGAAUUAACUAUAGAGAGACACAAAUCUAUUUAUAAAUAUAAGAAAAUUGUUAUAAUUUGAAUGGUCUAUGAUUUUAAUUUUAAUUUAAUUUUAAUUUAUUAUAAUUUGAUCUAAAAUAAAAGGUAAGACUAAAUAAUGAUUUAUGGUAUUAAUUGUCAAAAUUAUAGAAAGAAUAAUAAUGUUAGAUUAAUUAUUCUUUUAUAUAUUAUAAACUAUAUAAAAUAAUGAACAAAAAACAUUUUUAUAUAUUCACCACUAUAUAUAUAUAUCUUAUAUAUAUCAAUUAUAGGAAAAAAACUUAAAUAUAUUUAUAUCAAUAACUACUACAAAAAAUAUAUAUUCAGCAAACUAAUUGACUUAAACCUCAUAACCUUUUUAUUUAUUCAUCCACUAUAUAUAUCUUUUAAAAGUAAUGUCAACUAGAAGUUCACAUCGUUGAGUUUAUAUUUUAUGAAAGGAGAAGAACACAAAAAGGAUGUUGGUUUUCUCAAAGAAGAAUCAAAAGUUGAAUUAGAGAUAUUUUCGUUAUAUUGGUAAUUACAAAAUUUAUCCAACAACUAUGAAUGAGUAAACCGCCAAAUAUAGUUUUUAUAGAGGACAAAAUAAAAUAUAAACCGGAGAUAAAUAUCCUAUAAAUGUUAAUUAAAAAUUAUUUAAAAAGAUGUAAACUCAAUUUUGUAUCAAUUACAUUUUGAAAUUGUUGAGGUGUCACUUUUAAGAAUUUUUUUGUGCACGUGUCAGCUUAAGAAUCAUUCUUUAUCAAAAUACAACUACCCAUAAAUUCCUAGAAUAAUUAUGUUUGCCAUUUAAUAUUUUCUUAGUCGACCCACAUUUUCUAAAGCUAUCUAACAACUUAAGUUUAUACAUGAAAGUUUAUACCUUGCGUAUAAAGCACCAAGAGUCUGUUAAUGUUGAUUUUCUCAGUCGUAUAAAGCACGAAAAAUAUAAAGCACCAGAAAUCUGUCGUUUUCUUCUUCUCUUUAACAUUCACAACUUAAACUGACAUUGCUUAUUGUGACCAGUGAUGAUCAGACCUCCCUUCUAAUCAUCCUCUACCUACAAUGAGUACAUAGAUUAAUCUUAAUGAUUUUAAAUCUCAUGGUUGUUAUAAGGGAUAAUUGCUGUCUCUUUGUGUCUGAAUAGUGUGACGACAGAGCAAAAUUCCAGUAAUCAUGCGGAACAAUGAGUGAAAAAAAAUCACAGAGCAAUAUUUCAAGUUCACGUUGUGUAGAUAACAAAGCAUGUAAUUUUCAGAACAUUAUGUACGAAACUAAACAGAACUACAUCAGAAACCAAAGGUUCCACACAGGAAAUGUUAUUGUACAAAUACCAUGGUGACUAUGAUUUAGGACGUGAUUGAUUAUAGAGAAGAUCAACCACUGUAAUAGAACUAUGCUACACAAGUUUUAGUUAGUCUUUUUCACAUAUCAAUUUCAGUGACUAUAUUGUAUAUGUAUUAUAACGUGGUUUUACCAGAAAAAAAAAAUCAAUCAUAACGUGGAAUUCAUCAUCACAGGGCCCUUGCUUCUAUACAAAAUAAUUGUAUAUAAAUGAUACAUGUACAUUACUCUUGAGUUUCACAUGUUUCAAUAAGUACUUCAUUUGAGCUUAACCGGUUCAUAUCACAAAAUAAUUUAGGGAUAUUUUAAACCGGUUCAUAACCAGUUUUUAAUGGAAAGAAUAAUAAUCGUGUGAGACAAGUUUGUAAACUAUGUUUGUUAUGUCUUUGUGGCCAAUGCAUUGUAUUAAUAUGCUAGGUAAUGCGCAGGAUGAGAAGUCUGUAAAUUAUUUGAUAAACCUAACAUAAAUAAAAAGUCACCGAUUUUAGUGUACUAUUUUUCAUCAUUAUAUUACAUUGUAUAUAUAAUUGAUGAUUCAUGUUACUAAGAAUAUCGUAUGAAUAAUAUUGGUGUACUUAUUUAUAUUAAGUUCCAUAACACCAACUAAAGCUCCACAUGAAUUGGUUAGGUCCGUACGUACUUUGUUGUAAACGGUCGGUUAUUGCCUAAUUGGCAUGUGCCAGAACUGCAAAGCAUAUAAUCCAUUUUUUUCCUUUGAGUAAUGUGGAAAAAUAAUACUAUAACAGAUUUUGAUUCGCUCUCAAAACCGUUGAGUUUAUUAUUAAAAUUAAAUAAAUUCUUUUGAUAUAACUUUAUAAAGAAGAUAGUAUAUAUGUUUAAGUACAUUUGUCCGGAACCGAAAAAUCAAAAAAUGAAAAACAAAUCAAAUUUCAUAAAUAACUAAGUGGAUCCUAUAUUUUUGGAACCGAAAAAUAGAAACUGAAUUGGAACCAAACCAAGAACCGAAUGGGUAGUCAAAAUUUUAAAAUAUAAAUUAUAUUCCUACAAAUAUAAGUUAAUAAUUUGUUUGUUAAUGAAAAAAAUUCUGGAUCCAACUUUUAUAUAUAAUUAUAUUUUGAUAUUAAUACUUUUAUAUUUUUAAAACAAUCAAUAAUAUUAUAAUUUUAAUGUAGAUAAUUUAUUUAUUUUUGUUCAUACGCAUACAAUGAAUUUAAGUCUUUUAGUAAAUAAAAUUUAUGAUUACUGGAAUGAGUUUUUUAAUGGAUUUUUAAUGGUAGAUAUAUAUUUUGAAGUCAAAAACCAAAUGACCAAAAUAUCAUUAAUUAAUUUUGUUAAUCCUUUGUAAAAUUUAUAGUAUUUUUGGCAAAAUUAUGAUUUUUAUCGAGGAGUAUAAGAGCUUCUCCAAAAAGACACUCUAUUAGGAAGUUUAUAUUUGAAGUUUAUAAGUGUUAUUCUUUUAAAUAAAACUUCAAACUUAACUUCAAAAUUAUUCAAAAGUAAAAGUGCCUUUGAUCCAAGUCUCUGUAACGCCAUUAAUGGUGAGAUCCAUCUUCGUGGGCAGAACCCUUUUUUUUUUUUUCGUGGGCAAGAACCCUAACCUAAAGCAAGCGUCUUUAUACUAAAAGGAACGCUAGAUUGAGAAAUUAAGGAGCUCACUCAGAGUAAGAGGCCGAUGUCGGAGAGAACUGCGGCGAAAGUUUCCGUCGUCUUUGAAGGAGAAGGACAAAUCUCACUCUUUUACAGUUGUGCUUUACCCUUUUCACGGCGGUGAAAAAGCUCUGUUCCCAAUUCAUUUUGGCGGGAAAAAAGCUGACGAGAAGAAUGUAAAUGGGCUAACAUAUAUUAUUGGGCCCAGAAUGCCCAGAUAAUCAUUUUGAAUUUUCAUAUCAUAUGUUGAAAGAAAUAUGUUAAUAUAGAUCCGGUGUAAUAAAUAUAGCUUCCUUUUUUUUUCAAAAUGUAGUAAAAAAUAUCCUAAAAUUGUACUUAUAUAUUCUCAAGCUGGUCUACUCUUGUUUUUUUUUUUUUGACAAAGUACUUUCAAAUUAAAAAUAUAAAUGUUUACAUGAUAAGGCUUCGUUGCCUUAAUAGAUAGAAAAAGUUUGCAUGAAUAAACUUCGUGACAGAUAACAUUUCUAACCUAUGAAAGGAAGAAACGAGUUGAACCAAAAAUGGACUGAGAGAUAGAACUAGCGAGUAGCGAGUGGUCUACUCUUGUUUUAGUUUCUGAUUUUGGCUCAUUGGUUUGCUGGUAGGGCGUGAAAUUUGAGUAAUUAGAAGAAGCUUUGUCCGGUUUUAAAAACAUUGUGGAAAUGAUAGACAUAGAAAUAUAUAUAAAACAAACUUAGAAGUGUUGAAUAAUGCCUAUUUGUUCUCAAACCACACAAAUAAAACGUGGGAAAAGAGAGUAAUAAGUUAAUAAUAAGAUAAAUGGAGAAAGAUCUAGAGAAUUCUUGUUCUCUGUAUAAAUAUGUAAUGGUCCUCUUGUGUAAUUUAAGCAACUAAGAAAUCAGUUCUCUACUUCAUCUUUCUCUAUCUACCUUUCACUCAUACGUUCUACACACAAACAUUCCUCUGUUUUCUUUUCUUUGAACAAGAUCAAAAACAGAACAAGAUCAAAAACAGAACAAGAGAAACAUGAAGAAAACCUGCAAUUUUCUGAAGUUUGCAACAUGGUAUCAGAGCUACUGCUGAUCUCUGGAGCCUUGUUGAAUAAGACUGAAGAAGCUUGAACAAGUCUGAACAAGAAAAGAACAAGACAGAACCAGAAAAUUAAAAGAACAAGAAGGAAAGAAAAAGAACAAGGAGAAACACACAUGGCGUCAAACCUUCAAUCUUCACAACUUGUGGCUGUCUUUGAAGGAAAUAACUAUGAAUUCUGGGCAGCUAGGAUGAAGACAACUCUGAUGAACAGAGAGCUUUGGGAAAUAGUUGAAGAAGGACUCCCUGAACCACCAUCUAGAUCACCGGAGAUGUCUGGAGCUGACUAUGCAAAAGAGCUUGGAGACUGGCGAUCCCGUAAGACGAAAGACACAGCAGCUCUACAACUCAUUCAACUUGCUGUAGCUGAUGUUGUCUUUGACAAAAUUCUUUCUGCAACCUCAGCCAAGCAAGCAUGGGAGCUACUUGAACAUUCCUAUCAAGGUAAUGAAAAAGUAAAGAUGGUUAGACUACAAGCCUUGAGAAGAGAUUUUGAGAAUCUGAAAAUGAAGGAAGGAGAAAAGGUCAAGCCUUACUCUGAAAGAAUCCAGGCUGUAGCUAAUCAAAUGAGAGCUCUAGGUGAAGGAAGAUCAAACUUUGAUUUGGUGGUUAAAAUUCUAGCUUCUAUGCCCAAGAGCUAUGCUCCAUUGUCAUCACUGAUGGAAGAAACUAAGGAUCUCAAGACAGUAACCUUUGCUGAGUUGGUGGGAUCUUUGGAAGCUCAUGAAAAGAAGUUCUUCCCUGAAGAUGAAGAAAAUGGUGAAGGUGCAUUUCAUGCACGUUUUAGAAGCUUGAAAGUCAGAGACCAUGGCAAGACAAGCUCAUGGAAGACAAGCUAUAAAGGAAAAGGGAAGAAGUGGUGUAGCUUCUGCAAGAAAGAUAAUCACAAUGAAGAUGUCUGCUAUCUAAAGAAUGGAAGAAAUAAGCAAGACUUCAACAAAAACAAAGGUAGAAGUGAAUGCUACAACUGUGGAAAGCCUGGUCACUUUUCAAGAGAAUGCAGAAGCAAGAAACCAGAACAAGCACAAGUGUCUCAUCAACAAGAAGAAGCAGAAGAUAAUCACUUGUUCACCGCAAGACAGGAUGAUCAAGAGUCAUUUGAAGAGAACUUAUGGCUCAUUGAUAGUGGGUGCACUAAUCACAUGACUCCAAACGAAAAGGUGUUUUCCAGAAUCAACACAAACAUCAAAGUUCCAAUAAGAGUUGGUAAUGGAGCUGUGUUGAUGACCAAAGGAAAAGGAGACGUUGAAGUCAUGACAAAGAAAGGCAAGAGAAUCAUUCGAGAUGUUUUUCUUGUGCCAACACUUGCAAAGAAUCUGUUAAGUGUCCCUCAGAUGAUUGAAAAUGGAUAUCAAGUCACCUUUAAGAAAAGAUGUUGCAUCAUACAUGAUGGUGCUGGAAGAAAGGUAGCUGAAGUGGAGAUGGUGAACAAGAGCUUUCCCAUCAAGUGGUCCUCAAGCCCUGAAACAGCAAUGGUGGCAAAAAAUGAAGCUGCAGAAUUAUGGCAUCAAAGGCUUGGGCACACUGGUUACUCAAAUCUGAAGAUCUUGCAGUCAAUGGAUAUGGUUCUGAAUCUUCCCAAGUUCGUGGUGGAGAAGGAAGGUUGCGAGAGCUGUAUUCUAAGCAAACAUAGUCGUGAUUCAUUUCCAAAAGAAUCAGAGACAAGAGCAACAAAGAAACUGGAGUUGAUUCACAGUGAUGUGUGUGGACCAAUGCAGAGUUUAUCAAUCAUAGGGAGCCGAUAUUUCCUCACAUUCAUUGAUGAUGCAACAAGGAUGGUCUGGGUUUAUUUCUUGAAGUCAAAAUCAGAAGUCUUUCAAACCUUCAAGAAGUUCAAAAACCUUGUCGAAAAUCAAGCUAGCUGCAAGAUAAAGAAGAUUAGAUCAGAUAGAGGAUCUGAAUAUCUCUCUGGAGAAUUUACAAAGUUUUUGGAAGAUCAUGGCAUUGAAAGGCAGUUAACAGCAGCAUAUUCUCCACAACAAAAUGGUGUCUCAGAAAGAAGAAACAGAAGCCUAGUGGAGAUGGCAAGGGCCAUGAUCAAAGCUAAAGACUUACCAAUGAAGUUCUGGGCAGAAGCUGUCCAUACAGCAGCUUACAUUCAGAACAGAAUUCCAACCAAAGCACUUGAGAACAAGACGCCGCUUGAAGCUUGGAAUGGAACAAAACCAUCAAUGAAUCAUUUAAAGGUGUUUGGGUGUGUAUGUUAUGUACACAUACCAGAUGAAAAGAGAAAGAAGUGGGAUGACAAGUCUAAGAAAGCAAUCUUUGUUGGCUACAGCUCUCAAACUAAAGGCUACCGAGUCUAUUUGCUGGAGCAAGACAAGAUAGACGUUUCAAGAGAUGUGAUAUUUGAUGAAGGAAGCAAAUGGGACUGGAAGCAAAAAGAAGUGAACAAACAAUCUGUUGUAUCUCUAGAACCAGAUUGUAGACAAGAAGAUCUAAGGGUUGGUGAUUCAAGUUCUAGCGAUGGUGAAUCCAGAGGAAGAAGAAUCAUUCAGCCGGUGCCCUUUAAUCUGGAUCCUGACAGUCCAGAAAGCAGUUCAAGCCAGCCAAAUAGAAGAACCAGAUCAAUGAAUGAUAUCUUACGUACUGCUCCACACGUUGAUGUUGAAUCUGCUGAAGUAUGUGAAGGAUGUUACUUGAGUUUUGAAGAACCAGCAACAUUCGAAGAAGCUGUAAAGCAUACUGAGUGGAGACAUGCAAUGGAAGAAGAAAUACACAUGAUCGAGAAGAACCAGACAUGGCAAUUGGUUAAAAGACCUGCAGACAAAAAUGUGGUGGAAGUCAAGUGGAUAUUCAGGCUCAAAACAAAUGCAAAAGGAGAUGUUGUGAAGCACAAAGCAAGGUUAGUGGCUAAGGGGUUUACUCAGCAGUAUGGAGUUGAUUAUUUGGAGACUUUUGCCCCAGUUUCAAGACAUGAAACUAUCAGAUUACUUCUUGCUGUUGCUGCUCAAAGAAAAUGGGAAUUAUUUCAACUUGAUGUCAAGUCUGCUUUUCUAAAUGGAAAGCUAGAAGAAGAGAUAUAUGCUGAGCAACCACCUGGGUUUGAAGAAGAAGGAAAGGGCGACUAUGUUCUUCGUCUACACAAAGCUCUUUAUGGUUUAAAGCAGGCGCCUAGAACAUGGUACAGCAGAAUUGAUGAGUUUUUCUUGCGAGAAAACUUUAAGAGAAGCGACAAUGAUCAUGCCUUAUACACAAAAGAAGCUCAUGGAAAGAUUUUGGUGGUGUGCAUCUAUGUGGACGAUCUUAUUGUCACUGGAGACGAUAAGAAAAUGGUGGAUGAUUUCAAGAUGGCAAUGAAGAAUGAAUUUGAGAUGUCUGAUCUAGGACUGUUGAACUAUUUCUUGGGAAUGGAGAUUGUGCAGAGUGAAGAAGGAAUUUUUCUAUCCCAAGAAUGCUAUGCAAAGAAGCUGCUGGAGAAGUUCAACAUGAAAGAAUGCAAGAUCAUGAGAACACCAUUGGCACCUCAAGGCAAGAUUCAAGAUGAAGAAGAAGAACCUGCUGAUUCUAAAACUUAUAGGAGCCUUGUGGGAGGUCUGCUGUAUCUAACAGCUACUCGACCUGAUCUGAUGUUCUCUGCAUCUUAUUUGUCUAGGUAUCUGAAGGAACCUAAAGCCAAGCAUUUCAAGGAGGCAAAGAGAGUUCUCAGAUACAUCAAAGGGACAGCUGAUAUAGGAUUGAUGUUUUCUGCAGUCAAGGAGCCAAAGCUUGUUGGAUAUUCAGAUAGUGAUUGGGGAGGAUGCAAAGAAGAUCUAAAGUCAACAACUGGAUAUUGCUUUAGUAUUGGGUCUGCAAUAUUCUCAUGGAAAACCAGCAAGCAAGACACUAUCGCUCAAUCCACCGCUGAGGCAGAAUACAUGGCUUUGUGUGCAGCAACAAAUCAAGCAAUAUGGCUAAGGCGUUUGCUUGAAGAUUUGAAGUUCAACACUCAAGAGGGAGUUCCUAUCUACUGUGACAGUCAAUCAGCCAUUGCAAUUGGGAAAAAUCCAGUCCAGCAUAGAAGAACCAAGCACAUUCAAAUCAAGUAUCACUUUGUUAGAGAAUCUGUGAAAAAUGGAGACAUCAAGCUGGAAUAUUGCAAGAGUGAAGAGCAGCUGGCUGAUACACUCACUAAGGCAUUGGGAGGACAGCCUUUUGAAAGGUUUCGUGUUCAACUUGGUUUGAGGAACAAAAAGGCAAGAGGGAGUGUUGAAUAAUGCCUAUUUGUUCUCAAACCACACAAAUAAAACGUGGGAAAAGAGAGUAAUAAGUUAAUAAUAAGAUAAAUGGAGAAAGAUCUAGAGAAUUCUUGUUCUCUGUAUAAAUAUGUAAUGGUCCUCUUGUGUAAUUUAAGCAACUAAGAAAUCAGUUCUCUACUUCAUCUUUCUCUAUCUACCUUUCACUCAUACGUUCUACACACAAACAUUCCUCUGUUUUCUUUUCUUUGAACAAGAUCAAAAACAGAACAAGAUCAAAAACAGAACAAGAGAAACAUGAAGAAAACCUGCAAUUUUCUGAAGUUUGCAACAAGAAGAAGGAAGGCUUUUGUGUAUUUCUUCAUUAUCAUAAUUGUUUGGUUUCCAAUCUGUACUCAUGUCGACAAAUAGUAUAUAUCUAAGAAGUCAAGAAAAGUAAUAACAUAAAAUGGAUGCUGAUCAAACAUAUACAAGAAAGGGUUUUUGCUGUUUUAUUCAUUAUCAUAAUUGUUUGGUUCCAAUCUGUAACAUGUCCACCAGUAGGAAUGUAGAAUAUAUAGAAUAUAUGUAGAAGUCAAGAAAAAUAAAUUUAAGAAAAUGGAAGCUGCCAAGAUCAAACAUAUAGUGAAAAAAUAAAUUAAUGAAUUUCUUCGACGAUUUGACAUAUAUUUAUUUAUUAGGAGAUUUUCUAUGCUACACGGCUAUACGCAAUGGUAAUUUAAAAAAAAUAAUAUUCUAUUAUAUUAAAGGGAAAAUUAGUCUAUAUAUAGUCUGACUUUUUUAUAAGAUUUUAAUUUUAUCAAUUGAACUUAAUUAUUUGUAGUGUUGAUCAAGAUAUUUUUUCAACAUAUAGCAAAUAAAUAAACAUUACAAAAUCAAUGAUAAUUUGUAUUCUCUAGCACGCGGUUUUGUACAUCAUCUAGCUGUAACAUGUUCUGAAUAGUCAAAUAUUAGAGAUUAUAUCCUGGAUGGAUAAUUAUGGAUGUAAGACUUUUUGAGGUUUCCUUAUAUUGUAGACUUAACCGUUCACCGUUUAUUGUAGAUUGUUCAUUUUAAAUAGUUAGAUGUGUUUGUUGUGAACGUUCUAUUGUUAUUUGUAAUAUUAAAAUUGAAACAUCUUUGUGACAAACAUAUAAUGUCAAUCAUUUGCCUAAUCAGUGAUAUCUUCCAAUGUUCAAUCGAUUAAACGUUUUGAAACUAAGAUUUUAUUUUAAAACCAUUUUGAGAAUCAUUAAAUCCCAACCAGACCCUACCGAAACCUUUAAAUCCUUUUGUUAAUUAAUAGAACUCAGAAGAAAGCUUAUUUCGAUUCACUCCGAUGUCAUUUACAAUGGCUGCACGUGAUCAAUGUGGUGCUCUAUUUUUAUUCUCGGAGAAGCCAUGUUUAGGUAAAUGCUGCUGCCGAAUGAUAAACGGCCUUGUUGAUCAGACAGCCAGUCUUGUAUUCGCCGUUGUAGUAGAUCCAUCCUAUUGCGUAGUCUUUUAUUUUUCAUAAGCCCAUUGAAUCUCAUUAUUUUCGUUUCUAAAAAAAUCUCAUUAUGGUUGCGUAUCCUACUGUCUAUAGAUACAUGCUUGUAUAUUCACUUCUAUGUUUGAUAUAUAUAACAGAUAAACCAAGAAAAGAUCGAUGACCAUAUAAGAUAAAACUAUGGUUACAAUUAUUAAAAAAAAAUGGUAAACCAUUUCACGGAGAGAGAAUGUGAAAGCUCCGGUGGCCACGCGCCGUGGAAAUCUGGUAUGGUGCGGAUUCGAAUUCAGGUCUUUUGGGGAUCCACAGAACGCCUUGACCACCCGACCACAGACGCCUGGUUUACGGUUACAAUUAUAUUUUACAAAUAACUAUGUAAUAGCCUAGCAUGCAUUAUCGUUACUGUUAUUAUUUUUACCAUCUACACAUGAAUUUUUGAAAGAAAAUAAUCAAUGAUAGCGUUGUCACAUCGUGCAUAUAUUUAUUUUUCCCUUAUGUUACAUCGUUACUAAAUAGUGAUCGGAAUUACACAAUAUCGGUGGUGGGCAAAUUCUGCGUACAUAUUCAACGUUGCUAACUCUUGUAGCGAGAGCACAAGUUAAGGAGCUCUCGGGGGAAAGAGUUGUCACAUCGUGCAUAUAUUUAUUUUUCCCUUAUGUUACAUCGUUACUAAAUAGUGAUCGGAAUUACACAAUAUCGGUGGUGGGCAAAUUCUGCGUACAUAUUCAACGUUGCUAACUCUUGAAGCGAGAGCACAAGUUAAGGAGCUCUCGGGAGAAAGAGUCUACAAGACUUUUCCGUUUCUCUCUUAUAAGGAGGCCUUCUUUGUAGAGCUCCACAAGGCGGGGAAGGGCUUACGCCUAUCUUUUCUGUCCAUUUCACAACACCUAUUACAAAAUUAACCCACCAGAAUUAGAAAAUUUAUUUAAAGUAAUAACUUACUAAACUGUAAAUUUUAUAAUUCGCUGAGUAAAAAGAGACUGACCUAGGUGACGGAAUCUUGCCUCUGUCACACCAACCUGUAAGGAUACACAUAAAAGUAUAUGAACCAAGCUUAGAAGAAGAAAUUGUAUUGUUUUCCUCUUUGUCAUUGUUUUUCUUGUUCUUUUCGUCUAGACCAGUAGUGGAUAUAUAUAUGGUUUUGAGUAGACAUAAUCAACCGUAUCGUGAAUAAAUAAAGUUGAAGUAUUAUAUAAGCUUCUACGACUUCUUGUUUUUUUCAAGAACGCGGUUUUCUACAUCACCUAAGUACCAUCUUCUGAAUAUUCAAAUAAAAACUUGACAAAAAGUCAGUUUCAAGAGUCAAGCUGGGUAAUUACGGAUGCAAUACUUUUGGAGUUUUUAAAUAUUUUAGAUUAAUUGUUCAUUUGAAUUGGUUAGGUACGUACGUACCUGUAAACGGUCGGUUAUUGCCUUAUUGGCAUGUGCCAGAACUGCAAAGCAUGUGAUCCAUAUUUUUCUUUUCUUAUUUUAGAGUCUUCCUUUUUGGUCCAAAUUUUUCGACCAAAAAAAAAAAAAUUAUGAUCCAAAUUUGAGUAAAUGUAGAAAACUGAUACUACGUUCGUAUACAAAUAGUAUUUUUAAUAGAUACUGCACUAUUAAAAACACCAACUGAGAAAAGUACCUAUAGAAGAGGAUAAGACUCACAUGUUACACUUGUUCCCCGUUUAGUACUACUAGUGCCUUAAGGAACUACAACAUUAUCAAAUACACAAACCACAAUUUACAAAAUUCUACAAAAUACUUGUGAAAAUGUUGUAUAAAUUAUUCACAAGCAAUUCUCGUCUCAAAGCUCCUCGAGAAAAUGGCAAAAGCCUGGAUAUACUUUGCAUUUUCAAAAGCUACAGCUUACUCCUAGUUUAACAACGAGAAUGUAGACAUACUUUGCAUUGUACAAAUAACAAUAAAAAGACUUGAAUCGUUAUCAUAAACUGCUACCUUGGUUCAGAAUAGUCCAAAACUCAACGAGGCAACCUCUGCAACUCCACAGCAACUAGCGAAGCGACGAUGUUAAGACCCGCGACGUCUGAGUUCUUGAUCUCAGAGACAAUGGCGUUGAUCUUAUAGAUAUCAUAUCCUGAUAUCGACAAAAUCAUGGCAUGCGAUAGAUACUGCUUGCACGCAUAACCCAAACAAUGCAAGAUUCUCGUCAAUACCAACACUUGUGUCUCCGUGCUCUUCCUCCUGCGCCACGAGUCGAGGAUCGGUGUGAUCUUAGGAAGAUUGGUUAAAAACCCCGUGGCGGCUUCUCUCGAAGCAGUCUUAAGUAGCAACACGACGCAUUCAGAGGCAAUAUCUGCUACUGCGAUGCUCGUGUCAUCUGAGGCCGCGAGGUCCAAGAGCAAGCCGAUGUUGCUACCGAAGUCUGCAAUGUCUCUUAUACAUUCUUGUGGAUCGACCUCGAAUGUGAAAGAUGCCUCUGAUAAUAGCGUUGGCUCUUUCGUGUAGUUUGAGCGGAGACCUUUCUUGUUCCCAAGUGACCUUAACAAGAAAGCUCUGCAGAGACUUAAAGUAGGCUCAAGGAAAUCUUCCAUGUCUUUGGCAUUCACAAAUUCUAGCAGGUUCCCGAUCCUCCUCACUACUUUGAGCUGAGAAAGUAGUUUAGUUUCCAUCUCUGGAGCUGAGGCCAAGGCGAGACAGAGCUUGACGUUGUUCACAUUCGCGCUUGACAAGUCUCCGAGAAGAAACUCGAAGCACUGUGAAACUGUGUUCUGUUGCAAAAUGCUGGAGAUUUUGAUGUAGUCAAACUCAACUAGCAUGAGGAGGAGCUUUUGUGCGUAAGCUGGGAUUGGAUCUUCGUCUUGGAGCAGUGCAGGGUAGAGUGGGAGGAAAUGAGAGUUGGAUACUGAUUUCAAAUCCUCAGAGGUUUGUUGUUCGAUGUCUGUGCACUCGGUUAAGAGAAUUGUCAUUGUAUCGAACCAGAUCUUCAAACAGAGAAACCGAGCAUCCCCAUCUUUGUUCCCAUUGUAAAUUGCAGCCAGAGAUGGGAGAAUCUCACGGAAAAUAAUAUCAGCAUUUUGUGUAACCAGAGGAGCGUCUUCUGCUAUGCAUUCUAGAACUUGAAGAAGGGUUAUACGGAAGUCAUCUCUUCCCUGCAAAUUGUUAACAAGUCAUGAAAAAUUGACAAGUAUGUCAUAUCAAAGUUCACUGUGUCAUAAACCAUGAUUAGGACAAGAGAGAAAAUGGAGAAAGUUCUUCAAACAUGUUAGAUCUUAAACACACAUCUAUAGUGAAAGUUCCGAUAAUAGUUGUAUGAGAUUCUUUCCUAUCCUGUAAGCAAUCCUAACCAUAUCAUAGAAUAGUAGUAACUAGCAUAAGGCAAGGAAUUUAAACGCAGACGAGCAAUUAUUCAAUCCCAUUAGCGCAAGAUAAAACACAGAGCAUUUCAUUUGAAGGAAGAGAGUAAUACAAAAAGGGCAUCGGAAAGUUGUAACUACUGACCUGAAAUGAGGCUUCCACAAAUUUUGUAACAUUUGCCAGCUGGCGCAGGAUUUGUUGGGUUAUCAUUUUGUUCUUAAACGAAGAGCUUCCAAGAAGAUGAAGAACCACAGGAAACAAGUGUAGAUUAGUCUUUGGAGCAGCUCGACCAUUAAGGGGAGAAACAGGUGCAUGGCGUUUUCCUGUCAUUAGCUGCUGGAUAUCACUGGUUAUCGUAUCCAGCAAACCCGGUAUUAUGGAGGCAAUGACAUGCACGAAUGCCUCAAGACAUUGUUGCACAUAAGUGUCUUUUUCUUUGGCUAAUCUGUCCACCACGGGAAGAAAUCUUGUAUUGCAAAAGAAAUUUGUUAGCCACCGCCUACUAUUUUUGCACAAAAGUGCAACGAAGAGAACAGUUUUUCCCCUCAGAACUUCAGUUCCUUGCUCUAAGAUGGAAAGCAGACUAGGGAAAAGAUUUUUCUCCUCUGUCAAUGACACAAGAUGCCUUCCAAAGCUUGGGCACGUGUGACUUCCAAUCAUAGCCAUAUUCAGAAGAUUUAAGCAAGUUUGCUGCUCCCGUGCGCUACCUUUGACGAAAGAUGAAGCUAUUUCCUUCAAUGAGAGCUUUUCUACAACCGUCUGAAUGCAAGGAGGGUUAAAACGAGAAAGACGGACCAAACAUGAUCCAGCAGUCUGCCUCAUGCUCUCUUGUUUACCAGCUGCUCUGUAGAUAUAGCAGAGAUUGCUUAUCAAAUCUUGGCUAGAGAAACGGGUGGCCCAGUAAGCACCUUGACUGCAGAUGUUUUCUAUUGUCCUUAAAGCGUAGAGCUGAGUCAGGUCAUCUUCUCCUUUGCGUAAGGUAGAUGAUACAAGAGAGAUCAAGGCACCUGAAACCUAGUUCAAGAAAAAGGAAUAUUUUUAAACCGGCAUCAGUGAAAAGAUAAGACCACUAAGAUUAAGCAAUGUACUUUGGUCCAUGAAUAACACCAUGAACAUUAAAAGCCAAAUUAAGAGUAACAAUCCGGGAAUGCUGACCUGCCAACCCGAUGUAGACCGGGUUUCUUUGGAUGGGGAUUCUGUUGGUUUGAAAUCCUUAUGCUCAUUUUGAGUUGAGAUGUAGAACAUCAAUUCACCUAGGGCUGCCAUAGAGAACCUUCUCACUUUUUCAUGCUUGUCUCUGAGGCCAUUGGUAAGAGAGUCUAAGAUACCAGAAUUUGCCAACUCAUCUUCGAUAGCAGUAGAAUGCCGAAUUAACAAACCAAUUAGUGAAGCAAUUUGUACACGAAACGCCGGGGUCUUGGAUAAUCGCAGAACUUUAACAAGCACAAGCAUUAUUGGCCCGUUGGUCAAUAUGUUGGCUGCAUCAGCAUUGCUACUCAGUGCCUCGAGGUAUCUGAUCAAAUUCUGUUUCUCUGAGAUGCCAGCACUACUCCCACUUAGAACCGUUAUGAUUCUAUUGUUAAGCGGUUCAAGUUCUUGCUUUCCCAUCUUACCAAAAUCAGAAGGCUGUGGUGCUUCGAAUGAGAGAGAAGGCACAGCUUCUUUGUCAGAUUUUCUGCUGGGCAUGACGGGUCUAACAGAAAGAUCGGAUAAAUGCCAAACGACGUCACUGAGGCUAUUAGGUGAUUUAGACGAGUCGUGGUGAACAUUAAUCCCAGAAACAUCUCUUCCUCUAUGAGUUUUGACUUGAGGACUAGCACUAGGUAGCGCAGCUGACACUUCAAUAGGUUCUGACUGCUCUUCAUGGCAAUCUCUGGCUUCACCCGAGGUUCCCGAGGUUGGUGUUUCAUUCGCAGACGAGUUCUCAUCAAGCACAUUAUUGCUCCUAACUCCUUGCCUUCUGUGACUCAAAACUCUUUCAUCUUGUGCACCAGAGGUGUUCUCAUUUCCUUCUAAUUCAUCUGGACCAUCCUCAUCAUUGUCUUCAUCAAAAUCAAGUUCCAUAUCAGUGUUAUCGAUCUUCACUUCAGCACAGUUCUCGUUGCUAUUAGGUAAGGGUCUCCUGUAGUUUUCCUUCUCAUUUUCCUUUUGGAGAUUUGCCUUUGCUAUCCUGGACAAUCUUAGAAUAUUCACCUGUCGGUUAGCACCCGGACAACCUCCAUGCUUUUCCUGAGUUGCCUUACUAUGAAGCUUUGUUUGUGUUUUUGAACCAACAGGAGUACCCUUUUGUGGCGUCUCAUGGCCCCUUGAACCUUGAGUGGAGUUUUCCUUGUGCUUUGAACCACCUUUUGGAUCUUUCUCCCGAGACUUUGGAGGGGUCUUGCAUGGUCUGUCUCCGUUAUGCUCAGAAAGACAUGGCUUUGUGUAUAUGCCAAUCAUAUUAUCAAAAGCAGGCUGAGGAGGCAACUGUACUAAAUUUAUCUUACUCUUCCAAAAUGCAUGACCACAGAGAUCUGCCCACUGUAUUCUUUGAGCUGGGUCUUUGAUAAGAAGAGACUCGAUGAGAUUGACAAAUGAACGGCUUGCAUUUUCAGGGAGUGGAGGAGUUGGAUCUGAAUGAAUGGAUUUCACAAGCUGGGUGAACUCUCUUGCCACAAAAGGAGGUCUCCCAGUGUAACAUUCAUAUAACACACAGCCAAGGGCCCAUAGGUCGGAAGCAAAAGAAUGAACCCCUCCAUCUUCAUAUAGUUCUGGAGCCAUAUAAUACGGAGUUCCACGUUUUCCCUGAUGCAAGUUAUCACAAGAGAUGAGUAUUUAUGUCAUACAUACAGUUUCCGGUGUAAUUUGAAAUCAUAGAUUCACUAACGCUGUAAAGCCUAUAUAUAGAAAAAAAACGGACAUAUAAAUACUCUUUACCGUGGAUGGAGAUUUAGUAAUAUCAUCUAGCUUCCUUGCCAACCCAAAAUCACACAGCUGCAACACAAAGCAAUAUGAUAUCAUUUAAACCAAAUAAACUGCAUACCGGCAUAGAAAAGGCAGAAAAAAUGAUUACCUUAAUAUGUCCAUUAUCAUCAAGUAAGAUGUUUGAUGGUUUCAGAUCACAAUAUGUAAUUCCUCUCGAAUGUAAGAACCUGGAAAAUUCCGGAAAAAAUGUCCAUAAGAGAAAGCAUAUUAUUGAUGCACCUAGAGUUAGUGUCAAACUAGCAAAAGAAUGAUCUUACAGCAAGGCUAUGACAAGAUCAUAGGCAAGACCAUAGACUGAAUCUUCUGGCAGCUUACAGUCCUACAAAACAAAUGACGUUCAGAAAACCUGUGACCUACCAUCAAUAAGAGAGUUGAAGUAGAAGCAAUACCUGCUGCAAUAACGUCCUGAGAUCACCCCCAACGCAGUAUUCCAGAACUAACCACAUGUGAGCAGAAGUUUCGUACCUGAGAGACCACAAGAAGAAGAUAAUCAGAAACAAGUAAACAAAGAGAGAGGCAGAUAACUGUUUAGAUAAUAGCAAAAGUCUAUACCACGCAUAGAACUUGAGUACAUUUGGAUGAUUUAGCGAGUGAAGGAUCCUGACCUGAAAAAGAGGUAAAGAGUUCAAAUACCAAAGCAGUUAGAAAAACUCAGACAUCGUGAAAAGUCAAUUCGGCCUUUCUCACAAACAAAUCAUCCAGAAAAUAGAAACUUAAGAUCUCUAACUGAUGACGAAUCUAGAGUGAAUCCGUCACUAUUCAGAUACCAGCUCACUAAAAUCAAGCAAUCAAUCUCAGGUAAACCAAGCAUGAAAUCACUGAUUCGGCAAAGAGGAAACAGAUCUCUCGUGCGUGCGUACCUCUUGAAGAACCUUGCUCUUGCGCGACUUGUCGACACUCUUGCAGGCAAAAUACUCGAUCGUCUUCUUCUUCCUUCCUUUGUACACAGUCUGCAACGAAUUUACUAAGUGAUUUAUGUAGAAGGGAAGAAACUUAGAUGUAACAGAGAAGAAACUUGUGCUUUCUUAUUACUUUUAACUUGACGGCAAGACUUGCCCUUUACAUCAAUAUAUAUACAGCAUAGAUUUAGGUUAACCUCAGCACACUGUUGUACAGCUGUCCAACCUCUCAAACCUAUUCUUUGUCUCCACACAGUGAGCUGGCUUGACCGUACCAUGCUCACGCAAAGCUUGCUUGUUCACUGAAGUUGCAGAAGACGACAAAGACUUGUUCUUGGGCUGAGAGACAGCAACGGUCUUCUUCCUUUCCUCCAAAUGGGCUUCGAACAACGGCCCAGUAUUCAUACUACCUUUACUCCCCCUCAAACUUGGCGUAGGAGGCACGACAACACCAAGUUUGCUUCUCCAUUUGUAGAAAGACUGUUGUGACAAUGACUUUGUAAACACAUCCGCAAUCUGAAGUGUGGCCGGAAUGUGUUUUACUUCCAGAGCUUUCCCUGCUACUCGUUCUCUAACAUAAUGAUAAUCAAUAUCAAAAUGCUUAGUCCUCUUGUGAAACAUUGGAUUCGCUGUCAAACAUACUGCAGACAGAUUGUCGCAGAGAAGCAGCGGCGUGAUUCUCUGUUGCAGCCCCAUUAUCUUCAGAAGAUUUUGUAGCCACACAAUCUCUGAAGUUGCAGCAGACAUUGUUCGAUAUUCUGCCUCAGCAGAUGACUUAGAUACAGUAUCAUGUCUCUUCGCAGACCAGGAUAUAACAUUUGAGCCAAGCAUUGUACAAAAACCACCAGUUGAUCUUCGAGUGUCUUUGCAUCCGGCCCAGUCUGAGUCACUAUAACAGACUAAAGUUGAAUCCGUAUGACCUUUGAUACUCACUCCCAUAUCAUAUGUACCCUUGACAUAUCUUAAGAUUCUCUUUAGCAGACUGAAAUCAGACACACUUGGCUGAUGCAUCUUCUGACAGAUAUAGUUCACCGAGAACUGAAGAUCUGGUCUUGUCAAUGUUAAGUACUGAAGUUUGCCUGCUAAGCUUCGGAAAUACGAUGGCUCAGCAAAUAAUUCAUCAUGACCAUGAAGAUUGUCUAGCUUCAUCGGCAAAGGAGUAGGCAUUGGAGCACAGUCCCGCAUACCAGCACUUGUGAGAAGAUCCUGGGCAUAUUUGGCCUGAUUCAGAAACAGACCGUCUUCAUUUUGAUGUACCUGAAUGCCAAGAAAGUAGUGUAUCGGCCCCAUAUCCUUCAUACGAAACACGGUACUCAGCUUCUCAAGAAGUGUCACUAGCAAGUUGUCAUUGUUGCUUGUCAAAAUCAUAUCAUCAACAUACAGUAACAGAUAAAUAACAUCUGUUCCUUGAUGAUAAAUGAACAACGAAGGAUCUGGGAAGCUACACUGAAAUCCGAACUCCAGGAGAAAGGUACUGAACUUAUCAAACCAUGCUCUAGGAGCUUGUUUCAGACCGUAUAUUGCUUUCUUCAGUUUACACACAUAAUCUGAUCUCAACUGAUCUUCAAAACCCGGAGGCUGAAUCAUAUACACUGUCUCCUUCAAGUCUCCGUGUAGGAAGGCAUUCUGAACAUCAAGCUGCUUGAUUUUCCAUUUCUUUGUUACUGCCACAUGUAAUACUGUCCUGAUAGUAGCCGUUCGCACCACAGGACUAAACGUUUCAAGAAAAUCUACUCCUUCUUCUUGUUGAUUUCCUCUAGCUACUAGACGCGACCUGAGCUUCAGAACUGUUCCAUCAGCAUUGAGUUUAGUCUUAUAAACCCAGCCACAGCCUACUGGAUUUUGUCCUUCUUCUGAUGGAACUAACUCAUAUGUCCCUGUUUCUUCCAUGUUAUCGAUUUCCAGGCGCAUAGAAGCAUUCCAACGUGGAUCAUUCAAAGCUGCUUUGACACUUCGAGGUUCAGAGUGUUCUGUUUUCACAGUGACCAUUGCAUAUCGAGGGUUUGGUUUGAUAAUUCCUGCUCUGGCACGUGUUGUCAUAGAGUGAGGAACUGAGACUACGGGUUCAACUUGCUCUUGCUGUUCAACUGCAGCAUCAUCAUCAGACUGAUCAGUUGAUGAUGUAGUAGCAGAUUCUUCUGUGUCAUUACCUGUCUGAACUGCUGGAUUCUGCGGCAAUGCAGCUGCUGGGGCAACUACAGUCUUGAUCACAGUCGCUGGUAAUUCUUCAAUAUUCUCGUCACUUUCUUCUUCUUGCUUGGACUGAAACAGAUUCACACUCUUCCAGGAGUUGAGUAGAGAUGAGUCUGAAUCUGUGUGAAAGUGGCUGUAGAUAUCUCCAAAUGGAAAGUGAUUCUCAUCGAACAAAACGUGUCUUGAGAUAAACACUUUCCCUGUUGGUGGAUACAAACAUCGGUAACCUUUAUAUCUCUCAUUGUAACCCAAAAACACACAUACCAGAGACUUUGGAUCAAACUUAUUCUUCAUGUAAGGCCGAAGAUAAGGAUAACACUUGCAUCCAAACACUCGGCGUGACUCUCUGUUGCAGCCCCAUUAUCUUCAGAAGAUUUUGUAGCCAAACAAUCUCUGAAGUUGCAGCAGACAUUGUUCGAUAUUCUGCCUCAGUAGAUGACUUAGAUACAGUAUCAUGUCUCUUCGCAGACCAGGAUAUAACAUUUGAGCCAAGCAUUGUACAAAAACCACCAGUUGAUCUUCGAGUGUCUUUGCAUCCGGCCCAGUCUGAGUCACUAUAACAGACUAAAGUUGAAUCCGUAUGACCUUUGAUACUCACUCCCAUAUCAUAUGUACCCUUGACAUAUCUUAAGAUUCUCUUUAGCAGACUGAAAUCAGACACACUUGGCUGAUGCAUCUUCUGACAGAUAUAGUUCACCGAGAACUGAAGAUCUGGUCUUGUCAAUGUUAAGUACUGAAGUUUGCCUGCUAAGCUUCGGAAAUACGAUGGCUCAGCAAAUAAUUCAUCAUGACCAUGAAGAUUGUCUAGCUUCAUCGGCAAAGGAGUAGGCAUUGGAGCACAGUCCCGCAUACCAGCACUUGUGAGAAGAUCCUGGGCAUAUUUGGCCUGAUUCAGAAACAGACCGUCUUCAUUUUGAUGUACCUGAAUGCCAAGAAAGUAGUGUAUCGGCCCCAUAUCCUUCAUACGAAACACGGUACUCAGCUUCUCAAGAAGUGUCACUAGCAAGUUGUCAUUGUUGCUUGUCAAAAUCAUAUCAUCAACAUACAGUAACAGAUAAAUAACAUCUGUUCCUUGAUGAUAAAUGAACAACGAAGGAUCUGGGAAGCUACACUGAAAUCCGAACUCCAGGAGAAAGGUACUGAACUUAUCAAACCAUGCUCUAGGAGCUUGUUUCAGACCGUAUAUUGCUUUCUUCAGUUUACACACAUAAUCUGAUCUCAACUGAUCUUCAAAACCCGGAGGCUGAAUCAUAUACACUGUCUCCUUCAAGUCUCCGUGUAGGAAGGCAUUCUGAACAUCAAGCUGCUUGAUUUUCCAUUUCUUUGUUACUGCCACAUGUAAUACUGUCCUGAUAGUAGCCGUUCGCACCACAGGACUAAACGUUUCAAGAAAAUCUACUCCUUCUUCUUGUUGAUUUCCUCUAGCUACUAGACGCGACCUGAGCUUCAGAACUGUUCCAUCAGCAUUGAGUUUAGUCUUAUAAACCCAGCCACAGCCUACUGGAUUUUGUCCUUCUUCUGAUGGAACUAACUCAUAUGUCCCUGUUUCUUCCAUGUUAUCGAUUUCCAGGCGCAUAGAAGCAUUCCAACGUGGAUCAUUCAAAGCUGCUUUGACACUUCGAGGUUCAGAGUGUUCUGUUUUCACAGUGACCAUUGCAUAUCGAGGGUUUGGUUUGAUAAUUCCUGCUCUGGCACGUGUUGUCAUAGAGUGAGGAACUGAGACUACGGGUUCAACUUGCUCUUGCUGUUCAACUGCAGCAUCAUCAUCAGACUGAUCAGUUGAUGAUGUAGUAGCAGAUUCUUCUGUGUCAUUACCUGUCUGAACUGCUGGAUUCUGCGGCAAUGCAGCUGCUGGGGCAACUACAGUCUUGAUCACAGUCGCUGGUAAUUCUUCAAUAUUCUCGUCACUUUCUUCUUCUUGCUUGGACUGAAACAGAUUCACACUCUUCCAGGAGUUGAGUAGAGAUGAGUCUGAAUCUGUGUGAAAGUGGCUGUAGAUAUCUCCAAAUGGAAAGUGAUUCUCAUCGAACAAAACGUGUCUUGAGAUAAACACUUUCCCUGUUGGUGGAUACAAACAUCGGUAACCUUUAUAUCUCUCAUUGUAACCCAAAAACACACAUACCAGAGACUUUGGAUCAAACUUAUUCUUCAUGUAAGGCCGAAGAUAAGGAUAACACUUGCAUCCAAACACUCGAAGAGCUGUAUACACUGGUGCUUUGUCAUUUAACACUUCAUAAGGACUCUUUCUCUCUUUCAGAACUGAGGAUGGCAAUAGGUUGACAAUAAAAUUUGCAGUAAAGAAGGCUUCAACCCAUAGUUGUUGCGGGAUUUUACUAUCAAACAUCAUUGUCAGCCCAAGUUCUGUUAUAUGUCUAUGCUUCCUCUCAGCUAAGCCGUUCUGUUGAGGUGUAUGAGGACACGACACAAGCUGCUUGAUGCCACAAGACUGCAGGUGUUGCAUAAAUCUCUUGUUGAUGAACUCGCCUCCUCCAUCACACUGGAACUGAGCAAUGCACUGCUUGUAUUGAUUCUCGACUAGACUUUGAAACCGCACAAAGACAGAAAAGAAUUCAGACUUGAGCUUGAGAGGAUAAAACCAAGUGUAUCUUGAAUAAUUAUCAAUGAAAAUGACAUAGUAUCUGAAACCUUGCGAUGACAUUACAGGACUAGGCCCCCACAAAUCACAGUGAAUCCUUUCCAAAGGAUGAAUAGAAACAGACUCAGAGUUAACAAAGGGAAGCCUUGAACUCUUUCCUAAUGAACAAGCAUCACAACACAGACGUGAGCUUGUUUUAUUCAUUACUAUAGAUAGACUUCUUGACAAAUGCUGAAGAACAUCCAUAUUUGUGUGCCCCAGCCUUCUAUGCCACACUUCAUCACUUGCGGCUUGUUGACGUGUUGAAUAAAAAGCUUGAAACCGCAUGUCCUUCAGUACAUACAGGUCUUUAAGUCUUCUUCCUUGUGUUAUCACUCUCUUUGUGGCCUUGUCCUUAACACACACCGAAUCAGAAUCAAAAGUAAACUCACAAGGAUAAUCAGAUGUCAACUUUGAUACGGACAACAAUGAUUUAGUUAUACCAGGACAUAUCAACACAUCAUUGAGGGGCAAGUUACCUUGUUGAGUUUGAAGGGACAGAGACCCGACAUGAGUGAUAGGUAGGAAGUCACCGUUACCAACUAUAACCUGAUCAUUCCCCAAAUAUGGCUCUGAAGACUGGAGUUGAUCACUGUUGUUUGUGAUGUGAGCUGUUGCAGCAGAAUCUGGAUACCAUUCAUAACCUGACUGACCGGGAUGAUCUGUGACUCUCAUCGUAGCAAGAGCAGUGUGAAUGUUGUCAGGAGUUCGAUAAUCCUGAUCAAAGCGGUUGUAGCAUCGAUCUGCAGUAUGACCAAGGCGGCCACAGAUUUGACAUGUAGGUCUUGAACUUGCAUUGGAACCAGAUCCUCCUGAGAACUGCUGCUGAAAACCACGACCUCUGGUUGAAUAAGAGUUGGUGUUGUUACGCCCUCUGUAUCCUCCACGAUAGUUGUAGCUUCCACGUCCUCUGGUGUUAUAACCUCUUCCAGUAUGGAACGCCAAGUGAGGAUUUACGUCAGGAGCUUGAUUGAACUUCUGCAACUUGUCAUCAAACACCACCAACUUGAACACUGCAUCCUCAAAACUCAUCUGUGGAACGGAAUCCAUGGAAUGCUCUAUCACAGUACAAAUAGACUCAUACUCUUUUCCUAACCCACUGAGAGCUCCAUAUAUCAUCUCUUGUUCAGUAAUAGCACAACCGAUUGAAUCAAGUUGAUCACAAACUCCUUUGACCUCACCCAAAUACUCUGUCAUAGACUUUUGACCCUUUGACAUACCUUGGAGCUUACGUUGUAGAUCUAACUUGCGAGUUGCUGAGACUCUGUUAUACUUCUUCCCAAGACUGAACCACACUUCUUGAGCUGAAUGAAGACCAUAAACUGAACGCAGAGCUUCUUCAGUCAGCGAACCGAACAGCCAAGACAUAACCAACUGAUCUCGGCGAACCCACUUCGCAAACUCUGGGUUUGCUGCUUCAGUAACUACAUCUCCUUCUCGUGUUGUCUGAGAUGGGGAAGGCCGUGGUGUGGACCCGUCAAGAUAGCCAAGCAAAGACUGACUGGACAGAAAAGAUUCGAACUGAGUCUUCCAAAGAAGAUAGUUCGAAGAAGAGAGCUUCAGAGUAACACACUGUGAGAUACUCAAAGAUGGAGUUGAAAUCGUUUCUGAAGCCUCAUCCAUGGCUCUGAUACCAUGUAGAAGGGAAGAAACUUAGAUGUAACAGAGAAGAAACUUGUGCUUUCUUAUUACUUUUAACUUGACGGCAAGACUUGCCCUUUACAUCAAUAUAUAUACAGCAUAGAUUUAGGUUAACCUCAGCACACUGUUGUACAGCUGUCCAACCUCUCAAACCUAUUCUUUGUCUCCACACAGUGAGCUGGCUUGACCGUACCAUGCUCACGCAAAGCUUGCUUGUUCACUGAAGUUGCAGAAGACGACAAAGACUUGUUCUUGGGCUGAGAGACAGCAACGGUCUUCUUCCUUUCCUCCAAAUGGGCUUCGAACAACGGCCCAGUAUUCAUACUACCUUUAAUUUAAGCACAAAUAAAAAAUGGUUGGGUAAUGGUAAAGCAGAGUAGAAAUUACCGAGCAUUUGCCAUGCCCAAUCGCUUCGUAUAUGUGGUACUGGUUCAUCGUCAAAGCUUCAACUCGCCCGCCUGAGAUCCGAUUCGGAAUCUUCUCAGCUCUAAGGUUAAUUAGUGUCGUCCGUUGUUGAAUCGAUCUGGGAAGGAAGAGAAAGAGAGGGGAAAUGGUAGAGAGAAAAUAAACUGGAAAUUUUCAAAAUUCAAACCCCCUAGUGGACAAAUUUAGGAUAAUUUUGAAUUUGAUUAAUAUAUUUUGAAAAAUAAAGAAGCUACCGGAAUUUAAAAUGAAGAAACUGGGCUUGUUGGGCCCAUUUAUCCUUCUCUGUAAGAUAUUUCCCGCCCAAAUGAAUUGGGAAAUGGGCUUUUUUACCGCCGUGAAAAGGGGUGGGGGGGAAGCGGUAAAUCGAGUAGCGCAAAAAAACUGUGAAAGAGUGAAAUUAUUCGUUCUCCUCCGGAGACGAACGGAACCUUCGUCACAGUUUCUCUCCGACGUCGGCCUCGUAGACUGUGUGAGCUCCUUAACCACCUUUCUUCUUUCUUCUUCCUUAUCCGGUGGCGAAACUCACCGCCAAUAUAUUCGAUUUACUCUCCGUUAUUGCGUAAUCCUGAUCGAAUAUUUCGUCUUUUAUACUUUCCUGGAUUGUAUCGCUGUAUCUCAUUCUCUUAUCGUCUACUUUUUUGAAAGUUUCACUCUUUUUUAUUUACGAUGUGGUGAAUGUUGAGUAUAUGCCUCCCUUGAGGAAUACAUUUUGGUUAUUGCAGUUAAUCUUGUGAAAAUUUGUUUGACGUUGGCUUGGUGUUUGAUUACUCUAUUUGUUUCAUUGUUGUUAGUGAAAAGGAUUGAACUUUACCAAGUAGAGAUCAUACCAGAGGGGAGAGACUCAAAGCUAGAACAUUAAUGGAAGAGACCAACCGUGAUGGUGAUGGAGAGCUUUAUCCAUCUGGUGUCGAACAGGUUCCGGCUGAGAAGAGAAAGAGGGAAGGAUUGGUGAGUGGAGAAAGAGAAGCUGAAGAAGUUAUUUUAGUUGGUGACACCAAGGCUAUAAAAAUACUUGGUUUUGAUGGAGGAGAGCUGUCUCAGUCUCAGUCUCAGAGGUCUUUGUUUAGCAAGCGACAGGCCUUUGAGGUGCAAAACAACAUGAAUCUUAAAGGGUCUUUGCUAAAAGAAGAAUCAGGAGAAGAGCCAGCGAGAGGAAAGCAGGAUUAUUCAACUUUUAAUGACUUUGAUAAGCUGAGGGAAGAAAGAAAUUUUGCAGUUGGUCAGACAUGGGCUCUUUAUGAUGAUAAAGUGGAUGGGAUGCCUAGACUGUACGCUCAGAUCACAAAACUCUCAGUUCCCGGUUCCUGUCUUAGCGUCACAUGGCUUGAGCCUGAUCCAGACGACAAGGAAGAACUACAGGGCUAUGAAAAAGACUUGCCUGUUUCUGUCGGUUGGUUCAAACUCGGCAAAACGGAGGAUAUAAAAGAUCACAGAAGGUUCUCUCAUCUUGUUCACUGCAACGAAGGAAGCAGCAGCGCAGGUAGAAGAUUCAGCGUUUAUCCCAGAGAAGGAGAGACGUGGGCUAUCUUCAAGGGUCGCUACAAGCGCGAUAACUCCUGGAGCUACCGGGACAUUGACUGGUCAGCUGAUCCCGGUUCUCACCGUAAAUAUAACUAUCAAUUUGUCGAAAUCGUGCCAGAAGAAGAUGCUCAUACAGAUGCUCCACCUGUUGGAUUCCUGCAUAAGGCAAAAGGUUUUUCAAAUGUGUUCUGUCGCUUUGCUAAGGAAGUUGUUAAAUCUUACAUUCAAUGUAGCCAUACAGAGCAAUUCUCCCAUCGUGUUCCAUCGUUUAAGACGACUGGAAUAGAAGCAGAAGGUGUGCCUCGAGGUGCUUAUGAGCUGGAUCCCGCAGCGUUACCAGAAAACAUCAAGGAGAUUGACGUCCCUUUACAUCUACUAGAAGAGGCUAACUCUGAGGAGGAGGAUAAUAAACAUUCUCAGUGCGUUUACUUUGCUAGUAAAGGAAUAACUUUUCAAACGGGACAAGUCUGGUCAUUCGGCAGCGGCGACGACAACUUGCCACGGUACUACGGCAAGAUUCAGAAGAUCACGUUUGUUCAGGCUUUUGAGCAAGAUCCGGUGGUUAAACUGCAUAUAGGUCGUCUUAAGGCUAGACCUAUCAAAGGCGUUAUCCAGUGGAUUGACAAGGAGAUGCCCAUCGGGUGUGGGAACUUCCGGGCGAGGAAAGUUCUGGAGAUAUUCACUGAUCUUGAUGUGUUUUCACGUCUGAUAAGCCAAGGCUCCUCUGGAGAUGGGGAUGAUUACAGCAUCAUGCCCAAGGCUGGUGAUGUCUGGGCAAUAUACAGAAACUGGAGUAAUGGCAUUGAAGUCGCUGAUCUGCAAUCCCAGAGUUAUGAUCUUGUGGAAGUUCUUGAUGAUAAAGUGGGCUACGAGGUGCUGCUGCUGGCUCUUGAUGAUGGCUUUGAAUCAGUUGAUUCUAAGGGUUUUGGUUCGGUGUAUGUGGCUGCUACUGAGCAUUGGAUGGAUGGCGAGGACGUGAGAUUCACAGUUCCGGAAUGUGAACUGCUUAGAUUCUCGCAUCGAGUUCAUACUUGGAAAGUAACAAAGGAGAUGCAUGGAGUUUUGCAAGAAGUCUAUGAACCUAAUAUCUGAGGUAUUAUUGCCUGUUGAGUUGAUUCUCUGACUUGUACAGCUGAAACAGCACGGUGAAAAGGAAGAGCAUAGAUUGACCUUUUUGCGAUGAUAAAGUCACUGAACUUUCUUCGGGUUUAGUAGUCCCUUUGUAACAUUGUGAACUCCCCUAUCUUUAAAGUAGGAGGUAUCUGUAGUUUGGUGUUAAUCUGUGCUUUUGUGGUGAAGUAAUCCUUACGUUGGCCUUUAGGUGUGGUUUCAUAUUUGAAAACAAGACUAGAAACGUUUAAUUUUCAAAACUUUUUGGAAAACAAGACUAAAAAAAUGUUAAUUAUUGUUAUAUAUAAUUUGUUUAAAGUUAAAUAAAAAAAACAUCAAACCAACAUUCUCUUGUUCUUUUAAUCGUCCUUAUACCUGACACAAUUAUUCUGUAAUCAGAAAAUUCAUAUGAUUCUUCAGAUAUUUUACGUUUUAUCAUAUUUUAAUUUGUUUCCCCAAAUUGCUAACUGCGACUUUUCCCGCUAAAAGGAGAUAUUUUAAGUUACACUUUAUCGCACGUGUGCGCGACUAGUCGUCUCACUCACUUGUAUUUUCCCCUCCGGCAAAACUCUCCGCCACUUACGACCGCUGCUUGGUAUUUGCUUCCGCAAUUGCGUGAUUUGGUUAGUAGAUUGUAUCCAAAUGUCUUGUCUCUUGUUUUCUUGCCAUCACUCAUCAAUCCUGCACAUAGUCUCAAUUGAUGAGUGCAUGCUUUAGGGUCAUUCUCAUCUGAUAACCAUUAAAUAAUAAUGUAUUCUUCUUCUACAGGAGAAACCCACGAGAAGGCCUCACGUUGUUAGAAGAUGGAUAUCACCAUCAAUGGCGUUACAGAGACUUGGAUUAAUAAAGAGAGUCCUUCCUCCGACCAAACUCCUCCUCCUUCCACUGCCAUUCAAAAGUUCUGGACUUGGUGUACAGAGUGUAUGGCGUGGUACAGAUUGCAUAGAUGCUUUCUCCACAAAUCGAACACGUGUCGAUCUUGCAACAAGGAGUUCCUCGCGCGUGAGAUACCUCGUCAUGGUCUUUUACCAGGGAAAGACUCAUCUAAAGAUGUUAUGCACAAGAGGGUACUGAUUAAAAGGCUCCUUGGUAUACAGCAGAGCCAUCCAGUUGCAUCCAAUACACGUCCAAGCUUUUGGACCACGUGUAGAAACUGUGGGCAUAGAGAGCGUUUUCUUAAACUGUAUGUGGACAAAUGGUUCGUUUGUGAGAAGUGCCAUGGGGAGACCAUUGCAAUGGAGGUCCUUGCUAGUUCCGGCGAGGUGUUGUUCAACAAAUUGUUCUUGGAGUUGAAACCCGGGCGGAAGAAAAAUUAUUCCUCUGGUUUGAGCUGUGGCGUGAAGGUUGUUGGUGAGAAGAGAAAGAGGGAAGAGGUUGCUGCUUUAUCUCAAAAUCACAGCAAGCCUGUCGACAAUAACAGAAGAGGAUUCAAUGAUAAUGGAGAUGAAGCGUCAAGCUCUGGGAAUGCUAAGGUGGAUGACAACUUUGGUUUAUGUGAUUCAAGUUCAGGAAGUAAUGUAAAACCAAAGAUUGCUGAUCUGAAGUUUAACGACUUUGAUAAGCUGAGGGGAGAAGUGAACUUUGCAGUUGGCCAGGUGUGCGCUCUCUAUGACACAACAGAUAAGGUUCCUAGACAGUAUGCUCUCAUCAGAAAAGUUUCAGUUCCUUCUUUUGGGCUUAGGAUCACAUAUCUAGAGCCGGAUCCUGAUGAUGAGAAAGAGAUCCAAUGGUUUGAAGAAGACUUGCCUGUUUCUGAUGGUAAGUUCAGGCUUGGGAAAAAUCAGAACACUCAAGAGCGUUCGUUAUUCUCACAUGUUAUCCACUGCAACGAAGGAGGAAGCAACUCUGGUCAUUUCACUGUUUCUCCAAGAAAAGGAGAGACCUGGGCUCUAUUCAAGAACUGGGAUAUUAACUGGUCUUCAGAACCAGAUUCUCACCGCAAUUAUGAGUAUAAGUUUGUUGAGAUUUUGUCAGAUUAUUACACUGAUGGAGCUGCUUGCGUAUCUGUUGCUUUAUUGCAUAAAGCAAAAGGCUUUGCAAGUGUCUUCUUUCGGAUGGGAACUGGUGAGGCAGACACAUCGCAGAUUCUACCUCAGAAUAUGUAUCAAUUCUCACACAUGAUCCCUUCCUUCAAACUGACUGGAACUGAAGCAAAAGGUGUGCCAAAGUAUGCUUAUGAGCUGGACCAAGCUGCGUUACCAGAAAAAAUUGCAGAGGUAACCGUCCCUUCACAUCUAUUAGCCGCUCCAAAGCCUAAACCAAAAGAGCUCAGCUUUACUAUAAAUGGAAAGGUUUUUCGAGCUGGCCAGAUCUGGUCAUACAUCGGAUGUUUUGAUAACAUGCCUAGGAACUACUGUAGGAUCUAUAAGAUCAGUUUGACUCAAGCGUUUGAGCAGGCUCCAAUUUACAAAAUGCACGCGUUCCGGUUUAAGGCUACACCUUUUCCUAAGGAUAUCAUCCCUUGGAAGGAGGAGCGAUAUGGGGAGAAGAAAAUGCCUGUUGGUUGGGGAACUUACUUUUUGACUCAAGGCUCCUUAGCACUCACCCCUGAUCGUUUCUCACAUCUUAUAGUGCCUGGAACCUCCAAGGGAAGCAAUGAAUAUACUAUUCUGCCCAAGAUUGGUGAAGUGUGGGCGAUAUACAGAUUCUGGACUCCUUACCUUAGUGCCGAUGAAAUGGAGAAAAACUACGUGGACUAUGGCAUUGUAGAAGUUCUUGAUGAUGCUUUUGACUAUAAGGUUUUAGCGUUGGAGCCUGCGUUGCAGUUUAAGGAAGAUGUAAGGAAAAAGAGAGUGUUUAGAGCAGCUGAGAGCAAGCCACUUGAUUUUGAUGAUGAUGAUGAUGGGUCGGGAGUGAUCUUUACAAUCCCAAGGUCGAAAAUGCUGAGAUUCUCUCAUCAGAUUGCUGCUUCCCGGGUAGUAAAGGAGAUAGAUGGAGAGUUGAAAGAGCUUUUUGAACUUGAUUCUACAGCAGUACCUGUAUUGUGAGGUUUCAACAGCAUUGAGCAACGGAUGUAGGAGAAAGAUAAGUCCCUUUUGUUAGCUUUUUGGUGCAUUCUGACUCUCAAGGUUUGAUCUUGUUUAAAGACUUUAUCCAAGGUUUAUGGAUGUUUUUCUUUUGUUGGUUCAAAUCUAUGGAAAGUCAUGAAUCUUGAGAUGGUAAUGUAGGAAAAAGAGCAAGUGGUUUAGAUCAGACUGAGAAACUUACUGAACUCUCUCCAUGUUUAGUUAGUUACUAGUCAUUUGAUUCAAUAGUAGGUAGUUCUCUGUUAAGUGUUUAUCAAGCUCUCUCCUUCUUGCAUAUACAGUAUGUGUUUUGAACUGAAGUAAAUCUCAACGUUUGUGUCAUCUCUUAGCAGCUUCUUCAUCUGCACUUCUUAUUAUUAAUCAUGUGAUCUGAUAUAGUUUUACAAAAUUUAGCAACGAAUUAUCAAAUUUACUAGAAAAAAUCCGACCAGCAAAACACAUAUUCAAACUCAAUUUCAGAAACACAAACUAAAGCAUAAAUGAUCAAAAUAUUAUAACGUGUGUUUAAAAAAAAUAAUAAUAAUAAUAUGAAGAUAUAACAUUUUUUUGUUUCCCGCCAUUAGCGGUUGGACUUUUCCCGCUAAAAGAAGAAUGUAUAUUUUAAUUUAGCUACAUUCUCUUGACGACGAAUCAUCUCUCUCUCUUUUCUCGGGCAAACGUCUCCGCCCUUUGUGACAGCUUCUUGCUCCCGCUCCCGCUAUUGUCUGAAUCGGUUAGUAGUAUGUAUCCAAAUGUCUUGUCUUUGGCUUUCUUAAUGUACACACGCUUGAUUUAGGGUUCUUAUUAAUUUGUUCUGAUUCGAAAUGCUAUCAAAGAACACAUGCUUUGGCUUUCCAUAAACUGUAUUGUAUUCUUCUUGCAGGAUCCAAAGAGAAGAAAGUUAUUAGAUUCUUUGAUGGAUAUCACCAUCAUGAACGAGCUUCACAGAGAGAAAGAAGCUUCAGAGACUUCCACUACAGCUCAAUCAAGUGACCGUUCAAUGGUUUGGACUAUAUGUCCUUUCUGUAGCGUCAGGUACAAAUCCUACAUAAGCCUUCUCAACAAACCCACACGAUGUCAAUCUUGCUACUUGAAGUUCCUUGCUAGCGAGUCUCUUGUCAAAGGCACUACGACAAUGGAUAAAGCAACUCAGACAAGCUUGUCUACCAUAGAGAAAAGUAUGUGCAGUCAAAACCAUAUUACUAGGAGCAAUGUGGUUGCACCGACACCGAAGAGCCAGGUUCAGCCUCAGACUGCAACAUCUAGUCUCAGUCCAAGACUUUGUGCUAUGUGUCCAUUUUGUAAGCUCAAGUAUCGUUUCCCGAUCAAAUGGACCAACAAAUGGUUCGUUUGUAAGUGCAAGAAGAAGUUCAAAACGGUUGAAGUGAGUUCCUCCUCGCCCCAACAGAAGGCAGCCACGAGUAAGAUUCAAGCCACACAUUUCUCUGGGAAGGCAAGCUCUCCUGGUUUGAGCUGUGCUGUGAAGGUUGGUGAGAAGAGACAGAUGAACGAGUGCGGGGAAAGUUACAAUGCUGGAAACUGCAGUGCUCUACACAAGAACAAAAGGGUUACCAGUGAUAGUGGAGAUGCAAGAGAAGAUUCUGAAAGCGUAAAGCAAGUCCAUGUGGUUGAUCUUUCUACUACUGAAGACCCAAUUUCAAAUGCCAUAAACCUGAAUCAGAAGAUGGAUAGGAAUCAAGAUACUCAAGUGGGAACAGUAGUGGAGAACUCUGAAGAUGUUGUUGACAAUAACAGAAGAGGAUUCAAUGAUAAUGGAGAUGCAGGAAGGCAAGAAGGCAAGAAGAGUCAGGAUGGGGGAAGCAACUCCAUCAAGUUAAUUGUUCUGAAGUAGCAUUGCCAAAUAUCAUAGGGAACUCAGCGAAUCUUGAGGUGAAUAAACACUCUGAAGAUGUUCUUGACAAGCCUGUAGAUAAUAACAGAAGAGGAUUCAAUGAUGAUGGAGAUGCAGCAGGAAGGCUAGAAGCGUCAGAAUGGGGGAAGCAACUAUGUGAGGCUGAUCGUCCUGAAGUAACAUUGCCUAAUGUCAUCAGCAACAAUCAAAAGUUGAAUGAAAAGAACAAAACCCCUGGUUUAUGUGAUUCAGGUUCAGGAGAUGAUGUACCAGUACAACCAAAGAUGUCUGAGUGUGCUGGUCUGAAGUUCAACGACUUUAAUAAACGGAGGGAAGAUGCAAAAUUUUCAGAAUGCCAGGCGUGGGCUCUCUAUGACAAAGCAGAUGGGAUGCCUAGACAGUACGCUCUAAUCAGAAAAGUUUCAUCUCCUUCCUUUGGCCUUAGGAUCACAUACUUAGAACCAGAUCCAGUUGACGAGAAAGAGAUCCAGUGGUUUGAAGAAGACCUGCCUGUUUCCGUUGGUAACUUCAGGUUUGGGAAAAACCAGAACACGAAAGACCUGUCCAUAUUCUCACAUGCCAUUCGUUGCCAAGGAAGCAUCAUGACCGGUAACUUCACAGUCUCCCCAAGAAAAGGCGAGACUUGGGCGUUAUUCAAGAACUGGGAUAUUAUCAACUGGUCUUCAGAGCCAGACUUUCACCGCAGUUACGAGUAUGACAUCGUUGAGAUCUUGUCUAACACCACUGAUGAAGGAGUAUCUGUUGCAUUCUUGCACAAAGCAAAAGGCUUUGCAAGUGUCUUCUUCCGGAUGGGAGCUAGUGAAGCAGAAGUUAUUCAGAUUCCAUCUCACAGCUUAUACCGUUUCUCUCAUAUGAUCUCUUCCUUCAAAAUGAAAAGAGUUGACGUGAAAGGUGUGCCAAAAGAUGCUUACGAGCUGGACCAAGCUGCGUUACCUAAAGCAAUCGAAGAGAGAGUCGUCCCUUUACAUCUAUACGCAGAGACUAAACCGGAAGCUCUUUGCUUUCCCAAUAAGGGGAAGGUCUUUCAAACCGGCCAGAUCUGGUCGUUCUACAGUGGUUGUAAUGAUAGCUUGCCUCUCCACUACUGUAGGAUUCAGAAGAUCACUCUUGUACAAGCGUUUGAGGAAGAACCAGUGUUUAAACUACAUGUGGGCCGGUUAAAGGCUAAGCCUUUCGAUGAGGAGGUGAUCCAGUGGGAGGACAAGAGAAUGCCUGUUGGUUGUGGGACUUUCUUGGUGAGGAGAAUCAACGAUGUGAUCACUGCAGAUGAUGUUUCACAUCAGAUAGUGCCUCAAAACUCGUUGGAUGGAAGUGAGUACACCGUUCUCCCCAAGAUUGGGGAAGUUUGGGCUGUGUACAGAUUCUGGACUUGCAAGAAAGAGUUCAAGGACGUGGGGUGCUGUGAGUAUGACAUUGUCGAAGUUCUUGAUGAUAACUUGGGGUACAAGGUUUUAGCGUUGGAGCAUGUGUUGUCUUCCAGUGAAGGUGGAGAGAAAAGGAUACUCUUUAGAGCAGCUGAGAGUAGGCAUCGUGAUUGUGACGAUGAGGAUGGGAGAGAAGUGAUAUUCACAAUCCCGAAGUCGAAAAUUCUGAGAUUCUCGCAUCAGGUUCCUGCUUCUCGAGUAACGGAGGAGAUGCAAGGAGAAUUGAGAGAGGUUUUUGAAGUUGAUUAUAGAGCAUUACCUGCAAACGUGAGGAGGGCUCAAGAUCAUUGAGCAAAGGUAGUCGUGAAGGAAGGGUAUAAGGGAUGGUUGGACUCCUUUUUGUAAGCUUUUGGUGCAUUCUGUCAAAAGACCCCUCAGACUUACUUGAUGACUUUCUCUGUGGUUUAUUUAUGUUUUUCUUUUCUUUUGAUUGGUUCAAAUCCAUGACAAAUCAAUGUACUUUGAGAAGGUAGUAGUAAAAGACAUCUCUGUCUAAUGGCUACUAAUUCCUUUGAUCCAUUGUUUGUCAUCCAUUUAUGAAGUAGCAUUAUUUGAAGGUUUUAAACUCACUAGCAUAUAUAUCAUAUGUGAUUUUGAGCAUUUGUCGUUAAAAUUAUCUCUGCUGAUCACAGAUUUAGUCUCUUCACGGUAGUGCUAGCCAUUCAGGUUAACGGUUUGUGUCGGGUUAAGAUGUUUAGGACCCGUUUAAAAACUAUACAUUUUCCGGAUGGGUUAAAUAUUGUCGGAUUUGGGUCUGUUUUCUAUUUUUGUAAAACCGAAACAAAAUCGAAUUAGAAAUAAGGUAAUUUGGAUUUAGUUCGGGUUUAAAGCAAAAAAAACGAUAAAAAUCAAAAAUUCAAGUUAAACCCAAAAAAUCAAAAAUAAAAUAUAAAAUAUAAUACAAGUUUUUAAGAUAAUUUAUAAAUAUAUUUUAUAUAUUUAUUUAUUUCAAAAUUUAAAAUAAUUAUUAUUUGGUAAAUAAAUUAUAUUUCGGAUGCUCGAAUAUCAGUUCGAUUUUGGUUUCUCGGAUUUAGAAAAAUAGAAACAGUUUAGAUUUUUACACAUUUUAGUUUUUUUGGUUCGCUUUCUUUCGAUUUGGUUUUUGAUGCCCUGGUGAACGGUUACAAAUGUAAAAUUAUAAUCUUUUAUUUGUUUUCCGCCCAAUAUAUUGCUAAUGCUUAUUUUUACAGCGAAAUAUGGUGAGCAGCUAGCAAAUAAAGUUCCUUUUAUUCCCAAUAAACGUCAUAUCCUAAAUAAAUAAGAGUGCCUUUUACAGUUCGCUCAAAUUCACUACUUUCCCGGCGGCAAAAGUCUCCUACGCGGACGACUUCGAUUUUGCUGUUGCUUGAAGUUGUUCAAACCGGUUCGUGGACUGUAUUCAAUCUGUUUCUUUUUUUUUUUUUAAAGAAUAGUAGUUAGUUGAUUUGUAUUUAUAAUGUAUCUGAGCUUAGAGUAGGGUUGCUGGCACUUUAGCCCAAUAUUAGAUUUAGGUUUGUUAAUGUAUAAGUGAGUUAGAUUUGGGGUUGAAAUGUUUAUACUAUAACUUUUCUGUUGUCGUUGUUGUGUGUUUGAAUUUUUUUUUUUCUAAGUGUCCUUGUUUCAACAGAUUCUUGCCUUGUUAUACUUUUAUAUGUGAGAGUAUCUGAUGACUGGAAAUGAGACUUCUUCUGGUGAGAAGAGAAAGAGGAGCAUUACUGAAAACUGCAGUGCUGAACAAAACAAUAGAAGAGGUUACAAUGUUACAGAAAGGGGAGAAGGGCUGAUGAUACAACCAGAGAGUACUGAAUGUGCUGGUCCAAAAUUUAACGACUUCGAGAAGCUAAGGGAGAACGCAAACUAUGCAGCUGGCGAGACUUGGGCUCUUUACGAUACAGCGGAUGGGAUGCCUAGAGAGUAUGCUAAGAUCAGAAGAGUUUCAGCUCCUUCCUUUGGGCUUAGGAUCACAUACUUAGAGCCUGAUCCAGAUAAUGAGAAAGAGAUCCAGUGGUUUGAACAAGACUUGCCUGUUUCUGUUGGUAAGUUCAGACUUGGGAGUUCUGAGAACACAAAAGACCGUUCCAGAUUCUCUCAUCCUAUCCAAAUCCAAUGCAAUGAAGGAGGAACCAACUCUGGUCAUUUCACUGUUUCACCAAGAAAAGGAGAGACCUGGGCCCUUUUCAAGAACUGGGAUAUUAUCAAGUGGUCUUCAGAGCCAGAUUCUCACCGCAGUUUUGAGUACGAGUUCGUCCAGAUUUUGUCUGACUACGCAGAUGGAGCUGGUGUAUACGUUUCAUACUUGCAUAAAGCAAAAGGGUUUGCAAGUGUCUUCUUUCGAGUGGGAACUGGUCCUGAAGACAUACUUCUUAUCUUAGCUCACAGUUUGUAUCGAUUCUCCCACAGGAUUCCUUCCUUCAAGCUGACUGGAUUUAAAGGAAAAGAUGCUUACGAGCUGGAUCAAGCUGCGUUACCAAAAACAAUCCUGCCUACAAACUCUGUGAGAACAGAAAGCAUAAAGGCCAGGCCAUCUACUUUGCUAGGAAGGGGAACGUUUUCAAGACUGGUCAGAUUUGGUCAUUUUACAGUGGCAAUGAUGAUUUGCCUCUACACUACUGUAAGAUUCAGAAGAUCACUUAUACUCAAGUACUCGAGCAGGAGCCAGUUCUCAAACUACACAUAAGCAGGCUCAAAAAAGCAACUCCUUCCCCCAAGGACGUCAUCGACUGGGAAGAUGGGAAAAUGCCUCUCGGCUGUGGAACUUACUACCCUAAAACGGUUCUCGAAAUCAUCACUCCAGAUGCUGUUUCGCAUCAGGUAAUGAUGCCUCAAAUCUCGUUAGGUGGAAAAGAAUAUACAAUUCUCCCCAAAACUGGUGAAGUUUGGGUGAUAUACAGAUACUGGAGACGUGACAUCGAGGCUGAGAGGUUGGAUUAUUGUACUUAUAACAUUGUCCAAGUUCUUGAUGAUACCUUGGACUACAAGGUCUUGCUACUGGGGCGCGAGUCUGGUCAUGAUCGAGGUGAAUUCUAUGAAAUUAGUUGGUUCAAGGAAGUUAAGAAGUAUCAGCAUUACGAUGAUGAUGGGUGGGCAGAACCAAUAUUCACCAUCCCGAAGACGGAAAGGCUUAGAUUCUCUCAUCAGGUUCCUGCUUCACGUGUGACCAAAGAGAGGUUUGGAGAUUUAGAAGACCUUUUUAAAGUUGAAUCUAGAGCAUUGCCUAUAAACCUCUUAGGUCACUGAACACAUGAAGUGGGAAAGGAAGAGAGGCUAGCGAUUCUUUUUUUUUUCUUUUUUGCUAGUUUAUUUUGGUUAAGAAUCCUAAGACUUUUUCUAUGAUGUUUCUCUAUGUAGCACGGGGACGUCUAUUUAGCUGCCGUACUGGUACCGGAAACGUUUCGGGGACGGGUACUUCACGGGGACAGCACUGGUACGGUUUGGGGACGGUUAGACAACAUAGCUAUGAGUAAGACUAGUUUUCACGGGACAUAAUCCUUGUGCAAUUGUUUUUUAACUGUCACUGUUAUCUUGUUUCUAAUUUUAGUUGGCAAAAUAGACAUAUUAUAGUAAAUUAUAUCUAAUUAUGUUAUAUUCACUAUAUAAAUUUAUUUUUUUAUAAAUAUUUUAUAUUUUUUACUAGUAUAUAUUUGCCGUACAUGUAUCCAUAAUUUUUAAAUUUUCCCGUUUUUCGUCCCCGUUUCCGUCCCGGUGCAUCAUAGAUGUUUCUUAUCUAUGAUAUGAUUUGAAUCUAGUUAUAAGUAUAACCACAGAUUUGACAAAAAAGAGGAUCCAUCUACAAAAUUAUUUUGUAGAGAUUUAUCAUUUAAUAGCUGUAUAAAAACAAUAUAAAAAUAACUAUAUUUAAACAUAGUAGUAAUAAAGUUAGUGCAGUAAACAAAAAUGAUAAAAGCAUCUAUCUAUAACUAUAAAGUUGAAGUAUCUGUCUUUUUAGGCUGUCCACGAGAGGAGGGGAAAUAGUGACACGUCAGCGUUUCUUAAGUUGUUGUCUCUGGAUUCCAUUGUUUUGUUGGGCCUUACAGCAUGCAGCCCAUCACGUGUUUUAGAAUAUAAUGGUGACUAAACGCCCCGUUUAGGAUUAGGUUUACGCGGAGUGCUUCUCGUGUCUCCAGAUCGAAAGGCGACACACCUCUUGCGCAGCUGGCCUUCCGUCUCCUUCGUCGCAAGCACUCAAAAACCGAUCAAUCAAUCAUCUUUAACCCCCCCCCCCUUCCAUUAAUCUAUCACCCACGAUCUGGAUUCAAUGCGAUAUUGUUGAUGUGCAAGGCGUUUGAGUCGACUAUAAAAAGGUAUGCAUUAUUCUCUCGGAGACUACAUCUCAUUCGUUCUUAACUCAUCAGAAAAUACAGUGCUUUCGGUAACGUGACUUAUAUGAUAUACUGCAGAUUUCACGACAUCAUCUUUAUGCUACCCGAGAACUUGGACUGAGAUAGAAAAUAAUUGAGCUUUGAUAUGCUUUAAGUUUUAGAUCUUUCAGCCUCAUGUCAUGUUCAUAUGUCAGAUUUUUUGAAAAAUUUGACUGAGUGGAAUAUGCAUUCUUCCGCAAAGGAUCGUGAAUAUGACUCAAAGAGACAUGUAUGUUCAUGAUUGAAACAACGAUGGUUUCGUUUCUUUCUCUGAAUGUGUCUUCUCUUUUGAAUUAAUCCAUGGACGAGAGCAAGCUCAAGAGAUGCUCCACUUCAUCCACCCAUGUAAUUUUCUUCUUUUUUGUAAUCACUUUUAUUUUAUCUAUUUAUAGUUUUUGUUUUGUUUUUCUUAGGCUGAAGCAGCUGAUUAGGCGACAGAUCCUUUGCAAAAGGGUAAGAAAAUAAUUGAGUUACACACUUUCUGAGAUGCUUUUGUGGUCCAUAUUUUUUUAUUCUAAUUGAGCAUGCGGCUCUGUAACAUUUAAUACAGAGAGUGUUGAUGUGCAAGGCGUUUGAGUCGACUAUAAAAAGGUAUGCAUUAUUCUCUCGGAGACUACAUCUCAUUCGUUCUUAACUCAUCAGAAAAUACAGUGCUUUCGGUAACGUGACUUAUAUGAUAUACUGCAGAUUUCACGACAUCAUCUUUAUGCUACCCGAGAACUUGGACUGAGAUAGAAAAUAAUUGAGCUUUGAUAUGCUUUAAGUUUUAGAUCUUUCAGCCUCAUGUCAUGUUCAUAUGUCAGAUUUUUUGAAAAAUUUGACUGAGUGGAAUAUGCAUUCUUCCGCAAAGGAUCGUGAAUAUGACUCAAAGAGACAUGUAUGUUCAUGAUUGAAACAACGAUGGUUUCGUUUCUUUCUCUGAAUGUGUCUUCUCUUUUGAAUUAAUCCAUGGACGAGAGCAAGCUCAAGAGAUGCUCCACUUCAUCCACCCAUGUAAUUUUCUUCUUAAGUUGCAGCUCCUAUCUUUGAGUUAAGGAUCACGAACUUAGAGCCAGAUCCAGAUGAUGAGAGAGAGAUACUAUGGUUUGAACAAGACUUGCCUAUUUCUGCUGGGCCCCCCCCAUUUUUUUGCAGACAUGCAGGAAGCAUAGUCACUGGAGCAGCUCCAAGUGGUGCCGACACAAUAAGAAGCCUCCAGCUGGAGCAGCUUCCAAGAUGGCCAAGAAAGCAUGGAUGGCAUAGGUUAAGAUAAUAAGAGCUCUGGAUGCAGUAUUUCCUAUUUAAAUAACACAUCAGUGUUUCUUUACAAUUUUAGUUUUGUUUUCCCCCUCUGGAGCUAUGUUUGGUUCGGACAAUCUUUAUAAAAUUUAAGUUCUUUUUUUAAAACAAAAUAUGUCUAAGUUAAAUUAGUCGAUAUAUUACUCAUGUCAUUUAACUACUCAAGAUUAGUGUUUUUGUUUGUUUUUGUCUAGGAUCCAUUACUUAGGAUUAGUUUAAGUACGCGACAUUCAAAUUCUACUUCAAAUAAAAAGAGGUUUUAAGGGUCAACUAUCAGAGUUGUCUUGAACAAGAUUAACAUGAAAGAUCUGUGAAUUGAAACAAGGAAUCAAACCCAAAUACCACUCCUUACGAGUCCACAACAAAAUAAACUCCAAGUGACCCCCAAAUAUGAGCUAAACAUCUUUAAAAACAACUAACAUCAAGACAAUUCUAAUCCACCAAGGCCGUCCUAGAUUAUAGUAAGACCCUGUUCAAAAAAAAAAAUAUUGACUAUAUAUUUAACAAUGUAAUGAAAUAAUUUUAAGAAUUAAUAGUUUUAUCUAUAAAUAUUUGAGGUUUCUCUUCGAAUUAUAAACUAUAAAUUUAAUAAUACAUGAAAUUUUAAACCAAAAAAUGAUGUAUGAGUAUUAGUAGAAUUUAUACUUUAACCGUGCAAAGAGACAAAUCCUAAUAAAACUCCAUUGAUUCGGUCUCCUUACUUGCUAAUUGUAAUGAACGUAUUACCAUAUAUUUUAUGAUAUCUUUCCCAAAUGGCAUCAUUGUAUGUUGACCAAAAUGAUCCUCGAUCGUUAAUUUAAGGAAACAUAUCUAUUAUUAUAUUUUGGUACAUCUAGUUUGAUGUUAUUUUACAAUAAUAACUACAACUGAAUCGUGGAAACACCGUAUUCUACUGGUUAAGAUUUAAAAACUUCUACACCCAGGUCUGAAGUUUAAAUUACAGACUAUGCAAUUUCUUACAGAUUACAGGAAAUCCAGGUUUAAAGUCCAUGAGAGAGCGAUUUAUUAUUGCAGAUUAUAGAAGAAAGGCGUACAAAAGAUCUUCAACAUGGUGCAAGUAAAUCUAGUCAGAAGAUUUUCAUAGGACAGUUCGGAUGAUGUCUUUAAAAAAAACCACAACUGAAUAGGCGUAUCCACCAAUUCGAAUAACCAAACAGUAGGUACUGAAUCAACAUAUAGCAUAGUAGAAGGAGAACUCAUAGUACAUAGUACAAGCUGGUCCGUAUUGUAUUAUGUGCUUUUGUUAUAUGCGUGAUCGAGAAGUUAGGGAAGAAUUUCUUACAUCGUUGAAAUUCGUCCAUAUGGGUAGUAAAAACUGACAAUUCUUAUGGUGUCGAUAAUCUGUUGUAAAAAACCAUGUAUGAUAUCUUUAGGGUCUUCAUAUAUGCAAAAGCUUCACAUUAUGCAUGUAAAUGUGAUAAGCGUCGUCGGAUAUUCAUGCCCCCAUCAUAUGAUUGUCUUAACAUGUGGUUCAAAACCACCAUUGACCUUGACCUGUAAAAGCUACGUGUUCUCUCCAAGCUCCAUCAACAUAGCACCUUCUUGUGUCUUCUAAAUCUGUCUCAUAAAACUAUGAAAGAUCUCCUCUAUUUCUUUUGACUAUCUAAGUUGUGAUUCAGCCCAUAAAACUCCUUUUUAUUUUUGCAAUGCGCAAAAUUUCCAGCGAUACCAUUUUUGUUUUUGCAAAUCUUAUCAUUCUUAUUCUUCCAACCACAUAAUCCAAGGAAAAUAAUUAAACUCAUAUUCACUUGGUACUCUUCAAAAUAGAUCAUCCAUGUUGGCAUAGACCGAUGAUGUUGGAAAAUUAUGGGGCUGGAAGGUAUUUGCGACAAAGCUCAUGUUUGUAGCGCUGGUGGGCACUCAAAAAUAACAGAUUCAAUUACCUCUACUCCAUAUAUAUUGCAUUUUGUGUUACAUUGUAUGCCUCAUGAUUGCAAACUCUUAGUAACUAGUAAAAUACCCGAUAUAAUCUGCUAAACAAAGUGUCUUAAUUUUGGCAGACAUUUUAGCUUCCAUUUGUAACCUAAAUGAGAUUUAGUCUGGUUCAUAAAACACCAAUCCAGUAUUAUUAUCUGGAAAAAUUUUCCUCUUAUAUCCCAAUUUAACUGAGUAUUUACCUGACACUGUAAAAUGCCACCCAUAGAAGUUUGGUCUAGAGAUGCGGCUUAUCGCCAAAUCCUUGAUGAUUUUUCAUCAUCCGGGUGUAUAUAUGUGUUAAGCAAAUCCAUAUUCCAAGAGAGAUCCCACUGAUUAAUAAGCCGUUUCACCUUUAGUGAAUGAUUUAAGAAUUGAGAUUGAUUUUUCUGUAUUGCUGGCCUUAACGAGAUGCAUGUAUCCAUGGAUCAUUCAAACUGAAAUGGACUUCUCUGUACAUCUAGUUUGAUGUUUGAGCUCAUUUUUUUGUAGAAUUUUCCUGAAUAAUCUAUGACUAUAAAGUUGAAGUAUCUGUCUUUUUAGGCUGUUCACGUCAUUCUGGAGAGGAAGGGAAAUCGUGACACGUCAGCGUUUCUUAAGUCGUUGUCUCUGGGUUCCAUUGUUUUGUUGGGCCUUACAGCAUGCAGCCCAUCACGUGUUUUAGAACAUAAUGGUGACUAAACGCCCCGUUAAGGAUUAGGUUUACUCGGAGUGCUUCUCGCGUCUCCAGAUCGAAAGGCGACACCUCUUGCGCAGCUGACCUUCCGUCUCCUUCGUUGCAAGCACUCAAAAACCGAUCAAUCAAUCAUCUUUAAUCCCCCCCUUCCAUUAAUCUAUCACCCACGAUCUGGAUUCAAUGCGAUAUUGUUGAUGUGCAAGGCGUUUGAGUCGACUAUAAAAAGGUAUGCAUGGUUCUCUCGGAGACUACAUCUCAUUCGUUCUUAACUCAUCAGAAAAUACAGUGCUUUCGGUAACGUGACUUAUAUGUUAUACUGCAGAUUUCACGACAUCAUCUUUAUGCUACCCGAGAACUUGGACUGAGAUAGAAAAUAUUGAGUUUUGAUAUGCUUUAAGUUUUAGAUCUUUCGGCCUCAUGUCAUGUUCAUAUGUCUGAUUUUUUGAAAAAUUUGACUGAGUGGAAUAUGCAUUCUUCCGCAAAGGAUCGUGAAUAUGACUCAAAGAGACAUGUAUGUUCAUGAUUGAAACAACGAUGGUUUCGUUUCUUUCUCUGAAUGUGUCUUCUCUUUUGAAUUAAUCCAUGGACGAGAGAGCUCAAGAGAUGCUCCACUUCAUCCACCCAUGUAAUUUUCUUCUUCUUUUUAAUCACUUUUAUUUUAUCUAUUUAUAGUUUUUGUUUUGUUUUUCUUAGGCUGAAGCAGCUGAUUAUGCGACAGAUCCUUUGCAAAAGAGUAAGAAAAUAAUUGAGUUACACACUUUCUGAGAUGCUUUUGUGGUCCAUAUUAAUUUAAUCUAAUUGAGCAUGCGGCUCUGUAACAUGUAAUACAAAGAGCGUUAGGUACAGAGCUUUUGGAGACUUUGGUUUAGUAUGGUUAAGAUGGACAUUGGAGAUGAAUAUAUUUUCUCGGUCCUAACUCCUUUUGGAUUCUUUCCUUUAGAACUUCAACAGCAGCUCUGUCAAUGGCAUCUUUAUAUGGACAAAAAUCGCCUCUGUUGACUUAGAUUAGGGUCCUUCACCAAUCUACAAGCAGUUCCUUACGCCAGGCGGUGUAUUCACAACUAUAAAAGGUCAGUCUUCAUCCCUUGAAAAUCAUUCUCUUCAUUCGUAAAACACCAAAGAAAACUUAUUUAAAGUAUAAUGGCUAAUUCAUCAAUCCUUCUUGCUGAUUUGAAAGACGGGCGAUGUUCCUCCACCGUUGAGGUGCGACUGCUCAGAUUCUUGGCAGCAAGGAACGUCAAACUCGGUGGUGAGCUGAUGGCAUCGAUAUGCUUCUCCUCAUGAUUCUAAGGUUAUUAUGUUCUUAAAACUCAUGAUUAUCAGACCUUUGCAUUCAUAUAUUCAUUGAAUCACUUUUAAAUGCGAAAUUUAGAACCCGUCGGUUGAUUAUGAUUUCUUCUUCACCUCAUGAUUAUAAGACUUUUGUAUUCAUAUCUUCAUUGAACCUCUUUUGAAUAAUAAAUUUAGAACCCGUUAGUUGAUUAUGAAUUCUUCUUCACGUCUGUUUCACAAUGCCACAUCAGAGACACAUAGCUGUUUCGACAAGGAGACUUAUGCAGGGGAAAGUUACUUUACAAGUAAGUAUCUUGGUGAUUAUUAAAUGAUUAAUUAUAUGAGUACGUUAUAUUACUUAUCCUGCACUCAAUCUGCCUGGAUAUUGUUCAUCCAUGUAGGCUGGUCUCCAAAGACACUGGGAAUACAUCAGCAGCUUCACUUUUUAGAGGCUACGUAAAGGUUGAACGUUUGACCAUGGCUGAUCACAACGAGUUUAUCAUCACUACUCCAUCUCAGGUUGUACAACUAGCUUUAGAAUUUGUUAGUCCUGCAUUUUUGAACUUUGUAUGUGAUUCUAAUAUUCAAAGAAUGUAGGAGAUUGAUUUCGUUUGCCUGCACCUGGAAGGUCAACGGCAUCGAGAUGGACAAAGGGUGGUGUUAAGUUUCUUGCUCCAAGUGUACCAAGAAACUUCAGUGGACUGUCUCAUCCUUUACCUGCGUGCACUGCAACAAUACUAAUGUUGUUGGUGUCCUCCGGUAUGUAUCAUUCAGUAACAUUUUUUUAUCAAUCAUUUGCACCAAAAGUCCACACACGCAGAUAUACCCCUGAUUUUAAAUGCAUGUUUACUGACUGAUAUCGUGUGGAGAUGACCAUUGCUAAUGAUACUUCUGAAGGUCUAUUUGAUGGUUUUGAUUGGGAAAUGACAAACUUACAUAACAUCAGUGCCUGUGAAGCUGGUUCUGUUGGUACGUCAAUUUCAGCGCAUAUCAUUAUCCACCAGUUUGCUCUGAAUAUGUUCUAAUAUACUUCCAACCAAUCAUUGAUCACUUAGGUUGGAGAGUUUGUGAACCCAUAGGAAACUCAGGUCCCCCUCCCCAUUUUUUGCAGACAUGCAGCAAGCACCGACUACUGGAGCAGCUCCAAGUGGUGCCGACAAUAAGAAGCCUCCAGCUGGAGCAGCUUCCAAGAUGGCCAAGAAAGCAUGGAUGGCAUAGGUUAAGAUAAUAAGAGCUCUGGAUGCAGUAUUUCCUAUUUAAAUAACACAUCAGUGUUUCUUUACAAUUUUAGUUUUGUUUUCCCCCUCUGGAGCUAUGUUUGGUUCGGACAAUCUUUAUAAAAUUUAAGUUCUUUUUUUAAAACAAAAUAUGUCUAAGUUAAAUUAGUCGAUAUAUUACUCAUGUCAUUUAACUACUCAAGAUUAGUGUUUUUGUUUGUUUUUGUCUAGGAUCCAUUACUUAGGAUUAGUUUAAGUACGCGACAUUCAAAUUCUACUUCAAAUAAAAAGGGGUUUUAAGGGUCAACUAUCAGAGUUGUCUUGAACAAGAUUAACAUGAAAGAUCUGUGAAUUGAAACAAGAAAUCAAACCCAAAUACCACUCCUUACGAGUCCACAACAAAAUAAACUCCAAGUGACCCCCAAAUAUGAGCUAAACAUCUUUAAAAACAACUAACAUCAAGACAAUUCUAAUCCACCAAGGCCGUCCUAGAUUAUAGUAAGACCCUGUUCAAAAAAAAAAUAUUGACUAUAUAUUUAACAAUGUAAUGAAAUAAUUUUAAGAAUUAAUAGUUUUAUCUAUAAAUAUUUGAGGUUUCUCUUCGAAUUAUAAACUAUAAAUUUAAUAAUACAUGAAUUUUAAACCAAAUUUAUGUAUUGGUUUUGAAAAAAUUUCUUAAUAUUUUAAUUUUAUUUUUAGACUUGGACCUCGCUCAAGUGUUCCACUAGCACACGUUAUUAAACGACCAUGCAUACCACCUAUAUUUUUUCUUUCAAUCAAACAAUCCACCCAAACAUAAUUACAUACAAAAAGACAUUAACAUACAAUAUCACCCCCAUUAGUAGUCAUAACACACGAACAAAAAAAUCAAACAACAAUUCCCAUAGAUCAAUGAAAAUUAAAAACAUUGAAUCUAAUAUAUUUUCCUCUUUUAAAACUUUUAUGUCACGAAUUCCAAAAAAGAAUCUUAAACAUAAAUCUAAUAGCGAUAUGAAAAAAAAAUAUAUAUAUAUAUAUAAUUUAACUUACUGAAUUAAAGACAUAAUAUAAAACAAUUUAACAAAAAAACAUCAAUGAAAUAUUCUAAAAGUUUUACAGCCCAAAAAUAAAAAUAAAACAUAGCUCUACUAAAAUAAUCUACACAUUCGUUUUAAAAAAAAACAAUAACAAAAAUAAUGAUUUAUACAUAAUAUAUACCCAAAAAUUUCAAAACAAAAAAAUAAAUAUAAAAAGAAUAUUUUAUAUAGAAUAUUAUAAUUUUAUAUAUCACAAAUAAAUUAUAUCCCGACCCUAGUAUAGUAAUAAAGGAAAAAUGUUACAGACUUACAGAGAAAAAAAUGGAAAUUUUCAAAAUUCAAAUCCUAAGGAUAAUAAUGGAGUAAAGAAAAUAAGGAAGCUGUUUUAAGUGCAAAAGCUUGGGCUUGUUGGGCUCAUAAUGAUCGUUAGCCCAUUUAUAGUGUUCUUCUUUGAUAUAUUUUCCCGCCAAAAUGAAUUGGGGAAUUAGGGCUCUUUUUAGUGCCGUGAAGUGUUGAGAGUGAGGCAAAAACUGUAAAAAGAGUGAAACUGUUCCUUAUCCUCCACCAAAGACGACGGAACCUUGCCCCACAGUACUCUCCGACGUCGAUCUCUUAAACAGAGUGAGCUCCUUAAACGUUGCUCUUCUUUCAUUCAGUAUACUUUCAUGGAUUGUAUCUUCGAAUUUUCUUCCGAUUUUGAAAAUUUCAGCUGUCUUUGUGAAAUUGAAUAUUGAAUUUGUGCCUAAGGAAUCAAUUGCUUAUAGUACCAUUUUCGCAUCCGAAUUUAGGGUUAUUGCUAAAUCUAGGGUUGUUGGUGUUCUCGUUUUUUUUUUAUCCAUCUAAAUCGUCAGAUUUGGGUUUCCAUAGAUGCUUAUUAUGGUUUGUGAUGCUCUACUUGGCGCUUGAAAAUACUUGUAACCACUUAUGAUUUAGGGAGCUUGAGCAUUAUCUAAUCAGUACUAAAGUAUUAUCUAAUCAGUACUAAAGUAAUAUAAUGUUUCUUCCGCAGGAGGUGAAAGUCGUCUUGUGCUUAUACUUUAUUUGUCUGAUGAUGGAUAUCACUUCGAAAAGGCAAGCUGUCUCAGAGACUUUGAUCAAAGGGACCGGUACUGCAGCAUUGUAUUCUGCUUCUGAUGAAACUGUUCACUCCCCUCGUUUGAGUUGUGUUGGCGACAAGAGAAAGAGGAAUGAGCAUGAUGGGUCAAAUGGUGACACUGCUGGUCUCAAGUCUAACGACUUUGAGAAGCUGCGGAAAGAAGUAAACUUUUUGGUUGGGCAGACUUGGGCUCUUUAUGAUCAAGUUGAUGGGAUGCCUAGGUUGUAUGCCCGGAUCAGGAAAGUUGCAGCUCCUAUCUUUGAGUUAAGGAUCACGAACUUAGAGCCAGAUCCAGAUGAUGAGAGAGAGAUACUAUGGUUUGAACAAGACUUGCCUAUUUCUGCUGGGCAGUUCAGGCUUGGGAAAAAUGAGGACAUGAAAGACAUUUCGAUGUUCUCACAUGUUAUACAUUGCAAGGAAGGAGGCAACACUGGUCAUCUCACUGUUUCCCCAAGAAAAGGAGAGACUUGGGCAUUAUUCAAGAACUGGGAUAUUAUCAACUGGUCUUCAGAGCCAGACUCUCACGGCAGUUACAAGUAUGACAUCGUUGAGAUCUUGUCUGAUACCACUGAUGGAGCUGAUGGUGUAUCUGUUGCGUUCUUGCAUAAAGCAAAAGGCUUUGCUAGCGUCUUCUUUCGAAUGGGAACUGGUGAUGAUUCAGACAUAGUUCAGAUUCUGCCUCAGGAUAUAUAUCAAUUCUCCCACAUGAUCCCUUCCUUCAAACUGACAGGCUUCGAAGCAAAAGGUUUACCAAAAGAUGCUUAUGAGCUGGACCAAGCUGCGUUACCUGCAACAACAGUCCAAGAGAAACCCGUCCCUUCCCAUCUAAUCCCAGUCCCUAAACCAGAAGCUCUCUGUCUUCCGAGCAGUGAAGGAAAAGUUAUUAAAACUGGUCAGUUCUGGGCAUUUGGUGGAAAUUACGAUGACACGCCUAGGUACUACGGUAGGAUUCAGAAGAUCACCGUAAAUCAGACAUUCGAGCAGACAGCAGAAACAAAGGUGCAUGUAUGUCGUUUAAAGGCUACUUCAUUCCCUCAGAAUGUCAUCAAGUGGAAGGACAAGAGCAUGCCUGUUGGCUGUGGAACAUUCUCGAUGCAUAAAAAUUGCUCAACGCUCUAUCCGCAACACCUUACACAUCAGAUAUUUCCUUAGACCUCUAUGGAUGGAAAUGAAUUUACCAUUCUCCCCAAGGUUGGUCAGUUGUGGGUGAUUUACAGACUUUGGGCUCCUCACUUUGGUGUCGGAGCACUAGACGAACACUGCUUGGACUUUGACAUGGUCCAAGUUCUUGAUGACGCCUUUAACUACAAGGUUUUAGCGCUGGAGCAAGUCUUGGUUACUAGUGAAGAGAAGAAUAAGUUCUUUAGAGCGGCUAAGAGUAGGCCAUCUUAUUGUUAUGAUGAGGAUGGGCCAGGAGUGAUAUUUACAAUCCCACAGUCGAAAAUGCUCAGAUUCUCUCAUCCGAUUCCUGCUUCCCCUGUAACCAAAGAGGUAGAUGGAGAGAUGAUAGUGCUCUCUGAAGUUGAUAAGAAAGCGUUACCUUAUGGGUGGUGACCGUUGAGCAAAGGAUGUGAGGGAAGGGUUCCUUUUUGUUAGCUUUUUUGGUGUUCUUUGCUGGAGAGAUAUAAAGACGCUUAAACUUGAGUCUUUUCUUUGGUUGGUUCUAAAUCUAACGGGAUAGUAUGUAGUUUGACAAUGUAUGAAAAUACUUUCUCCAUGUGGUUUGUUGAUGAAAACGCUAGAAUCUUUGGUUAGUUUCAUACGUAAACGAUAAACUCUCACUUGUCACCAUCUUUGUUCGAUCACUCGUGUGUUUAAGCACACAAGAUUUACCCAGUUUCAAGUCUCAACUGAGAGUGCUACUUGAUCAGAAAUCCACUAGAAAACUUCGUUGAACACAAUUUGUAAGUGAUAAAGCUGCGUCUCUUCUCAUAAACCUUUCUUAGCCCUAAUGUCUCAGCUAUGAUCUCUCUAUGUACAACUAUCACAUGUGCCAUGCUUCUCUCUCUCUCUCCUCUGCUUUCACAGAAGAAGACAAAGUUAGUAACAUUUUCUUUUCUUGGGGAAAGUCACACGGCGCAGCGGAAAUACUAAUGGUCGUGUUCCCCUGACCUUCUGCGAACCUGUGAAGAAAAUACUUCGACGAUGGCAAGAUAUCAAAGUUGCGAUAACUAAAUGAGACACACAAUUUUUACGUGGAAAACCUCCACGAUGUGAGAAGGAAAAACCACGGGACCGUAGUCCACUCAAAAAUCCACUAUAUAAAUGGUAUGAGUACAACCACGUCUCUCUUCUUUCUCUCUUUUGUCUCUCUCUCUAAACUCUAUUAUUGUGAGUCUACAGUGCAAAGGGUCAUGAGAAUUAUUAUUAUGUCUCAUGCCCACUUGGUUCUCUCCAUCUAGGAGGGACCCAACAUCUUUGUCAAUAGCUGAGACCUUCUCCUAGGGUUAAUAUAAGAACAUAAAACUUUUAUAUCGGAUUAACAUGACUACUAUAAAAGAGAUUUGAAUUAAUCCAAUUAUUAUCGAUUGGUUUCAAAUUUUAAACCAUGAUAAAUUCUGACUUGAUUCCAGUAAAUUGAAACAUUGGAAUGACCCUAGUUUAUCCGUUUUUAUAGUUUGUAUAUAUAUAUAUUAAUGUAAUUAUAUAAAACAUGUCUUACAUUGAAUAACAGAAAAUGAUAUUAAAAAGUACAAUUCUCUCAAAUAACAUAUUUUUAAAUUUUUGUCACAAAAAUAACCAUAAAAAAAUGACCAAAAUAGCUUCUUUUUAUUUUGAACAUUUGAGUAUUUAUUUUAUUUUAUUUUUUUUUUUAAAAAAAAUUUGAAACUUUAUCCUUAAACCCCACCCCUUAAUUCUAAAUCAUAAGUCUAGAUUAGUUAAACAUAAGGUAAAAAUAUAUCUUUACUCUUUAAUAAAACUUAUUUUGGUUAUUUUUUUCGUUGAGUGAUAUUAAUUGGUUAUAGACUUAUCUUUAUUUUUAGAUCUAAAAAAAAUAAAUAAAAAUUAAAAAUCAUCGACCAAUCAAAUUAUAACAAUUUUGUAAGAGUUUACUUAUGAUCGACACAAAAGUCAAUAGAUGGACUUCUCAAUUAAUAUAUAGUAGAAUUUAGAUGACUCAUUUAGAUGAACCAUUUACAUAUACAAAUAAACAAUCACAUAAAAUUUGGAUAGAUCAUCUACAUAAAUCAUAUAAAUGGAUCAUUUGGAUGGAUAUGACAGAUGAUGAAACAAACACCCUCUAAAUGUAAAAAAAAAUGUUAGUCUUGUGUUACCAUUUAAAAGCAAGGGUGUUUGUCUAAUGGUAGAUUCCUAGCUUUGGGUGCUAGAGGUCCCGAGUUCGGUUAUCGCCGAUAACUUAUCGGAACGCCCCCCUUUUUUUAACAUAUUUACGGCUGGCAAAUUUUACUGAACUUUAAAAACCCUAAAACUUAAGGGAGACGAUCACUUGAUAGAUCGAAUAAACAGGAGAGAGCUUCAAUGGAGAAGUUCUUCUAUAAGUUCCAAAAGCGGUAAGCCCUCUUUCAUCUUCUUCUCUCCUUCCUUGCUUGUUUGUCUGUUACUCUACCCUGUUUACCUCUUGGAACGCAGUAGCUUUUGUAAGGAAGUUAAAAGUUUCGAUUUUUGUAGUAAUCUUAUCAAGUUACGUGUCGCUUCUAGGUCAGUUCGAGAAGGAGGAGUAGUUAUCAGAGGGGAAGAUAGGAUAAGCUUAUUACCUGAACCGUUGUUAUGUCACAUACUCAGCUUUCUUACCACCGACCAAGCGGUUCGGACAAGUGUUUUGUCCUCAAGAUGGAGACAUAUCUGGAAAUGGGUUCCUAGGUUAGAACUAGACAGCUUUGAUUUCACAAACGACAAAGUCUGUGUGGAGUUCAUCGACAAGUUUCUUGCUUUCCAAGGCAAGUACUACCUGCGUGAGUUCAAAUUAACCAUUGACCACGAUUUCUUCGAUGGUGAGGCUUGUCUCAGUAGAGUGGAUAUGAGGAAGCUUGAACGUUUCCAAGUCGAGAACCGGUUUAGACUCAAUAGCAUAUUUUACAUAGCGACACCCUUAAAGCUUUCCUUGUGUGAGGCAUUGGUCUGCUUAAAGCUUCAAUUUGUUAGGCUGUAUGAUUUGAAGUCUCUUUCCUUGCUCUGUCUCAAGAUCAUGUUCCUGGAAGACGUUGUUCUGCCUAGCGACGCGGCUGCAGAGGAGUUGAUCUCUUGCUCGCCGGUUCUAGAAGUUUUGAAGAUAUGCCUGAGUAAAGAUGAUUUCGUGGUAGCUUUACGUGUCUGCUCACUGUCACUAAAGAGCUUCACUUUAAAACGAGCGGAACCUGUUCAUGCUGAUGCUCGUGCUGUUAUACAUUCAUUUGUGAUCGAUACCCCAAAACUCGAGUAUCUGAGUCUCAUGGAUUACUACGAACUCGUAAGCUUCGAAAGCUUUGAGAUAAUCAGUAUGGCUGAGUCUGUCAAAGUUAAUUUAGAUUUCAAUUUUGUGAUGACAAGAGAGUACUUUUCGGGCAUGGAAAUCCUCUACAAUCUUCUCAAGAACUUUUCACGUGUUGGAGAUGUGACCAUGUCAUGGAGAACUCUGCAGGUAUAUAUAAACUUAUAAUAAAGCUCUAAACUUUCGUAUUUUUAUUAUUGUGUCUUAUUUUCUCAUUCGUGCUCUUCUCUUUCUUACAGUUUAUAUAUGUCCUCUAUCAUAAGGAUCCACUCCCAAAAUUUCAUGCCUUGACCCGUUUGCGUGCCACUAUGUGCUUAAACACAUUGCCUGAUCUGUUGCCAAUUGUUCUUGAGACCAUGCCGAACCUGAAACACUUGUCAUUGGUAACAAUUUGCUUAAACGUGUUGCAAGUUCUUAUCUAAGGAAGAUUUUUUAUCUAGUUUGAAUUCUGUCGACUUGUGUUUUACAGGAGCUGUUUCGUGAUUUAUGGUUGGGAAGGUUGUCUGAAUUCUCCACUGUGCUGCCUCGUUGUUUGGUAUCGUCUCUUGAAUCUGUUGAAAUGGAAAGCCCGGUCACGGAGAUAGCUACUGAAUUGUAUUUGGCUAGAUACUUUAUGAAGAACUCUACAACACUCAAGAAGCUCGUGCUACGUUUGAAUCAGUCUUCAACUGGAGAGAAACACAAGCCUGGUGUCUUGGAACAACUCAUUAAAUCUCCAAGACGCUCUACUUUGUGUCAGUUGGAAGUUAUUACUGUGGUUCCAGCGUCUGAGGAGGAUGUCUAUGUAAAAUCCAAUAGGUUCUAGAGCUGGAUUUAAAUAAGUGUAAACAUAUGCAAAGUAUGGCUUAAGACUCCAUUUGGUUUGGUUGAAUGUUUUUUGAGUACCUUUAUAAUUUAGGGAUUAACCGAGGGUUCUUAGCGGAAAAAUUCGUUUUUACAGUAUAAGUGUAAUGAGAUUCGGUUUUGGUAGGAAAAUUCGUUUUGCGAUUUUGACGGAAAAACUUGAUUUUACGGUAUUGGUGGGAUUUUUUUUUUUUUUUUUGCGGUUUUGACGGAAAAUUCUAUUUUUGUGGAUUUUAGCGGGAAAACUUAAUUUACAGUUUUGGUGGAAAAUCUUGUUUUACUGUUUUGGUGGAAAGACGAAAAAUCUCAUUUUGGCAAGAAAUCCUGCUUUUUCGGUUAGCGGAAAAUCUUGAUUUUUUUUGUUUCAGUGAAAAGACUCAAUUUUACAAUUUUCUAAGAAAAAUUCAUUUUUGAAAUUUUAACCAUAUACCAAAUAUUUGUUGUUUACAAAAAAAAAAAGUAUCUAACAGGGUUCAACCCUGUCAAAACUCUGUAUUUCUUUAAUCCAACUCUAAGUUAGCCAUGAAUAGUUUAUGAGUAAUGCAUUAUGGUUAGGGCUCCUAAUUAUUUGGAUGGGCUGGACUAACCCUAAAUCUCUAAACCCUAUAUAACAUCCCUAGUUAUAAGCAAUAGAUGAUAUGUUAUUACUUCCAAGAUUAUGCACAUAGAACAUGUUAACGCUAAUAUCAUGCUCUGGUUUGAUUAUGACAUAUGCGUCUGUUUUACGUCACUUAAAAGCUUGACUACUUGUUGAGUUUGCCCAGUUGAAAAGUAGUUUGAAAAUAAAGAAGCUGUUUUUGAUGCAAAAUACAAAAUAUUUAGCUUGGACUUGUUGGGCUCAUAAUGAUCGUUAGCCCAUUUAUACUCUUCUCUCUAAGAUAUUUUCCCGCCAAAUUGGAUUGGGGAAUAGAGCUUUGUUAUCCACCAAAGACGACAGAACCUUGCCCACGCCACAGUACUUUCCGACGUCGACCAUAAACAGAGUGAGCUCCUUAAACGUCGUUCUUCCUCCUUACCCCGCGUUAAGUCUAGGGUUUUAGGUGUUCUCUCUCUUUUUGUACGUCAGAUUUGGGGUUUCCAGAGAUUCUUAAUAUAGAGCUCUUAUUAUUAUUUUUAUUAUGGUUUAGUGAUGCUCUACAUAAUCUACACUUGUUUUAGGCGCUUGAAAAUACCUAGCCCCUUUUGAUUCAGGGAGAUUGAACAUUAUCUUAUCAAUGUUAAAAGUAUAUACUGUAUUUUCCGCAGGAGGAGGAGGAAGUGGUCUUCUUGUGUGCUUAUUAUACUUUUAUUUGUUUGAUGAUGGAUAUCUCUUCGAAGGAGCUUCUUAAAAGGGAAGCUGUUUCAGAGAAUUCGAUGAAAGGGACCGGUACUGCAGCAUUUUAUUCUGCUUCUGCUGAAACGGUUCACUCCCCUCGUUUGAGUGGUGUUGGCGACAAGAGAAAGAGGAACGAGCAUGGUGUGUCAAAUGAUGUCAGUGGUGGUCUCAAGUUUAACGACUUUGAGAAGCUGCGGAAAGAAGUAAACUUUUUGGCUGGGCAGACUUGGGCUAUGUAUGAUAAAGUUGAUGGGAUGCCUAGGUUGUAUGCCCGGAUCCGUAAAGUUUCAGCUCCUUCCUUUGAGUUGAGGAUCACACACUUAGAGCCAGAUCCUGAUGAUGAGAGAGAGAUACUAUGGUUUGAACAAGACUUACCUGUUUCUGCUGGGCAGUUCAGACUUGGGAAGAAUAAGAACAUGAAAAAAGACUGUUCGAUGUUCUCACAUGUUAUACAUUGCAAGGAAGGAGGCAACACUGGUCAUCUCACUGUUUCCCCAAGAAAAGGAGAGACUUGGGCAUUAUUCAAGAACUGGGAUAUUAUCAACUGGUCUUCAGAGCCAGACUCUCACGGCAGUUACAAGUAUGACAUCGUUGAGAUCUUGUCUGAUACCACUGAUGGAGCUGAGGGUGUAUCUGUUGCGUUCUUGCAUAAAGCAAAAGGCUUUGCAAGUGUCUUCUUUCGAAUGGGAACUGGUGAUGCAGACACAUUUCGAAUGGGAACUGGUGGUGAGGCAGACACAUCUCAGAUUCUGCCUCAGGAUAUAUAUCAGUUCUCCCACAUGAUCCCUUCCUUCAAAGUUCAAACUGACAGGCUUUGAAGCAAAAGGCUUACCGAAAGAUGCUUAUGAGCUGGACCAAGCUGCGUUGCCUAAAACAAUCGAAGAGAAAGACGUCCCUUCCCAUCUAAUCCCAAGGCUUUCCGAGUAAGCAUACGAGAAAGGUUUUUCAAACUGGUCAGUUCUGGGCAUUUGGUGGAGAUUACGAUCACACGCCUCGGUUCUAUGGUAGGAUUCAGAAGAUCAUCCUAACUCAGGCAUUCGAGGAGGCAGCAGAAUUCAUUCCCUGAGAUUGUCAUCAAGUGGAAGGACAAGAGAAUGCCUGUCGGUUGUGGAACUUUCUCGGUGCCUAAGAGUUGCUCAAUAUUCGUUCCAGAACUCCUUACACAUCAGAUAUUUCCUCAAGCCUCCAUGGAUGGAAAUGAAUGUACCAUUCUCCCCAAGAUCGGCCAAGUGUGGAUGAUUUACACAGAAUGGGCUCCUCACUAUAAUUUGGUAGCACUAGAAAAACACACUACUUGGAUUUUGAAGUCGUUGAAGUUCUUGAUGACGCCUUGAACUACAAGGUUUUAGCUUUGGAGCGUGCCUUGGUUAGUAGUGAAGACAAAAAUCAUUUCUUCAGAGCAGCUAAGCGUAGGCCAUCUUAUUGUUAUGAGGAGGAUGGGACAGGAGUGGUAUUUACAAUCCCACAGUCGAAAAUGCUAAGAUUCUCUCAUCCGCUUCCUGUUUCUCGUGUAAUCAAAGAGGUAGAUGGAGAGAUGGAAGUGCUCUUUGAAGUUGAUAAGAAAGCGUUACCUCAUGGCGCAUAAGGAUGUGAGGGAAGGGUUCCGUUUUGUUAGCUUUUUGGUGUUCUUGACUGGAGAUAUAAGAGAGUUUAAACUUAGCCUUUUCUCCAUGGUUGUUCUUUUGUUGGGUUAAAAUCUUGUAUUUCGACAAUGUGGGAAAAGACUUUCUCUAUGUGGUUCAUUAGAAUGAAAAGUUUAAGCACUGUAAAUUUGCAGCAAGUCUAAAGAUGUUAUUGUAAGAUCGGAAGGAAUUAUGUUUAAGUUUCAGCUUUGCGUUGUCCUUAGCCUACUGUUAUCAUCUAACAUCAAGGGCGUUUGGUCUAGUGGUAUGAUUCUCGCUUUGGGUGCGAGAGGUCCCGAGUUCGAUUCUCGGAACGCCCCUUUUUUAACAUAUAUUUUACAGCCGUGACAUUUUAGUGAGAAAAAGAAAACGGCUCUAUAUAUUCCAUCUCAUUCACUUGAUGUGGAACGUUCUCAAAUCAUAAAAUCACAGCCGUGACUUUUUAAUGAAGAAAGAGAAAACGACUCUAUAUAUUUCAUUUCAUCUCAUUCACUUGAUGUAACGUUCUCAAAUCCUAAAAGGCUAAAAUCUCGCCGUGACUUUUUAACGAAGAAAGAGAAAACGACUCUAUAUAUUAAUCUCAUUCACUUGAUGUAACGUUCUCAUACCCUAAAAUCUCAGAGAGACGAUCACUCGGUAGAUCGAAUAAACAGGAGAGAGCUAGCUUCAAUGGAGAAGAUCUUCUACAAGUCCCAAAAGCGGUAAGCUCCUCUUUCAUCUUCUCCCCUGUUUGCCUCUAUCGUAUGCAAUCUUGCUUUUGUAUGGAAAUUAAAGUCUCGCAUUUUUGUAAUAAUCUCACCAGGUUAGGUGUCUCGUCUAGUUCAGUUCGACAGGGAGAAGAACGUGUUGUUGUCAGAGAGGAAGAUCGGAUAAGCUCAUUACCUGAUCCUUUGUUAUGUCACAUACUCAGCUUUCUCACCAUCGACGAAGCUGUUUGGACAAGUGUUUUGUCUUCUCGUUGGAGACAUCUCUGGAGAUGGGUUCCUAGGUUAGAAUUAGACAGCUCUUAUAGUUAUUUCCCUAGCGACAAAGUCUGUGUUGAUUUCAUCGACGAGUUUCUUGCUUUCCAAGGCAAGUCCUACUUGCGUGAGUUCAAGUUAACCAUUGACCACGAUGUCUUCUAUAGCGACGUUUCUCUUUACGAGCCGUGUCUCGGUAGAGUGGAUAUGCGCAAGAUCGAACGUUUCCAAGUCGAGAACCGGUUUGAAAAACUUAGCGUUGAUAACAUUGCGACGCCCUUAACGCUCUCCGCGUGUGAGGCGAUGGUCUGCUUAAAACUCCAUUUCGUUAGGCUAAACGAGUUCGUGUCUCUUUCAUUGCCCUGUCUCAAGAUCAUGUACUUGGAAGACGUUGUUCUGCCUAGUGACGCGGCAGCAGAGGCGUGUGAUCUCCUCCUCUCAGGUUCUUGAAGUCUUGAAGAUAAGCCUCAGUAGAGAUGAUGUUGUGGUAGCUUUACGCGUCUGCUCAGCGUCGCUUAAGAGCUUCACUCUAAAAGGAGUGGAGCGUUGCUAUGUUUGUGGACACUAUUCAGUAUUGAUUGAUGCACCCAAGCUUGAGUACCUGAGUCUCAUGGAUUACUACCAUUUCAGAAGCUUUGAGAUAACUAGUGCGGCUGAGUCUUUCAAGGUUGAUAUUGAUGUCGAGUUUAUGCUGAUAAAAGGUUACUUGUCGGAAACGAAGAUGAUCUACAAUCUUGUCAAGAGUUUUUCAGGUGCUGAAGAUAUGACCAUAUCAUGGAAAUCUCUGGAGGUAUAAGAAUAUGUUUAUAUGAUCAUGACAAAAUCUCUAAAAACUUUUCCCAUUUAUCAUAUAUGGUUGUUUUUUACUCAAUUUGUUUGUGCUCUUCUCUUUGCUUUACAGUUUAUAUAUAGUAGUUUCCAUCGUAUGAAACGACCUCCCAAGUUGCAUGACUUGACUGUUUUGCGUGCCACCAUGUGCUUAAACGCAUCCCCUAAACUAUUGCCAGUCGUUCUUGAGAGCUGCCCCAAUCUGAAACACUUGACAUUGGUAACUAUUUGGCUUCUAAAACUUUGCAAGUUGUGAGAUUAAGUCGUGGAUUUGAAUUCUGUCAGAUUUUGUGUGUUUUGCAGGAAUUGGUUAUUGAUGAUGAUGCUGAUGCAGGGAGUACUAAACUCUCCACUGUACUGCCUCGUUGUUUGGUGUCGUCCCUUGAAUCUGUUGAAAUGGAAUGCCCGGUCACGGAGAAAGCUACUGAACUGAAAUUGGCUAGAUACUUUAUGAAGAACUCGACUACACUCAAGAACUUCGUUCUGCGUUUGAAGGAUUGUACACUCAAGCCUUGUGUCUUGUGAAAUCUUCAAGGCACUAUGGUUUGUCUCAAUUCGAAGUUAUUCCAGUGGUUCCAACUCCAAAUCCAAGGCCUGAGGGGUAUGUUUAUGAAAAAUCCCGUAGGUUCUAAAGUUGGCGUUGAAGAUGAAACUAGUUGGCUCAGCCUUUCCCAUUGCUUUCCUUUCCUUUUCUUUCCUUUUUUUUCUCUUUUCUAUGUGAGGUACUGAUUACUCCAUUUGGUUUUUGGUUGAAUGAUUUUGAGUCUCUAUUAUUGAACUUUGUCUCAAGAUUACGCACUUAGAAUAUAUGUUAUUAUUUCCAACGUUAAUAGCAUGCUCUGUUUUGAUUAUAAGGUCACUUGAUCUGCACUUGUUUAGUUUACCGUCAACAAGACAGUUCAAAGUAGUUGUGAUCAAUACAAGCAUUACGCGUUCACUCUGGAACGAGCAGAUCCUGGUUGUGUUGAAAAUACGCUGGGAGACAGUUUGUGAUCGAUACUCCGAGACUUGAAUAAGAUUUGAUGAUUAUAAAUUUAUAAUGUAAACUGGUAUAAAGAGAAAGAAAUGGAGAGUGGCCGUUGAAAUAACAUACUUUUGUCUCCUUAGUUUAAGAGCAUUUUCCUUUCAAAAUGAGAUUGAUUGUUGGAAAUACUCUUGAGGCCAAGUGAAAUCUUCGAACUGGAACUUACACAAAAGUCUAAACCCUAACGUAGCUGGCAAGGUAAAGAGAAACAGGUAACUAGAUUGUGGCCAGGCCCAAUUGAGCAUAGAGCCAUACAAGCUGACCCGGUCUCGGUCUGGAUCCGGAUACCCGGUUAUUUGCUUACACUCUCAUAAAUUUAUUUAUUUUUCCGAGCAAAAGGAAAACAGAGAGACCCAUGAAGAGCUUCUUCUUCUAAGAACACAAACCCUAAAAUAUGAGGGGAAGACGAUUACUUGGAUCAAAAUCAAAGAUAAACAGGAAAGAAGUAGCUUCAAUGGAGAAGCUCUUUAACAAGUCCCAAAAGCGGUAAAGCUCCUCUCCUUCCUUGCUCGCUCAAUUUUCUUGUUGCGCUCAUUUCUUGUGUUAUAGUAUACGCAUAUGUUAAAGUUUCGAUUUUUGUAAUAAAUCUUAUCAGGUUAGGUGUCUCGUCUAGUUCAGUUCGAGAAGAAGAAGAACGAGUUGUUAUCAGAGGAGAAGACAUGAUAAGCUCAUUACCUGAACCGUUGUUGUGUCACAUACUCAGCUUUCUUACCACCGAGCAAGCGGUUCAGACAAGUGUUUUGUCCUCUAGAUGGAGACAUAUAUGGAGAUGGGUUCCUAGGUUAGAACUAGACAGCUCUGAUUUCACAGACGACCAAGUCUGUGUGUAUUUUAUCGAUAAGUUUCUUGCUUUCCAAGGCAAGAACUACUUGCGUGAGUUCAAGUUGACCAUUGACCACGACAUCUUUGGUGGAGAUGCUUCUCUUUACGAGCCUUGUCUCAGCAAAGUGGAUAUGCGGAAGCUCGAACGUUUCCAAGUCGAGAAUACGUUUGGACCUGUUAGCUUUGAUGACUUCCCGACACCCUUAACACUCGCCGUGUGUGAGGCGUUGGUCUGCUUAAAGCUCCAUUACGUUAGGCUGAACGAUGAUUUGAAGUCUCUUUCCUUGCCUUGUCUCAAGAUCAUGUUCUUGGAAGACGUUGUUAUGCCUAGCGACGCUGCUGCAGAGGCGCUCAUCUCCUGCUCUCCGGUUCUUGAAGUUUUGAAGAUAUGCCUUAGUAAAGAUGAUUUUGUGGUAGCUCUACGUGUCUGCUCACCGUCGCUUAAGAGCUUCACUCUAAAAGGAGUGGAACGUUGUUAUGUUUGUAGACACUAUUCAGUAUUGAUUGAUGCCCCGAAACUUGAGUAUCUGAGUCUCAUGGAUUACUACCAUUUCAGAAGCUUUGAGAUAACCAGUGCGGCUGAGUCUUUCAAGGUUGAUAUUGAUGUCGAUUUUGCGGAGAAGAGUAAUUUCAUGUUGGAAAUGAUGAUCAUCUACAGUUUUCUCAACAAUUUUUCAGGUGUUAAAGAUAUGACCAUGUCAUGGAGAACUCUGCAGGUAUAUAUAAUUAAACCGACGAUAAGCUUUUUAAAACUUUCUCAUUAUCAUUGUUUUUUUUUUUAUCUCCUCUCACUUUGUGUGCGCUCUUCUCUUUGCUUUCAGUUUAUAUAUGAAAUCCAUCGGAUGAGCACACUCCCCAAAUUUCAUGACUUGACUCGUCUGCGCGCCACUGUGUGCUUAAACGCACCCCCUGAACUAUUGCCAAUGCUUCUUGAGAUCUGCCCCAAUCUGAAACACUUGACAUUGGUAACAAUUUUGGCUUUUAAAACUUUUCAAGUUCUGAGAUUAGUCCUGGAUUUGAAUUCUGUCAGAUUUUUGUUUGCAGGAAUUGGUUAUUUAUCGAUUUGCAGUGAGUACUAGACCCUCCACUGUGAGGCUGCCUCCUUGUUUGGUAUCGUCUCUUGAAUCUGUUGAAAUAGAAAGCCCGGUCACGGAGGAAGCUACUGAACUGGAUUUGGCUAGAUGCUUUAUGAGGAACUCUACAACACUCAAGAAGCUCGUGCUACGUUUGAAUGAGUCUACUGGAGUUAAACACAAGCCUUGUGACUUGGAACAACUCCUAGAAUUUUCAAAGCGCUAUGGUUUGUCUCAAUUCGAAGUUCUUCCAGUGGUUCCAACUCCGAAUCCAUUGCCUGAGGAGUAUGUUUAUGUAAAAUCCCAUAGGUUCUAAAGCUGAAGUUAAAGAUGAAACUAGUUGGUUCAUCCUUCUUUAGCUUGAUUCCCAUGGCUUCCCUUUCCUUUCCUUCUUUUUCUUCUUUCUGUGUGAGGUACUACUGGUAUGGCUUAAGACUCCAUUUGGUUUGGUUGAAAUUAUUUUUUAUACACUGUGGAGUAAUUUGUGUAUUGCUCGACAAUGAUAUGGUUUCAAAUUCAAUGAGGACAAGUUUGAUGUGAUACCGUCAAAGAGAUCCAUUCUCUAUAACAUUUCUACUUGUUAUUUUUUUUUUUUUUUUUGAGAUUUCGCAUUCAAACAUAUCUUUACCUUUUUAAAAUUUUGAACGAGAAUGAAUAGAGCAUCCUCAAAUUUGUAUAAUUAUAUAUGUUUAGUCAUAUCAAAAUUAAUUUUAGUAUUUUCAAAUUGUAUUUUUUAUUUGUUUAUAAAAAUUUAGUAAACUCAAAAAUAAAUUUGAGAUUCGCAGUUGGAGUAACAUACCCUCACCCUCGUAUGAUUGUUGGAGAUACCCAGUCCAGUCCCAAAAUACCCAUACAAGCUGACCCGGUCUGAAUCUGGAUACCCGGUUUUUACUCAUUAUAGAAAAAGGGAUUUUAUUUAUUUUUGUCCGAGGGAAACAAAAACAGAAGAGGCCCAUGAUUAGGCCUUGGGCGUUCGAGGGGCCAUCGGUUUCGGUUCGGUUGAUUUAGAUUUCGGAUCUUCGGUAUUAUGUUCAUAAGUCUCGUUCGGAUUUUACUAAUUAUUAUCAGGUUGGGUUCGGUUCGGAUCGGAUUGUAACCAAUGUUUGAAAUCUUCCAAACUAUAUUUUUUAAACCUCAAAACUUGAUAAAAUGUUUUUUUUCAAAAUAUAUAAAUUAUUCACAAAUCUAAUUAAAAAUUAGAUAAACUAUCUAAAUUAACUAAAAUGUAAUAAAACAAACUAGAAUUUUUUUUUUAUAGAAACAUUAACAUAUUUGACUAAUUCCAGAUAUUUUUGGAUUCUAGUUUGGAUUUUGGUUCGGUUCGGGUUAUAACCAAACCCCAAAAGCUCAUAGAUCCCGUUCGGAUAUUUUUUAUAAUAGUUCGGAUGUAGUUUUGGUUUUUUCGGUUCGGGUUUAGGUAGAUUUCGGAUUGGGGUAAAAACGUCCGGGCCCCGCCCAUGAUGAGCAUAAAAACAAAAAAGAAGUAGACGACGUUUUACAAACCCUAAAAAUUCAGGGAAGCGAUUAAUCGAUCAAAUUAAGAUAAACGGGAGAGAAGUAGCUUCAAUGGAGAAGCUCUUUUAUAAGUCCCAAAGGCGGUAAGAGCUCCUCUCCGUCCUUACUCGCACAAUCUUGUUGUUGCGCUCGUCACUCAACCCCUGUAUGCAUGUUGAAAGUUUUCGAUUUUUGUAUAUACAUAUUAUCAGGUUGGGUGUCUAUUCUAGUUCAGUUCGAGAAGGAGGAGAACGAGCUGUUGUCAGAGGAGAAGAUUUGAUAAGCCUUUUACCUGAACCGUUGUUAUGUCACAUACUCAGCUUUCUUACAACUGAACAAGCUGUUAGGACAAGUGUUUUGUCCUCUAGAUGGAGAAACAUCUGGAAAUGGGUUCCUAGGUUAGAAUUAGACAGCUUUGAUUUCACUAAUGACAAGGUCUGUGUUGAUUUCAUCCACAAGUUUCUGGCUUUACAAGGCAAGCCCUACUUGCGUGAGUUCAAGCUGACCAUUGACCACGAUGUCUUUGGUAGCGAGGCUUCUCUUUACGAGCCGUGUCUCGGCAGAGUGGAUAUGCGGAAGCUUGAGCGUUUCCAAGUCGAGAAUAAGUUUGGACGUGGUGGUGGCUUUGAUGACUUCCGGACACCCUUAACACUCAAAGCGUGUGAGGCAUUGGUCUGCUUAAAGCUCCAUUUCGUUAGUCUGAAUGAUGACUUCGAGUCUCUUUCCUUACCCUGUCUGAAGAUCAUGUACUUGGAGGACGUUGUUCUGCCUAGCGACGCGGCUGCAGAGGCUCUGAUCUCCUCCUCUCCGGUUCUAGAAGUCUUGAAGAUAAGCCUCAGUAGAGAUGAUUUUGUGGUGGCUUUACGUGUCUGCUCACCGUCGCUUAAGAGCUUCACUCUAAAACGAGUGGAACCUAUUUAUCCUCGUGGACAUUCUGUUUUGAUUGAUGCCCCGAAACUCGAGUAUCUGAGUCUCGUGGAUUACUACCAUUUCAGAAGCUUUGAGAUAAUCAGUAAGGCUGAGUCUUUCAAGGUUGAUGUCGAUGUUGAGUUUGAGCUGCUGACUGAUUACUUGGCUGAAAAGAAGAUCGUCUACAAUCUUCUCGACAACUUUUCAGGUGUUAAAGAUAUGACCAUGUCAUGGAAAACUCUGCAGGUAUAUAUAAACUGAUGACAAGCUUUUAAACUUUCCCAUUAUCAUUGUUUUUUUUUUGUUUUCUCUGACUUUGUUUUGUGCUCUUCUCUAUGCUUACAGUUUAUAUAUAGUUCCCAUGAGACAAACCCACUCCCCAAAUUUCAUGGCUUGACUCGUCUGCGUGCCACUAUGCGCUUAAACGCAUCCCCUGAACUAUUGCCAGUCGUUCUUGAGAGCUGCCCCAAUCUGAAACACUUGACAUUGGUAACAAUUUUGGCUUUUAAACUUUUUAUAGUUCUGAGAUCAGUAAGGUAUUUAUCUGGUCAGUCCUUGAUUUGAAUUGUGUCGAUUUGUAUUUGCAGGAAUUGUUUUUUGUUUAUCCAAUCAGAUGGCUGUCUGAACUCUCCACUGUGCUGCCUAGUUGUUUGGUGUCGUCUCUUGAAUCUGUUGAAAUGGAAAGCCCGGUCACCGAGGUGGCUACUGAACUGGAUUUGGCUAGAUACUUUAUGAAGAACUCGACUACACUCGAGAAGCUCGUGCUACGUUUGGAUCAGUCGAGUGGAGAACAACACAAGCCUGGUGUCUUGGAACAACUCAAGAAAUAUUCAAGGCGCUAUGGUUUGUCUCGGUUCGAAGUUCUUCCAGUGGUUCCAACUCCGAAUCCAUUGCCUCCGGGGUAUGUUUAUGUAAAAUCCGAUAGGUUCUAAAGCUGGCGUUAACAGAAACUAGUUGGCUCAGCCUUUAGCUUGAUUCCCAUGGCUUCCCUUUACUUUUUUUUUCUCUUUUGUGUGAGGUACUGGUAUGGCUUAAGUCUCCAUUUAGUUUGGUUGAAUGCUUUUGAGUCUCUUUAUUAAACUUUGUCUCAAGAUUAUGCACUUGGAAUAUGUUAUCAUUUCCAAAGCUAAUAUCAUGCUCUGGUUUGAUUAUAAGCCAUUUGAUAAUGACGUAAGAGUUUGUGUCUGUAGCACUUGUUGAGUUUGCCGUCAACGAUGCAGUUGAGAAGUACUUGUGAUCAAUACAAGUGCUUUGGUGAUGUUUAAUAUCUAUUGUGGACGUUGAAUGGACCCAUAACUUAUGGGUAGUGACAGAAAUUUUUAAAUACUAUACUUAGUCUCAAGAAUAAUAAGUUAAAGCUGCAAAAUGCAUCCAACUUUGACUACAAAAAACAAGAAAUGUCAAAGAUAACAAUGAGGGUUUCAUCUCCGCCGGAAUAUUCAAUCUCUGGUGAGUUACUAUGUCCAUAUAUCUACUUUACUCUGCUGGUCUAUGUAACUGCAAAGUUUUUGGUUUAAACGAUAUGAGCAUAUGAUCAUUUGAAUUUUUCAGGUCUUUUUCUCUCUGAAAGUUAAAAGAAAAGCUAUGCAAGGAAGAAGUGGAACAAGUGGUGAAGACAGGUUAAGCAUAUUGCCUGAAUCGUUGCUAUGUCAUAUACUCACCUUUCUUACUACCAAGGAAUCUGUUAGGACAAGUGUCUUGUCCUCUAGAUGAAGAGAUCUCUGGCUAUGGGAACCUAGAUUAGAUCUGGACAAAUCUGACUUCUCAGAGAAUAACACGUGCCUGAGUUUCAUCGAUAAGUUUCUGAAUUUCCGAGGUGAGUCCUACUUGCGUGGCUUCAAGCUAAACACUGACCACGAUGAUGAUGAUGAUGAUGAGUCCCAAUUCUUCAGUCCAAGUCUUACGCAUCCGCUCCAAGUCAUUAAAGAGCUUCACUCUAGAACGGGCAGAUCCUGAUGGUGUUGAACACAAUUUGGAGACAGUUCUGAUGGAUACUCCGAGUCUCGAGUAUCUGAACUCAUAGAUUACCAAUACACAAGCUUCGAGAUAGUUACUAUGAGUGAAUCUGUCAAGUUUGAUGUCGACGUCGUGUUAUUCAAAACUUUGAAUUUUUUUAACCUUUGUUUCACAUGCUAGAGAUAUGACCAUCUCAAGGAGGACUCUUGAGGUAAAAUACUCGCACACUGAUUGAUUGAUCUCUUUCACUUGAGAGUUUUUACUAAAUUUAUGUUAAAGUUUUGCUAUCUGGCAGUCCAUCUUUUAUCCCCUGGAAAUAAACGGACGAUCCAGAUUUCAUGGCUUGGUUCGUCUUCGUGCUACUAUUUUCUUAAACUCUUCUCCUGCGAUGUUGCCCAGUCAUUCUUGUGGCAUGCCCGAAUCUUAAACACCUCACCUUGGUGAUGAUUUUUGUCUACCACUUUUACACAUAGAUUCUUGCCCUUCCAUCCACUCAUCUUUUGAUUCUAUGUAAUAAAAUUUAUAAAUAGUUUCAAAAUUUUAAAAUAUUUUAAUUUUUAUAUUUAUAGAUAUUUUAUUAAUUAUAUUUAAGUAUAACACUUAACAUAAAAUAAUUUACAACAUGGUGAUGUUUUUAUUUUAAAUAACAGCCACUAUAUUUUAAAUUUUUUUAAUGGUAAUUUAAAAAAAAAUAUUAUUUUAAAACAAUGUAUUGCUUAUUUUAUAAAAAAAGACUAAGAAUAAAAUAAAAUCAAAAUCUAAAAACCAAAAACCAAAAUCAAAAGCUGAAAAUCAAAAACCAAAAUCUAAAAGUUAAAAACCAAAAACCAAAAACCAGAAUGUAAAACCAAAAUCUAAAAACCAAAAACUAAUGGAAACAAUCAUCACCUAAACUUCAAUGUUGCUUAAAAUUUUAUUUGAUUGAAUAGUAACAAUAUUACUGGCGCAUAAAUUUGUUUAAGGAUUCUUUGAAUACACGGACGUGUUAGUCUGGUGGUGAAUGGCUUGCAGCUGCAAGUACGGUCCUGGAUUCGACUUGUACUAGCCACCAAAGUUUUCACAUAUGUAUUUUUGGCUCGAGAAGAACAAUAUGUGGUAUGAGGUUCGUCCUUGUCAAAGGUUCUAAACUUACUAUAAGUGUGGCCAGGAAACAAUAAGUGUGGCCAGGAAACACCUAGUAAAUAUCAAAAGAUCGCUUCAUCUUCUACUCAGUGAAGAGGAUCGUACUUGCGGGAACUCAAGCAGUCCCUUGCUAUACUCUUCACUGACCCAGGCCCAUUUGAGCAAAUGAGCAUAGUCAUAGAAGCUGACCCGGUCUUAAUCCGGAUACCCGAUUAUUCACUCCUUAGUACGUUUAUUCAUUUUAUUUUUCCAAAGAAGGAAAGAAAGAAAAACAGAAGAGCUUCUAAUAAGAAGAAAAAGAAGAGGACGACGACGACGGCAACGUUCACGAACCCUAAAUUUUCAGGGAAGACGAUUUUACUCGGAUCAAAUCAAAGAUAUCAGGAGAGAGAGAGAGAGAGAUUCAAUGAAGCUCCUUUAUAAGUACCAAAAGCGGUAAUCUCCUUUUCUCCUCCUUCCUUACUCUCUCGCUCAAUCCUAUCGUUGCGCACAGUUCUGGCGUCACUAUGCAUUGUUGACGUUUCGAAUUUUGGUAAUAAUCGUAUAAUAUCAGGUCAGGUGUCUCGUCUAGAUCUGCUCGAGAAGGAGAAGAACGAGCUGUUAUCAGCGGAGAAGAAGAUAGGAUAAGCUCAUUACCUGACCCGUUGUUAUGUCACAUACUUAGCUUUCUCACCACUGAGCAAGCGGUUUGGACAAGCGUUUUGUCCUCUAGAUGGAGAUACCUCUGGAAAUGGGUUCCUAGGUUAGAACUAGACAGCUUUGAUUUCGCAAAUGACAAGGUCUGUGUUGAUUUCAUCGACAAGUUUCUUGCUUUCCAAGGCAAGUCCUACUUGCGUGAGUUCAAGUUAAGCAUUGACCAUGAUGUCUCUAACAGUAAUCUUUCUCUUUACGGGCCGUGUCUCGGUAGAGUGGUUGAUAUGCGGAAGCUUGAACGUUUCCAAGUCGAGAAUGAGUUUGAACAUGGUGGCAUUGUUUACAUCCGGUUUACUCUUUCUGCGUCUGAGGCAUUGGUCUCCUUAAAGCUCCAUUCCGUUUGGUUGAAUGGUUUUAAGUCUCUUUCCUUUCCCUCUCUCAAGAUCAUGUUCCUGGAAGACGUUGGUCUUCCUAGCGAUGCGGCUGCAGAGGAGUUGAUCUCCUGCUCUCCUGUUCUACAAGUUUUGAAAAUAUGCCUUUGUAAAUAUGAUUCUGUGGUAGCUUUACGUGUCUGCUCACUGUCGUUAAAGAGCUUCACUUUGAAACGAAUGGAGCCUCGUUAUUCUCGUGGACAUUCUGUUGUGAUUGAUGCCCCGAAGCUCGGGUAUCUGAGUCUCACGGAUUACUACCAUUUCAGCAGCUUUGAGAUAACCAGUGUGGCUGACUCUUUCAAGGUUGAUAUCGAUGUCGAGUUUGAGCUAAUGAGUGAUUACUUGAUGGAAAUGAAGAUCGUCUACAAUCUUCUCAAGAAUUUUUCAGGCGUUACAGAAAUGACCAUAUCUUGGAAAACUCUGGAGGUAUAUAAACUCUAUGAAACGCUCUAAACUUUCCCAUUACCAUUGUUUUUUUUUUUUAACUUCUCACUUUGUUUUGUGCUCUUCUCUUUGCUUACAGUUAAUAUAUAGUUUCCAUCAGACGAACCCAGUCCCCAAAUUUCAUGGCUUGACUUGUUUGCGUGCCACUAUGUGUUUAAACGCAUCCCCUAAACUAUUGCCAAUCGUUCUUGAGAGCUGCCCCAAUCUGAAACACUUGAAAUUGGUAAAAAAAUUGGCUAAAACUUUUCAAGUUCUGAGAUCAGUAAAGUAUUUAUCUGGUCAGUCCUUGAUUUGAAUUCUGUCGAUUUGUGUUUGCAGGAACUGUUUCUUGAUCCAAUCAGAAGGCUGUCUGAACGCUCCACAGUGCUGUCUCGUUGUUUGGUGUCGUCUCUUGAAUCUGUUGAAAUGGAAAGCCCGGUCACGGAGAUAGCUAUUGAACUGGUUUUGGCUAGAUACUUUAUGAGGAACUCGACAACACUCAAGAAGCUCGUUCUACGUUUGAAUCAGUCUUCUACUGGAGUGAAACACAAACCUGGUGUCCUGGAACAACUCAAGAAAUAUUCAAGGCGCUAUAAAUUGUCUCAGUUCGAAGUUCUUCCAGUGGUUCCAACUCCGAGUCCAUGGCCUGGGUAUCUUUAUGUAAAAUCCAAUAGGUUUUAAAGCUGCAGUUAAAUCCAUUGGAUAGAGUUGUGAUGGAUACUACGGGACUUGAGUAUCUGAAUCCAUAAAUUACCAGUACACACUAGUAUGAGUGAAACUGUCAAGUUUGAUAUCGACGUCGUGUUAUCCAUCACUUGUAAUUUUCUAACCUUUGUUUCACAUGCUAGAGAUAUGACCAUCUCCAGGAGGACUCUUGAGGUAUAUAUACACACUGAUCUCUAAACUUUUUUUUCUUGAGAGUUUUACUUAACUGUUAACUUAAAGCUAUCUGGCAGUCCAUCUAUUAUCACCUGGAAAUAAACAGACGAUCCAAAUUUCAUGGCUUGGCUCGUCUUCGUGCUACAAUCUUCUUAAACUCUUCUCCAGAGAUGUUGCCAGUCAUUCUUGAGGCAUGCCCGAAUCUCAAACACCUCACCUUGGUGAUGAUUCUUGCCUUGCUACUACUUUUGCAAGUUUGUACACAUUGAUUCUUGACUUUCCAGUUUCCACCCACUCAUCUUUGUUUCUAUGCAGGAACUGGUUCAUGAUUUUCUGGUGACGGAUGGAACAAGUAGACUUCUGAAUCUGUUUCCUCCUCCUUUGAUAUCGUCCCUUGAAUCUGUUGAUAUCGAAAGCCCCAUCACGGAUAAAGCAACGGAACUGGAGCUGGUUAGAUACUUUUUAGAGAACUCAACAGCACUCAAGAAGCUUGUUCUACGUUUAAACUCUGUGACAAGCUUUAAACUUUCCCAUUAUCAUUGUUUUUUUUUUCUUUCUCACUUUGUUUGUGCUCUUUCUCUUUGCUUACAGUUUAUACAUAGUUCCCCUCUGACGAACUUUCUCCCCAAAUUUCACGGCUUGACUCGUUCGCGUGCCACUAUGUGCUUAAAUGCAUCCCCUGAACUAUUGCCAAUCGUUCUUGAGAGCUGUCCCAAUGUGAAACACUUUGACUUUGGUAACAAUUUUGGCUUUUAAACUUUUCAAUUAGUAAGGUUUUUAUUCUGUCGAUUUGUGUUUGCAGGAGUUGUUAAUUCAUUAUCCAGAAGUGAUAGCUAGACUCUCCACUGUGCUGCCUCCUUGUUUGGUAUCGUCUCUUGAAUCUGUUGAAAUGGAAAGUCCGGUCACGGAGAUAGCUACUGAACUGGAUUUGGCUAGAUACUUUAUGAAGAAUUCUACAACACUCGAGAAGCUCGUACUACGUUUGAAUCAGUCUUCCUCUGGAGAGAAACACAUGCCUGGUGUCUUGGAACAACUCAUUGACUCUCCAAGACGCUCUACUUUGUGUCAGUUUGAAGUUAUUCCAGUGGUUCCAACUCCGAAUGCAUGGGUCCUGAGUGGUAGGUUUAUGUAAAAUCCAAUAGUUUCUAAAGCUGGAGUUAAAGAUGAAACUAGUUGGCUUCCCUUUCCUAUUAUUUGGCAUGGCUUAAGAUUUGGUUUGGUUUGGUUGAAUGAUUUUGAGUCUCUAUUAUUAAACUUUGUCUCGAGAUUAUGCACUUAGAAUAUAUGUUAUUAUUUCCAACGCUAUUAUCAUGUUCUGGUUUGAUUAUAAGCCAUUUGAUAACGAUGUAGAGUUUUAUGCGUCUGUAGCACUUGUUGAGUUUGCCGUCAUCAAGACAGUUGAAAAGUUGUUGAGUUCAAUACAAGUGUUUUGGUAAUGGUUGAUAUUUUAAUGUGGACGUUGACUGGACCCGCCAUAACUUAUGGGUAAUGACUAAGAAAUUUAAAUACUAUACUUAGUCAAGGAUUAGUUAAAGCUGCAAGCAAAAUGCAUCCAACUUUGAGUAUAAAAACAAGAAAGGUCAAAGAUAACAAGGAGGGCUUCAGAAAAUAGACAACGAGGGUUUCAAUAUUCAAUCUCCGGUGAGUUACUUUCUCCAUACUUCUACUUGGCUCGGCUAAUCUAUAUGUAACUGCAAAGCUUUUUAGUUUAAAAGAAUUGAGCAUAUGAUCAUUUGAAUUUUUUCAGGUCUUUUUCUCUCUAAAAGUCAAAGAAAAAGCUAUGCAAGGAGGAAGAAGUGGAACAAGUGGUGAAGACAGGAUAAGCAUAUUGCCUGAACCAUUGGUAUGUCAUAUACUCACCUUUCUUACUACCAAGGAAUCUGUUAGGACAAGUGUUCUGUCCUCUAGAUGGAGAGAUCUCUGGCUAUGGGUGCCUAGAUUAGAUCUGGACAAAUCUGACUUCUCAGAGGAGAACACCUGCGUGAGUUUCAUCGAUAAGUUUCUGAAUUUCCGAGGUGAGUCCUACUUGCGUGGCUUCAAGCUAAACACUGACCACGAUGAUGACGAGUCCAAUUCUUCAGUGGAGGCAUGCCUGACGCGAGUGGUUAACAAGUGUAAGAUUCAGCAUUUCGAAAUCAAGAACUACUUUGGGUUUUGCUACCUUGAGAUGUCUCUAGUCUUUUCAAUGUGUGACACAUUAGUUAGCUUGAAACUCAGCUUCGUGAUGAUGAGUGAUUACGACCAGUCAUUUUCUUUACCAUGUCUCAAGACUCUGCACUUGGAAAAAGUUGAAUUCCAAAGCGAUGAGGUUGCAGAGGCACUAAUCUCAUCCUCUCUGGUUCUCAAGGAUUUAAAAAUGAGCCAGAGUGAAUAUGAUUCUGUGCAAGUGUUACGCGUCCGGUCCAAGUCACUAAAGAGCUUCACUCUGGAACGGGCGGAUCCUGGUCGUGUCGAAAACAGUUUGGAGACAGUAGUGGUGGACACUCCGGGACUCGAGUAUCUGAAUCUCAUAAAUUACCAGUACACAAGCUUCCAGAUAGUUAGCUUGAGUGAAUCUGUCAAGUUUGAUAUCGACGUGGUGUUAUCCAACACUCUUAACAUUCUAACCUUUGUUUCACAUGCUAGAGAUAUGACCAUCUCCAGGAGGACACUUGAGGUAUCUACACACUGAUCUCUAAACUUUCUUUAUUGAGAGUUUUAAGCUAACUCUAUCUGGCAGUUCAUCUAUUAUCACCUGGAAAUAAACCGACGAACUAAAUUUCAUGGCUUGGCUCGUCUUCGUGCUACUAUGUUCUUAAACAGAAGAAGUGGAACAAGUGGUGAAGACAGGAUAAGCAUAUUGCCUGAACCAUUGGUAUGUCAUAUACUCACCUUUCUUACUACCAAGGAAUCUGUUAGGACAAGUGUUCUGUCCUCUAGAUGGAGAGAUCUCUGGCUAUGGGUGCCUAGAUUAGAUCUGGACAAAUCUGACUUCUCAGAGGAGAACACCUGCGUGAGUUUCAUCGAUAAGUUUCUGAAUUUCCGAGGUGAGUCCUACUUGCGUGGCUUCAAGCUAAACACUGACCACGAUGAUGACGAGUCCAAUUCUUCAGUGGAGGCAUGCCUGACGCGAGUAGUUAACAAGUGUAAGAUUCAGCAUUUCGAAAUCAAGAACUACUUUGGGUUUUGCUACCUUGAGAUGUCUCUAGUCUUUUCAAUGUGUGACACAUUAGUUAGCUUGAAACUCAGCUUCGUGAUGAUGAGUGAUUACGACCAGUCAUUUUCUUUACCAUGUCUCAAGACUCUGCACUUGGAAAAAGUUGAAUUCCAAAGCGAUGAGGUUGCAGAGGCACUAAUCUCAUCCUCUCUGGUUCUCAAGGAUUUAAAAAUGAGCCAGAGUGAAUAUGAUUCUGUGCAAGUGUUACGCGUCCGGUCCAAGUCACUAAAGAGCUUCACUCUGGAACGGGCGGAUCCUGGUCGUGUCGAAAACAGUUUGGAGACAGUAGUGGUGGACACUCCGGGACUCGAGUAUCUGAAUCUCAUAAAUUACCAGUACACAAGCUUCCAGAUAGUUAGCUUGAGUGAAUCUGUCAAGUUUGAUAUCGACGUGGUGUUAUCCAACACUCUUAACAUUCUAACCUUUGUUUCACAUGCUAGAGAUAUGACCAUCUCCAGGAGGACACUUGAGGUAUCUACACACUGAUCUCUAAACUUUCUUUAUUGAGAGUUUUAAGCUAACUCUAUCUGGCAGUUCAUCUAUUAUCACCUGGAAAUAAACCGACGAACUAAAUUUCAUGGCUUGGCUCGUCUUCGUGCUACUAUGUUCUUAAACACCUCUCCAGCGAUGUUGCCAGUCAUUCUUGAGGCAUGCCCGAAUCUCAAACACCUCACCUUGGUGAUGAUUUUUGCCCUAUCUACUUUUGCACAUAGAUUCUUGACUUUCCACCCACUCAUCUUUGUGUUUCUAUGUCCUUGUUUUGUUCCUUUGUAGGAACUGGUUCAUCAUUUUCUGGUGACGGAGGGGACAAGUAGACUUCUGAAUCUACUGCCUCCUUCUUUGAUAUCGUCCCUUGAAACUGUUGAUAUCGAAAGCCCGGUCACGGAUAAAGCAACGGAACUGGAGCUGGUUAGAUACUUCUUAGAGAACUCGACAAGACUCGAGAAGAUCGUUCUACGUUUGAACCAGUCUUGUCGGAAAAAUCACAAGCCGGGUUUCCUGAAACAACUCGUUGAAUAUCCAAGAUGCUCGGGUUUGUGUCAGUUUGUCAUUCUGCACUGUUGAACUUGGAUAAUACUUUAAAGAGUAGUUAGCGAUGUAUUGAUUGACAAUGAUAUGGUUUCACUACUGAAAAAAACUAUGAUUUGAGAAUUAAAGAGACCCACUUUCGUUUUUGCCUUUAAAAGGGUCAAAAUAAUCCUCAAAACUGAAGCUUACAAAGUCUAAACCACAACUUAACUUGAGAGCUUAUUUCAUUGAUAGAUUUGUUCUUGGAAAGCAAUGAAACACACGCAGACAAAAAGAUCACUUCAUCUUCUGCUCAGUGAAGAGGACAUGGCGAUUGACACGAGGAUCGUACUUGCGGAACUCAAGCUUCUCAAGAAGACCCUUGCUACUCUUCCUCUUGACAUAGAAGAAUCCAGUUCCAGCUGCUGAGACUAGACGGAUGAACAUGAACGUCUUCUUCCUCUUGUCUCCCAUUUUUUCUCACUUCAAUACACCAAACCAUAGAAACAUCAACAAAUCUCAAUUUUGAUACUUGCAUCAUCAUGCAACAUAACAACCAUAAAGAUAACAAUGCAAUCACGAACUUUUCCAAAAUUUCACAGAGAGAAGCAAACAUAAACCCUAGAUCAUUUUUUCAAUGCAUCGAUGAAAUGAGCCAGAACUUAAAGAAAACAAAAGCUUCCGCGAAUCCAAAAUUGAAACAAAUGAAAUUCACAAGAAAUCAAAGAUAGGGGUGGAGCAGCAGAAACUUACCUAAAGGCAGACGGCGACGAGACGGCGGCGAUACGACGGCUGAGAGGAAUCAAUCGGGAGUGAGAAGAAGCUAAAUACAGGGAUUAUUAAUAAUAAAACAAAAAAGCCCAUUGAUUAUGAAUGGGCUUUCAAAAGCAGUAUUUGUUGAUCAAAUAGCCCAAUAAGGCCCAUUAUUCAUUCAGCUACUCUCUCACCUGGUUCUGUUCUCUCUCUCUCAUUUCGCGUUUGUAACUCAGUGGAGAAGAAAGAUCCAAGUCGAUCCGUUGCAAAAAGGUACGACGAUGAUCAUUGUCUGCUCUUAGAUUCUACUGUAUAUCUUGAAUUUGAUUUUUGUUUCGGUUAACGGGGAAGAUUGCGAUUGAUUUUACCAUUUCCCUUUGGAUUCAGUUUUAGGGAUUUCGAAUUUUCCGAGCUAUGUCGAGUGCGGUGGACGCGACGGGUAACCCGAUCCCUACUUCCGCGGUGUUGACUGCGUCGGCGAAGCAUAUAGGUUUAAGAUGUAUGCCGGAGAACGUCGCCUUCCUCAAGUGCAAGAAGAAUGAUCCUAACCCCGAGAAGUGUCUCGACAAGGGUCGUGACGUCACUCGCUGCGUGCUUGGCUUGUACGUUUCUUUAAAGCUCAAUUCUUUUUUGGGUUCUAUGAUCUCUUGCAAGCUUAGUAGUUUUGGGUUUUCUUUGGUUUGGUUGUGAAUUGUGAUGAAGAUAAUGAGUAUCAAAUGGGUGGUUUAGGGAUUGAUUCAUUCUUCAGUGUGAAAGUUUACUUCUUUCGUUGAAGUGAGCAUAGCUGCUUCAAUGUCUUAACCACAGGCUUAGCUAUAUUCUUAGCCACGAGCAUGAGGUCAUUAGAUAGUUUGGAACACUGUAGAUUAACUAGUAACUGUUUGUUUAUUGUUUAGAGUCCAGAAGAGCUAUCUGUGCCAUGCAUUUUCGUGUUAUGAUAUCCUUGAAACUGGCACACACCAAGUAUUAGAGUAGCCUUUUGUGUUCACUAGGCAUGGUAGAAACAGAUUCAUACAUUGCUUCUGUUGACAUCUUCUCAUUGUCGUUAAGAAGCCAAGUGCUUUCCUUGGAAUGUUGGUUUAAGACUCCAGUUUUGUUGUUUAGAAGUUGUUUACUCUUAUACAAUGAUACGAUGCUAUGAUUAUAUCAAUCAAAAAAAUUUUGAACCUAUCAAUCGCACUGUGUUUCAUUAAUGAUGUUGAUUCCACAUUGCUAACAUUAUUCAGUUUUGUUGAUGGUUUUGAUGAAUGUUUGCAGGUUGAAGGAUCUUCACCAGAAGUGCCAAAAGGAGAUGGAUGACUAUGUUGGGUGUAUGUAUUACUACACAAACGAGUUUGAUCUGUGUAGGAAAGAGCAAGAAGCCUUCGAGAAAGUGUGUCCCCUGAAAUGAGAAUCACAAGUUAUUGUCAAUGUUUUUAUUUGCAAUCUCCUAAUAAAGCAAAAUGUUCAUUUUUGAAUGAGCUUUACUCUUUUUUCUUUUGUUGUCAUCACCAUUUUUUUCUCUCAAAAUGCUUCCGUAGCGAGUUAUCAAAGACAAUGAAAUGACUCGGUUUUCAUUGUUUGAUGGUUCUUUAAUCAGCACAGAAUGGAUUUCUCGAGUAAUAAUCCCUGUUCAUGAGCUUUAUCGGUUACCUUAAAAGUAAAAAACUAGUAUGAGGAUUUUGUUUCAAUGUUGUGAGUAGGGGUGGGCACUUUACCCGAUAUCCGAAGUGGCACCCGAACCCGAUCCGAAAAAUCCGAACCGAAGUAGCAGAAUAUCCGAACGGGUAUUGAAUUAGGAGAGAUUGGAUAUCCGAAUCCGAACGGAUAAUAUCCGAACCCGAAUGGAUAUCCGAAAAUAACCGAACAUAUGUAUAAUUAACCUUAUAUUUCUAGCUUACAUCUCUCAUUUUAUAUAGAAUAUUUAUAUUGAUACUACACAUGUUUUAAUUUCAUAUCAUAUACAUACAAUUACGGAGAAAAUGAUUUUCUACUCACUUAAAAUGCAUGUCAAUCUUUUUAUUUCAAGAAUUAACAAAAACUUAUAUCAAAAAUUUAAAAACAAUAAUCAAAUUAAUGUCUUUUUAGUUUCAAAAUGUUAUGUCGAGAUCUAUUAACCAUUCAAUCUAUUAAAAAUAAAGAAAUUAGUUAAGUGAAAGUUAUAUCUUUAAAUACAAUAAAUUUGAGAAAUGAAAAUUUAAUUUUGUUUUUUCAAAAUCUAAAUAUCCGAACCCGAUCCGAAAUAACCGAACCCGAACUAAAAAUAUCCGAACCCGACCCAAAGUACAGAAAUACCGAACGGGUUCUACACCUCUAUACCGAAAUACCCAAAAAUCCGAAAUACCCGACCCGAACUCGAACGGAUACCCGAACGCCCACCCUUAGUUGUGAGAAUAGGUUUAUUUUAUUUGUUUGUCCAUCAUUGUUAAAUGUUCACAUAAGCAAUUAAUGUUAACUAGAUCUUGAUCCGCGCGUAUGAAUUUUCGGUUUUUAAUUAUUUAUUUUAUUAAAUGAUAUAUUUGUAAAAUUUAUUCAUAUUAUAUUCAUUAAGUAAAUUUUUUUUUUGCAUCUUAAACUAUCUAAUUUUUUUAUGAAUGUGUGAUAUCAUAUAAAAAAUAUAACAUCCGAAAUAACCGAACCCGAACUAAAAAUAUCCGAACCCGACCCAAAGUACAGAAAUACCCGAACGGAUUCUACACCUCUAUACCGAAAUACCCGCAAAUCCGAAAUACCCGACCCGAAUCCGAACGGAUACCCGNNNNNNNNNNNNNNNNNNNNNNNNNNNNNNNNNNNNNNNNNNNNNNNNNNNNNNNNNNNNNNNNNNNNNNNNNNNNNNNNNNNNNNNNNNNNNNNNNNNNNNNNNNNNNNNNNNNNNNNNNNNNNUAAAAAUACAUUUACAAAAAUAUUGUUUGAAAGAAAAUUCAUUUAUCUUUCAAAUAUAAAAUGAAAAUAUUAUAAUUAAAUAAUAAAAAAUAUAAAUAAAAACCAUAAAUUUAGCAAAUGACAACUGAGUUAUAUUAUGCUAAAAUUUUAUUUCUAACAAUUUAGUAAAUGACAAAUGAGUUAUGAGAAAAUAAUACCAUAUAAUUUUUAAAAAUUUUUGAAUAAAUAAAUAUUUUUUAAUUUAAUCAACUGAAAAUAAUAUCCGUACAAUUGUGUGAGUCAAAUUCUAGUUUUAUUGAUGCAUGUUAUAUAUUAGUGUUGUAUGUUUUAGAAAACAUUUUAAUGAUGCACGUUUUUAAAAAUCUCCUUUGUUAAAAUUAUGCACGUAAGGAUAACUCAUGAGUUUUUUUUGUUGAUUAAAUGACACUAUGUCCAAAUUUAUUUAAGGAUAUUUCAUAAAGGUUUCUGAAAAAGACAAACAAUAAAAUAGGAAGUUUAAAUUCAUUUAAACAUAUUUUAUUAAUGUAACUGAAAAGACAAGUAAUAAAUUAGGCAUUUUUUGUUUUAGGAUAUUUCAUAAAUGCAACUGAAAAAGACAAACAAAAAAAUAGGGAGUUUAAUUAACGAAAUAAGAACAUUUUCAAAUGAGUAAUUCUUUUUUUUUUUUUUUUUUGAUAAUCCAGGGUAAUUCGCGGUUUAUUCCCUGGGCCCGGUCAGGUAGCGGACGGGUUUCACCCGGGAGGGUAUGUCCUGAGUUCGAAGGCUCAGUACCCGUUUUUGGUGACAUGGAAGAGCAGUUCGCCUCCGGCUGGCGUCAAACUCGGAAGCAUGACAAUUGGUCUCCAAGGCUCUAACCAGUAGAAGUGACUCAUCCAGUCUAUUUGAUAAAUACCAAAUGAAAUUUCCGAGAAAAAUAACACUUAUUUAAUACGAUCCCCGUAGUAAAAGAUUAUGGUUGUACCUUCUUUGCAAUGUAUCCAUUAAAAUAUUCAAAUCUAGUUACUUGAUUUACGACUUCAAAUAUUGUAUGUAUGUAUAGUUUUAAUAUGUUUUGGAAAAUAAAUUUAUCAUGCAAACUAGAAAUUUUUAUUUUAAAAAAAUGCAAACAAGAAAUACAUAACAUACAUAUAAUAUUAUUGUAUUUUUAACUAUUGUAAACAAUAUAUAUAUUGUAUAUAUAUAUAUAUAUAUAUAUAUGAAGAGGCAUAUGAAAACUAUAAUAACAUUAUUAUUUACAUACUGAAAUAUGUUAAAACACGUUUUUAAUAUGAUGGUCGGAGGAGUGGACGGUGAUGGCAUGGACGGUGAUGUUAGGUGGCUGAAAUUAUUGACGUUGGUUUUGUCAAAGAUUGUGAGCUCACCAAACACAUUCUUCAUGCUUAUAAAAGGAGAGAUAUGGUGAACCAUUUCAUUCAUCCCAAAAUCAAAAAUCACAGAGAGAAGUGAGGAAGAAGAAGAACGUGAGAGAGAAAAAAAAAAAAAAAAAAAAAAUUCUUUUUUUAAUAAUAUAGAUUUGAGUGGAGUUUGAUACGUUUAUAACUUUAUAGGGAAUCUUUAUCACAAGUCCUAUAUUUAGUGUUAUGACCAUCAUAGAUUCAUAGUUAAAUGGACUGACAAGAAUAGUUCACCAUCCACCAUCACUUGGUCAUUUUUCAAGAUUUAAUUCUCUGAAAGUACAGAGCUCUUCAUAAUGAUGUAGAGUACCUAAUGUAGAGUGUCUUAAAAAUUGUUAAGAUGUUAAAAAGAAAUCAGAUCCUUGGAUCAAUUCAAUCCUUGUCGUUCAUUUUGUAUGUAAACUAGUAUUUAAGUAUUGAGAUCAAUUUAUGUAAGCAUUACAUGUACAUCCAAACAUUUUAUAAACAAUACAAAGGAGGACACAUUUAAUGCUCUGAGAGCUCCAGAGGCUUUCGCUAACUGAAUUACCCAGUUACCCCUGCCUCUCGAGUUUCAUAUUAGUGACGUGGCCUAAUUAAUCUGCUGGGCCCUAUGAUGUUCUUUCUUUUUCUAUAGACAUUUUUAUUUAUUUAAGAGUUUUUCUGAUAUCUCUCAAAGAGAAGAGUGAGUGAGAGGAUCAAUCAUCGAUGGCGUCUCCAACACCAACGAGAAUCUCAUUCCGUAUACUGAUCCUGAUCGCUUUGAUGGUGCUUCUAUUCUAUGUCGGCCGUCCUCUCUACUGGAAGAUCUCCGCAACCAUCCACGAUAUCCGCCACAACAAGCAAUCCGUCAGAGAAGGUAACCCUCGACCUCCCCCUCUAUCUAUCGGAUUGACUCUCUCGUAUCUUUUCUUAUUACGGUCGGUGCUGUUUGGAUACAGGUAUAUCUCAGAUCGUACAAGAGGCGCAGAGAUCGGUGGGAUGGUAUCACGACGAGUCGGACUCUGGGAUCUUAGAGGUUCAUAACAAGAAAUCGAGAGUCUCCGCCUCUCGGAGGCUUCUUUUCGCCGGUGAUCAGUGAGAAAAUUUCACAUUUGGUUUCUUCUAAAUAAUUUGUACUACUGCUGUGUUUGUUGUCUGUGUGUAUGUUUGAUCGUGUCGCCACUUUACAAGAAUAACAUUAUCAAGUUUUAUAGGUCGACAUUGUCGUAAUUCGUAUUCCGACAAGAUAACAUAUCUACAUGACCUUAUUAAUAAGGUAGAUAUAUUAAACUAUAUAGAGAGCUAGUGAAUUUCUGUUUGUAUGAGUUUUUGCUUGAAACUUGCCAAAACUUGUUUACGAGUCUCGUUUAUGUGCAAACUUGUUUAUAUCGUACGUGAAAAUAAACGCCAAAAACAAACAUAUUUCAUACAUAAGAUGACAUUACCAGGUAAUAGCUUUAGUUAAAGAGUGAAAUAAAAAAAUAGAAAGAAAAACAUCAUGAUCAUAAUCAUAUACAUACACCAUAGUCCAACAUGUUGAAGCAACACUGAAGCUUUUUUUAAUCCUCUCUUGUGCUUUAAGUAAAUUGUUUCAUGAGUUUUUAGAUGUUCCGAGAACAGUCUCCAUGUGUCGGUUAAUAUCGUUCAAAUAUCUUGUCGAGUUGUAUUCUUCGUUAUCCAAUAGUUCUUCCGAGUAAGUCCUCUGCAGUUUGGAGUUUUGUCGUAGUUUUAGCUGGUCUAAACUGCCCUUGUCACCUCUAAAAAUCUCCACAACCUGAAUAUAUAUAUACACACACUUCAUUAUAUAUGUUACCAAAUUAAUAAGAAAAUUGGUGACUUAAUAAAAGAUGGAGUUGAAUGUUUUAGUAUGCAUGCCUGAUUCAUGUGAGGUCGGUUCAUUGAGGUUUGGUGUAUGCACAAGGAUGCUAUGAAGACAAGACGUUCCAACUCUUCUAAGUCGUAGUCAUCUCCCAUAACCGGAUCAACUAGUUGUUUGAUCUUGUUCUCUUUGAUCAAUGGCUUGGCCUGCAAGAACAUAAGUGGUGGCCCAUGUUAGUAAUUUCACAACUAAAUAGAUAUAACACAAUCUACUUCUUAAUCAAGAUCCAGGUCAAGGAAGUAUGAGACAAGGAUUCCAUCUAGCUAGGGUUUAAGAGAGAGUCAGACAUCACAUACCCACAUAACAAGGCUAUGCUGUGCGCUGUCUAGGGCUUGUUUACCAGUAAUGAGCUCAAGAAGCAGGACACCAUAAGCAUAUACAUCUGUUUUCUCGUCUACAAUCCCAUGCAUAAAGAACUCCGGUGGAAGGUAACUGAUCCAUGAAUUUAUACGAGAUUGUGUGAGAUAAUAUGAAGCACAAGAGAUGUGAAUCUGCGUAUAUGAUCUAUAUCUGUGACUGAGAGGAUCCAAACCCGAAUGUUCCUUCUAUUUUCGACACGGUAUGGUGAGUCCAUUGGUCUGGUAACCAUUUAGCCAGCCCGAAAUCAGAUAUCUAAGCAAAAAAAUUUAAAAGAUAAGAAUUUAAGUUCAUUAUUGACUCAUGAUCAUAAAUUGAAAAGCCUAUAAAUUAGUUUUCUCUUCAUAAUUACCUGAGCCUCAAAGUUCUCAGUGAGAAGAAUGUUAGAAGCUUUGAUGUCUUUAUGAAUGAUCCUUCUCUGGCAACCUUCAUGGAGAUAGUACAGUCCUUCAGCUGUUCCUGUCGCCACUUUGUAUCUUAUGCUCCAACUCAACUUCUCUUUCGCCUCUACAAAAUGUUACAAGGAUCUUAAUUAGGUUUUUGAAUAAACAAGACCUACUAUAUACAUCACUGAAACCUAUUUUCAUAUAAAUUUGCUUUUACUUAAAUAUUUGUCUAGAAGUUUCAUAUAGUUUUUAAAGAUUGCUUUGAAAACAUGAGUUAGAAAUAGAUUUUAUCACCAUAGAGCAAAGAAGCGAGGCUUCCAUUAGGAGAUAGCUGAAGAACAAGAUGCAUUCCUCCUUCAACACAAUAUCCAAUAAGCUUAGCAAUGUUUGGAUGAUCUACAUGAACUAUGAUCCCUAGUUCUGACAGAUAAUCCAUUGUCAUCUCUUCCGCAGAACCUCUAGUUAGUUUCUUUAUUGCUACUAUUUGCCCAUCUGCCAUCUGUCCCUUAUACACUUCCGCAUAGCCUCCUUCACCAAUCAGAUUCUCUGCCAAAAAUAACCACAAUUUUCAUGUUAUAUUACUUCACAUAUAAACAAGUUGUUCUUUACAAGAUUAGUGUUCAGACCACGGCUGUAGCCAUUGGUAGCGGUUUGAAUAUCUUGGAGGGAGUAGUUUCUCCAGGAGGGUUUGAAACAGAACAAGUCACCAGUGUCAAGAGAAGUAGCAGGUAGAACAGGGACCAUGUUGUCUCUUAUGCGUUUGCUUUUACGUCUGGUCAGUUUAGGGACUCCUUUAAGAGGUGUGUUGAAUGGCAUUGCGGAUGAUCCUUUCUUGAGUAAACGGACGAAACGACCUCUCCAUUGACCGCUAGUGAGGCCUAUAUGGUGGUGGGAAUGGUGAUGAUGAGGUUCUGAUGAUGAUGAGUCUGACGUGCUCACCACGGGACAUGAUGUUCCAGAUUCUAUGCUCCUUGAUAAGUCAUCGUCUGAUUCUGUUUGGUUGGGGUAGAGUUUAAUGUUUUCUUGAUUUGAACAGAAUGAUUGUAAAUCUGAUGCAGAGAAAAAGAUUUUUCAUGCAAUCUUUUAGCACAAGGAACAACAAAGUCAGUUAAAUAUUUGUAACCUAUUGAGUCAAUUACUAAUUACCAUGAGAAGAGAAAGAAUCAGAGAAGCCAGCUCGAGAUCUCCUUGUCGAGAAAGGACUUAGUUGUUUUCCACGAUUCUCAACGUCUACAUCGCUGUGAGAUCAUAUGUUUUGUACCAGAAAAAAAUGAGUUGCAUUAUAAAUGAAAUGACUUGCGAGACAAGGUACACAACCAUUUGCAAAUCUUGUUUUGCAAGCAACGUUAACAGCGUAUGUCUCUGAAGACAAUUAAGCAUUAUCUCUAGAUGUUUUAUAAGGAAAUUACCAGGAGGGAGACGAAGAAGACGUUGUCGUGGAAGCAAGAGUUUCUGAUGAUUCUCUAACGCGCUCCAUAGAUUAAUUGGAGACAGAAGAUGAGGCAAGGAAGGGAAAUAGAAGAAAUGACUAAGGAAAGAGAAGAGAGAAAGACAUGAUCAUUUUGUUUGAUUUUUGCACCCUUAUCUUCUCUGUUGUUAUAACUGAAAAUCCGCCUCUUCUCUUAGGUUCUUCUUUCUUAAUUUUAAAUGAAACUAAAGUCCUAUCUUUUUCUUCGAAAUAGAAAAUUCCCAGAGAUUAUCCUCAAUGCUUUGAUCAACAUUUCUAAAUACUAAAUUUAGAGUAACAGAUUUACAUUUUUCCACGCACACAAAAAGGCAUUUUUUUCAAGUGAAAUAAAAUAUUUUCAAAAGGAUCCAUAUAAGAAUGUUACAUAUUGAUGAGGUUCUCUUUAAAGUAGAAAUUUUUUUUUAUACUAACCAAAGAUAUUUAAACUUUAUUUUCCGAAUAUUUUGUGUGUGAAAUUUUCAACUAUUUAAAAUAUAUGUUGUAUAAAAUAUUAUUUUUGAUUUGUGAAAUAUUAUGAUGAGAAAUUUCCUAAUAAUAAUCCAUAUACAAAUUGGUGGAUGUGACCACCUCCCAAACUCCCGCAUUGGUGGUUGACGUCACGUGGCAAACUCCAUUUCCGGACAACCCGACAAAGGUUAUCAGAAGUCAUUAGAGACAGACAUCAAUCUAGUAGUACUGUUUUACCUUUCGAAUGGGCUUGGGUUCUAAAAUAAAGCCCAUUAAAGUAAAUAAAAGUGCCCUGAUUUAUUAAUAUCUGAAUCUUCUUCCUCCGCAACCGAAGAACCCAAAUUUUCGCCGUUGAAAUGGAGAAAGCGACGGAGAAUCCCAAUUCCGAGACGCAACCUCCUCCUCAUCCGAAUCAUCAAAUGGAUGCAGACGAUGACGAUGAGAAUGUGAAACAGCUCAAAGAGUGUUCUUCUCUCUACUUGUCGUUACAGGUUCUUUUGUUUUUCCAGAUCAUCAUCUCUUCGAAUCCUCGAUCUUCCUUGUGUAUCCCCCUAAAUCGUUACUACUUUUUGCAGGAUUGUCUCGUUGAUAGCAACAGGGACUGGAAAUCAUGCCAGAAACGUACGUCGUUCUCUAUCUCAGUUUUACUUAUCAAGUUUAAAUCUGAAAUCUGAGGUUUAGGGUUUUAGAACUAGGGUUUGGGGUUUUUAACUUUAGAGAACAAAUUGGGUUUAUUUAUAUUACUGACUAGUUUAUCUGUGCGAGUAACUGGCUAUUUUUGGGCAUGGUGUUGACUAUCUUUUGUUGUUUGUGAUUUUGUUGUAAAGACGUUCAAGCUUUGAAGGCAUGCCAUGAAAGGAGAACCAAGAAAUGACAGAGAUGACGAAAAGCCACACCUGAUUGGGAAGUGUUGAUUAGUUGAGUUUUGUCUCUGAGAUUAAUGGUUAUUUCGCCGUAAACAAAUAACAGUUAGAGUUUUGUCUCUGAUCCUGUCAAGUAGUUGAGUUUUGUGUCUGAGAUUAAUAGUUAUUUCGCCGAAACAAAUAACAGUUAAACAAAUAGCAAUAAUAAAUGCAUUUCAGAAAGCUUGGUUUCUUUUCUUCCUAGUUGAAUUUGGUUCAUCAGAGUCAGAGGAUAUCUCUGUUAUGUCUCUUAUUUGAACCCUUGUUAAUAGAAAGCUGAUUCUUAUGAUGAAGAACCUGGUUUUCUUCAAAAGCUACACAACCUUGAAAAUUUUAUUCUACUUAUUUAACUCAGUGUAGCAUGAAUCUUGUGAUUGGACAGUCACGGACUAGUCAGUGGAGACGAUCAGAGAAACUUUCUUAAAACUGAGAUUUAUUUUCAUUUGCUUCCACUCUGAAACUUCACUUUUAUAACAGACUACAUAUUUUCUCCGCGUUACGCGCGGAUAAUAUAUUUAAAUUUGUUACAUUUAUUAUUUUUAUUUGCAUGUGAAUUUUUGUAUAUUAAAUUAUAUAUAACUAAUUUUUAAAUUUGAUUUUUUUUUAUAUUUUUAGUUUGAAGUAAGUAUUUCUAUUAUAUGUAACACAAUUAACUAAUAAAAUAUGAAGAAUCAAGUCCGAGAUUUUAGAGUUAUGUAAAAAAAAUAUAAUUAUGUAUAGAACAUAAAUUAUCUUAGUUUAAAAGAUCGGAAUCUCAUCUCGAAUAAAUUCAAGAAAAUAAAAAGUACUCCAAUAACCUACUUAAAAUAUAAAACCCUAUUUUCAAAAAAAAAAGCGUACUUAAUAAUACUUUUAUACGUGUAAUAGUUGAAAACUGACAAUUGAAUAUCGAUCUAGAAUAUUAUUUUAAUAUAUCUAAUGGUAAAAUAUUAAUUGUAAUAAAUAAAUUUUGCAUUUUGUAAUAUUACAUGAAUUAGAAGUCUUUAAAAUCUAAAAUCUAUUUUAUUAACAUCAUAUAUUUUUUAUUCAUUUAUUAUUUUGACAUUACAAAAUAUUGCUUUAGUUUUAUUUGUAUAUUAAUUUUUUAAUAAUUUAGUUUCUUUUUAAGUAAUUUUAAAAUUAUCAAGAAUAUAAUAUAUUUAAAAUUAUUUAUUUAAAUAUAUCCAAAUAUGAUGUCUCAUUUUAAUGUGUAUUUGCGUUGAGCAUAUUUAAUUUGUAGUUUGUAUAUUUAAUAACACCUUGUUGCGUGUUCUAUGGUUUUAAUAAAUGUGUUGUCAUUUCAUUUUUAUUACUACUAACAUGAUUUUUUAGUGAUCAGUGAUAAUGUAUUUUAACGUUAGGUGUGAGCACUUUACCCGAUCUCCGAAGCCGCACCCGAACCCGAUCCGAAAAACUAGAACCUAAAUCCGAACCGAAAUCCGAACCGAAGUAGCAAAAUAUCCAAACGGGUAUUGAAUUAGGAGAGAUAGAAUAUCCGAACCCGAAUGGAUAGUCGAAUAUAUGUAUAAUUAACCAUAUAUUUCUAGUUUACAUCUCUCAUUUUAUAUAAAAUAUUUAUAUUGAUACUACACAUACUUUAAGUUCAUAUGAUAUACAUAGAAUUACGGAGAAAAUGAUUUGCUACUCAUUUAAAAUGCAUGUUAAACUUUAUAUUUCAAGAAUUAACAAAAAGUUACAUCCAAAAUUUAAAAACAAUAACCAAACUAAUGUUUUUUUAGUUUUAAAAUGUUAUGUCCAAAUCUAUUAACCAUCCAAUCUAUUAAAAAUAAAAAAAAUUAGUUAAAUGAAAGUUAUAUUUUUAAAUACAAGAAAUUUGAGAAAUGAAAAUUUUAAUUUUUUUUCUUCAAAAUCUAAAUAUCCGAACCCGAUCAGAAAUAACUGAACCCGAGCUAAAAAUACCCGAACCCGAACCGAAGUACAGAAAUACUCGAAUGGGUUCUAUACCUCUAUACCGAAAUACUCAAAAAUCUGAAAUACCCGAUCCGAACCCGAACGCCCACCCCUAUUUAACGUUAUGUAUUAUACUUUAUCGUAUAUUUUCUAAAUCUUCAUGCUGGCACUUUUUUUAGAAUCAUUUUAAUUAGAUAAUAGAUUUGAAGAUGUAAAUAAAACUGUGUAUGUUGUAAAUUUAGACUUUUUAGUAUAACUGAGCACUAUCAAUUAUGUAAAUUAUAUUAUGAUUUUAUUUUACUAAAUCUUUCUUUAUGUGUAUAUUUUUUGUUUUAUUUUGUAUUUUUACAAUUUUAUUGUCUUAUUCUUUAAUUGCAGAGAAUUGUUGUUUCCAAUUUUUGUUUCUUAUACCUUAAAAGUUUUCGAUUGAUUUUUGUUUGUUUUCUUUCUCCAAUUACAAUGUACAGUUUGACCGUUUCUUUUUUUUUUGGAUCAAAUUACUAAUAUCAUCAGAUAGAAAAGCUUAAACUCCAAGAAUGGAGUGAGUAUUUGUGUUAGAGAAAACUGAUUUAGCCACUAAUAUAGUGAUAUAUUAUAAUAUUAGAAGGUAUGAAAACUCUUCUCUGUUGUCCUACGCUAGACAUAAUUAAGUUGUUGUCAAUUGAUUCUAUAUUUGUGAUAAGUGGAAAUACAUCUUUAUGUCUUCCUUAUAUCAUCCUUAAUUGGUUUACGGUUCGACCAUUUUUAAUAUACUGAGAGUAACAUAAUAUUAGAUGUUGAUUAUCUCUUUCCAAUUAGGAAUGCACAGAAUGAAAGAAAUUCAAGAUGAGACCACUUUACAAUUUUGUCCUCAUAUCUAUAUAGAGUUAGUUUAUAGAUUACUCUAUCUGUUUCAAAAUGUAAUCAUUUUUAAUUAAAAUCUGUAAUAUUUAAAAGUUAUUACUUUGAAAAACUGUCAUUUAAUAUAUAAAUUUAAUCAAUUACACAUAAAUUUAUAUAAUUUAAUAGGCCACACAAUAUCCAAUAAAUAUAAAGUUACAUUGAAAUAUAAAAAUAAUUUAUAUAGUGAAACAAAAAAUACUUUUAAACCAUUAUAUUAUAAAACAAAGGGAAUAUUCAAAUUAUAUUGAAACAUUAGAAUAGUAAAAAUCAGAAAAGCUGAAAUCUCAACGUCGAUUAUUUACGUCGGUCAUGCCUUAGACCAUCUCCAAUGUAUUCUUCUAUUUUUUUCUCUAAAAUAGAGGAAUUUCAUAAUAGAGAUGGAUUUGUCUCAGAUGUAUUUUUCUAUUUUCUCUCAUGAAAAAGAAUAUUCUUGAUAUUUUUUUUCUAAGUUUACAAAUAAUACUUUUUAUUUGUGAAAGUUGAAAACCAACCCAAUUUAUUUUAGUAUUUUAUAAAAUUAUGAUAUUAUUUACACUAAAUAUUUUUUUACAAACUGUUAUGUAAAUAAAAAAUAUAAUUAUAUUUAUAUAAAUAAUAUAUUUUACUAAAAAAUAUUUUCGGUUAUAAUUUUUUAAGUAAAAAGUUUAAUGAUCGUUUUGUAAAAACAAAUAGAGGAGGUGACAUGGCAAAAAUAUAGUUUUUCAUUGACCGAUUAUUUUCGUCUACGUGGACACUCUAUCUAAGGCUUAUAUCCUCUUUUUAUUACUUGUUUGAUGAUUACUAAAAUUUUAGUUCUCUUUAUAACCACCACUUAAUCAUCAAUUUAGUAAUCAACUGUUACAAAGGUGAAGUUUCAGAGUGGAAGAGGCUUCCACUGCGCAGGGCCUCAGAGGGUAUCUUAAUUUAAACAAAACGAAAACGAGUUGCGUUUUGCUACUAUAUCUUAGUGCAAACAUAUAACGAAAUUGUAGUUUACUUUUAGCUAAUUAUUGUCACGUGCAAAUUGUAUAUUAGUAUGUUGGAGUGCAUAAAGAGUUUACAUGCGCGAUUAUUAACAUAAUAUUAAUUUUCUUUUUAUAAGGUCAAUAUCUAAACUGACAUAGAAUAUAUCAGCGUGAGACUAAUUAAUUCCCACAUGUGUUUGUUAACAGUAACACCAAAUGUAACUUAAGACCGAUAAAACAUAACGAAAACCGGUUAAACAAAACUUAUGCCAUGUUUUACUCUGUGGAGGAUAUCUUUGGUAUCCACAUAUUUGCAUGUGUGUACAACAUUAUAUUAGGUGUAAUUUAUUCUUUGGCUCUGUAAAUAUUCUUCUUAGAUUCUACGGUGAUGAUUGAAUUAACUUGCAACCAUAUAAGUAAGAACAAGUAAACCGUAUAUCAAACGUCUGAUAUAAGAGAUUUAAAUUUUAUAAAAACAAACAUAACAAAGAAAAGAAGAAAGAAGUAAAGGAACAAACAUUUUUACCUUCUCCGCCACUAAAAUUCUACAACACUGAACCUCAAAAAGGCUUUAGGCGUGACACACUGACAACACUGCCACAGGUGCAAAGUGGGGUGCAUGCCUAAUCAUAUGUUCCCACUUAAUAUUUUUAAACCCAAGUCAACCAAUCAUUUCCCUCCACGUCACCACCUUCCUUUUCUUUCUCCCCUCGACUAAUUAAAAUCUAAAACCUUUUUUGUUCUCUUCCGGCGACACCUAUCUCCGGCGAGGCGUGAAAGACUGAAAAACAACUGUUCCAGAUCCCGGAAACUCAUCCAUUAGUCUGCUCCGACACUUGAGACCGAGCUUCUUCGCCAACACUCGCUCCACUCGCUUCGUCACCUCGUGGUCAUAAUCCUCGCCGCCGUAAGUGGUGGCGAUGGAGACGCAACUCGGCCGGAAAACAUCAAUAGCGCGAGUCAACACCUCCGCGAUAUCUCCACGACCGUCGUCGUCGUAAAAAGACAACCCGCACUCGAAGCUCGCGUAGCUAAAACCGUCUUCCGGCGUGACGUGGAUAGUCGAGUAACGCUCUCCGUCGACUCCGUUCAUCGAGUAACCGCAAGGAUCAAACGCGAAAUCGCAUAUAAACGCGUUUUCGUUAAUCAUAUCGAUCCCGCUCAGCCGCGUCAUCUCUUUCCCGGCGGAAUCGCUAUUUUUCUCGUCCCCUUUCCGUCUGAAGAAGCUCCGGGCGUUGACUCGGUCAAGCUCCGUCAUGCAAACCUCAACGACAACGACCCUCUCAUCAGGUUCCACGUCAGCGCUAGCCGCGAACACGUGCCAAGCACGCGAGGGGUUAUUAGACGGCGUCAUGACGGAGGCUUUACGGUGACGGAGAGAUUUCGGGAGGCUUUCUUCGAUGAUGACGACUUCGUCUUCGAAGCUCGUGUAAGGGAAAGGCUGUGAGUUCGGGAAUAUGAAGCUGCCGCGAGAGUAUCUACACGCGCGUAGCGUGAGGUUGAGAGUACGCGCGAGGUGGAUGAAAGGACGGAUUGAUUUGAGGAGUUGAGUGGUUCCGCAUGUUUUGAUGAUGAUUUUGGUUGGGUAGACGAAGAGGCUCGACUCGGAGAGGACGUAAGCGUCGAAGCUACGGUUCGCUACGGCGGAGACCACCGUGCACUGCACUUGGGUUAGGACUUGGUCUAGUGAUUCGAAGUCGAUUAGACGGAGGCCCAUUGGGUUUUUAUUGGUUGUUGAGUUGUCGUGGAAGAAUCGAAGUUCGAGUCUUUUCUCGAAACCCUCGAACCCAGACACUGCCAUUGUAUGGUCAGAAGAAGAUGUGGGAGUGAAACAGAACAGGGGAAGUGUGGCGAUAGAACAGAACAGAGGAAAUGUUUUUGUGUGUAGAGAAGUAGUGGUGAUUAGUGGAGGAGAAGUGGUAUUUAUAGGAGAUAUUCUAGAGGAUAUAGAAACAGGAGCAUGCGAGGUUAAGAGACCAAGAAAUCAUGAUUACAUGCAUAAUGAAACGAGAAAGAUGAUGAGAGUUUGUGUUUUGCGUGUAAUGUACCUGUGAAUCUUAGUGUAUGUUAGAGAUCUAACUAGUGUGUGUUUCUGAUUCUGUUCUGGUUUCUUGUGUUCUGUAAUGAGAAAGAUCCGUAGGUUAUGACAUACGUUUCUGAAGUAAUGGAUUAAUGUAAAUUUGCAUAAUUAUGGUAUCGGUAAAACUGUAUAGAAUCGUUAAGUCAUCUGUAUAGUGUUUGCAAAUGUUAGCAAUAAAAUUUAAUAUCGCUUCAAAAGCUACCAAUCAUGUUACUAAAAGAUUGGCGACAUCAACGGAUAAUUGAGAAACAAAAGAGGAUGAAGAUGAAAUAAAUGUUUUUUUUGGUGGUUUAUCAUGGCAUCCAAAAUUAUUCUUUAGUGAUUUAUUUUGCGAUCAAAAAUUUCAAGGUGAAAUAAUUUAUUCUGAUAGUCAUUUUUUGUUUCUUACGUUCCAACAAACAGAAUUGCCAAACCAUUGAACGUAGCCCUGGGCGUUCGGGUAUCUACUGGCGUUCGGAUCGGGUAUUUCGGAUUUUGGUUCUUUUUUAUAACACCUCCUAGAUCUCAUUCUAGUAAAUUUGCAAGUACGGGACGGGUUCGUUUUGGGUCGGUUUUGUAUCACAUCAUAGAAUCCAUAAAGUAAUCAUAUAUCAUUCGGAUUCGGGUUAUAUUGGAUCGGUUCGGAUAUACCCGAAAUAAAAUCUAAAAUUUAAAAGUAAAAGUAAAACAUAAGAAAUAUAUAUUUAUUUAUAUAUAAUUAAGUAUUUAAGGUAGUUAUUUAUAUUUUAAAUACUUAUUGUUAGAUAACAUAUCAAAAUAAAUAUGAAAUUCAAUAUUUGAAGUAUAUAUUCAUGUUUCAUAUAAUUAUAUUGUAUAUUAUUUUGGACUUUCGGAUCGUUUUUUUUAUAUCUUUUUGGAUUUUUUGGGUUUUUCGGUUUUUCAGGUUAACCGUUCGGGUUCGGUUAAUAACACUUCGGGUUCGGAUAUGUUUUGUACCACCUUACAAGACCCAUUCGGAUAUUUUUUUACAUUUCGGACCGAAUACGGAUCUGGUUUUUCGGUUCGGGUUCGGUUCAGAUUUCGGAUUUUGGGUUACGGAUAUUAUGCCCAUGCCUAGUUGAACGUAUGCUCCGAGAAUUGUUCAGUCUAGAGAUUAGCUAGCUAUGGAAAUUUGUUGGUGUGCGUGUAAUAACCAAAGGACAUGUCCAUUAAUUAAAGAACUGGGUCCAACCAAAAGGAAAUAAACCAAUUGAUGUAGGACCUCUGGUGAGAAAUGAACUGACUAGAGUUUGGCCACAAACUUAUCCGAAAGAGUCAACAUUCAGUUUGUUCAAAAUAGAAGGUCAAACCUCAGACCAAGGUGAUGAUUGUUUAGUCAGUUUUUAGUUUUUGUUUUUGGCUUUUGGUUUUUAGUUUUUAGUUUUUGGUUUUUGAUUUUGCAGUAACUUUUAGUUUUUUGAAAAACGUGAAGAUGCUUUUAGAUUUUGGUUUUUGUUUUCAAAGUAAAAUAAAGAAUUAAUAAACAAAAUUUAAAAAAUUACUAUUAUCACUAAAAAUAAAUAAUUAUAUAUUAAAUAUUAUUUUUAAAAUAAACAACAAAAAUAAACUGUUAUAAAAGAUGGUAAGAAUGAAUAAAAUUUAUGAAAUUACAGUUUUACAAAAUAAAUAUUAAUAUCCGGAAUUGAAAAGUAUAUUUAAUCUUAGACAAUGAGUAGUUAGAUUUUAUAUCAACAGAAUUAAAAUAUUUUUUUAAAUGGUAAGAAUGCAUAAAAUUUAUAUAAUUAUAACAUACAAAGUAAUAACUAGAUUCUAAAUUUGAUUUGUUGUUUAUCUAAUCAUUUCUUCUAAAUAUUAGUUAUAAGUAAAUUAUUUAAAUAAAUGUGACAUUACUGAAUCAAUAAAUAAAAAAAUUAACUAUUUAUAUUUUAUCAAUAAAAAUAUGUAGAUUGGUUUAUUUUGAAUUUAAAAAUAAUAAUCAUGUUAAUAUAUUAAUACAUAAAUAUGCAAAUAUGCAAAUAUUUUAAUAAGAAUAAAAGAAAUAACAAACUCACGUACAAUAUUAAAAAACCAAGAAUACAAAAGGUUAAUAUAUUAAUACAUAAAUAUACAAAUAUUUUAAUAAGAACAAAAGAAAUACAAAACCCACGUACAAUGCUGAAAAACCAAGAAAAUCCAACCAAGAAAAUCUGGUUUUUGGUUUUUACUUGAAAAUAGGUAGUUAUUCACAAAAUCUGGUUUCUCUAUACUUUAGGGAAUCCAUUUUCUCAAAAUCUUGAUUGACAAAAAAAUGGUUUUAUGAAAAACAAAAACCAAAAACUGUUUCAAAAACCACAAACAAUCAACCUCUAAAACUAUCAUAAAACUAUCAAGUCAAGCAAAUAAAAAAAAAAACAUCUAAUAUGUUCAAAUAGGAUUAGUCAUAAGAAGCUCGGAAGAGAAGAUGAAGAGCAUGAAAAGAUGAUCCAAUCCGGAUAAUCUACAUUAGACAAUGUGUUCUAAACUCAAACACUAUCUUUUCUUAACUCAAUCAAACUUAGGUUUAUUUGUUCCUUGUAUUUCAUUCAAAAUCAUAUAUAAACAGUGAUAAUCAGCUAUAGUAAAUAAAUAAAAAUCCAUAGUUUCGAAAUGUAUCCUGGCUCCAAAAUUCAAACAAAAGAUAAGAACAACAGCCUGAAAAAGAUGAAAAAUUACGAAUUUUUAAUACAUAGCGAAAAGAAUUAAUUAUUGAAUGUAGCAUGAAACUCUUUUAUGGUUGGAAAGAGAAAUGAUAAAUCGUGUGCUAAUUUGAAGAUGAUUUUGUUGGGGACUAACUUUAGAGGGACCUUAUUAAAGUUUGAAUCAUAAGUGAAGUCCAUUUGGUUGCAUCAACAUGAAUCAUUACACAUUAGCUCUUCGAUUCAUUUGACCACAACUAGCUCGGUCAUAUCCGAAUGUGUAUGUACAUACGUUAAAUAUAGCUAGGACCGCUAGAGAGGGAUCAAGACUGCUAAAACAUAAUAAAUAAAGUUGGGACACAUAUACUUAGUGAUACCAAAAGAGAAAAUGAUUAUAGUUAUAUGAAAGAUAUGAAUUUAAUCACGACAGACUAGUAUUCAGCAAUAGUCGCUCGUCGACACCACUAGUUAGUAGUUGAUGUGUUCAAUCACGAUUUCGAUAAUGAUACCUUUCAUUCUUAUAGUUUUUGAUUUUCAAUAAUAAUAGACGAAGAAGUCUAACCAAAUUUAUAAUAUCGAACGGUUUUAUAUUUUGAGUCCGAAUCCAUUUUUAUCCGAUAAUAUACUUAUAUCCAAAGAAAUUCAAGUUCAAUAAUUAGUUUUUUUUUUCUGUUGUUGCUCUAGCUCUUCAGACAAUUCAAGUUAUUGGAUAUAUAAAACUUAUUGUAUAUUUAAAUAAAUUUUGAUACGAUUCCAGAUUCGUUUUUUUCUACAAUUUCAGAUUAGUUACUUCGGAUUGGUUACCAUUCAAAUGAGAACGGUGUAUCAAGACUGAGCGCACUCUUGUAAACGGGAUAUUAGCAAAUAAAAACGAUCAGGCGUGGCAAUUUGAUAAUUAUAUAUUUUAUAAUUUUAAUUUAGGACAAUGAAAUGAAUGCUUCGCUACGUGACACCAAAAGUGCCCUUUCAACAUCAUUUCUAGCUUCCAUGCAAUUUUGUCUAACUGUGUGUCUGGCAUUAUCAUUGUCCAUUAUUUUACAUGAAUGUCGUUAUAUGAUGUGUCAAAAGUCAUUAGAUAUGUAUGUAUAUACACCACAUGAAAGUAUAAAACAUACCCAAACUGAGUUGAGUUUACUUUGUUUAGAGCCAACUUUGACUCAACUGAGCAAAUCAAAGCACAUAAGAGCAUGAUUAAUCGAGAGUUUUUACGGUGGGUUUCUUAUCGGAAUAUAAGAAACUAUUCUUUAACUUUUAACUAAAAAUCUAAGAACCGGUGCUUAAAUAAUGAUGCACUAACGAAACCAAUAUUGUUUGGAAUAAGCUGAAAAUAAAUAACUAACGACCCAAAUAUAUGUUAAUUGAGUUUGGAGUAAGCUUAAACAAAAUAAUAACUAACUACUGACACCCAAAUAUAUGUUAAUUUAUUUAACUUCGAAGGAAUAAUGAAGACCAAUUGCAUUCUAUUUUUGGUCAGAAAAACAAAAUUAUUUUUUUGUUCAAAAAACAAAUCUUAUUAAGAUUUUAUUAAAAUGGAUAAACAGAAAAGGACAAAACAAGGAGAAAAGGUUUAGGGGUAGGAGAGCAGUAAGCAUUAGGCCAUGAUUAUCGCGCAAAAAAAAGUGAAGUUAUUAACACUUUUUGUGGCAUGGACCCCACAAAAAUCACAAGAUUCGUCUUCUGUAUAUGCAAAAUAAGAACCGAUUGUGGAUGGAUUUUUGUAUUGUUCACGGACCCACUGACACGUGGCGUCCCGCGACUGGUUUGCCGUAUAAUUUUUUUUUUUAAGACAAAAAAAAAAAAUUAGAACUUCUAUGCGUUAAUCAUGAUCUUAUGACCACAAUCCCACAAGUAGAGAGCUGCACGCGCACCCACCAAUCGUCUCUCCCACUUGUCUCUUCCAUCACUCCCACACCCAAACAUUAUUAUUUAUUAAUCAAAUAAUUAAAGGAAGAGAAUAUUCCAACCAUAUCUUAGUUGCACCGUAAACAAAAUUUGAAAGAUUAGAUAUAAAUAUAACUUGAUCCGCGCGGAUAUUCUUUUUUUUUUAAUUAUCUUAUAUAAAUGGUAAUAUAUAUUUAAAUAAUUUAUAUGUAUUAAAUAAUUGUUUAAUAUAUUUCUAAACCCAUAAAUUUUAUAAUUUAUUGUGAAUAAUUUUAUUUUAUUUUUUGAUCCGUCAAUUAUUAUAUCCAUAUUUUAAAAUAUAACCCGUGUAUUGGUGUAAAUGUAUUUUUUAUGGAUAAAAAAUUUAGGCAAAAUAAAAAUGUUGGCUAUAGUUAUAUUUGAUUUAUACGAUCAAAUGAUCGAUUAUAUAUUAUUUAUAAUUUUGUGUGUUUUAUAUGAUGUAUUUUUUAUAACAUUUUCUAUGUUUUUUUAGACAUAGUUAAUAUACCAAAAUAAAAAAUAACCAGUCCGUAUAAUGAACAUUUUGUUAUAUUUUUGGUAUUGAUUAAGUGUAAUUUAUUAUUUAAAUUGAUUAUAGGAAGUAUUCCUUAAAUAAGUAGGACAUAAUUUGUUGUAUCUCAUUUCAGGAAAAUGCAUUCAUUAAACUAUAAAAGAUAAGAAUACUAAAAAAUAGGUAAAUUUAUUACUUUAGUGGCAUUGAGAUGUAAAUAAAUUAAACAACUAAGAGUUAAUUUAUAAGUGUAUUUCUAUUUUAAUAAAAUAGAUGUGCUUUAUAUUAUGUAUUUUUUAUAACAUUUUCAAUUUUUGUAGACAUAGUUAAUAUACCAAAAUAAAAAAUAACCAGUACGUAUAAUGAGCAUUUUGUUAUAUUUUUGGUAUUGAUUAAAUGUAAUUUAUUAUUUAGUUUGAUUAUCGGAAGUAUUCCUUAAAUAAGUAGGACAUAAUUUGUUGUAUUUCAUUUUAGGAAAAUGCAUUCAUUAAACUAUAAAAGACAAAAAUACUAAAAAAAAUAAGUAAAUUUAUUACUUCAGUGGCAUUGAGAUGUAAAUAAAUUAAGAAACUAAGAGUUAAUUUAUAAGUGUACUUCUAUUUUAAUAAGAUAUAGAUGUGUUUUAUAUUAUGUAUUUUUGUAACAUUUUUUAUGUUUUUUAGACGUAGUUAAUAUACCAAAAUAAAAAAUAACCAGUCCGUAUAAUGAACAUUUUGUUAUAUUUCUGGUAUUAAUUAAGUGUAAUUUAUUGUUUAGUUUGAUUAUAAGAAGUAUUCCUUAAAUAAGUAGAACAUAAUUUGUUGUAUUUCAUUUUAGGAAAAUACAUUCAUUAAACUAUAAAAGACAAGAAUACUAAAAGGUAGAUAAAUUUAUUACUUUAGUGGCAUUGAGAUGUAAAUAAAUUAAAAAACUAAGAGUUAAUUUAUAAGUGUACUUCUAUUUUAAUAUGAUAUAUAUAUAAGAUUAACCCAUUAUUUCAACUAGGUAUGUGAAAUGGAACUAUAUGCAUAGUGGAUCACUCCAAGCCUGUUAAAUGGAUUUAGGUAUCUCUAUAAUCUCUUAGACUAUCUCCAAUGGCACAUAAUAAUGUUUUCUAUAUUUCACUUUAAAUAGACUAACUCUAUUAUAGAGUUGAAUUUGCUUCAAUAGUUCACUCUAUAAUAGAGUGAAAUAUAGAGUAAUCUUAUUUUUUUACUCUAUAUUUGGAGUAAAAAAACAACAUUCCUCUAUAUUUCACUCUAUUAUAGAGUGAACCAUUGGAGCAAAUCCAACACUAUAAUAGAGUUACUCUAUUUUAGAGUGAAAUAUAGAGUAAAUUAUUGUGUGCCACUAGAGAUGCCCUUAAAUACGAAAACAAAACAUAUACACAAUACAAUGAGAGAUCAGUGGGAGCACAUUCAUAUUAACCAUAUAGUUGUAUAAACUCAUCGCUUAAACCAAAAUAAAAAAUAGAAGAAUUAUCGCCAAAAGCUCGAGAGUUCAAGCAUGUCAUAUCUUAGCUAUAUCAGCAUAUCUUGUGGGCACAAGUCGUCUUCUCAACAUAUGUUGCAGGUCAUGGAUUUGGAAGGAACAGCCUAUGUGGAAAAGGGCCACACUGAAGAGGUGAGAAUUUUACAGCAUCAUUGUAAAUGAGCCCUGAAUCGAGGACAAUAAGAGAAAAGUGGACUCCACAACUAACAAAUCCAUUCCUUAAGACAGUGACAUGUGAACAUAGUGGCCUACUUAAGUCACUCCUCUGGGUGACAACUACGCUUAUGUAGUUAUAUUUGGUACGUUUUUUUCUUUGACAUGUCAUAUGUCAAAGGAUUAUAUAAAGUUAUACAGAAGUAACUUCAGAUGGUUUAAGCAUGAUUGUUAGUAGAUUAAAAAAAAGUAUAGUAAAUAUGUUUGUUAGUGGAUUAAGAGAAAGUAUAGUAAAUACGUUCUUAUCGGUCAUGUACAUGUAUGUAAGUGUAUAUCAUAGGUUUAAUGCAAAUUUGCUUACAAAGAUUGGAGUUACAAAAAAUUAUCAAGAUACUUAUCAGAUGGUCUUUUUUUUUUCUUGAUAAUUAUCAAGCUACUAAAAACCAUGAUUCAACUGUCAGAUAUGAUUUAUAUCAAAACAUAUAACAAUGUUACUGGACUUAUUUUCAAUCUAAAUCUUUUAGUUAAAAACUUCACUGUUUGCUGUCUCUAAUUAAAUAUUAUUACUAAAUGACUAAAUGGAACAUAGACUAAAAAUGGGAGUAGGGGAAGCUUGUACAAAUGAGGAUAAAUUGAGUGCUACUGUAUCAUGCGCACACAAGUUUAUAUCCAAGAAUAGUUAACCAAAGAUGCCCACUAUCUUUCACACACCAUAUGCUAAUUCAUCACUAUUUCAUGUUGUGCUCCCAAUAAUCUUUCUCAUAAUCUUUUGUAUAUGCUGUUGUUUUUAUUUGUUAUGCUUUCAUAUCUAAGAGUAUAGAUAUUGUGACCACAUAUCUUAUUUUUACUCAGUCAGAAACCAUGACCAGCUUGGAUCAUUUUUGGGAUAAUCUCAUCUGCUAUACUUGGACCAGAACUGUGAAAUCCUCCAAGAAAAUAUCUCCACUCAGACUAUUCCAGUUAAGACACAUCCAAUAAUAUAUAAAUUAAGUAGGAUAACUUCAUCAAAUCAUAAGAUAAGAAUCGAUACAUAUAUAUAUAUAUAUAUAUAUAUAUAUAUGUUUAAUUAUUUAUUGCUAUUGGAUUAAAUUACAAAAUUAUCAUAAGAAGUUUACAUACAAAAUAUUAGGUCAUCAGAUUCCAAUUUUAUUAAUAAGUUUCUUGCGUUAUUAUAUUAAUCUCGAAGGGAAAACGAACAAAAGAGAAGCGCAUGCUGAAAACGCAGACAGUGCAUGCAUAUAACAAUAAGAUGUGUCUCGAGCCCAAAGACCAAAUCCAGAAUGAUUCUCGAUACUCCAUAGUGUUUUCUUUUCACAUCAAAAAAUCAUUAUACUAUUAUUUAAGCUUGAGCUGAUCUAAAAAACAAAUAGCUAGUGUAAUUAGUUGGUAUAUUAAUCUAUACGGUAUAAUAAUAAUAGAGUAUUUACAUCUUAGCCAAAAAUAAAAAUAAGAGUAUUUGUAUAGUUUUCUUGUGAGGUUGUAGGAUACAAAUGUGGCAAUUUAUUAUUCGAUGCAAAUCAUUCCCCGUGCCUCAUGCUAUGCUUUCCUCUCUUUAUUACUAACAUCAGAAUAACUAUUUUUAAUUUGGUUGUAGAGAAUAAGAAAAUAAGAUUAUAAGAGGAAAUAAUAUGACCCUUAUGGUUUCUCCACGCAGGAAUCAUUUUUCCAGUGAAAGGGCUGAUACAUGCAUGCAUUAUACUUUCGAUUCCUGGACCAACACUUGCUUCAUUAAUUUUUAUCCGUUUAAAUGAUUUAGACUGCUUCUGUUUUUUGCUACUGAAGUUUCUAGGACCAAAAUUACAUAUCUAGAACUGUACUUAUUGAUUUGAUCUCAACACUGCAACCGUACAAUUGAAUGUGGUUUUCAUGUAAGAGUUUAUUUGAUCGAAUGGUGAAACAAAUUAACCAAGCACAAUUUUAUAACUAACCAAAGUUAAAAAGGUUUAAUAACUAUAAUAUAUACGAUAAUAUCAUGCUUCAACCAAAGGACCAAAGCCGUAGACUCUAUACAAAGAGAAGUACAUCCGUUAUCUCUGGUAUAUAAUUUUAUUUUUAUAAAGUUGCCUCAAUAAUGAGACGUGUUGGCGUAAGCAUGCGUCAUCUCUUUGUCAUAUUGGGCAAAUCCAGCAAGAUAAUAUUUGACACUUUUGUCAUGGAGAGACUUUCAAGAGAUUUGGUUCAGUCUUUACGAAAAUAAUUAAGAUAGCUGAUGAUGAGAGAACGGUGAAGCAUGGAGGCCAUCAUGUUCCCUCUUCCCCGAACCCCCUGCCCUCUUCAAAAGGUAACUGAUUUUCUCUUUUUAAUUUCUUCCAUGUACAGUUUAGUACAUUAGAAUCAUUUUCCUCUACACGACUACUGCUUCUAUAGCUUCUGACUUAUUUAAAAGCGUUGUAUUUGUUUUUUAAAAAUGUUAACUUUGAGGUUUCGUCAAAACAAAAAGUAUAUAUGCAUGCCUGAACUAAAAUCAACUUUGGAUUUUGCUACGAGGAGUGCUGCUUCUAACGCGAGGAUUAUCAAUAUAUCUUGGAACUAUAAAUUAUAUAUGAUGCAUUGACUAAUAGCCAGCUAUUUAGUUUAUUACAGUAUUUUGUACACUUUUUUCAAAAGAAUCUUUGUUCGUUGCUGCAUAUGGUUAGAUUAAUAAACAUAUGCAUGUAUCUCUCAUAAUGACUUUUUUGGUGCAAUGUUAUGGAAUAUUUAACUUAGCUUGGCUUGUGGGCUCAUUCAUAUUAUGCUUAUACUAUCUCCAAUGUAUUUCCCUAUUUUUUCUUCUAAAAUAGGGAAACUCUAAAAUAGAUAUGGGUUUGUCUCCAAUAUAUUCCUCUAUUUCUUCAUCUAAAAAGGAAUAUUUUUGAUAUAUUCUUUUCUAAUUUUACAAAUAGUAUCUUUUAUUUGUGAAAGUUGAAAACCAACCUAAUUUAGUGUAACAUUCAUAAAAUUAUGAUAUUAUUUAUACUGAAUAUUUUUAUAGAAACUAUUAUGUAAAUAAAAAGUAUGAUUAUAUAUUUAUAUAAACAGUAAAUUUUCACUAAAAAAUAUUUAUUUUUUUUUUUUAUUUAUUUUUUGGUCAAAAACUAAAAAAUAUUUAUUUUGGUUAUAAUUGUUAAAGUAAAAAGUUAAAGGAUCAUUUUGUAAAUAAAAAAACAUGCCUCUAUUAUAGAGGAAUGCUAUUUCUUCCUCUAAAUAUAGAGGUGAAAAUAGCAAUCUCUAUUUUAGGGGAAGAAAUAGAGUAGAGUUGGAGUGGUUUUAUCUCUAAAUACUAUUAUAGAGACAAAUAUAGAGGUGGGUUGGAGAUGCUAUUAUAAAACAUGUCUCCCGUCUAUUCUAACUAUUGCAUAUAUAUGUACUGGUUAAUAAAUAAUGAUCAACCUACGAAACCCCUAUAGUAGUGACAAUCACAAUGUCAUGUGAACAUCUACUCAAAACUUAAGAGUUUGUAAGAACAAUACAUAAUCAUUAAAUCAACUUAACAAUGUUCUGUAUUUUUAACAAUGUUCAAAAAAAAUAUGUUCUGUAUUUUUAUUAAAAAGAUGGUUGUAUCCAAUGAGCUUUUAGUUUUUUCUUCUUCUAUAUAUGUACUUAAUUUAUGAUAUAUUUUUUAAAAAGGUUUCUCUUGACUGAAAAUAACACUAAUAUCUGUGAGAAAACUUAUUAAAAAUAUUCAUUUUCACAUGCUAUUCUAAAUAUAUUCACAAAUCUCUGAAGACUUUGGGAUGUUAUUUUAUUUGCAUUUAUCAUAUAUAUAUAUUUUGAGAGCAAAAAGGAGGAAGCUAUAUAUAUGUUGAUGAUGUUUUGAGGGAUAUGACGAAUUUGAUAGGGAAGGGGCACAUUGAUAUGACAGUGUCUCCAAAUCAGAAGCCCUAAACUCCUAUGCAAUAAAAACAUAUGUUUGGGUUUUAGGGUUUCACUUUUUAACUCAUUAAGGUAGACAAAUCAUAAGCAUAUGGUCUAAGCAAAUAUAGGGGGAGGGACUUGACACAUAUAUAUAUAUAUAUAUAUCCACUCUAGAUAUUGCAUUUAUUUGUUUUUAUCGAGAAAUAAAUUAAUCAGGCUAUUACUGACGUAUCAGGUGUGAUUGGUGACCAAGAGAAUAAAAAGAAAUAUUCAAUUCUUUAUGAUUCCCAUAAAAAUAUACCAUUCAUAAGGAAUUAAUUUUUCUUUUUAUUCUUUAUCAUUCUUUUUUUUUGUAGAGAAUAACAAAACAAAAUUAUUCCUCAUUAUUUUUGAGGUUUUUUAAAUUUUAUUCCUCUUCAUUCUUUUUUUUAUUUGUUCGUAGUGUUCCUCAAAUGGUCACUAGUCACAUGAAUUGAACCAAAUAGUAAUGUAUUAAUAUUUGCCUAUUUGGCGUAUGAACCAAACCAUUGUAUCUCAUUAUCUACAUGAUACAUCUCAAGAAAAUUUAUAUGCAUAUUCGUCAAUUAUACUUAGAAAAUUGCAAACACUUUAUAUUGUAUUUUAACUGGGAUGUCGAUCUUCAAUAAACUAAGAAGACCUAUAAACUUUUGACUAUAGAAUAAAUAAUGGAACCAUUAAACGAAAAUUCAGUUUGUUAUAUUUAUAAGAGAUUUUGGCAAUUUGUGCGACUGAGAUAAAGUAAUGCACAUUAAAAUAGCAUACUAACUAGACAAUUACUACUCAAGUUUAAAACAUUCAGCAAAGUCGUUGUAGUAUAGUGGUAAGUAUUCCCGCCUGUCACGCGGGUGACCCGGGUUCGAUCCCCGGCAACGGCGCUUACUUUUUGUUUUUGCGUUGCUGGUCACAUGAUAUCGCAACAAGAAGAUGAUGGCACAACAAUAUUCGAAAUGACAUAUCGUUUAGGCCCUUAUUGGGCCAAAAUAUUUUAUUUGUGUGCUUACAGAUCUUUGUUGCGAAUCCUAAUAAGCCGCAAGAAGUGAAGAUCAUUUUAGCAAGAAACCAUGAGAAGUUACUUGAACUUCUUCACAACUUGUCCUCCAGCAAAGGUAUUCUUAGAACUAAUUCAAUACUGCUUUAUAGACAUUACACUCUAAACUAGUUUUGUGAACUCACACAAGACACUCAACAAAAUUAGUUUCUUUCACGCACUCUCCAGAAUCUCGUUUAAGGAAGCUGCAACAGAAUCAGACAUCUUCAGAUUCCUCAUCUUCCGGAGUGCAGCGUAAGUCCUAUCAGAAGGCUUCACACCUAAAAGCCUUGAGCUCCUUAAACAGACUAACCCCUCUCUCAACUUUACUCUCCUUGCAAAAAACCCUUGAACCAAAGCGUUAUACGUGAGAUUGCGUCCCGCGCCACUCCAGUUUCACACAUUCUCUCAAAAACCUCCAAAGCCUGAUCAGCUCUUCCAUACGAGCACAGCCCCGUGAUCAUCGUAUUACAACUAACCGUCGUUUCUCCAAACCCAUUCCUAAUCAUCUCUCCGCAGAGUUCCUUAGCAAGCACAACUUCGCCUCUUUUCAAGUGUAAGUGAACUCGUUAGGCCGCAUCCCUUUCUCUUCUAUCAUCUCAAACCACAGCUUCCUCGCCCCCCCCGAACCACCCCAUCUCGCAUAAACCAUGGAUCAUCGUGGUGUAGAUGACUCUGUCAGGUGCGUAGCCUCUCUCUUUGAGAUUGUUGAACACGCAACACGCCUCAAACUGCUUCUCGUUCUUGCACAACCCUUUUAUAAUCUCCUGGUAGGUGUAAAUACUACGGAGAUGGUUCCACGCGAUCAUGGUGUAAAGAGUCUCCGACAUAGAAGCGUAGCUCCCAAUCUUACAGAAGCCAGAUAGACAUCAAUUGGGGAUACACAGCGUGUCCUGGAUCAAGCCCUUGUUUCAAACUCUUCUUGAGAAGCUCAUAGGCUUCUGAAACCUCCCCACCUUCACAUGAAGCUUGAAUCAAACAAUGUAUCCUCACAACAUCAACCUCAGACUCUCUCAUUCCCUGGUGAUAAAGCUCCAGAAGCGAUCGAGUUUCUUCUCUUUUAGUAGAGUACACACUUUGAUACCUUCAUCAACCAACCCAUCUUUGCAAAGACACUUCACGUAUCUCUCCAGCAACGUUACCUCCGGGUUAAAACCGGUUGAAUCUAAAAAGCCUUUCGCAGCUCUUGCAUCCAAAAGGGAACCAAAGAGAAGGCUUAGAGACACAGAAUCAGGUUUGUAAUCAAAGGUGGAGCAAAGCCAACGGAAGAACCAGAUAGAAAACAUAACGUUGUUGUUCUGUAAUGACAACAGUUCUCUGAAAAACAGAGGAUCCGCGAAGUUAAACGAGGGGGAAAUCAAAUAACAGAGUUUGCUGCCAUCUCCGUCUCUCUCUCUCUCUAAUGAUCGUAUAGACAGUUUUAGCCCAUUCCUGAUUUCUGCAGCUCGUCGGACUUGGAUUCACUAUCUCGACAAGACUCGAGGGUUAGACUCCGUAUCUGGUGUGUUGAGUGGUUCUGUCGAGUUCUGUUUCUAAUGAGAGUGAUCAGAUACGACUGACUCGAAUUCAAUCUCGAAGCAGCAACACGCGAAUCGUAGAAAGGAGUGAUUUUUAUUCACCGGAACCCUAGAUUUGGAUUUUUCUCAAGNNNNNNNNNNNNNNNNNNNNNNNNNNNNNNNNNNNNNNNNNNNNNNNNNNNNNNNNNNNNNNNNNNNNNNNNNNNNNNNNNNNNNNNNNNNNNNNNNNNNCGUGAAUUCCAAGCUUCGGAUCCCACUGUGCUGGAAAGGAACUUUGGGUUAACUAAUAUAAAUUUAGAGUUUAGAAGUGAGCGAUGAGAUUUUGGAUAUAAAUUUCAAAUUUUAAAAGUAUAAAGUAAAUAUUACAAUUUUCAAAAUAAAAAAGGAUUAUUAAAGUCAUUUUUUUAAACGUUAUUUUUGUGACAAAAACUUAAAAAUAACUAUUUGAGAGAAUUUUCUUGUUUUCAAGUAUAUGUGGGAGAUUUAUUUAAUACACGUUGGAAAUUAAUCCGAAGACUUGGAAGAUUAUUCCUCAAGUCGUUGAUGCUUAGAAUUAGUGAUCAAGUGCCAUCAUCACUCAUCAGCCACUUGCAAAAGCCCCACUACGCGUUUCCACUUUCCACACUUAAAGAUUAUAUAUGUAUCAAUGAGUAAUUUUCAUAUCAAGCCACAAAAGUGAAUACAAGUUGGUCUUGAAUCUUUCUUUUUAAUUUAAAAGGUUCUCCAUUUGCUAGCCUAUUUGCUCUAUAGUAUGAUUGUAGAUACUCUACAUGGUUAUCAUUGCAAAACAUAGUAAGACCAAAUACAUUUAACUAACUUGGCUGUUGUCGGAAGGACAAAGAUACGACCUCAACUUUGACCCAAGCUUUUGUCUGAGUUUGAAACUUGCCAUCGAAAGGGACUUUAAGUCUUUAAUAAAACACUCCGAAAGAAGUUUCUUAGGCAGCCUCCCUCGUGCUAUUUAAGCAUAUAAGACUUUGCUAUGCCAAAAAAAACUACAAAGUCAGAGAAGUUUUGAGAGUCUAUAAGAGACAAAAGCUGCUAUAUAUCUCUCAUAAGUGAGACAAACACUUUUACCAAUCAAAAAACUAAUGGCCCUUUCACCAAUUCUCGUUCCUCUCCUUCUCAUACCGAUCUUUCUUGGUUCGGUUUUCGCCAUUUCACCACUCAAAACCGAUACACUGAAACCGGGACAGCAGCUCAGAGACUGGGAGCAGCUGAUCUCUGCCGGUGAGGCCUUCACUCUCCGGUUCUUUACACCUAGAGAAUCAUCAACCUUCUUACUUGGUUCAGGCGCUGGUCUUAGGUAUAUUUGUAUCUGGUCUCAAACUGAUCCAGUUUGGGUGGGUAACCCAACCGAACCAGUUUCUGAUUCAUCUGGUUCUCUAUCCAUUGAUACCAAUGGUGCUCUUAAGAUCACAAGGGCAAAUGCUUCUCCAAUCAUGGUGAGCCCACAUCUUUCCUUGGCUGGUAACGUCUCCGCCACUUUACUCGACUCUGGAAACUUCGUGAUCCGAGAUGCAGGACGAGGAGGAGGAGGAGGACCGGGUCGGAUUCUAUGGCAAAGCUUUGACCAUCCCACCAAUAUAUUACUUCCAGGGAUGAAGAUUGGGUUUAACCUAAAAACCAAGAAAGAAAUUUCGGUAACUUCCUGGACAAGUAACCAAGUCCCAACCCCAGGAGCAUUCAGACUAGGUCUAGACCCUUCAGGAGCUAACCAGCUACUCGUCUGGCGCCACGGUGAAAUCUACUGGUCCAGCGGGAUACUGACAAACAACGGAAGCUCUCAACUAACCUUACAGCUAUCCAGACGCUACAUUGAUUAUGAGUUCAAAUUUCAUUCAGACAAGUACACGAACUACUUCAGUUACUCAGUCAAGAAAACUAAAGGUUCGGUCUCUUCCAGCUGGUUCUUGGACACACUAGGCCAAAUCACUGUUACAAACAGCCUCAGGAGCAACACAUGCGCCAGGGGGACUUCUGAAAGCAGUGGACCGUGCAAGAAGGAUUUGAAGAGCAGUUCAGCUAUCUGCAUCGCAGAGAAGCCAACGGCGUGUAGGAAAGGGUCAGAGUAUUUCGAACCGAGAAGAGGAUACAUGAUGGAUAAUGCUUAUUAUGGUGAUGGUUUGAGCUCCGGCAUAAGUGACUGCCAUGGAAGCUGCUGGAGAAACUGUUCUUGCAUAGCUUUUCAAAGCCUUCCUAGAGGACGAUGCCAUUAUUGGGGAAAAGGGUCAACGUUUGUGCCUUAUGAUAACUUCAACGUCGGCCUAGUAUUAAUAGUGUAUGUUCUAGAUUCUGAAAAGUGAUGUGUGGUUUGUAAGAGUAAUUAUGUAACCACACUAAUCCUACUAUAUAAAAGGAGCUAAAUCAUUACUUCCUAAGUCUAUCCACAUGUGCACAAAUAUUCAUCACCAACCAAUAUGCCAGGUCAUCACGAAAUAGGCUUGCAAUUAAAAAAAAAAAUUCAACAAUUCGCAGCCCAUUAGACCCAUCUCCUAGCCCACUCCCGAGCCACUCUCUCAUAAGUAUAAUCCCGUGUUCUAAAGAUCCCGUGUUAAAUUUUUUAAAACACUCAUAUCUUAGAAAUAGUUUAGAAAAUAUGUUUAUAUAAAUGUUUUUUUCUUGAAUAAUAUUUAAUUAAUUUUUUUGUAUCUUUUUAACUUUUAUAAUAAAAAUAUUGUUUUCAGAUAACAACAAAAUAUAUAUAAGAAUUAUCUUAUUUUUAAAUUUUUUUUAAUUUUAACCUCCACAGUACCAAAGAAACGCUCCUGCUAGACAUCCUGGAUAAAUGAAAGAGACAUAUUUGGACUUGGCUUUGUGUUAAUGGAUGGUGAUUUUUCAAUGCUGUUUGGAGCAAGGGCCGAUAUACACGCACCAAAUCACCACUGCAAGCGGAAGCUGAAGGUUUACUAUGGGCAAUGCAAGUGAUACUGAAGUUUGGACACAGAGAGAUGGUCUUUCAAUCAACUGUGAACAACUGGUUAUACUCAUUCAAAAGGAGGAAGAUUAGCCUGCAUUGGACUCAGAGCUCGACGAAAUACAGGCUGUAUCCAAAGAAUUUUUUAAACUUUCUAUUGCUUAUAUUCCUAGAUCUUUAAAAUUCCGUACGAAUAGCCUAGCAAAAGGUGUCCGAUCACGCGCAUCUCGAUCAGCUUUUGUAAACCCUUUUGCACCAAGUUGGCUAGCCCCACAAGCUAGCAUGAGGGUGCCAAAAAAGAGAAUAAAAUUGAAAGUGAAACUAAAUAUCCCAAUGAACAAAUUUAUCAGAAGUCCAUAUUUAUGUGGAUGUCUAUAUGGGACAAACAAUUUUUUAAGACAAUUAUAGAAUAUAGUCACGAAAAUCAAUCCUAAAAUAUAUAAUUUAAAAAAACUAUUUAAACUAACCAUCAAAAUUUUCAAUAUUACACCAAAUAAGAAUAUAAAGACCAACUAUAUUCUCUUCGUGUAUAAUGUGUUGUAGUAAGAUUCAAAAAAAUUAACUUACUUUACAGUAAGGAAAAAUUAGAUUUUUAAUUCCAAAUUUACAGUAAAAAUAUAACAUUUUAUGAAACUAAACAAUUGACAUAAUAGUACAAAAAUAUGAAAAAAAUUCAAAAUACUAUCCGCGCGUAGCGCGGACAAGGACCUAGUAUCAAUAAAGGGCUUUAACUUAUCAAGAAACUAUAUAAUGAAGCAGUGAUCUGUACAAAUGUUAGCAAAGAAAAGAAUUCUUCAGUAUUAGUGAUCUGUACAAAUGUGAGUAAAGAGAGGAGACAGUGGGACAUGGUGAUAAAGAAAGAACAAAGCUACAAGAAUCUAUAACAAUCUUAAGACAUAACUACAAAAAGUCAAAUCAUAUGGCUCUGUUUGAUUCUGCAAGUUACAAUGGUGACACAUUUUUCUCAGGUGUCAGCACAUGAAACAUAUGGACUUUGAUCUUGAUGUUUCACGACGGUCUUCAAAACCUUUCAAGAACCAUCUGAUGGCGAGGUGCUCUGAAGCAUAAGUCAUGUAGGCAGCUAAAACUAUGGCUACACCCACCAUUAGACCCAACCUGCUCAAUAUGUAAAGUGAUGAAACAAGUUAAAAUGUAGGCUGAACAGUAACAAAAACCAUUCUCAGCAAGUUUAUUAAGAAGAUUACCUCACGAAUAAAGCGGUGAUCCCUAAUAUAUAAGGCAAAGAAACUGCAGCAAUAGCUAGAAACACCAUCCCUAAUCCAUAAUACAAUGUAGUCACGUCACAAGACACACCUCCUCGCUGAUGACCUGUUAAUACCAAAACAAAACAACUUUGUAGAGAAUGGUAAGAAUAUCUAGGCUUAUCAUUAUCUUCUUAUUGCCGUACCUUUUCCGGAAUCAUCCAAGGACGAGGAUUCUGUAUGAACUGCUAUUUUCUUUCCAUGUUGAUGCACCAGAAGCAAGAAGCAACCAAACAAAAGAAAGAAGAUUGUAAACGUCCAUUCAUAUACCAAGAUCAACCCAGUCCACGGCAUGAUUUGCCUCGGCACAAUCAUAAAGGAAACUCCAACGGAUAUGAGAACAGCGGUGAAACAGACUACAACUGAAACCGCGCCUAAGUGCUGAGGAACCUUUGACUGUGAGUUGCCAUUGUGGAGCUGUUAAACAAGCAAUAGAAGAUGUUAAAAUGAGAUCCAAACAUUCUUUUUAAAAAAAACUCAAAAAUAACAAUUUAUUGAUGACUAAACUCACUUGAUGGCUGGGAUUCAUGGUGGAAAAUGUAGAAACACCGCUAUAACCAAGUGUUCUAUUAGAUCUAAUUUUGUAAUAAAGAUAUCUAAAUUGACUGCACAGUGAACCCUCAUAACCCUGAAAGAGAAACAAAAAGGGAGAAUGAAUUUGUAAUCCAAAAAGGAUGAAUGUAGCAGAGGUGAAGGUAACAAAACAAAAAAGUCUUAAACCUGAAUGGAUCGGUAAAUGCAGAACAAAAGCGCACAAAGAGGUAACAAGAAAAGAAGCUUGACGACGAGUUCAUCGUUUUGGUUUUUGCCACCUCCAGUUCCAGGAAGAGUUUCCUCAAGCUUUACCCUAAUGCUCUGAAAGUGUUGCAGUGAAAUCAGAAUUAGUGCAAAUUUAGUAGAUAGAAAACUCAAAAGCAAAAGAGAAGAGUAAGACAUACAUGCCAGGCAUCAACAGGCUUCACAAGCCACGCUGUCCACCAGUCCCAAGGCUUGAGAGGGCCUAGUGUGUAAUGAAUCACAUGAAGUUUACUCUCAUCAACCAUCCACUGCAGAAAAAUAACUUAAAAACAGAUUAAAAUCCAUUCCUGAAAUUAACUAACAUAACCAAAAGGCUAAGUAUACGUUUUGUUUCCUAAUCGAGAAAGGCAAAGAUACCUUAUUAGCAAGCAUAUAAAGACCAACAUCGGCAUUAUAUAACGUCGAAAGCCUCUCCAUAUCAGGAACUGGUCUAGCUUUCAACGCUUCAUGGCUUAAACUAGGAUCGAAAACACGAGCAUUCUGAAAAUCUGGAUAGUAAGAAUUCAAGAACCCUUGGUCUCCUCCGGUGUAAGAAGACAAAGUCUUCACUUUUCUCAUCAUGUCAUUAAAUAGAGCUUGGGACGGUUCAACAACCAUGACACCAGAGUUCAACCUCUCGGAGUGCUUCAAGUUAGCGCAGAACUUCGAGCAUUUGAACAGAUCGUCAAUGUUCUUUACCACAAUGGUAUCAGCAUCAAGAUACACAACUACACAAAAACACAAAAAGCUUUAAAAUUCAAAGUUCUCAAAUAAAAACACCAAAAGAGUUUACCUUUCUUGUAAUCUGUCAUGUUAAAGAUCUUGAGCUUUGUGUAAACACCCCAGAACCUUGUCGGAUGAACUUGGUUCGGGUUCGCUAGUAAACUGAUCUUCUCUACUUUCCAUCCAUCAGCCUGUUAGUAUCAAAAAUUCAACAAAGUAAUGAAAAAGACAAGAUUUUUUUAAAGCUAAAACUUCGUUGUAAAUUUCAACAAACCUUGAGAAGCUUCUUGGAGUAAUCUGAGACGCCAUCAGAGACCAAAGCGACCAUGUCUUUGUCGGAUCCAGUGUCACGUAUCGAUUUGCCUAAUACUCUGACUCCUAAUAAGAACUCAUCACCGUAUAAGAGUGUCACGUAAGCUUCCUUGCUUGAUUCAGAUCCAAACGAACCCUUGGAAAGGAGCAAGAUUGAGAAGAGGAGAACACAGAGACUCGCCUUGUCUCUCAACAUAGUAAUAAUCAUUCGGAUCUAACUUUCAGGGAGAGACUUGGAUUAAACAAGAUCUUAAUUUAAGGAAAGUAUACGUUUGAAAAGUAGAGUUUUGAAACUUCUUCGUUGUUAUGUUUGUUCCUCCUUUGCUGUUCUGUCUCUGUCUGAGACUUCUCUUUAUUCCUUUCGCCGCCGUCGUUUUAGAAACCGUAACAUGUUCUAGAUAUUCAUUCAAUACUUCCUCCGUGUAGAACAAUGUUUUUUUUGUUAAAAAUUAAAUGUUAUUUAUGAAUUUAGUGCAAUUUUAUUUCUAACUAAACUAAUUAAAAUAAUAAAUACAAUAAAUUUUUAAUUAGAUAGAAACAAACAGUUUAAAAUUUUUUGUAGAAAACUUUAGAACAUCUCAUUUAAAAUUAAUAAAUUAGUAGAACCUGAGUGGGAAUAAUUAUGGGCGAUAUUAUUGAAAACAUGACAACUUUGAUGACUUGGGAUUUUAUGAUUGGUCCCCCUUCUUACAAAACAAUUUUAGUUUUUAGAUAUAUGUGCAAGUUCACGUAAAAUUCGGAAACUAUUUUGUUUCCAAUAAUUGUUCUAUAGAAUCUGUUUGGAUGUUUAUAAGUUUGUAUUUGGUUGGAUUUUGAGUUCAGUUAUAAAUAUUUAAGCCUAUUUUUUUACUGGAAUAAUAAAUUGAAUUUAAGUAAAAAUAAAAAUGAUCAAAAUUAUAUAACUUCUUAGUUAAAUAUAGAGUAAUUAGAUCAUACAUAUACAUGUAAAUUUUCUGCUUUUGUCAGCCAUCUCAAACUUUGAUUUUAUACAAACACUAGACUUGACAAAAUAUUCAACAACAUUCCUAAACGAUAAUAGAAUAAAUAAUUACUACAUUGGUAAAUACUAAUAGAUAUAAAUAACACUAUUUUAUAAUUAUUUGCAUAAACACAGUUUGGAGGGAAAACAAAACAUCAUCCGUUUUUCUACAUUGGUAGAUAAGUGUAUAAAUGGCAUUAAUUUCAAAAUUUAUUUAGAUAUAUAAAUGACACUAAUGUCAAAUUUAUUUAGAAUCAGACAAACCCAAAAAGACAUCCUCGUUCAACAAUUUAAGACCAAAAGAGCUAAUAAGAUUGGUUCGUCAACGAGUAAAUUAGAUUUAGUUUGACAUCAGUUUACAGUCUGUCGCAAAAUAAACUUUUUUACUUUUUGAGUAAGUCUUUGUCCGUCACAAAGUCUCCACCUUUGUUUCGUUUUCGUCGGUCGUCACUUUUGUUGGGCAAGCUAAUAAAAAAGAUAAAUAGGAUUUUAUAUAUUUUUCUGGAACACAGCUAAACUUCAAUCUUUCCCACUGACAUCUCUGGUCUUCCAUUUUUUUCUUGUUCCUUUUUUUCAAUCUUGGGUCUUGUCUGUAGGUUAGAGAGAGAUCCUUCCCUUCCUACAAAGAUCCAAAGCAGGGAACUUUCUAGUCAAUGCUGCUAAAGAUCUGACUUUCUCCUUCCAUGUCGCUCUGAAGUCCCCCAAAAUUUCGCCCAUCAGGUUUGAUUUCUCUCUCAUUUCAGAACCCUAGUUUUAUAAUUGUAAGUUCUUUGGUCUUCUCUGAUUUUGCUAAGCCGUGUUUAUCAGACAAUGCGAUGGAGACUUUCUGAUAAGUUUCUAUUGUCGGUAGCGAUUUUUUUCAUGUACAUUAGCUGCUGAGGAGUUUUAUUUUUGUUGUCACAUGUAGUUUACUUUCCAGCUUAAUGUUUACCUGGCGAGUGGUCUGAGAACUGAAAGUCUGAAACUCUGGGACUUAGACACAAUGCUUGUUUGUAUGAAUCUGAUUUUGCCUUUAGUCUCUGUUCAAGUUCUUGUCUUUUUUACUUGUUCCUUUCUACUUUAAACUCUGAUUGUCUCUUCUUUAUUUAUAAAAGAUUUUUUAAGUGUUCUUGAGUUCUAAACUCUUCGGUUCUCCUCUUCCUUUUCAGGUGGAUAAAGCACUAGUAGGAAGAUGGGAACUAGUUUAAACAACGCAUUAUCUCGGAACUACAAUGGUUUGGAGCUCUGGGAGAUCAUAGUGAUUGUUCUCUCAGCUAUUUUCCUAGUAGUUUUAGCACUGUCUAUAUAUCUUACUUUCAGAAGAAAAAAGUCUAGACCAUCUUCUACCCAAAUCCCUCUUAGCUUCCAGACACCACCUAAUGUUCCUGAAGAGAUCAAAGAGAUUAGAGUCGACGAGGUUUCAUCAACCAACGGCGACGCCAAUGGAUACCCUUCUAUUAGUGAGAAGUUUGGUGAUAAAGAGCCUGAGAAAGGGGUAGCAGCAGUAGUAGUAGAGUCAGAGAAUGGUGAUAGUAGCAGAUCAGGCUCGUUUAAUCACAUGGAGAAGAAAGAUGGUUCAAGCGUGUCUUCAGCUAAUCAUCUGACUGCUCCUUCUCCUUUGUCUGGUCUCCCAGAGUUUUCUCACUUAGGAUGGGGUCAUUGGUUCACUCUCAGAGAUCUCCAGAUGGCUACGAAUCAGUUCUCGAGGGAUAAUAUUAUCGGUGAUGGUGGGUAUGGAGUUGUGUACCGUGGUAGCCUUGUUAAUGGUAGUCCUGUUGCGGUUAAAAAGUUGCUCAACAAUCUGUAAGUGAAACAAGAUUCAAGAGUUCAUUUCCUUAAUUUUGUUUUUUUUUAAAUGGUGAUGUUUUGUAUGUUUGUAGUGGACAAGCUGACAAAGACUUCAGAGUAGAGGUUGAAGCUAUAGGUCACGUUCGCCACAAGAACUUGGUCCGUCUUCUUGGAUAUUGCAUGGAAGGAACGCAGAGGAUGCUGGUGUAUGAGUAUGUUAACAAUGGGAACUUGGAGCAAUGGCUACGUGGAGACAAUCAAAACCAUGAGUAUCUAACGUGGGAGGCACGGAUGAAGAUUAUUAUAGGAACAGCCAAAGCGUAAGUCCUUGUGUGAAAGCUUUAUUUGUUUUUUUUUUGUUUUAUCUUCUCUUCAUCUGAGGUGAUUUUGGGUGGUGCUGUGUUGCAGGCUUGCUUACCUACACGAGGCUAUUGAGCCAAAAGUGGUGCAUAGAGACAUAAAAUCUAGCAACAUUCUGAUUGAUGACAAAUUCAAUUCUAAGAUCUCUGACUUUGGACUUGCUAAGCUGCUUGGCGCUGAUAAAAGCUUUAUAACUACUAGAGUAAUGGGUACCUUUGGGUAAGUGUUGUUGCCUCUCUCUGUGUAUGCUUUCUGUGUAAUUGUUGGCCUUUGGACAUAACUUGUUGUCUUGCUUUCAGUUAUGUAGCUCCAGAGUAUGCGAACUCUGGUCUUCUGAAUGAGAAAAGUGAUGUCUACAGCUUUGGGGUUGUACUAUUGGAAGCUAUAACCGGUAGAUAUCCAGUAGACUAUGCUCGCCCACCACCUGAGGUAAAAGACCCCCUUAAAGAAACCUUCAAACACACGUAACUCUGUUUCCUAACUUUCUUUUUUCUCUCAUUAUGUAGGUACAUUUGGUGGAAUGGCUGAAGAUGAUGGUUCAACAAAGAAGAUCAGAAGAAGUGGUUGACCCAAACCUCAACACAAAACCAUCUACAAGUGCAUUAAAGAGAACACUCUUGACUGCUUUGCGAUGUGUUGAUCCCAUGUCUGAGAAACGACCGAGGAUGAGCCAAGUUGCACGUAUGCUUGAAUCCGAGGAGUACCCAAUUCCUAGAGAGGUAUGUAUGAACAUCUUUGAAAACUGCUUCUUAUAGUUUCUUUGUUGAGUUUGGUUGUUGAAAGCUCUACCACUUUUGAGAAUUUCAGGAUAGGAGAAAACGAAGGAGUCAGAACGGGACAACAAGAGAUUCAGAUCCUCCUAGGAACAGCACAGACACUGACAAGAGUGAGUACCAUGACCUAAAGCCUGAAGCUGGAUAGGUCUUCUUCUCCAGAUCUUAUGUGUUAUGUCAUAUUUGUUCGAUCGUUCUUUGGUAAUAAGGAGAGAGAAGAGUGAGAGUGUUCAUUGUUUCUGUUUGGUUUGUUUCCAUUAAACACCAUUUGCUUGUAUAGUGUUUGUUUGUUUGUUGUAUUAUCAUUUGCUUCUCUACGUGUUGCAGUGUAGGUUGUUUUUGGACCAAGAAAACGCCAGGUUUUGUAGGAUAUGUUAAGUCUGUGAGAUAAACGACGUGUAGUUUGGUUUGCUUGUGGAAUUCUUGUUUGUUUAUCUGAGACCGUCUGAUAAAGGUCUAUUCAUUGCAAAUCAUGCGUUGUGUUAAACGCAAACCGGCUAUUUAUUACGUUCCCAUUAAAUAACUGAGUUAAUCAUGAUUAGCAUUAUUUUUUAAGAUCUUCGUUUAGUUGACAAGUAAACAUGACCUAAAUCAAGUUUUAGAAAGAAAAAAAAUUAAGACAUGAUGAUACAACGUUCAUUAAAAUAACUGAGUUAAACAUGAUUAGCAUUAUUUUAUAAGUUCUUCAUUUAGUUGACAAGUAAAUGACCUAAAUCAAGUUUUAGAAAAAAAUUUAAGAUAUGAAGAUACUACAGCGUAAUACAGUUUUAUAUAAUAUCAGAUCUAAAAUGUAAGAUAGUGUAAUAAUUUAUAAAAAAGAAAUUACAAAAGUGGGACAAUUAGCCGUAAAUGUGCUAUGUAAAUGUAUUUUUCUUCAAAAAUAAAUAAAAUGUAAUGUAUCAUCAAAAUUAAGAUAAAAAAGCGUUGACUUGACUCAGAUCUGACAAAACUGAAGCCUAUAAAACCCGAAAAAUCAAACUCGCGACGGCUAGUUAAUUCAACCCGUCUUGCAACACGUCUACCUCUCUCUCGACCUCAGAAUGACGAAAACGCCCCUAACCGUCGUCGCCCUCCUCCUCCUCCUCUUCCUCGCCGCAAUCCCUCCUUCUACCGCAGAGAUCAAAUCACUAGCCAUCUCCGACGACGCACGCCCGAUGAUCCUCUUCGAAAAAUUCGGAUUCACACACACCGGCCACGUCACCGUCUCGGUCUCCUCAGUCUCCGUCGCCUCCUCGGAUCCGAACGCAGACCCCUCUCGCCUCGGAUUCUUCCUCCUCUCCGAAGAAUCUCUCCUCCAGGUCCUCCUCGAGAUCCAACAAAACUCCAGAUUCUGCGUCCUCGAUUCCCACUACGUCACGCAUCUCUUCACCUUCCGAGAUCUCUCCCCUCCCCCGAACUCACGAUUCAACCAAUCCUACCCGGUCACUUCCCCUGACGAGUACUCUCUCUUCUUCGCUAACUGCCUCCCCGAGACGAAAGUCUCCAUGGCGGUUAGAACCGAGAUGUACAACAGAGAUCCCAACGGAUCUAAAGACUACUUACCCGCCGGAUCCACCCAGCUCCCCUCUCUCUACUCCUUCUUCUUCCUCUGUUACCUCUCCUUCUUAACCUACUGGAGCUACACUUGCUGGACGAACAAACGCGUUGUCCAUCGGAUCCACCUCCUCAUGGCGGGACUGCUUCUAAUCAAAUCGCUUAACCUAAUCUGCGCGGCGGAAGAUAAACAUUACGUGAAGGUCACGGGGACGCCGCACGGCUGGGACAUACUCUUCUACAUCUUCCAGUUCAUUCGCGUCGUGUUACUUUUCACCGUGAUCAUCUUGAUCGGAACCGGCUGGUCGUUCUUGAAGCCUUUCUUGCAGGAGAAGGAGAAGAACGUCUUGAUCAUAGUGAUCCCACUUCAAGUGCUAGCCAACAUCGCGUCGAUCGUGAUCGGCGAAACGGGGCCGUUUAUUAAAGACUGGGUGACCUGGAACCAGGUGUUCUUGCUUGUUGAUAUAAUCUGUUGCUGCGCGAUUAUCCUCCCUAUCGUUUGGUCGAUUCGGGCCUUGAGAGAGACGUCGAAAACCGAUGGGAAAGCAGCGAGGAACUUGUCGAAGCUCACGUUGUUUAGGCAGUUCUACAUUGUUGUUAUUGGGUAUCUGUACUUCACGAGGAUCGUUGUGUUUGCGCUUAAGACGAUCGCCGCGUAUAAGUACCGGUGGGUGAGUUUUGCAGCGGAGGAGAUUGUGAGUUUGGUGUUCUAUUUGAUUAUGUUUUAUAUGUUUAGGCCUGAGGAGAAGAAUGAGUACUUUGCUGUUGAUGAUGAUGAAGAAGAAGCUGCUGCUAUUGCUCUUAGAGACGAUGAGUUUGAGCUUUGAGUGUCUGUCUAAAUACUCCAACUAUUUUUGUUCCACUGUUGCAAACUUUUUCACCACUUUUUUAUAGCAUUUUUCAUCAAUACGGAUUUUGAGGUUAUGUAGUGUUCUUCACAGUUUAUCAUUCAGCUUUAUGCUCAUUCAAUACAAAUAGUUAUCGAACCACAAUAUUACACCAUCUAACAACCACAAUUCAGAUAUGGAUGUGAUUAUGUGUUACAGCCAAUGUUGUAGAAACGUCAAGAAGCUCCUUUACAAAAAGCUAGAGAGGCUUAUAGCAUUUUGAAAAUAGCAAUAGCUUCGUCCUGUGACCUCUCUUGUGAUGAUAAGGUUCUUGAAAGUGUAGUAGAGGACUAUUUAAUUAGCCUAAAAGAGUUUUUAGUUGCUUAAUAGUCACGGUUGAUAGCUCAGCUAGCAUAGAUCUGAGGUACUGUUAAGGUGUUCGUGUUAGGUCUAGUGCAGGACUAUUGUAACUACCAUUCUUGUCCGGCAAGGAAGUUAGCUUUGCCAGCUUAGUAACAAGGCUUAUCGGUUAGUUGAGAGCUUAAGGGUUAAAGAGGCGCUAUAGGAAUUAGUUUGGGCUAUGAUCUUGGUUUGGGCUUCAGGAGAGUUUAGGGUGCUCUAGAAUUCAACCCAGUGUUCUAUCUUUGGUGAUUUGCUUUAAUUUGUUCUCUGUUCAUCUUAUUUAUUGAUUCAAAGCAUGAAUAAAAGGAGAAUCAGAUCUUGUUCUCAUCAGCUAUCCUAGAUUUUCUAGUAUUUUUGUUGACAUUAGGGUUGAAAGCUAGAAGUUAUUCCGAGAUUUUAGCUUAGCUAAGAAAAUUAGUAUCCGAGCCCAACUCUCACCUUCAAAGUAGCUUUAAAAGAGCUUAAAAAUCAUACUUAGCAUUCGUCAGAUGAAAAUGCAUACUGACUGUUGCCUGAAAACUGUGGACUAAAUUUUGCUCACUUCAGAGUACUUUACAAUGCUCGUUGGUGAAUACAACAUAAUACACUAAUAAGGAUAGAUUUACUUUUAUCCGAUCGAGCCAAUCCGAAUGAAAAUAAAGUACAUGCAUCGGUUAUAUUACUAGGGAACAUAUUAUAUGGCAGAAUGAGUCUUUCCUAAUGUCUCCUAAGUAUCGAAUGUGAAGGCAUUAUGUUAAUCUACUGGUAGAUCAGGUGGGGCUUCGAGUUCAUCAGGAAGAAGAAUCCAACACGUUGCCUCAUUUGAAGACGUCAAGGUAUCUAAUUCUCCUUAGCUACUCUCUUUCAUUAUAUCUGGCCAGGGAGUAACUUUUAAAGAAUAUGUUCUACUGACCAGUUCUUAUGCCUUGUUCGUCAUGUUUAUAGGUAUCUUCUUAUGACCGAUUAGAUAGAGAACACUAAGCUUAACAAAAAAAAGAAAAAGAAGAAGAAAAACAAAAAGCAUAAGGCCUCACACUUUUUCUCUUAUCUCAUCUUUCUACUUGCUUUUUCGUUUUCCCCCACAUGAUUUUAUAGUCUUUUAACGUUACUUUCUGGAUUCCGUUGGAAAACUUUUUUGAAAGCAACAUAUCACAGUCGAUGAAGAUGCCAAGUUGAAAAGACCCAACAAGAAGUUGAAGGUUUAGUGUCCAUUAUUGCUUUACGUUGCUUAGUUGCGUCUUUAAACAAAGUCAAUCACCAGUGUGUGUAUGUUCCAAUCGAUCGGUUUGUCUUAUUGUUUUAUCUAAGAUUAGGGUCAUGACUCUUGAGUUUAUUUUUUUAUCGGGUUUUAUUUGGUGUAAAACUGAGACUGGAGUUGUUUGUGGUUUUAGAACAUAUAGCUUCAUGAAUCCGACAUUUGUAGUUUCAUUGAAAAUUUAUUGAUUUUGUUUUUAGCCUUUUAGAUAAUGACUAUGAAACCGUUCCAGUUCGUAAUGAUCUGUAUCAGUUCAUUGCCGGAUAGUAUACAUAACGGUGCUCAUGUGUAUAGCCGUUUGUACCACUUCCAGGGAACCAGAGGAGACACAAUAAUAUAAAACAGGUUAAAAGUUAAUAAUUUAUUUGAUUUUCUUAGAUUUUGAUCAUAUGUAUUGUCUACAUCUGAUAGAUGAGGAUACCAAUGCUGUGGUCCAAAAGAUUUUUGGGAGAAUAACACAAUCUCCAAAGGCUGCUCACAUGUGGCCAAUGCCUCUCCAAGUCAAACCUUCGAAUUCUAAUUUUGAUUAAUCAGAGGUUUAUAUUUCUCAUGCUCCUCAUGAAAGCAUGUUUAUAAGUUAUAGUGCCUUCACUUGAUUUAUUGAUUUUCACUCUUUGGGAGUGAGUGGCUCGAAUAAUAUUUUAUACAGUGUCACCUUUUUAAGUGUUCCGAACAUAACCCACGCAAUGCAACCUCACAGUUCCUUUUACGCGGCUUAACUUUCACGCGCUUCAAUUAUUUCAAGACGACCAAAACAAAAACGACAAUAAAAUUAGGUGAUAAUAUUCGAUAUGCCCAAGAUUCAUCCAACUUGUGCAACUUGUCGCCUAGUAUGGUUUUGUAGUCGGGAGACAUAUCAUUCAUGUACAGUUUACAACUUUACAUGCAUCAAUUCUUAAAUAAAUGUAUAUUGUAUCGUUUGCUGAACUAUUUCUAAAGGUAUAUGCCAAAAUCUUAUAUUUGCACAUCAAUUUCUAAGUAGCCAUCAACUAAAAUUCAUUAUUUGUGACUUCUCCACAUACAAAAAAAUGAUAAAUCCAAACUCACGCUAUUCCAAUGACAGGUGAAAAAAAAGACAACAAAACUUGAAUGCGUUUUGACAAAACUAACUUAUACUAUGAUGAUCUUGUUGUAAUCGAUCAUCCAAAGCAUUAAAUGGUACGAUCCAUUGAAAUUUUGUAAGUGGUACUACUAGUCUAAUAUAUGCUUUGUAGUGCGAAGUGACUUUUACGUUUGGUGUUGGGUGCGAUUCACACUCUUUGCGUGAGCGUGCAUGGAAAUUAUUUCCAUAUUCUUCCUUCUCAAUACGUGACAUAUAUUUUUUGUUUCAAGCCUAUAUGUUUUAUAUAUUUAUUAUUUGUAUUUUUAGGUUUCCCUCUAGACAAUUAAACUUAAGCUUAAACAUUACAUAUGUAAUUGUUACAAAACAAUUCCUGAUUUAUAUAAAGACAGACUCAACACUCAACAGAGUCAACUAGCAAAAAAAAUCUGUGUAGAAAAAUACAUCAAACCUAGAAUAUAAGGAUAGCAUAAUAUAUUCAUAAAUAAUAUAUCAAAUUUAAGAAUAUUCGAUAAAAGUGGAAUGAAAUAGAAAAGAUUAGCAUGUUUCCUGCACAAAUAGAAAAAUUUAAUUUAGAUAUGUCGGAGUCAACAUUACCACAAAAUUAGUGACUAAUCAGUUUUCUCCGAAGAUAAGAUUAAAAAGUGAUUGGCAGACCAGGAGGAGAUGGAAUGGUUGGUUGAGGAAACAAAAAACGUUAACAUCAGUCAAUAAAUAACACAUGAGUUACUGUUUUUUUUUUCCAUUUCUCACGCAUGGAUUGAUUUUGACAUAGAAUUUGUCUUGUUGCUAUAUUUGCAACUUGUACCGACAGUGUUUAUUUUCUUUGACUUUUUUUUCUUAACCAUUAUAAUUUCUAAACAAUAUUUUCCAUUUUCAAAAUAAUAUAUAAAAAUAAAUAUUGAAUUUGUAGGAAAAAUCAGUAACAUAUUCUAUAAAAAAUAUUUUAUUGAAUUUGGUGUAAUGUAUAAAACAACGAAAAGAAGAAAAAUAAAAGUUAGAUGAAAUUAAAAAAAAAAGUAAUAAGGAAAGAGAGAGAAGUGAUUGAUUGUAUGUUUGGCGCGUAUAUUAACCACCACCGGCAAAACACCCACAAAAGAGGCGAUCACGCUUAAAGAACCGAUCAACACUACACCUAUCCCUUCAGCUACACAUUACCAAAAAAAUGCUUUGAGCAAAGAGAUCAAGCGACUGAGAGUGUUGUGAAGACAUAACCAAACCACGAUCUGUACUUUUUUGUCUCUUUCUCCAAAUAAGAACAAAUAAAAACAAAAUUUCCUUCCGGACACUCCCAUUUGAUCGGAGAUCAACAUUGCUUGGUUCUCUUUCACCAGAGGAAAGAAACAAUGGAACCCGGUGAAGAAGGAUCGCGGUCGGAUCCAGGAAACGAAACCGGCAUUGAAGGUAACGUUUAAUGAUGGGUUUCCUCUAUCACUUUCUCUUCCUGUUAAUGCUUUGAUUUGAUGAGAAUUAUUAUUUUUUUAUGCGGGUGUAUGUAGCUUCGAUGUCGCGGUUAGGGUUGGGAGGCGGAGGAAAUGAAUCGUACCCGGAGAGACCCGAUGAGCCAGAUUGUGUCUAUUACUUACGAACCGGUGUUUGCGGGUACGGGUCUAGAUGUCAGUUCAAUCACCCACCAAACCGCCCACCGGUAAUAAAUUCUCUGUAUGUCUGUUUUGAUAAAGUUAUGGCCUUUUGUCUGCUUGAUGUGUUUCGAUUUUGAUGCAGUACUCUAUGAUUUCAUUUUUCAUGGAAGCUCUUAACUGAAUGUCUUAGUUUCAAAAUUUUAGGUCUUGGGAGGUCUCAGAGCAGAAGCUGGAGAAUUCCCAGAGAGAAUGGAACAACCCGUGUGUCAGGUAUAUUUUCCAUAUAUCAUUUUAUACUAUUGAGAUUAUGUAGAGAUUAAUAGGCCAUAAGCCUUAAUCUCUUAAUAGUGUGUGAAUAUAAACUCUUUAUCAUGAGUUUCAAUGGGACAUGAGUAUAAUAUAUAAUGGACAUGGACCACUUGCAAUCACUGUUAUUUUAGGUUGAAGUCCAGGAAACUUAACACAUGCAAUACUACACCUAUGCUUCUCAAUAGAACAUUCUCUAGUGUAGCCAAUUCUCACUUGUUAUGCUUUAUUUGCGCAGCAUUUUAUGAGAACGGGAGAAUGUAAGUUUGGUGCUUCUUGCAAGUAUCACCAUCCUAGACAAGGAGGAGGAGGAGGAGGAGAUUCUGUUACUAGUCCUAUCUCAUUUAAUCACAUGGGAUUCCCAUUACGUCCGGUUUGUUCAAUCUCUCUCUCUCUCUCUCUCUGGUCUAGGUUAUAUACUUAUAUCAGUCUUGUCUUAUGUUUCAUCCUUGAGGGAAAAAGAAAUGUUUCUUAUUAAUGGACUUCACAGGGUGAGAAAGAAUGUCCCUAUUACAUGAGAACCGGCCAGUGUAAAUUCGGUUCCACCUGUAAAUUUCACCAUCCUGUUCCUCCUGGUGAUCAAGUUCCAUCGCAGCAGCAGUUAUCAACUGGUCCAGCUAUCCAUCCAUCGCAGCAAUUCGGAGUAGUUGUACCAAGACCUCAGCUUUUGCCAGGCUCAUAUGUUCAAAGCCCUUACGGUACUUACAGCCAAAUGGUUCUUCCUCCCGGCAUGGUUUCAUACUCUGGCUGGAACCCUUACCAGGUAAUGCUGCUCUUUUUAUUUGUACACUUUUCUUUCUCUUUAAUCUUAACGAAGCCUUGUUCCAUUUUUAUUUAAAGCCUUCUGUGAGUGCAAUACCUUCUCCUGGGACACAACCGUCUAUGGGACCAAGCUCUGUUUAUGGAACUACACCGUUAUCUCCUUCAGCGCCUGCUUAUCAAUCUGGUCCAUCUUCAAACAAGGAACACUCUUUUCCUCAGCGACCUGGACAACCUGAGUGUACCUACUUUAUGAAAACAGGAGACUGUAAGUUCGGAACCUCUUGCAGAUACCAUCAUCCUCUGGAAGCAGCAUCGCCCAAGGGAGUUGCUCUCAGCAAUAUCGGCCUCCCACUUCGUCCUGUAAGUCUCACUCAUUUGCCAAAGCAUCUGUGUAUGUAUAUAUUAUAGCUUUACGCCUUGAGUUAUUGUCAUGGAGGAUUCCCAUUACGUCCGGUUUGUUCAAUCUCUCUCUCUCUCUCUCUCUGGUCUAGGUUAUAUACUUAUAUCAGUCUUGUCUUAUGUUUCAUCCUUGAGGGAAAAAGAAAUGUUUCUUAUUAAUGGACUUCACAGGGUGAGAAAGAAUGUCCCUAUUACAUGAGAACCGGCCAGUGUAAAUUCGGUUCCACCUGUAAAUUUCACCAUCCUGUUCCUCCUGGUGAUCAAGUUCCAUCGCAGCAGCAGUUAUCAACUGGUCCAGCUAUCCAUCCAUCGCAGCAAUUCGGAGUAGUUGUACCAAGACCUCAGCUUUUGCCAGGCUCAUAUGUUCAAAGCCCUUACGGUACUUACAGCCAAAUGGUUCUUCCUCCCGGCAUGGUUUCAUACUCUGGCUGGAACCCUUACCAGGUAAUGCUGCUCUUUUUAUUUGUACACUUUUCUUUCUCUUUAAUCUUAACGAAGCCUUGUUCCAUUUUUAUUUAAAGCCUUCUGUGAGUGCAAUACCUUCUCCUGGGACACAACCGUCUAUGGGACCAAGCUCUGUUUAUGGAACUACACCGUUAUCUCCUUCAGCGCCUGCUUAUCAAUCUGGUCCAUCUUCAAACAAGGAACACUCUUUUCCUCAGCGACCUGGACAACCUGAGUGUACCUACUUUAUGAAAACAGGAGACUGUAAGUUCGGAACCUCUUGCAGAUACCAUCAUCCUCUGGAAGCAGCAUCGCCCAAGGGAGUUGCUCUCAGCAAUAUCGGCCUCCCACUUCGUCCUGUAAGUCUCACUCAUUUGCCAAAGCAUCUGUGUAUGUAUAUAUUAUAGCUUUACGCCUUGAGUUAUUGUCAUGGAAACUAGAGUUAUUUGGUAAUGAAUCAAUGAUGAAUUCCGUAUAGAAACUCUGUUUCUUGAUUUAAUUACCGGAAACAACUAAGUGGUACGUCUCUCAUGAUCACUGACAGUUCAUUCUACUUUCACGUAUACAAUAAUGCAUGUCAUAACAAAUAAGAAAGCUAAUAAUAAAUAUCAUUUUUCAGGGCACGGCACCAUGCAGCCACUUUGCGCAACAUAAAAUUUGCAAGCUUGGGCCUGCAUGCAAAUUUGACCACUCCAUGACCUCUUCUUUGAAUGACCAAGGCACAGAGCUUCACUCUUCGAGCUCCAUUAAACCCACAACCACAACUAGUGGUGGUGGCUCAGAAACUACUGGUGCUGCUGGAGUCUCUUCAUCUUCUUCUAUGACCGUUGGUGUAAGCCAUUCCGAGUGUACUGAGAGCAAAGAUGGUGACUCAGUUAGCAUUGAGGUUAAGACUUCAAGUUAAAAGAGACAAAACUCAAAAGGAGAGAUGAGAACCUCACUCUACUCUUCUUAGAAUUUGCCUCUCUAUCUCUCUUCUUCUUUUUUUCAUCAAACUUUCAUGAACUCAUGAAUAUUUAGAGAUUAUUUUUUUUGGGUGGAGAGACAACAACAAGAAGCAA
This 255530-nucleotide long non-coding RNA is filed under the name Brassica napus (rape). RNAcentral describes it as "long non-coding RNA (BNAP_LNC012752)". The stretch from base 13895 to 14021 matches the Rfam family "Small nucleolar RNA snoR104". Lineage: Eukaryota; Viridiplantae; Streptophyta; Magnoliopsida; Brassicales; Brassicaceae. The record is from RNAcentral.